Molecule: long non-coding RNA, 352213 nt
Filed under: Olea europaea (common olive)
Lineage: Eukaryota; Viridiplantae; Streptophyta; Magnoliopsida; Lamiales; Oleaceae
Description: long non-coding RNA (OEUR_LNC007022)
Source: RNAcentral
AGUACUGUUGAUUGUCUGAAUGGAUUCUAAUUCUUUUAUGGAUAGGGUAAAACUAUCCAAAGAGUUGUUCAAAGAACGAGGGGAUACCGGAAGGUGGGAGAGUAGAUGGAGAGGAAGCAAAUGGCCAUGGAAAAAUAUAUCAUCUGCUGGAGAUAAAUCUACGGCGAAUGAAGAAGUGUUCUUAUUAUUUUCUGAGGUUUUUGCAGGGGCUGAAGGAUGAAGAGAAAUGGUGAAGGAGAAUUCAUGAGAAGGAGAUGAAGAAGCUGAAGGUGGCAAGGUUGCUGCAAUUGGUUGCAGCUGAUUACUCUCUCUCUCUCUGCUGAUUUUCUUCAUGCUUCUCUCUCAUCUUAUGAUGAUGUUUGUCUAUGCUUCAAUGCUAAAAGAUAUGUCGGAUCUGAAGUUUUUCUUGACUUGCUUUGAUAUGAUAUUCUCUGGUUAGAAAUGUGAGGAAAUAUUUUUGAAGGGAUAAAGAUGUUAGGAAGUAAUAUAGUUCGUGUGUGAGUAUCAAGAGGAUAUGUAGGGCUAACGGGUAGGCGUUGGAUGUGGGUAUGGGGUUACGGAGUGGGACAGGGUUUCAUUUGUUUUUUGAAGGGAAGGGGACUGUUCUCGGCAGGUUUGUUAAAUGAAAUCCGUAUUUAAUAGUGCGUUUCAUAUGGACUCGAUGGGACAUAAUAAUAAUAAUAAUAAUAAUAAUAAUAAUAAUAAUAAUAAUAAUAAUAAUAAUAAUAUUGAAAGUGCUUAUGAACAGUCUAAAUUAUAAAUUAAUUAAAAUAUUGAUAAAUAAGUGGAUAAUUUUUAUAAAUCUUAUAAAAUUGUAGAAUAAGGAGAAAUUUGACCAACUAUAAUCAUUAUCCAAGCAUGAGUUCAAAAAUUUACAGAUAAUUAAAAUUUUAUAUUGUCGUAAAAUAUCCGAUAAUAAUGACUGAUUAGUUGAUAUUAUUAUGCCCAUGUUUGGUUUCACUAAAAAUUUAGAUUAAAAUUAAAGUUAAAGUCAACAAUUAAUUUUAACUACACAUUUUAUAAGACUCAUAACUUUUCAUCCAAAAAUCCCAUUAUCUUUUACCAAAAUUUUCAAAAAAAUCUGAUUUUAUCUAAACUAAACAAGGGCCAGAAGGAUAGAUAACUUUCCUACCUUAGAAGAAUGUUUUCUAUUCAAAUUGUCACUCAUUGAAACCUUAUAUAUAACAGUCAGUGUUAUGAUGAAAUUCACACGAGUUUUGAUACCCUUAUUUUCUUCUAUUGUUCUUGCUUUUCUUCUUAAUUUAAUAGCAUGUUAUCAGCACGAGUUCUAGUGAAUUUAACUAGGAAAAAAAAAUUCCCCUGCAAAAGACAAGUUAAGAAUCCGGUAUGAUAAAUUUGAUUAUGCAAUCUUAAUAUGAAAAUUAGUUACGAAAAAUUUAAGAUAUGCAUUUUGUCAUUACUUGUGAAAAAGAAUGAUCUAAUAUUCAAUUAAAUUUUUUUUUUUAUUUUGUGGCCUAAUAUUCAAUUAGAAUUUGUGGGGGUGGAUAUUGCAUUGUUGCUCCUGUAGACCACAAACUUAAAUAUCAAUAUCUAUAAAAUAUAUUAUAUGGCUCAAAAAUAUAUACACAUAUAUUUCAAAAGAAUAUGGUGUCGUUCAUGAAAAACAUAAAACUUAUUUCAUUGUGUUUAUGGAGAAGUACAAACUAAACGAUUAAGUAUAGUGGUAUAGUGUUGUAAUUCUUGAAGAAAACACUUUAUUAUUUUAUAAUAUUUAUAUGGUACAUUAUGUUAAUACUUCGGAGGAAGUAUAGUUUUCCUGCAAUAUUGUGAAAUAAUAUUUUGUUUUUAAUCUUGAUGAAACAGGAGUUUAUAUUGUAUUAUUGCUCCAGAAGAAAAAUAGAUUUCUUAUUUAUCAAUAUUUUUUAAAAACAUAGUGAUAUUCUUGAAUAAUAAAUUUUAUACAAACUAAUAUCCUACAUAAUUUGAAAUUUUAAAAUUUUCAUAAAAAGCUCUAGAAGGGCCAAAAGUUUAUCAUAUGGGUGAACAAAAUGUAAUACUACAUUAAUUUUCUCCCCAUUUCAAAUGAAUAAUGAUAUUAAAAAUUCACAUAAAUAUUAAUUAAAGAACCAAAAAAUUCUUUCAAUGAAUUCCUUGUGUUUUUAUUCUCAUGAUAUAAUGUUGUAAUGUGACCCAAAUUCUUGUGGUUAUUGGUGUUUUAGUUGAAGUGGUCUUGUAGAAAUCAAAAUUAUAGACAAUGAAGAAAAGUUGUUGUAUUUUCGCUAGCCUAACACUAGUUGGCAGCUCGGGCUGCACCAACAUAUUUUGAAUAGAAAUUUUUCACCCUUUUGGUGCUCAAACGAUGGGGCUGUCACCAUCUUUCGCCCCCCGUAGCUUGAGCGAUGGGGUCAUUAGUGCAGCCCCUCUUUCCAAGUUUUAAUGUCUUUUGGACUCUUGUUUAUCUUCAACUCAGUUUCUAGGGUUUUAUAUAAAUAAGCCACUACUUAUAUUGUUCAGAUAACACUCAUACAACAUCUUGAGAGCUUUAGAUCUUAAUUGAGAGCAUUGAAAUUUUGUUGUAAACAAAUUGCUAUUGCCAAUAGUGGAUUUCUCCUCCUCAACCCAUGGUUUUUUGCCAUGUUAAGUUUUCACGUAAAUCUUGCUGUUAUUUAUUUUGUUCUUGUUUAUUUCAUUACUGUCAUAAACUUUCGAUCAAAUUCGCAACAAGUGGUAUCAAAGUGAUUUUGGUAACUUGUUUGUUCAUAUCAAGUGAUAUCAGAGCCAGGUUGAUUAUCUAGCAUGGCAAUGAUGAAGUAUGAUAUUCCAUAAUUGGAUCGAAACACAAGAUUUACUUUAUGGAAAGUGAAGACGCGAGCAAUUCUCACACGGAUGGACUUGAAAGAAGCCUUGGUUUUGAUAAGAUGCCUUCAACCUGGAUAUAGAAAAAAAGCAACGUAGGGAUCGAAAAGCCCAAUCCCAAAUUUAUCUACAUCUAUCAAAUUAAAUUCUUUAAGAUAUUCUCAAGGACAAGAGUGCCUCGUAUUAUGGUUAAAGUAAGAGCAGCUUUGUAUGAAAAAGACAUUGACCAGCAAGCUUCACUUGAAACAGUACUUGUAUUUUCACAGGAUGUUCGAAGAUACAUCAUUGGAUGAUCACUUAACUAUGUUCAAAGAAAUCAUGGCCAAUUUGGAGACAUUGGAGGUUAAGUAUGAUGAGGAGGACUUGGCAUAGAUGUUGUUCUGUUCACUGUCCCCAUCAUAUGUGACUUUUAGAGAUACUAUCUUCUAUAAUCGAGAUAUUCUCACCGUGGAAGAGAUCUAUGAUGAUUUGCUAUCUAAGAAGAAAAUGAGGCAUCUUGUUCGAGGAUCUUGGAGUCAAGCUGAAGGCCUGGUCAUUCGUGGAAGAAGUCAGGAUCAAAAUCUUGGUAAAAAUAUGAAGGCCAGAUCGAAAUCGAGACGUACAGAAAAGUUAUGUCAUUACUCUACGAAGAAGGGACGUAUCAUGGUUGAUUGCUAUUCUUUUGAAAAAUGGGAAUAAGGUUGUCGAUCCCAUUGAAAGGGAAAAAUAACAUGUUAACACAACGAAAGCUGAUGUUGUGGAAGACACACAAAGUGAAUGAGAGCUUCUUGUAAUGUUUAACAUAGAUUCUAAACCUUGUGAGGAAUGGAUUCUUGACUCAACUUCUACUUUCCACAUGUGUCCUAAUAGGAUUGGUUUACAACAUAUGAAAGAGCUUCGAGAGCUGCAAUGAUAAUGGGAAACAAUGCGCAUUGUAAGAUUGUCGGAGUUGGUAAAGUCAGAAUCAAAAUGUUAGAUGAUGUUAUCAGAACACUUUUAGAUGUCAUGCAUGUUCCAAAAUCAAAGUGAAAUCUAAUAAGUUCGAGUACAUCUGACUCAAAAGGUCAUAAAUACACUGGUGAAUGUGGAGUUUUGAAGGUGAGUUGGGGUGCUCUUACUGUCAUGAAGGGAUAAAAAACUCUACAUAACUAUAUGUUUUGCAAAGUUACAGGAGAUACAACAGUCUCUACUUCUUCUUUGACUGAUAAAGAAGUUCCAAAACUUUGGCAUAUGUGACUUGUCAUAUGAGUGAAAAUGGUAUAGCAGAGUUUAGUAGGAGGAGAGGGAAUACUUGAAUAUAUACAUUCAGCUCUUUGUGGACCGGUCAGGGUACCUUCAAAAGGAAGUACUUAUUAUCUAUUAAAAGUGUUUGAUGAUUUAUCCAAGAAAGUUUGGGUAUUUUUCCUAAAACAGAAGAUUGAUGUAUUUGGAACCUUCAAGGAAUGGAAAACAAUGAUAGAAAAGUAGAUUAAGUGUCUACGCACAGAUAAUGGGUUGGAGUUUUGUUAAAAUGAUUUCAUUAGCUUCUACAGAGCUGAAGGCAUAUUGAGACACUUGAUAGUGCCCAGAACUCCUCAACAGAAUGGUAGGCAGAACAAAUGAAUAGAACUUUGAUGGAAAGUAUUCAUUGUAUGUUUUCAAACUCUGUGUUGCCUAAGAUUUUUUAGGCUGAAGCUACUACCACAAAUUGUUUUCCGAUUAAUUGCUCACCCACAAUUGUCACUGAGAAAAAGGCACUAAAAGAGGUAUGGUCUGAGAAACCUUCUUGUUAUACUGAUUUAAAGAUUUUUGGGUAUCUCACUUAUGCUCUAUAUAUAAUGGGAAGUUGAAGCCUAAUUCAAGGAGAUAUGUCUUUCUUGGGUAUAAAUCAGGUAUGAAGGGAUAUAAAUUAUGGUGACCUGAGACAAGAAAGGUGGUGGUUAGUAGAGAUAUAGCAUUUGAUGAACUGACUAUGGUUCAUAAUUCAUCUCGUAUGGAUUCUGAUAAAAAUGAAGAACAGAAUCAUUCAACUCAGAUGGAAUUGAAAAUUGGUCCAAUGAAUAAUUAAAGGUUUUAGAAAAGUCUAGUUCAAAAUUGAUAGACAGUAAUACUUUGCCUACACCACCAGCAACACUACAGUAUUCAAUUGUUAAGGGCAAACCUCACAGAUAGAUUAGACUUCCACAGAACAAUGGAGAAGUAGACUUGGUAGCAUAUGCUUUGAAUGUGGCCGAAGAAAUUGAUUCCACUGAGGAACCUGUUACAUAUAUAGAUAUCAUCAGCAGUAGUGAUUCAUGCAAAUGGUUUAUUGCUAUGCGAGAGGAGAUUGAGCCAUUGAAUAAAAAUUGUACUUGAGACUUGGUGAAACUACCUAAGGAUAAAAAUGUUGUUCGCUACAAGUGGGUAUUCAAAAGGAAAUAAAGGACAUUAUGGAUUGAAGAUACUAGGUAUAAGGUCUGAUUGGUAACGAAGGUUUAUAAUCAAAUUCUAGGUGUUGACUUCACAGAUGUGUUCUCUUUGAUUAUAAAGCAUAGUUGAUUGUAAAACAUGGUUCAAUUCAAGCUUUACUUGAGAUAGUGGAAAAAAGAGUGACUUAGAACUUGAGCAAAUGGAUGUCAAUACAUCAUUUUUGCAUGAAAAACUUGAAUAAAACAUUUACUUGCAACAAUCAAAGGUUUUAAUGUUUCUGGGAAGGAAGACUCUAUGUGCUUGUUGAAGAAGUCCUUAUAUGGACAAAGCAGUCAUCGAGGUAGUGGAACAAAAUGUUCGAUUCAUUCAUGACUGCUCAUACUUUCAGCAGAAACAAUUACGAUAGUUUUGUGUACUUCAAAAAGGAAGAUGGUGGAGCGAUAAAAUAUUUGCUAUUAUAUAUUGAUGAUAUGUUCAUUGUACCCAAGGAUAAAGUAGAGGCCACAAAUUUGAAAUCUCAACUUAGUAAGCAGUUUGAGAUGAAGGAUUUGGAUGUAGCAAAGAAAAUUCUUAGUAGGAAAUCUUGAGGGAUGGAAAGUCUUUCAAAUUGUAUUUGAGUCAUAAUGGGUACAUUAAGAAGGUGUUUCAAAGGUUCAAUAUGUUGAAUGCUAAGGUUGUCAACACUCCCUUGGCUAUCCACUUCAAAUUAUCAUCUGGAUUGUGUCCUCAAUUAGAUGAAGACAUUGAUUAUAUGUCUCUGGUCCCUUAUUCAAGUGCAGUUGGUUCGUUAAUGUAUACUAUAGUUUGUACAAGACCGGAUUUGGUACAUGCAGACAAUACAAUUAGUAGAUACAUGGCAAAUAUUGGCAAAGAACAUGGGAAAACAAUGAAAUGGAUAUUCAGAUACUUGAAGGACUCAAUUAAUGCUUGCUUGUAUUUUGGUAAAAAUAAAGCUAGAUUUAUUGGAUAUGUCGAUUCAGAUUAUGCAGGAGAUCUUGAUAAAAGGAGAUCACUUAUAAGAUAUGUAAACACCCUUGGAGGUUGUGCUAUUAGCUGGAAAGCUAUUUUGCAAAAUAAAAUAGCUUUUUCUACAAUAGAGACAUAUAAGAAGGAUAUGCGGUUAAGUUGUUUGAUUGUUGAAAUCAGUGAUGGCUUGCAGAUUUCUACAGUAUAUGUGAUAAUUAGAGUGCUAUUUUCUGAUUAAGGAUCAAAUAUUCCAUGAGAAAACUAAGCACAUUGGUGUGAAGUAUCAUUUUGUACAUGAAGUGAUUGCUCAUGGUAAUAUUGUAGUGGACAAGGUUAAUACAAAAGAUAAUAAUGCUGAUAUGAUGACAAAUCUACUUUAUAUUGCUAAGUUUAAGCAUUACUUGAAUUUAGUUAGUGUUUAUCAUUAAUUUAGUCCAUUGGGUCUUGUUUAGAAGAGAAUGAAUGUUGUUUGCUUUAAAGAUGUGUUUUUGGAAUUUCUUGUAUUGAAAUUUGGUUCAAGGUGGAGAUUUGUUAUAAUGUGACCCAUGUUCUAGUGGGUAUAGAAGUCUUAGUUAAAGUAGUCUUGAAGAGCUCAAAAUUAUGGACCAAAAAGAAAACUUAUCACAUUUUUGCUAGCCUAACGCUAGUUGGCCGCUUGAGCGACACCAACAUGGCAGGGCCCUCUCUCCCUAUCACUCAAGUGACAGGAUUAUUCGGCCCAGUCUGUUUUAAUGCAUUUUGGACUCCUAUUUAUUUUCAACUUGAUUUCUAGGGUUUUAUAUAUAUGAGUUACAACUUCUAUUGUUUACAUAACAUUCAUACAAUAUCUUGGGAGCUCUAGAUCUUAGUUGAGAGCAUUGAGAUCUUAUUGUAAACACAACUAGUAUUGAUUAUAAUGUAUUUUGCCUCCUCUGCUAGUAGUUUUUUCCCAUCUUGGUUUCCACGUAAAUAUUGGUGUUCUUUAUUUUGUUCUUAUUUAUUUUAUUAUUGUCAUAAUCUUUCGAUCAAAUUCGCAACAGGUGGUAUCAAAGCGAUUCUGGCAUCUUGUCUAUUCAUAUCAAUAUAUACACUAGUUGGCUUUCACUAGCUAAAAUCGAGAUUGAAUUCCUUGUAUUUCUAAAAAUUAAUUAGGGUGAUUUAUGAGAUUCUUUCUAUUCACGUUGACUACCUAAAUAUUAUUUGUAUCUAACAAAUACAUCUCCUAUAUAAUUGUAUGUUAUUAUUUUGGCUAUGUUUGAGUCCCUUUUGUGUAAAAAGUGAGUUUUCUAAUAGUGAUUUUUAUGAAUAAUGUGUAAUUAAAAAGUAGAAAAAAAAUUUAAGUUUACGUGCAAAUUAUUCAUUUGAAGAAUAAUGGUUAAAAUUAAGCUUGAAGAAAAAUGAAUUUUUAGAAAAUGCAGCUCAAACAUGGGUUAUAUAUUCAUAACCUGACAUUUGCAAGAUUAAUUGCUCAAAAUUUUAAUUAUGAGAAUGAUUUUCAAGUUAUAUAAUAAGAAAGCUAGUGAGCAUAAAUUUCAAACUUUUAAUAAAUAUUAGUUAGGAUAAAAAAAAAAUGGUUUAACACUAUUAUUUAUUAAAUAUCUCCAAUUAAUUUUUGAACCAUUACUAUUUAAAAAAAGGGUUUUCCAUUUUAUGUCUAAUGAUACUAUUUUUCGUGGACAACGCUUCUACACAUUAUGUCAACAUCAAAGUUCUCCCUAUAUAGUUAGUUAGCUUAUGGUCAAAGCUUAAUAUUUCACAUCUACGAUUUUAAAAUAUUCAAUAUAUAUACAAUUGUUCCAACAUAGAGCACUAAGAUAGACAUUAAACCGUGAUACUAAUUAAAUUAUAAAGAUUUGUCGACUUCAUUUUGAUUACACAAUUUUCUUAGUAUUGGGAGGAGGUACUAAGAAGUUGAAAAUAAUAAACAUAAACAUAAGGAGGAGGUAUUAAGAAAUUAAAAAUUACAAACAUAAAGCAUCAUUUUAUUAUUUAGAUCAUUAUACAAGAUAAUGUGAAUUAAGAAUUUGAAAAGAUAAUUCAUUUAAGUGCAGUUACUCAUAAAAGAAUUUGACAAUAUAUUAAACAUUAUAUUUACAUGCUCCAACUCAAGUUGACGUCAUGGAGUAAGAAUCCAUUUACAUUAUACUUGAUAAAUCAAUGGCACGCUGAUGCGUGAUAAUAUUUGAUUCCAAGAUAAAAAUCUAAAAACAAAAUAAAAUAAAAAAAAUAGAGCGAAUAGUAAAGAUUUUCCCAUUAAGAUAUAUAUACUCUUGGUGAGUGUAUAACCACAUCAAUUUGUAAAACCGAAUAGAGGUUCAUGUAGAUGAGGUAUUGAAAAUUGAGAUAUCUCAAUAAAUUUUAUUAUUAUGAAUGGAAGAAACGAAAUUGAAAAGAAAAAGUUGCUAAAAACACUUUUGUAGAUGAUGCGGCAUGUUAUAUUAUGAACAAUAUAGAGAAUGUCAAAAAAAAAUUCAUCGAAAAAUACGGAAGUAGAAAUGAAUGGCUAAAAUAACAUGACAUAAUUCAGGCAAAAUUGAACGUAAUAGAGAUAUCUAAAGUUUUUGGACAUGCAGUUCAAACACCUAAACGUGUAAAGUUAAUUUUACAUAUGCGAAUAUCAAGUGAGAAACUGAAGUCACAAAAUAUAAUGCAUGACUCUUAACAUAAUAAAUUUUGGAAAAAAAUCGUAUAGAUAAAUUUUCAUGUGGAGGAUGAAAUCACAAAUAUAUAUCUUGUUAACCUAAUAUGCAUAAUAUCUAAUAAAUGUGGUUAUAAUUAACCCAUCGACAAGAUUAUUAAUACUAUUUUUUUAAAUAUGUUAAUUAUUCAAUAUGCUUAUAAUUCAAGUGAUAUUGUCAUAGGGAAGUAUAUAUAAUUUGUACACUUCUUAGUCUUCCCCUUUUUCUUUUUUUUUUUCUUUUACCAAGAUUGUAUCUCGUUGUUCUUCUCAAAAAUGCUCUUUUUUCCUCAUUAGAAUACUUUAGAAAGGUUCUUCCUAGUGAAAUUUUCACGAUGUAUAUUAUGUGUAAUGAAUAAUAAUAACAUACGUGACAUUUACUCUCAAUAUAACUUUAUGAUUUUACUCUCGUAUACUAUAAAUUGUAUAUUAGACUUCCGAAGGAAGAAUAAUAAAAUUUAUUUUUCAAUGGACCAUCAUACGGAAUGAAGUAAAAAAAUAAAUAAAUAAAUAUUAAUAUCUUUUAUGAAGACGAGUUUGCUUAAUACUAUAGCAAGACAAUAUUGAACAUAAUUCAUCAAAAUUAUAAUAUAAAUUUUUGGAAGAUGGUACAUUGAAACAUUGGCACAUAAUGAAAGACUCAAUAUAAGAAUUUUCAUUAGUACUUGUCACGAUACCGUACACUUACAGUUUAAGUGAACAAUAAUUCUAGGCAAUUUUUUUUAUAUAGAGGAACAAUUCUCUCAUUUAGUAGUCAGAGAAUUAAAGUCAUUCAUGAACUAUUUCUCUCCCAUUGAAAAGAGCGAUUGGCAUUUGCAAGAACUUUCAACAAAAAUAAAAAAAGAUGAGUACCCCCCCCCCUUCUUGCUACCACCAUCAACACCAUUUUUCGCUUUGAAUGGACCAAAACCAAAAAUAUUAUGAAUAGAAUGAAAGGAGAUAAGCUAGAAAGAAAGUUUAGUUGAAACUCAGAAAAAGAUACGUAGCUUGAACAAUAUUGAAAUUCAAUUUAGAAAAUAUAAAUAAUGAAAAUACACAAAAUCAAAGAUCACUCCAAAAACAAAAUCUCCACCCGUGAAUUAUUAUCAUGAUAAAUGAAUUCUUAAGUCCACAUAAACAAAGAUACGAUUUGAUGUUUUGUAUAAUUAAUGUGUAUAUAAAAUGCAAAUAAAAAUGAUUCUUUUUUCUUUUUUUGGUCUAGAAAAGAACAUAUUGUCCCUACCAUGAAUGAUUUUCAUUAAACAGAAACUUCAACUGUUUUUCGGCGGACUCUCACUUCACCAUUCAGUGUAAAAAAUAAAUUAGGAAUUCUUUAGUCAAUAAAUUUGCCAAAAAAUAAAAAAAGGAUUAUGAUGAAGGCAUCUUGACUAGUCAGCUGUUGAUUUGAUAGCUUAUAUUGAUGAAAUAGCUAUGUCGAUCUCUGUUUUAUAUUUUAGCUUAUAAAUUAUUAAGUCAUAUGAAUAUUUUAUAUGCAGUAAUAGAGAUGAUUGCUUAAAUGUGAAUUUAAGGGGGCAAAAAAAAAAUCAUCGAGAAAAUUGUAUUCAAUAAUUUAACAAUGGGAAUAAUGGUUGUAUGAAAAGGCGGAAAAGAUAUUAAGGCCUUGUUUGAGCUCCAUUUUGGGAGAAAAAAUAAAUUUUUGAAUAGUGUAUCAAUGGAAAAUGCAUAAUUAAAAAAUAAGGAAAAGUUUUGAAUUUGAGUGUAAUAUUAUUUUAUUAAAAAUGUGUGAUUGAUAUAAUAUCAAAAUACUGUUUAAGAAUGUAUCCCAAAAAAAAAAAGACUCAAACAAGGGUUAAAGUUUGAUAAAGAUGGGUAGGGACACACGAGUGUACUAAGUGCUCCAUUAGUCCAUUUCAGAGUUUGGUCGCUUAUUUAAGGUCAAAUUCUAAAUCUUGGAUGCAUUCUUUGGGUGGACAGGCUUAUCUUCCCCCACUUAGCACUCAAAAUUAUUGUGUGUGUGUGUAUAUAUAUUCGUUGCACUCAAACCCCAUAAAACAUUUAUUUAAAAAUGACGCGAGUAAUUAGAUGAGCAAAUUACAUUAGAAAAUAAAAUAAAUAAGAAACAUCUAUGAAAAUGUGCGUAACUUUCGAAUCGAGUUUCAGAUUUAUGCAAGCAAGUAAAAUUCAAAACACUUUUUUUCAAUUUUGCACAAUUUUUUGGGACAAUGUUGGCCGAAAGUCAAACUUUCGGGCUCAAAUUUUGUCGUUUAGAUGUCCAUUUUAGGAAUUUUCUAAUUUUAGUCCAUUAAAGGGCAUUUUCAUCACUUUACGCCUUAUUUUAGUUUUAUUUAGAUUUGUGUGUUGAAUUAGAAUUUCUCUUUGAUUAGGAUUUGUUUUGACUAGUUAAAUAUUUGUUAAGAGUUUGAAAAUUCUAUAUUCAUUUUUUAUUAAUAAUAAUUUAGUCUUCAGUUGCCUCGUUAUUUGAUGGAUUCUAAUAUAUCUCAAGUUUGUUCAAGUGCAAGUCGAACAAUAGUCGUUCAUGUGUGUUAGAUGGCAGUUCAGUCUCCAAAUAAAUAUUUCUCAUUAACUAGGACAUGGGUGCUGUUCAGGGACACCCAGUGAAAUUUAUCCUAUGAAUUGUAAAGUUGAUGUUUUGUACCAUGUUGAUUGACUUGUCAUUCUUUAGAGAAAAGAACAAGAUAUUGAAGCCGCUAAUGGGAAAAGUAGAAAAGAGAAUGUUUUCCCACUAAGUAUGUUUUGUGGGAUGACUUUGAAAUCACUGUUUCAUGCCAAAGAUAUUGGUCCCACAUCCAAGUAUCAAUAUUUUUAAACCAAUCUUUCUGAAUGUACAUAAUAAUUUAUAUUCUGAUUUACCGAAUUUAUACUUGGCAUAAUCUUACAACAUUUUUCACAUCUUACACAUUUAAUUCAACCAUCACAAUCUUACCACAUUACUCAUCUAUCAAUAAAGAUGUCAAUGUUAAUGUACAAAUAGCUAAUUGUCUUUCAACCUUACCCCUCAACACAAGUAUUGAGCAGAGAAAAAGAUAAAAGGAUAAAAAGAUUUAGCUCUUAUUUGGUCCUUAUUUCUGAGCAUUUAUUUUUUAAAAUUAUUUUUUAAUUAUAUAUUUUUUAUUAAAUUCAUUGUUAUCAAUUAAAAUGGAGAGAAUAAAAGCGAGUCCAUGUCCCAACUAGGUGAACCAUACCAAAGCAAGCUAAACCAUCUGCGAGCCAAAUCACAUACAAACUCGAAAUAACAUUAGCAAGCCUAUAUCGAUUUCACCAACUUUUCCACAUUAGCAAAAGUCAUUAUCAUAGUGCACGUGAACAAGCAUGGCAAGCAUGAUUUCACAUCCAAUGAAUAAAGAACAAGAAAGAUAACAUAUAACAAUUUCAUUUAUAAAUUAACUAAUCAAAGGUUGCGACAUGGCAUUAACCAAAAGAUGUAUUUACACCCCGCCCGAGGCUUUGAUAAGAAUCUAUAAGUAAGCGCCAAUUGAAAAAGAAAAGGAUAUGCAAAUUUGAAUAGCUUCCUCCCAAUUAAUCAUUUCUCCUCUUUCUCUUUAUUGAACAUAAGAUUAAUGAGUUUAGCAAGGAAAAACCUUGAUUAGGUAAGAGGAAUUUAUUAAUCAUCAUUUAGAGGUCAACAUCCACAAUUUUUAUUAACUAUUCAAGAAUACAUUUCAUCAACUUUUGUCAAUAUAUACUAAAAAUCUAAUUUUUAUUCAAAUGGUCAAGUGCUUAAUCAAAUUCGUAAAUCGGAGACUAAAAAUUAAGCCCCUAUACGGUCUGGCCAAAAAUCAAAUUUUUAAUUACUUUUGAUAAAAGUUAAUGGCAUAUAGAGUUAAAAAUUAAUAAAAGAUGUGAAACCAAUGAAAUGUAUGAUUAAAAAUAAAUUUGAAACAAAAAAUGAGUUAUAUAAAUUUGGAACAGCUAUAUUCAGAAUUCUAUACAUGUGUGUACCAUAAUUGUUUUCAACAAGUUUUAUCUUUUCCCAAUAUAAGACAAAGUUACAUCAAAACGAAAUGUUAAUGUUCCAUCAUGUUAAAAAUAUUCAUAGUAAAAUAUAUAUAUCAAGACUCAAUCGCACUUUGCAAGUGGAAAUACUGAUUAUAUUACUGCUCCAUCAUGUUAAAUUCGUGAUAUAGGCAACUAAAAAAGUAAGCUUGCUGCUCUUCAAUACCACCAACUAAAAAAAAAAGAAUCCAUUUCCGAUUGUUAGCUUCUAAAUUUUUUGGGCAUCCAUCUCAAUGUCAUUCCUGAUGCUCAUCAUGGUCCUAGCCAUUCAGACAAAGUGUAAAACUGAAGAUAAGUGGGCAGAAAUCGAAGAAGUUUUUGGAAUUUACUGUUAAAUGUGGCAUUAAUUUGUAAUCUUAGGAAAUAAGGUUACAUGCACUUGAAGAAAAUGUAUCAGGAAAAUACAUGAUGCACUUGAAGAAAAUGUAUCAGGAAAAUACAUGAUGCAAAUUCAUGAAUUAUUAGGUGUCCAUUUAUAUUCCCAUGUCUCUAGAGUUAUCCAUGUGGUCCUAUAAAUAGAGGUCAUUCUUGUAGUCUCAUUGUAAGAAAAAAAAAAAGAAAACAUUAUUGAGUGUGCUGUAGCAACUCAAAAACUAUCAAUAAAAAUUCAAGUUUUUCUUCAACACUUCGUUUCCGCACUAACAAAUUUGGUAUCAGAGCCAUAACUUGUAAUUGCAUUUUUUCAUGGCUUUAAUACAAACAGCUUCGUUGUUUACAUAUUCUUCCAGUCAAGUCCCAAUCUUCGAAGGCGAGCAUUAUGAAUACUGGAGCAUCCAAAUGCAAACUUUCUUCAUCUCCUUAGAUCUUUGGGAUGUCAUUGACGAUGAGGAGUACGAAGAACCAUCCGAAGACAAUGAAGAUUACGAAAAAUUGCAAAAAGAAUUUAAAAGAAAAGAUGCAAUGGCUCUCCGCUAUAUUCAACAAGGAGUCGGGAAAUCAAUUUUCCCUCGUAUCUUUGGUGUUAAUAAAGCCAAAGAUGCUUGGGAAAUAUUGAUGCAAGAAUUUCAAGGAACGGAGAAAACGAUCACCUUGAAACUUCAAUCCUUAUGGAGAGACUUUGAUAAUCUCCAAAUGGAAGAACGAGAAUCGGUUUGUGUUUUUUCUUCACGAGUAGCCGAGACAGUAAAUCAAAUCAAAAGCUGUGGUGACACAAUUACAGAUAAAAGAGUCGUGGAGAAAAUGUUAAGAUGCCUUCCUCCAAAGUUUGACCAUGUUGCAGCCGCAAUUGAAGAAUCGAAAGACUUGUCCAAAAUGACCAUUUAUGAGUUAACCGGGUCACUUCUUGCCCAUGAGCAAAGGAUCAAUCAUUCGAGUAACCAAUCUACUACCGAACAAGCUUUCCAAUCAAAGCAAACAUCAAAAAGAAGAAAAUAUUAUUGAGUGUGCUGUAGCAACUCAAAAACUAUCAAUAAAAAUUCAAGUUUUUCUUCNNNNNNNNNNNNNNNNNNNNNNNNNNNNNNNNNNNNNNNNNNNNNNNNNNNNNNNNNNNNNNNNNNNNNNNNNNNNNNNNNNNNNNNNNNNNNNNNNNNNNNNNNNNNNNNNNNNNNNNNNNNNNNNNNNNNNNNNNNNNNNNNNNNNNNNNNNNNNNNNNNNNNNNNNNNNNNNNNNNNNNNNNNNNNNNNNNNNNNNNNNNNNNNNNNNNNNNNNNNNNNNNNNNNNNNNNNNNNNNNNNNNNNNNNNNNNNNNNNNNNNNNNNNNNNNNNNNNNNNNNNNNNNNNNNNNNNNNNNNNNNNNNNNNNNNNNNNNNNNNNNNNNNNNNNNNNNNNNNNNNNNNNNNNNNNNNNNNNNNNNNNNNNNNNNNNNNNNNNNNNNNNNNNNNNNNNNNNNNNNNNNNNNNNNNNNNNNNNNNNNNNNNNNNNNNNNNNNNNNNNNNNNNNNNNNNNNNNNNNNNNNNNNNNNNNNNNNNNNNNNNNNNNNNNNNNNNNNNNNNNNNNNNNNNNNNNNNNNNNNNNNNNNNNNNNNNNNNNNNNNNNNNNNNNNNNNNNNNNNNNNNNNNNNNNNNNNNNNNNNNNNNNNNNNNNNNNNNNNNNNNNNNNNNNNNNNNNNNNNNNNNNNNNNNNNNNNNNNNNNNNNNNNNNNNNNNNNNNNNNNNNNNNNNNNNNNNNNNNNNNNNNNNNNNNNNNNNNNNNNNNNNNNNNNNNNNNNNNNNNNNNNNNNNNNNNNNNNNNNNNNNNNNNNNNNNNNNNNNNNNNNNNNNNNNNNNNNNNNNNNNNNNNNNNNNNNNNNNNNNNNNNNNNNNNNNNNNNNNNNNNNNNNNNNNNNNNNNNNNNNNNNNNNNNNNNNNNNNNNNNNNNNNNNNNNNNNNNNNNNNNNNNNNNNNNNNNNNAUGGAGAACGAAAGCACUACUUGAGCUUGUGCACUCGGAUAUUUGUGGGUUAAUGCAAACUCCCACUUUUGGAAACAAGAGAUAUUUUAUUCUCUUUGUUGAUGACUUCACAAGAAUGAUAUGGGUUUUCUUCUUCAGUCAAAAAUCUGAGGCAUAUUCCACAUUUCUUCAAUUCAAAGCUCAAGCAGAAAGGCAAAGUGGUUUUUUGAUAAAAACUUUAAGGAUAGAUCGUGGAGGUGAAUAUCUCUAUAAUCCUUUCAUGGAAUAUUGCAGAAAAAAUGGCAUCAAAAGACAAUUAACUGUGAGUCGAACUCCGCAACAAAACGGCGUGGCCGAAAGGAAAAAUCGCACAAUUGUUGAAAUGGCAAGAAGCAUGCUAAAAGGCAAAGGACUUCCAAAUCUGUAUUGGGCAGAAGCUGUAAACACGGCAGUAUACAUUCUCAAUCGGUCUCCAACAAAGGCUGUACGGAAUAAAACUCCAUACGAAGCUUGGAACAAAAAGAAGCCAAUGGUUGAUCACUUCAAAAUAUUUGGCAGCAUUUCUUAUGCUCUUAUCCCUUCUCAAAAUCGGGAGAAAUUUGACGAGAAAGGACAAAAACUUGUCUUUGUUGGAUACAAUGAUGAAUCUAAAGGAUAUCGGUUAUUAGAUCCAACUACAAACAAAAUUACAAUUUCACGAGACGUUGUUUUUGAUGAAGCUGCAUCUUGGGAUUGGAAAGGAAAAGAAGUUGUGGACCAGACACCAUACCAUUUUGUUGAUCCAUUAACAUUUAAAGCAGGUCCGUCACAAGUUGGAAAUUUAGAGCAUAAUCCAAACCCUACUCCAAGAAGUGAGGAAGAAUCUGAUCCAGAAAGCCCUCCAAGAAAGACACGUUCACUACAAGACAUAUAUGAGUCAUGUGAACUUGGGUUGUUCUCUAGGGAACCACAAUCAUUUGAAGAAGCCUCAAAAGAAGUAUGUUGGACAAAAGCCAUGAAUGAAGAAAUGUCCACAAUCGAGAAAAACAAAAUUUGGAAGCUUGUUGCCUUGCCAGAAGGGAAGAAAAUCAUUGGACUCAAGUGGGUCUAUAAAAUAAAAUACAAUGAAGAUGGGUCGAUCCAAAAGCACAUUGUUGCAAAAGGGUAUUCUCAACAGCCCGAAAUUGAUUACACUGAAACAUAUGCUCCGGUUGCAAGAAUGGAGACAAUUUGUACUGUUUUGGCACUGGCAGCUCAAUUGGAGGUAUGUGUUUAUCAACUUGAUGUAAAAUCGGCAUUCUUAAAUGGUGAAAUUCAAGAAGAAGUUUAUGUCGAGCAACCCGAAGGAUUUGAAAUCAAAGGACAAGAAGGAAAAGUCUAUCGUUUAUACAAGGCACUUUAUGGUUUAAAGCAAGCACCGCGAGCAUGGAAUAGCAAAAUCAAUAGCUAUUUCAUCCAAAAUGGAUUCAAUCGAAGCACNNNNNNNNNNNNNNNNNNNNNNNNNNNNNNNNNNNNNNNNNNNNNNNNNNNNNNNNNNNNNNNNNNNNNNNNNNNNNNNNNNNNNNNNNNNNNNNNNNNNNNNNNNNNNNNNNNNNNNNNNNNNNNNNNNNNNNNNNNNNNNNNNNNNNNNNNNNNNNNNNNNNNNNNNNNNNNNNNNNNNNNNNNNNNNNNNNNNNNNNNNNNNNNNNNNNNNNNNNNNNNNNNNNNNNNNNNNNNNNNNNNNNNNNNNNNNNNNNNNNNNNNNNNNNNNNNNNNNNNNNNNNNNNNNNNNNNNNNNNNNNNNNNNNNNNNNNNNNNNNNNNNNNNNNNNNNNNNNNNNNNNNNNNNNNNNNNNNNNNNNNNNNNNNNNNNNNNNNNNNNNNNNNNNNNNNNNNNNNNNNNNNNNNNNNNNNNNNNNNNNNNNNNNNNNNNNNNCAGUUUUUCAUGCCAGAUCGAAGCAUAUUGAACUACGUCAUCACUUCAUUCGAGAUUUGGUAAGUCGAGAAGAAAUUUGCAUGGAAUUUAUCAACACAAAUGAUCAGCCAGCAGACAUUUUAACAAAGACAGUCACAUUUGACAAGUUCGAAAAGAUCAAGAAAAAACUCAAGAUUACAAAUUAAGAGGGGGUGUUAAAUGUGGCAUUAAUUUGUAAUCUUAGGAAAUAAUGUUACAUGCACUUGAAGAAAAUGUAUCAGGAAAAUACAUGAUGCACUUGAAGAAAAUGUAUCAGGAAAAUACAUGAUGCAAAUUCAUGAAUUAUUAGGUGUCCAUUUAUAUUCCCAUGUCUCUAGAGUUAUCCAUGUGGUCCUAUAAAUAGAGGUCAUUCUUGUAGUCUCAUUGUAAGAAAAAAAAAAGAAAACAUUAUUGAGUGUGCUAUAGCAACUCAAAAACUAUCAAUAAAAAUUCAAGUUUUUCUUCAACACUUCGUUUCCGCACUAACAUUUACAAGGUCCAUUAGGUCCUUCUCAUCUAAAAUAGAUGACCAGGCAUUUUCUGCAGUAAUUUUGAACCAUGAUGAUAGAGAGCUCCUGCAAACAAGCUAGGUGGUACUAAAAUCUAGUCAAAAGAAGAAAAGAAAACUAGACUAGCGGUCGAGACCGGCAGGACCAUGCCAGGCCUUACUGCUUCAUCCUGCCUGGUUCAUCCUCUACCUGCCUCUAUCUGCAAAGACAUUACCAAAAAAUCUCUCCCAAGCAGCGUAUUACAACCCAUGAAUUAACAUGUUUGGACAAGGUUAAUUCCAAGGCCAAAAACAGGAGCGCCACAUGGCGGACAGCAGCCCUUUCAAUAGGGUGGCGCCCAUGUUGUUGGCCCUGGAAUUCACCCUGGCUGUCUAGCAGGGUUGAAAACCCAUUGAGGAGGGCCUUAGCCAAGGAAGGAGAGAGUGGCCAAGUGGUCAAAAGUGACAGACUCUAAAUCUGCCCAAGUCUACAGAACAAUCACCCAGAUACAUGAAAAACUCAUGUGCCUACAUUAUAGAGAUGUCAAACGGGCAAGGUCGCUGCCCUUCAAAGCAUGCUAAAAACACAAGGCCCAGUACAGCCCAUCUUGACACCUCUAUACGUGCAAUGUAAAAAAAUUUCCUUGGUACAGAAUUUUGAAAAACAAGUUCAUUGGGACCCAUCAAAAAAUGCAAUAUAUACAAUGAGAAAUGCUAUAACACAAUUGACAGAUUAACUAUAUCUUAUGAAUAAACAACCUUCACUUGGAAAUUUGUGCUUUUAUCAUGGUUACGUAACUAUUGCGUGCAAAUAUCACGGGGAAUUUCUGCGAGAUGCUUUUAGUUCUACAUUUAGUGCAAGGCUCAAGUAAGAAAAAAGAAGGAUUAGGUCAGAUUCUUAUUUGACAUCAGCUAUCUACAAUCAUAAGUUACAGUUGGCCGAUAAGAUACAUGUACAUUUGGCGUCAGUUGAAAGGCAAUAAGAUUCCAGAUAAUGUCGCUACCCCAGAAAACAUGUACAAAUCAUAGUGUCUACUUUCUGGUUAAUCUAGAGCAGUCUUCAUGAGAAAGUGAAGUCCUUGUGUCAUUUAUAAUCUUGAAUGACAAAUGCAUUUAGCGCCCGCUUGGUCCCCAUUUUAUUCUCAUUUUUCCAACUUUUGUCAACAAUAGUGGGCCCCCAAUCAAAAAAUCAAACGGCUCCCUGACAAAAAUUUGAGGCAGCAGCUUUUCAGACAUUUUGUUGAAUUUAGAAUUUUUGUCUUUCCACCUCUGCCCUCCAUCUGAAAUUUUAUUCCUUCAUUGUAGCACUUGUUGUCAACUGGAAUUUUAUUUUUUAAUUGAGGGCAAAAUGGUAAGAGAAAUUCAACGGCAUGGUACCUUGUUCUUUCAUUUCUGACGAUUUCUUCAAUGCUGUCGCCAUCAUCUACCACAAAAACUGUAGAAAAAUGAGAUAAGAUAGAAAAAUUGACAAGAACGAGCAUCAAACAGGGGCUUAAUAGGAUUCAACGGUGAAUUCCUUCGUGUAGAGACAGGCGGUACCCUUCUCAAGGACGGGGAUUAUUUUAGAUCCCAAUCUUCCACAUUCUUCGGUACAGAAACGUCAAAGAGGAAUUGACCAAGAACCCCACAAGCACUUAUGCUUGGUGGGCUAGAUAGACUUAUGUAAGGCUCUUUACGUUCAUCCUGCAAAGAUCCAAAAUCUCUACCCUCGUGAUAUUCUAUGGAAUUUGGAACAUAUAAGAAGUCAUUUAAGUCAAGGACAAUCCUCUGGAAACUCUGACUUGAUCUCUCUACGGCUUUUUUUAGAUUGGUCCAGAGAUCUCAUCAUGUGUGCCCUCGAAGCCUAUCUUCUCACCAUCAAGUUGCCGUAAUCUUCUAGAAUAAAUUACAGAAGCUUUUCCAAGCAGCUCAGUCACCGCAGCCUUUUAUUCGAUUGGAUAAUGCCGAAAAUGACCUGCACUACAAACAUAACAUGCAAAAUACAAUAUCAACAAAUAUGAAUUUUUCUAAGAUGCAAUAACAAAAACGUUACACGCCAAUGGUAGUUAGGAAAUCCUCCAAAGAAAAUCUUGCAUUACAGAUUUCAAAUUACUAGUGAUUUACUUAAAAGAAUUAUAUUCCAGUAAGUCAGCUGAUUGUCGGGGACCUAAUUUCGUUGCACCCAAUAAUUAGAACCAUGCAACCUUAACGUUCAAUAAUUUUCGCCCCUCACGAGAAAACGUUAAGUCAGUCUUACAACGCUCACAAAUAAUUUAACCAAUGAGGUUAAAUUAUAACUAUUUUGAGUAGAGAAUUUGUAGGAAAUAUAAGGAAAACAAGGUUGGGAGAACUCUCUUUAUAUAUAGCCCCCAUUUGGUUCUAAUUUUUCACCCAAAAAAAUCAAUUUUUUAACCGUUACUUUCCUAAGUCAACCGUUAUUUUAAAUUUCUUUACUCACAAGUAAAACCCACUUUUUCUCGCUAACAGUCAAAAAAUUAAUUCUCAAAAUCACUACCAAACAAACCCAUAAAUGAAAGGAAAACUUUACAAUUCUCUGAAGUAUUCAAACAAUUCGUUGCAAAUGAUUUACAAAUGAGACUACAUCUCUAUUUAUAGGCAAAACUUUGCAAGUUGUCUUGAAAUCAAUGGCCAAAAUUAAUUUUGAUUCAAGAGUCCUCAUUUGUUGCAAGUUACAUUAACCUCCUUUAAUCAAGUGGUAAUUCUAUACACUUUCCAAUCCAAGAUGCAUGUUACUUUCCAAUCUUAUGUUAGUUGACAUCAAAUGGCAUAUCUCUACAAUUCACAUGCAAUUGAAUAAGUCAUUUUCACAGUAGCCAAAUUGAACUUUAUUUCCUCCUUGACAUUAUCUUGCAAGUGGCACAAGUGGAUAAGUGGCACAAGUUGGCCAAGUUGUCCACUUGUGUCCCAAAACCAUUCGGCCGUAGCCCAUUGUAUUUCUCCUUCCCAAAAUAGUAGUUUUCAACUUAGAGAAAAAGAAAACACCCCUCCAUCUCAUCACUCAAUCAGCCAAAAUGGAUUCAACAUCUUUCUCAAAAGAUUUUGAGACAAUGAGAGGUGCCCUUUGUAAUUUGUUUCUCCCAAGAUCUUCCAAGUCCAACCUAUAUGGCUUCAACAUGCUUACAUGAAAAACUGGAUAAAUCUUCAAAGUACCCAAAAGCUAGUCAGUGGAAACUCUUCCAACUUUAGCCAUCAUGGGAAAAGAACCUUCUAACCGAGCCUUUAUUAACUUUGCGAUAGGCUUUGAAUUAUUGAGGCAACACUUUUACAAGUUCUUGAUCUCCAAUGUUGAACUCCAAUAGUCUCCGUUCAGAUCGACCCACUUUUUCAUACGUUUUCAAGCUUUCUCCAAGCAAGAUCUAGCUAAGUCCGCAUGAUCUCUCCAUGACUUAGCCAUUUUUUGUUACUCCGGGACUUCGAUCUACAUCACCAACCAUAUGCAAGGUAUGAGGCGUUGUGGGCUGUCACCCCGUUGCAAGUUCAAAAAGACUAUGUCCUAUGGAUUCACUUUUCUGCAAGUUGUAGGAAAACUGAGCUAUGUCUAUCAACUUCACCCAAUCCCACUGCUUAGCAUUAACAAAGCGCUGAAGAUAACACUCCAACGGUGCAUUCGCCCAUUCCAUCUACCCAUCCGUUUGUGGGUAGAAAUUGCUAGAAAAGUGCAAACCCGAUCUAAGGAGCUUAAACACCUCCAUCCACAAUUUUCCCAUAAAACUGGGAUAUUGAUCACUUAUAAUAUUCUAAGGCAACCCCCAAUACUUCACAACAUUUUUGAAAUAUAACCUUGCCGUCUCCUCCGCGGUGCAAUCUUUAAGGGCCGAAAUGAAAGUUGUAUUCUUUGAAAAUCAAUCAACAACAACAAUUAUUAAUUCGAGCCCUUCGGACUUUGGCAAGGUACUAAUGAAAUCAAUGACAACCACGUAUCAUGGUUGAUCAAGAACAGGAAGAGGAUCAAGAAGCCAACCGAUAAUGCAAGUAGACUUAGUCUAGGGACGCAGAUAGCCUGUUUUGGUAGAACGCAGGCUGGGGUACGGAGGAAGUUUUCCCAACACAAAAAUGAGGUUUCUCUAAGUUAAAAAAUUGCUAUUUUGGGAAGGAGAAAUACAAUAGACUGCGGUCGGAUGUUUUGGAGACACAAAUGGGCAACUUGUACAAUUUGUGCCAAUUGUCCACUUGUAUCACUUGCAAGAUAAUGCCAAGAAGGAAGCAAAGUUAAAUUUGGUUGCUAUGAAAGUGACUUGUCCACUUACAUGUAAAUUGUAGAGAUAUGCCGCUUGAUGCCAACUAGCAUGAGGUUAGAAGGUGACAUGUAACUUGCAUUGGAAAGUGUAGAGAAUUACUACUUGAUCAAAGGAAGUUAAUGCAACUAGCAACCAAUGAAGACCUUUGGAUCAAAAUUAAUCUUCGCCAUUGAUUCCAAGACAACUUGUAAGGUUUUGUCUAUAAAUGGAAAUGUCUCAUUUGUAAAUCAUAUGGAGUGAAGUGAGAUGAAUACUGGAGAGAGAUUGUAAAGUUUUCCAUUCAUUUAUAUAUAAAGAGAGUUCUCACAAGCUUACUUGUUUUCCUUAUAUUUCCUACUUCAAAUCCUCUACUCAAAGUUGUUAUAAUUUAGCUUCACUGGUUAAAUUAUUUGUGAGCGUUGAAAAGCUAACUUAACGUUUUCUCAUGAGGGAAAAGAAUUAUUGAACAUUAAGGCUGCACGGUUCUAGUUGUUUGGCUGUCCGUGACAUGAUGCUUACCAACUGAGAAAUGAAUUUAGUUAACAAGGUGCAGCGAGCCAUCUGAUUGCAUAUAACAAAGAAGGAAGGUUCAAAAACACGACUAUAUUUUAUUUCCAUGUAUUCUCAGAUAUGAAGCUUUAAUUUAUAUCCUAAGUAGCCAGGUUGAGAAGUAGAUGCACUAGCAACUGCAAUAAUGAAAGCAGUAGAGUGCAGAACAUGACUGAGAAUUCAAGGCAAUAGAGUGUCUCUAGGGCAAAUUUGUAGCAUUACAAAACAUUAAUAAGUUAAAUGCAUCAUACUUCAUCUAAACUAAUUCAAGGCAAUAGAAUGUCUCUAGGGCAAAUUUGUAGCAUUACAAAACAUUAAUAAGUUUUAUACAUCAUACUUCAUCUAAACUCAUAUUUUAUAAAUUAAAACAAUAUCAUUUCUAAUAGUUUAUUAAUAUUAGAUAAAAAAAUAAAAUAAAAUAAAAAAAGAGAAGGGAUUAAAAUCUCUAUGUAAGCUAUUCAUUUAGCAGGAGAAAUGUCAAAUAUAACAGUCUGCAAUAUACACAGAUAUUAUUACUUGGACCAGCAGUUCCUGCUUCAUUUGUCAAACCUAUAACCUGGGACAGGUUAUGGCAAAUGAAAAUAUGAAAUAAGAAUCUGACUUCAUCAUUGUUGCUCUGGCAAAAAUUGCACAGAGGCAUACUUGUGUUUGUAAGGUGCUGAAAAUUUGUAAAUUGGAAACCUCGUGUUAAAUUGCACGCCCUGAGUACAUAUGCCCUAUGAAGUGAAUUUUGUGUCCUUAGGUCAGACCUUUCACUGAGCCACUGAAAUACUGCAUCCAGUGGCCAAUACUGCUCCAUUUAAGCUAACACAAUUUCGUUCGCUCUUAUGAGCACUUAUUUCAGUCAACUGUGCAUAAAUAUAGCCUAAACAUCUCUUCAAAUUUUAUCUGCAUUAAGCCCAUCCCAAGAAAAUCUGACUGUAUAAUACGUUUAUAAGCAUACCUACGUGAGAUGAGUUAUUCCAUUUCCAUCAGCCCUGAGGUCUCUAAGCCUUUGGGUCAAAAUGCAAAUUAUCUGACAUGGAGCGAGAUCAUCAUCUCUUCAAAACAUCUCUUCAAAUUUUAUUUGCAUUAAGCUAACCCAAGAAAAUCUGACUGUAUAAGACGUUUAUAAGUAUACCUACAUGAGAUGAGUUAUUCCAUUUCCAUCAGCCCCGAGGUCUUUAAGCCGUCGGGCAAAAAUGCAAAUUAUCUGACAUGGAGCGAGAUCAUUUCUGGGAAAAAAAAUUAGGUACGAUGCCCCCCAUGCUCUGCAUAAAGAUAAUAAUUAAUCACUGAACAAUCAGUAGAAAGCAACUUGCCAUGGCAUUCCGUGUUUGGCACUUUGGCUAAUCUAAAGAAAUAGUUACCUUCUCCAUUCAUGUUUGCAUACUUACCUUAAGUGGAAAAGAAGUCACUUCUAUUUAAUUAACUCUCACCUUAUUGUCAAAUGAGUAACUUUUUCCAUCUUUGACCAUUAAAAUUUUAUUUAUAUUAAAACUUUUGACUUUACUUAUCAGUAAACUUAUUAAGAUUAACAAAACAUGCUGUAAAUUUAAUGGAUGCUUACUGCAGAGGAGUAAAGAUUCUGCCAAUACUCUGCACGUUGCGCUUCAAAUCUGCCAAGGAAGAAGGCAUCCAGACUGGACGAAAUGCCAUUUGCAAUCCAUGAUGCUAGGAAUGGGGCAGAGGACAUAUCGAGAACAGAUGGAUGAAGAAUAAAGCAAGUGGCCAAGUCACUUGUUAAAAUCCACUGGAGUAGAAUAAAAAAUGUGGCCAGAAACACAGUCUUUAACCGGUCGUAGUCGUCCUUCAGAUGAAACACGCCAUUAGAUAAGCCAUCACUUGUAUCAAGGUUCUUCAUCGAACAAUAUAGUAGAUAACCAUUACUAUUUCUUCUAAAAUGAGAAUAUAUGAUGAGUCAAUGACUAUGGUAUCCGAUUUUUGUUUGUUAUGGAGAAUGGUUAGAGCUCUAUGAUAUUAAUUGUUCAUUUUAUUGUCUAAUCAUGUCCAAUAUUGUGUAUGAGUGCUAAACUUUGGCCAUUAAGCAUCACGGAUGUUUUGACCAACAUCGGUAAGGAGAAACAUAUGCAUAAGCCAUCAACGGAAUGAGAAGAGUAUGUAGAAAGCUACAGAAACAUAUGUUACUUUUAGAAGAAAUGGAAGUAUGUGUUCACAAUUAUAUAAAUAAACAAGAUGUCGAGAUGAAUCAUUAUGAGAUAAAGCAUACCAUAUUGACCUGCUCUGGACACUUUCCUUCAAUUAUCUGCAACCAAAAGUAAAACAGGUUGCGUGUCAACUAUAGCUUCACAUGAAACAUUCAACAUCUGUGGUCUCUAAAAUGAUGAGUGUGAAUAAAUAUAAAAAAUUUACAAAUAUUUUAAGUUCCAGUUGUUGACUACGAGAAUGGCAUUUACCUGGUGAACCUUGUACGUGCUAGCUUUUGGGCCACCAGAAAAAGGCGCAAAGACAACUGGACAUGGCCUGAUUUUUAGCUCAUUUAAAUCAAAUCGAAAUAAAUAUGAGGAAAAGUUAAAACAACAACAUAUAUAGCAAAUUUAAAAUAUUUAGCCCCCGUUUGAGCCACAUUAUUGUAAAAAUGAGAAUGAAAAAUAUAGCUAUUAUGAGCCCUACACAAGAGAUAAAAAGUCAAAUGUGGUGGCUUGAUGUGAUGGAUAACGGUCAUAUUUUUCAUUUUAAUGAGGAAAUAAUGGGGCUCAAACAGGGCCUUAAUAACUAAGUCUAUUGUCAUUGUCAAAUCCCCAUCCCCAGGAUUACUUCGAAUAGUUUCUUUAAUGUAACAAAGAUACGACUCCAAGAGCAAGUCCACCAUUAUAGAUUAAAUAGCAAAAUGAACCACUCAACAAUUCAUGCUUUAUGGUAUGGCUGGGCAUUUGAACUAGAACUGUCGGUUUCAUUCAGGUUCCACAAAAAAAAAAAAAAAAAUUAGGAACUAGAACCUAGUACCAAAAAAUCAAUCAAAUAUAGGAUGGUUCUUAGUUCUUGAAUCAAAACCAUAUGUACGUGACUUUACAAUCGAAUUUAUCUAUUUAUAUAAGUUUUUUCAUUUUACAAUUUAUUCAACUUGACCUAAUGACCUGAUAGGAUGCAGAGGAAACGACGUGAUGGGAAAAAAGUUAGACCAAUGUUGAUUAUCAUGUUUUCAAAGGAAUGAAUUUUUUUUUUUUCUUUUUUGUUCAUCAUUUGUAGAAUCUAUUAAUUCCUUAUUGUUGGUUUCUAAUUUUAGGUUUGUUCUUUGGCUACGUGAUUUCUUUAUGCUCUGUUAGAUAUCAGAUGCUAUUUGAUGACAUAUUUUGUUAGUUAUUGGAUGUUAUUUUGUUGCAUAAUUGCAGUGGACUAAGAAAUCGUCGAAAUAUGUAUUUUGAUGCAUAUUUUAUUUUUUCUAUUUCAUCUAGAUAUUAGAAAGAUAAUUUGUAUUGUCGGUUCACGAUUUUAAAAAAAGAUACAUAUAUUAUAGGUAGAACCUUAUCCAAACCCAAAUAGACGGUUUGGGAUCAAGUCUGGUUUCUGUAACUAAGUGUACCCAAAUGGUUCUAUUUACAAAAUAUCCGAAGUAUAAUGGAUAGUUUUGAGUAUUAAACUACCCGUGCCAACCCAGUAGAUGUCCAUAACUAUUUUAUAAUUUUGAGCGUUGGGCUAUUAAAGGUAUGUCUAUAAGACGAAAGCGAAAAUGAAGAUGCUAAGAUUUGUUUGUAAUUAUACUAAAAUGGAUCUCAUAAAAAAAUGAGAAUAUACAGUAGUAACUGGCGGUGACACCGAUUGAUGAUAAAUUGAAGGAAGCACGACUUAGGUUGCAGGGUCAUGCUUUGAGUCUAUUUAAAAAGGCUAUAUUCAUAAGAACUGACGUUAUCUCAGUGGAGCAAAUUAAAAGAGAAGGUGGUAAACCAAAAUUAACAUGGUCAGUUGUAGUUGUAAAAGGAUCGAAUUGCUUUAGAUCCCCAAUAGUUCUCACAAUGAAUAACCAACUCUACAUUUAUCAGGUAAAAGGCUUAGUUCGUUGUUGUGUUUGCUUGUUUGCUGGAAGACCAUUUGCUGUCAAAUUUAUAACAGCUCUACAUUUCCAAACUUGGAAAGCUUUUAUAACCUCAAAGAAGUUCAGCAGAUUGCUUUGAUGCAGAGCUACUCAAAUACAGAUGGUGAAUACAGAUAAAGAUACUCCUUUAAAAAACUUCUUAUACAAGAUGCAGUUGAAUUUUAUAUGACUGACCUGGACAAAAUUGUUUAUAAUUUCUAGUGCCAACGAUGCUGCUUUGUCGGGAAAGAAUCGGCAACCAUACGAAAAUGAGAAUUGUAAACCGAAUAUUUGUAAAAGAAAAAAGAAAGCUAAAGGAUAGAGUAUGCUUUAUGUAAAUUAUUUAUCAUUCUGCAUGCACCAAGUUCAAGUACCAGCGGUCUAGACAGCAUUUAUAACCGAGAUAUUCAACCAUCCCUACCUAAGAUAUAAAUAUAGAUAUUUCUGAAGAUCCACUAAUGACAAAUUUUCCACUACUAAGACGACUAUGAUUAAUUACAUAUUCUUCAUAACAUAACAACUUCAUGCACAAUCGCUUGAAAUCUCGUUAAAGCCGUCUCUUCUACGAAGAAGGUAUUUUGUGUUCGAAAAUGAGACCCAUAUAUAAGAACAUUGCCAGAGAUGGCCCAUUGAAUUGGUCGCACCUAAGAACUGGAUUAUCAAUGCCUUAAGCGCUUUACAGAUUUGAGUUCUUGAUGAAUUUUCUCUCUCUAACUGUUGGUCGUUCACGUCUUUAUGAUUGAUGAGGACAUGUCAUUUGGGCCUAAGGUUUCUUAAAUUCUAUAAACCAAGAGAAAAGUUUCAUUUUAAAGAAACUAUAUUCUUCACAUUCAAUUUCCCCCCUGUAAAAAGCACUCUGAAAGAUGCUAUAACUUCCCAAACAGCCGUUCAUAUCUAUCAAAAUAUUUUUCUUUCCUUUGGAUACCAAAAAAAUAUUAGAACGCCGUCCAAGAACGAUAGACAACACAUGGUGGCCAAGUUACAUUAACUUACGGACAAACAAAAAAUCACUUUACAGCUCAUGCAACUUUUUACUCAAUUCUGCUAAAGAAGUAGGGCAAUCUAUUCUCCCAUCGCUGUUACAAGAUACCAAGUUGGUUAGGACAACAUCAAUCAAGACAAAAGUUGCAUGACAAUACCAAAAGUCCAGAUUCCUAUUAUUCAGACCCUCACUUGUUAAGGAAAAGUUAUAACCUAUAGAUAAUAUUAUUACUUCAAACAGCAAUUGCUCCAGUUGCACUAUUCCUCUUUCCUCCAGAAUACAAUUCAUCAAAUAUCCCAAUUGUAAUACUAUAUAAUAUCAAGCAUGAAUUCAAGCCCCUGACAAGAGUAUCCUGCAUAUUAACGUAAUCUUUUAUUACUACCUCAACCCACACAAAAAGAACAUCACAUCUAUAUGUGUUUAUCCAUUCCAUGGCCCUCAGCCAGCAUUUUGCAUUUUUUUCAGUCAAGAGUUUCAUUCAAAGUAAUGGUUCCUCCAAAAAAAUUGGAUAAAAUUUUAUAAACUCCAUCAGCUCCAAUCACCUUAUACAUCACUCGGUUCAAACUCAUAAUUUAAAUUAAAGUCAACCAAUAUUCACUAAAUCCCAUGUAAAUCCAAUCCAGCAGAAACAUAUCCCAAAAUUAUAUUAGUGUUUUAAAAAUCACUCUACUAAUUUAAACCUCCCAACAAAAAUCGAAAAACAAAUUCAUAUUGUGCAGCAUAAUCAAGAAACUCGGAAAAAGAAGAUAACACAAUCAAGAAACCAUAGGUCCAAAAAAAUAAAAAUAAAAGUAAAAUAUCACAAACUCACAAAAUGUUGGAAGAUUCAGAUCAGAAUCAGAUUCUAAAUCGUGAAAUUACCAAAAAAAAAAAAAUGGAUGAUGGGAGGGGAGGAGAGAGGUUAAUCUUAGAUUAUAGACUGAGGAAUUGGGAGUGGCAAAUGAUGGAAUUCCAACCAAGAGGGGAAAAUAGAUCAACAUAAUUCUUCAAGUGCUUAUCCUGACUUGAUAUCCAUGAAAAUACUACAAUUAUGCCUUCCACUUUCCCUAUUUCUUCUCCACCAAUAAUACCUUCCUCCAAACCCCCCACAUCUUUUCAAUUUCCUCGAGGAGAAAAAAAACAAUUUCCUAGCACAAUUUUCUGACAAUAAAGAAACAAAUCCCUUUGAACAAAAAGGUAUUUAGCUUUUAAUUGUUUAUUUGUUCAUGUGGAAUAGAUUUUUUCAAGAACUCAUCCGAAAUUCUAAUUGGGGUGUGCCCAUUUCUGCUUCUUAUGGUCUUUCUUGAAAAUUAUAAAGAAUGGAUACUUGUUUUAUGAGAAUUUAUGUGAUGGUUUUAAAUAACAAAAAUGCUACCUAUAUAGCCUAUGCUGUACAUUUUGUUUGACAGGUAUCUCAUAAAAUGUAGAAGUCGUGAUUAUUUUAAUCGUGGGAACUCGUGAUUAUUUUGAUCGUGGCCCCACUUCCUCAUGUGAGAAGGCUAUCAACAAUGCUGUGAAAGAAGUUGUAAUUGUAGCACAAUUUUAUAUAUAAUAACUUGGCUGUGUCGACUUGCAGUUGUUUGAGUUGUAAGGAUUGUAACGAGCAAAGCUUUUUGUAGAACUCAUAUGACCCCUUUGUUAUUUUUGUAGUAUUUUCGAUUGGUGAUAUUCUUUCAAUUUGAGGCCUUGUUACAAGGGACACUUUUUCAAUUCCAUGCUAUUCAUGCCCUCUCAAUCUGAGAUAAUUUUAUAAUUUUUAUUAAGAUUGUUCUUUCAAUCCAGUGUGUGUGUGUGUAUCUUAAUUUAGACCUCUUGUCAACUAGGUGUUGGUAGGAGACGAGACUCUUGCCUCACCCGAGUACUGGUACGAUCCUCUAUAGCUUGAUCUUUCGAGAUUCACAGCAUUUGCAUUGGUCCCACAAUAGUGGUGUCACUCCCAAGGAGACCUUUUAGCCAUUUUUCUUGGCAUCUAAAUCGUCCCUCUAUUUAUUUGGUCGUGAAUUUGCUUCGAGUUCACUUGCCUUAUCAUUUCCUAAUAGUGGAUCUCCUCUUUGAUCAAAUCUACAAAUUCAUCGUACAUUUUGGGUGCUUGAUUGCGAACAUCUCUUCAGAAAGGGAUAGUCACGUCUAAAUCGAACAUCAAAGCCUGAAAAGUUGUAUCUUGUCGAAUGCUUUUUACAUCAAAAUGAAACGGUUGAGACAGCAUAGCAAAGGUUCAUCAAGAUCCUGCCUAACAUCAUGGAUCUUCCCAAUCGGGGUCAAACAUUUUCAUGGUGAACAUAUAGACGAAUUGGUCUUUAGGUAAGGGAACUAUCGAUGCUACCUAGUGAAAGCUUAUUAUACUAUUUUCUAGCUCCUAUUGAGAGUGUAACAUGGAAGUCUUGUAAUUUGUAUAUUGAGCUUGCCCUUAAGAAGUUUAUGUACAUGUUAUAUUCCCAGACAUGGUUUGAGGGAAAUUUUCUAGAUUUUCAGCAUGGCAAAUUUUGGGAAGGCUCUUUAACGCUUUGAUUAGCUUGGUAAAAGAGAUACAUGUCAUAGCUCAUCGCCUUUGGCCAAAACUGCUUGCUCCCCACCCCCUUUUUCGAGAGCACAUAGAGAAGGUUGGUCCUUUUAUUUGAUGAACUUAUUGGGUUAAUCUUGCCCAACUCUUUUACCACAUCCUCUAAGGACCUCGUCCUAGAUGACAUUGAUGCCUUCCAGCCUAAGAUACUACCAGGCUUUGAAGAUCUAUGCUCUCACUCAUGAUAAGAUGCUUGAUUUCCCAAAAGUGGUGCGUAGGUUGCUUGAUUGGAGGAAUUUGAUGUGUAUUCUCUAUGCAUAGAGCCCUCUACGUUGCUCUCACAUUCAUUCUCUUGGAGAGGCGGAAUACCUUUUCUUGAUGCAUCAAGAGUUGCCUUAUAGUAACAUUUUCUUUAGCAAAAUGUUAAAUGUUGGCCGCCAUGUUGCUAUAGCUCGAGUUAGCUUAGCCACGGUUCUUUAUGGAUUUGGGUUUCUUCUCAAAGUAUUUCUUGUUGAAACAACAUGACUUUCAUUCUAGCUCCCCUCGGGUUCUCAUCGCUGUUUGAUCCACUUUACUCUUCUUCUUUUUUUUUUACUUUUCUUGCUUCUCGCAUAUUCUCUUCUGGAGCUCAGCAUUCUUACAUCUUUGUUUAGAAUCUACUUCUUAGUAAAAGAUAAAAUUUUGUGGAUAUCAUUUGCAUGCAAAUAAUUAUCGAUGCCGAGUUCCUAAAUUCAUCAUCACUGAUAUUGGAAAACUCUUUUACAAUAGUCAUAUAAAUAAUCUUUGCGCCAAGUUUGGGCUCAAAAAAUACAACCCAUACAUGUACAAUGCGAAAACUACUUUGUUGAAAAAUAUUGUUUCCAAUUUAUUAGGAACUGGCAUGAAAAAAAUUGAGAAAGUCUUUGGGUUUGUCACACUACUUACUGGACUCAACAAAAGUUACUCCUUAUAUCCUUGUGUAUGGAGUGGAACAUUUCCUUAUAAUGUCAAAUUUCGUAAUUGUAUUAGCCAUCCAAGAAGUUUUGUUGAUGAACGAGAAUGUUCCUUUUUUGACUUGAGGAGUUUGCAUCUUUGAUUGAAAAGCGAUUAGAGGCAUAAAUGCUUCGAGAAUGUUAUCAAGCUCGGAGGGCAAAGGGCUUCAACAAAAAUGUGUAGCCAAAAUAAUUCUAAGUUGAAAAUAAUUAACUCCGAGAGAAAUUCAAACUUCAAGAAGAAAAAGAAGCUUGGAGAUUGAACACAAGAAAAUUUCUCCAGUGCAAGGUCAAAAGUUUCAAGAAUAAAGUCUUCUUCAAAUCAAAAUCAAAACAAACCCCCCAAGUCCCGAAAAUUCAAGUCAAGCCCAAAUCCUGAAGAUUCAAGCAAAUCAAGUUUCCAAUAGACAUCAAAGUCUAAGAUUCAAGCCAAAUGAUCCCGUAGUCUUCAAUACACUACUCACUAAUUAGAGGAUUGUGAAUUUUGUAGUCAUAAGAAAAUUAUACACUUAGUAAUUUUCCAAAAUCAAUUUGCAAUAUUUUUUAUAUCUUGUAUAUGAAAAUUGUUGUACAUGGCCUAUUUCGAUAAAUAAGAUUUGUGUGCGGACUUGGGCAAAACAAAUGUUACAUAUGUGCAGUUGAAUAAUAAUGAUUUGUCACUUAAUUUGUACUACAGAAGUUUGAUCUUCUACAACCAAUGGAAAAAAUAAAAACUUUUCACUGCUGAAACGUGAGAUCGAUUUCAUUGUUUUACAUGCAUAAUUGACGCAUGCAACAGUCAAUACAUGAAGUCAUCAUGCUCAUAUUGCAAUCCAUGAAUGGUACAAGUCUCUAUCGAUGUAAAGUAAAGACAUAAUAUGUUAUACAAAGGCAUUCGAAAGCUUGUAAUGUGAAACUUUUGUAUGUGUGUCAUCAUUUAUAAGGACACGGCCUACUCCAGAAAUUGACAAUUAAUUGCCAUGAAUAAUGUUAUUUGCAUUUGCUCACUACUGCAAUUAACAUACAUGUAACGGUUAGUGAUUUAUUGUACAAAGUAAUAAAAGACCACCACAUUGAUGUAUCAAAUCACUAACCACCAUAUAUACGCCACAUAGAACGAUUACGACAGUGAAUGACUGCAUAUAGCAUUACGCAAUUGCCAUAUAUCAUCUUAGUUGAAAGUUGGAACAACCCGAAAGCAAACUAUAUAAUUACGCAUUGAACUGUGUAAAACUAUAACUAUUAUAUUAAAUUAAAAUUCCAUCAAAUUAAGAGGUAAACAUUUAAUGAUAUUUCGACCUAAAAAAUUGAUAAGCUUCGGGAGAAAACAUGAUAUUAAUAAUAUUAAUUAAGAGGAAAUUACAAAAAAAAUGUCUAUUUUGAAAUAAUCGUUUAUAAAAAUGUCCAAAAUUUUUCAAUAUCUACUUUUGCAAUUAUUUGGAUGAGAGUAUCACUAAGUACCUUCCAUGAAAAACUACAUUAAAAUGAUGUUCUCGAUAUUUCAAAUGUUGUUCUCGAUAUUUGAAUCUGUUUAUAUUUCAAAAGUACACAUAUUAAAUCAAAAUAUUAAAUGUUCUCGAUAUUUCAAAUGUUGUUCUUAACAUAUUAAAUAUCUAGAAUGACAUUUCAUUCCAAAUAUGACAUUUCUCUCCAUUUUAAAUGUUGUUCUCAACAUUUCUGUGUCUAGUAUUAAUUGUGAUUUGACAUGUGCAAUAUGAAAUUAUUUAUUCUUCAUUAAGGGUAAAAUAGAGAAUUUGGUGUCAAAUUUAGCCAUUUUUGUAAAGAUUAUCAAAAAUGAACAUUUUUAAAUUGACAUAUGUGAAAUUGGACAUUUUUACAAAUGUCCCAUUUAUUAAUUGGUCAAACUUCAUGAUCAUCACGUAACGAAAACUAUCUAUUGUCUAACCAAGGAUGACAGAAAAUAAAAAUUGUCUCGUUUAAUAAACUUCUAGCUGGUGAAUGUAUCACUUGAUUAUAAUUAAUGUUAUAUUAAAUAAUAAAAAAAUUCUAGUAAGACCAAAUGUUCACGUAGGACAUGACUAUUCUCCAAUAGUUUUUUUUUUUUAAUUUAAAAGAAAAAAAAAUGUUAAACAUGCUACGUUGAGUACCAGAAAUGAUUAACAAUUAUUAUAGUGUGCUUAAGGGCCCAUAAUUAUUCUAACUUUUGUCACUUGCUGAUGCUUUUGACCUCUGCGAAUCAUUUUUUGAACAAUGAAAUCCAUAACAUAAAGGUGAUUAAGUGAGAUGGAGCCUUAAACGAAUCCCGGUGAGCAGUUGCAUUAAUUAAACACGUGUGUGUGCAGAUAGCUGUACAUUUGUCCUUAAUCUAUUUAUUGAAUAGCAAGUUUUUAUUUUUUAUUUAUUUUUUAUUUUUUAUUUUUAAUGAAGUUGCACAUCAACGACAAAAAUUGUCCAAAUCUUCAUUAAACCACACAUGAUCCUCACAUUUCUAAAUUUUAACUUCGUAUAAUUGAAUUGUGUUUUGCAAAUUGGACCAAUAUUUAAAUGGGACAUGUUUGUUAUUGGAGUUUUUCAUGAUAUUUGUACUUGAUUUUAAUUUGUUAAAUUAUACGGAAGUCAACGUAUAGUUGACUAUCUUGGUAACUAUGGCUUAUGCUCAUCCAUUACAUAUAACGUUUUGUGAUGAUAUUAGGCAUUUAACACAUUUGGCCCCAAAAAGAAACACAACUUUUUUUACAUUUAGAUGUUCAAUAUUUAAUAAAAUAAUUAUAUAUUUUGUAGGUAAAUGGACACCUUGAUAAUUUUGUAAUUAAUUUUAUUAUUAUCGUUUGAUGUUGAGACUUCAUAUUAAAUAAAGAGGAAAUUUCACAAAAUGUCCAUUUUUACUUAGUCAUUUGCAAAAAUGUCCAUAAUUGCAAAAAUGUCUAAUUUGGAAGAAUUUAGACCAAAAUACCCUUAGUAACAAUUUAUAAUUCCACACUAAGACAAAAAAGGGACAUUUUUGCAAUAUUGUUAUUGGUCAGUAAAAUUUUGACACAUAACCUGUCAUAUUUAUUUCAAAAAGUAUACAUAUCAAAUUACAAUAAAUGCUAUAUUUUUCAUUGAUUCAGAAAUGUAGAGAAACGCCAUGUUCAAAAUGAAAUGUCAUUCUAGACAAAUGAAACGGUGUUCAAAUGUCGAGAAUGACAUAUGAAAUGUCUAGAAAUAUUAUUUUAAUGUAACUUCUCAUAGAAGCUACUUCUCAAAAUUCGUGACAAAUUGAUAAAAAAAUCAAAUGUCGAGAACGACAUUUAAAAUGUCGAAAAUACAAUUUCAAAAUGUAGCUUUUCAUUAAGGGCAUAAUAGACAAGUUGGCACUAAAUUCGAAUGAGUGGACACUUUUCAACUCAUACCUUUAAAAUUUGACAUUUUUAAAAAUGCCCCUUAAAUACAUGUUUCUAAAAUUUAUUUUCCAGCAGCACAAUAAAUAGUCACAUUGCUCACAAUUAGAAUGGUCAAUAAAUGUAGUAGCGUAAUGCACUUUAAUUCUUCACAGAGAAAUUUUACUAAAUAUAAAUUAAUAUAUAGUUUCAUCAAGAAUAAUAUUCUUACCAUAUGCAUCGUGUCUUACUCACACUUAAAAAAUAAAAAAUUGGGAGGUGUAGUUUGGUGAGCCAAUCACGCUUAUGGAUUAAUACCACUUUAUAAGUUUUGAAAAGAAGUCAAACCAUUCUCUAUCUCAUAUAUGAAGUUGAGAUUCUCACUCACACUUAAAAAAUAAAAAAUAAAAAAUUGGGAGGUGUAGUUUGGUGUGCCGAUCACGCUUAUGAAUUAAUACCGCUUUAUAAGUCUUGAAAAGAAGUCAAACCAUUCUCUAUCUACUAUAUGAAGUUGAGAUUUGACAGAAAAUGGAAGAUAUGCAAGUAAAAUUUGUUAUUCGGCUCGAUCCUCAACCUCCAUUUAACUUGGUCUUUGUGCAAUCAUGUCGUCAUCUUAUUAUGUUCAUCAAUUAUGCUUACACAUUUUUGGUAGAGCUCCACAUCAUUAAUGGAAGUAAAGAUUUUAUUUUAUAAGUUUUGUGAGGCCUAUGAUCAAGUACCAACAUGGUGAAGUGAUAGAAUAUGAUCCUAAUAAUUGAAUUUGUAAUCUGACUAUGAAAACCCUCAUCCGCAUGAAUACUUUCUUUAAUGUAAAUUCGAUUUGUGUUUAAAAUGUUCAAUUUUCAAUAAUAUAUUAUAGUCUUUCGAACGCUACGCCAUGGCCAAGUGAGGGAAUGCAUUAAGCACAUGAUAGUGCCUGCUUCAGCGAGGAAAGAAUCCAUUUUAUUUUUAUUUUUUUGGCUUGUUUAACAUAACUUUUUGUUUUUACUUUUAUUUCUGCUUCCUUUAGAAGAGUGAGGUUUUUGUUUUUGUUUUUGUUUUUUGAAAUUACCUUAAUUUUCAGUGGUGAAACAAAUUUAUGAUUAUGAUCAUCUUCAAAUGCUUUAACAAUCUAAUAGCCACCUUCAAUGUCGUUUGAGAUUCGCAUGUUAGCCUUACAUCUACCUCUAACCGUUGAGCAACUUUUUCCUUUUGUAGAACCCUAUAUCUGACAAUUCUCUAUUUCACUUAAUCCUUCAAAAAUCUUCCUACUAUAAUAUUUUCUUUCAUGUGAGCACACAAAUUUAAUAAGUGUAAAUUCAUUUAUACGUGGGUGUUACUUAACUACUGUUUGAGUACGAAUCCAUAAACCAUUUUGUCGUCCAUAGUCUUCGUGUUAUGCCCUUGCUUCCUUUGCCGUCUUAAAUUUCAUCCCAAUGUAAGGCGCUUUGCCUUGUAUUGACGAUAACCCAAUCUCAUCAAAUUGAUACGCAUGUACAUAAUUACCACAAUUGGUUGCACCCAUCUACAAAACAAUUUUGAAAGAAUCAAUCAAUGAUAUUGAUUGCAUAGAAUUACCGAUAAUCAAAUUCAUUGUUGAAUAACUCGUACAUAUAUUUUCUUAAACAAAUUGUAGCAUACUUAAUUUUUAAAGUAUUCCCUGUUGAAGUAUAUAAUAACAUUUAUUAACCAUUUUAUUAACACUUCAAGCUAGUGAUAGCAACGGGGCGGGGUUAACAUUUAUUAAUCAUUUUACUAACACUUCAAGCUAGUGAUGGCAACGGGACGGAUUCGGGGCAGGGGGCUCCCACCCAGUCUUGCCCCGCCCCAACCCCACCCGCUCCGUUUAGGCGUGGUUGGGUUCGGGGUAGUUUUUUGCCCCAUUUACUACCCCAUUUAACUUUUUUUUUUUUUACACAUUUUCAAAAUUUAGAGUUAUAUUAUUAAAUUAUUAAAUACAAAUUCAAAAUUUAAAAAUUCAAAACAAAUAAUGCUCAAAUUAAAAUCAAUAUUCAAAGAAACACUUGAAAAAACAAUAUCCAAUAUAUUCACAGGGAGGGUUCGGGGCGGGGCAGUCUCAACCUAUCGGGGCGGGUUUUUUUGCCCCAUUCAGGACCGGGGCAUGGCGGGCGGGGUAAAUUGUCAUCUCUACUUCAAGCAAAUUAAAACUCAAUUAUAACCUUUAAAUCACAGAUGAAUCAAGCAUUAUGCUGAAAUUGAUGCAACACUACUCAAACUGCAUGAUACAUUAUGUGGAAAUCAAAAGAAAAUAAACACGGAUCCUUUUCCCACCAUUCAUGAUAAAUCAGAUUUGGAUAUUAGAGGAAAAUCAGAUUCAAGAACAUGAUAUAACACAGUUUUGUAGAAUGAUCAAAAUAACAAAAUCGAAACCUCACGUGAGAUUUUGGUUGAAAAACAGUUAACCGCUUACAGAAUCAUACCUAAAAAAAUUACUUCAGUUCUUAUUCUGCUUUCUCCUAAAUAAAUGAUUUGAUGACACAAUAGGAAUCCUCUAAAAAUUUAUACAUGGGCAAAGAAAUUCUUUACAUGCAGUGAUGAUUUGAAGAUUCAAUUUUGUGAGGGAGAUGAUGAAUUUCGGUGGUGAUGGAGAAUGCAUAAGAUGAUAGAAAAUCAUGAUGUUGUUGAGAGAUUUUAGGGAUUAAUAUAAGGUAAUUAGGGGUGUUUGGAAGUAAGAUUAUGAAUUCUUUCAUGUUUUAAUAUAUAAACUCCUAGCAUUGGAUUGAUUUUAAUUAAAGAUCACGAUUAUUUGUCAUAAAUACUUGUCAAAUUAAUGGGUAGACUUCCCUAUGCUCAUCAGAUAUGAGCCGCUGGUGAAUUUGUCGGAUAGACAGAUCUUUGUGAAAUUGAAUCAAUUGCUUAGGUGAUUGCCCUUUAGCCCUUUGUUUGACCAAAAAGACUCCCAUGAGUUGGAUGGGCUAAUGCUUAAAGAUAAAUUUCAAGAGAUUCCCUAUUUUAAUUUUUGAAAAUAGAGAGUGGGUAAAUAUACGAAGAAAUUAAUAAAUAUUUCUUGAGAAAAGUAAAAGAAGAAGACAAAAUAGAAAGUAUUAUUGCAGAGAAUAAAAUUUAGACUCUCUAUAUAAUGCAUAAAAAAAUUUUUACAAAUAAAAAGUUUGUUGAAGUUGAUCUAAUGAUGGUAUAAAUGAAAGAUUUGGAUAAAAUUUGUAAAAAAAAUAAAAAUAAAAUAAAUAAAUAUGUUGUAAAUGGAAAGUCCAUUAAAGUUUAUUGGUGAAUGACAUUUGUACCCCUGUAACCCUAGAAAUUAUUACCAUUGUAUCCCUAAUUCUUACCUAUAAAUAUAGGGCUUUGAUUUUCAAUAAUAUACACAAAAAGUUUAUUGAAUUUUCUCUAUUCUCUUUGAGUUUUCUCUAUUCUCUUUUCCUCUCAUUUUAUAACACGUUAUCAGCAUGAAACUCUUAGAAGAUAGUAAUUUUUUUUUUCAUAAUCAUCUAUCACGUAUAUCAAAAUUAAUUUGAUAAUACGUGAAUUUUACAUAUACAUAUGUUGAAUCUGCAAUACGUGAUCUCAUCUUUCUCGAUCAUUAUGUUUUCUUUGUACCUCUCUUUGAAUUAAUUAAUUUUUUUUCCUUUACAUCAAUCCACGUGCAUUUUUAUGGAGAUAUAUUUAUGUUAAGUCAAUUGAUAUGUAUUAAUUCAUGUUCCUAUACCCUCCUUGUAUUUAGAUUAGUCCUUUACAUUCUACACAUGCUUAUAAUUUUUUUUGGUUUAAUUGGUCAAUGUUCUUUGUAAGCAAGCUUCAAUUCCAGAUCUCUAUUUUGGCUUAUUCCAUAUAUAUAUAAUAUACAAUUAACAAAUAACUGUACCCAACUCAUCUUUUCUCUCAAAUCCAUUGGUUUCUGCAAAUUUCAUGCUUUAAUUGGUUAAUACUAAUUCAAUUCUUUUAAUUGCACAUAAUUAGAAUUUCAUGCCAUAAUAUGUGAAUAGGUGUCUACAUGUCACCAAUUUUUUUUUUGUGUUUCACUCGACUCACGUUAUUAAUUGAAAAUAAUAUUUUACAUGUGUUUGUAUAUUAAUUAAUGGUGAGCAAUUGGAUGUAUUAUCAUUUUUUUUAUGUUUAGUUAUGAAACAUUACAUUAAAUUUAUUUUUAAUUGUUGUUACUCCUGAAGUAGCACAACAUUAUAAUUAAUAUUCUAGAAGAAUAUUAAUCAUAAAUCUAUUCGUUGUUGCUCCAGAAGUAGCACAACAUUAUAAGAAUAUUAUUUACUCCUGAAGAGUAUAAAUUAUAACUCUCAAUAUUCCAGAAAAAUAUUGACAUAUUGCACUUGAAGAAAUAAUAGCAAAAUAUAAUGUACUUCAGAAGUAGCAUAUGUUUCGAAGAACAUAUUAUUUCAAAUUAGUGUUUAUCCCUAGAAGAAAACACGUAAUUUAAAGUCAUGUUGAUAUUGACUAUUUGAUUAACUUGUGAUGAUUAAUCAUAUUCUUCGAAACUAAUUAUAUUUUUUUAUUGUGUAGUUAAAUAAAUGGCAAACAUUACGAAACUUGAGUUUGCUGCACUUGACAUAUCUGGUAAAAAUUAUCUGUCAUGUAUACUGGAUGCUAAUAUCCAUCUCGUCUCAAAGGGUCUGGGAGAGACAAUAAAAGAAGGAAACAACGAAUCCUUGCAGGAUCGUGUAAAAGCACUCAUUUUCCUUCGUCACCAUCUUCACGAUAGAUUAAAAAUUGAGUAUCUCACUGAGAAAGAUCUACAAGUUCUUUGGAAAAAGUUAACUGAAAGAUUUGAUCAUCAAAGGACUAUAGUCCUCCCCAAAGCCCGUUAUGAGUGGAUGUACCUUUGUUUGCAAGUCUUUAAAACGGUUAGAGAGUACAAUUCUGAAUUGUUCAGAAUAUGUUCAAAGUUGACUUUGUGUGGAGAAAAAUCACUAAUGAAGAUAUGUUGAAAAAAACUUUCUCCACCUUUCAUGCCUCGAAUGUGCUCCUGUAGCAGCAAUAUCGUGAGCGUGGCUUCAAAAAGUACUCAAAACUUAUAUCUUGCCUAUUAGUUGCUGAACACAAUAAUGAAUUGUUGAUGAAAAAUCAUGGAUUACGUCCAACUAGUUCUGUACCAUUGCCUGAAGCAAAUGGUACUACAUUGUCUGAAGCAAAUACAAUAUCAAGACAAGGACGUGGAUACGAAUUUGGAGGUGGACACAAACACGGACGUGUACGUGGAAUAAAUCAUGGAAGAAAUAAUCAACAAAAUUAUCAACAACAAGGUAAUAAAUUCAAAAGGCACAAAGCAAACGAGAGUGACAAAUCUAAAAAAGAGCAUGAAGAAAGUUGCUUCAAAUGUGGAAUGAAAGGGCAUUGGGCACGUAUGUGUCGUACCUCAAAAUAUCUUGUGGAUCUCUACUAGAGAUCAAUCAAGGGAAAAGAAAAAUUAGAGACUAAUUUUGCUGAUUAUGAUGGUCCAAUUGAUGUGACUCAUUUGGAUGUCUCCGAUUUCUUUACUGAUCCAAAUGAAAAUAUUGACCAUUUGGUUGGGGUGGUGUGAUAGAAGAUAUAAAUUAAUUUACUAGUAUUUCUUUCGUUUUAGAAAUUCAGUCUGAAAUAUGUUUUUACUUUUUUGCACAAAAAAAAUAAAUAAAUAAAACUCUAUUAUGCAAUGUUUAUUUCAUGAUAUUAAGUAAUGUUUACUUCUUUAAAUCUAAAUUCAAGUUUUUUUUUAAAAAAUUUGUUUAUUUUGUUAUAUUUAUAUAUUCAUGAUGAAUAGUCAAGACAGCUGCUUAAUUGAUAGUACAACUACACAUACUAUUCUUCAAGAUAAAAAAUACUUUUUGGACUUAAUAUUAGCCGAAAAUAAUGUUAACACGAUAUCGGGUGCGUCGAAUAUCGAUGAAGGCUCCGGAAGAGCUUGUAUUAUUUUACCAAAUAAUACAAAAUUAUAUAUUGACGAUACACUUUAUUCUAACAAAUUCAGAAGAAAUUUGCUUAGUUUUAAAGAUUUCGCUGCAAUGAAUAUCACAUUGAGACAAUGCAAGAAAAUAAUGUUGAAUAUCUUUGCAUCACUUCUUUUGUAUUUGGCAAGAAGCAGAUAAAAGAAAAAUUUCAUGCACUUCCGUCUGGGAUGUAUUUUACAUUUAUAAAAAUGGUCGAAUCAAAUAAUGUUACGAAUCAGAAGUUCAUUGAUUCAAAAAGUUUUAUACUUUGGCAUGAUCGACUUGGACAUCCAGGAGCCAUAAUGAUGCGUCGAAUAAUAAACAACUCACAUGGACAUCUUUUAAAGAACCAAAAAAAUUCUUUUUUCUAAUGAUUAUCCAUGUGUAGCUUGUUUGCAAGGAAAGUUAGUCAUUAAACCUUCAACUACAAACGUCAAUAUUGAAUCUCCAACUUUCUUGAAAAGAAUACAUGGAGAUAUAUGUGGGCCAAUACACCCACCAUAUGGACCAUUUCGUUACUUUAUGGUAUUAAUUGAUUCUUCUACAAGAUGGUCACAUGUUUGCCUACUUUCAACUAGGAAUGUAGCAUUUGCUAGACUACUUGCUCAAAUCAUAAAAUUGCGUGCACAAUUCCCCGAUUACUCAAUCAAGACUAUUCGUCUUGACAAUGCUGGUGAAUUUAGAUCACAAGCAUUUGAUGAUUAUUGUAUGUCGAUUGGGAUUGAAAUUGAACAUUCAGUUGCACAUGUUCAUAUACAUAAUGGUUUAGCAAAAUCGUUUAUUAAACGUCUACAACUUAUUGCUAGACCAUUACUUAUGAAAACAAAACUCCCAGCUUCUGUUUGGGGUCAUGCCAUAUUACAUGCUGCAUCAUUGGUUCGUAUAAGACCAACUGCCUAUCAUCAAUAUUCACCUUUGCAACUUGCAUUUGGUCAUGAACCUGAUAUUUCUCACCUACGGAUUUUUGAUUGUACUGUCCAAGUUCCUAUUUCACCCCCCACAACGUACUAAAAUGGGUCCCCAACAAAGAUUUGGGAUUUAUGUGGGUUUUGAUUCACCAUCUAUUAUUAGAUAUCUUGAACCUUUAACGGGUGACUUAUUUACAGCACGUUUUGUAGAUUGUCAUUUUGAUGAAAUGACUUUCACAACUUUGGAAGGAGAAAAACUACAUUCUGAAAAACAAGAUAGAAUUUCUUGAAAUGAGACAACUCUAUCUCACUUUGAUCCCCGCAGCAAUCAAUAUGAACAAGAGGUUGAAAAAAUCAUUCAUUUACAAAGAGUUACAAUUCUACUACCUGAUAUAUUUGUUGACAUGAAAAAAGUGACAAAGUCAUUUAUUCCAGCAGAAAAUAUUUCAGCAAAAAUUAAUGUCCCUACAGGACAAUCUACUGUGGCAAAUGAAUCUCAAAUACGCCAGAAGCGUGGUCGACCAGUUGGUUCAAAAGACUCUGUACCUAGAAAAGAAGAGUACAGAAGAAAAACCAACCAAAAAUUUCAGAAAAAAUCACAUUAGAAAAGAUUGAUCAAUUAAAUAUUGAAUGUACGGUUCCUGAAGAACCAGAGGUGUCUGAAAAUAAUGAGAUUUCAAUAAAUUAUAUGAUAUCUCAUAAAUUAUGAGAACGGAAUAAUAUUGUUAUAGACAAUAUUUUCGCCUUUAACAUGGCUCUUGAUAUUAUACAAAAUGAGGAUCCUGAACUACAGUCUGUUAAUGACUGUUGAAAUAGAAAUGAUUGGCCAAAAUGGAAAGAAGCCAUACAGGCAGAAUUAAAUUCUUUGGAGAAACGAAAAGUGUUUGAACUAGUAGUUUGAACACUUGAAAAUGUAAUUUCUGUUGGAUACAAAUGGGUUUUCGUACGAAAGAGAAAUGAGAAUAAUGAAAUUACAAGAUACAAAGCCCGACUAGUGGCUCAAGGUUUCUCCCAAAGACCGGGAAUUGAUUAUGAGGAAACAUACUCUCCCAUAAUGGAUACCAUCACUUUUAGGUUCUUAAUUAGUUUGACCGUGUCAUAAGGGCUCGAUAUGCGCCUUAUGGAUGUUGUAACUGCCUACCUAUAUGGUUCACUUGAUAGUGACAUAUAUAUGAAAGUCUUUGAAGGAUUUAAGGUGCCAGGAAUAAAUUAUACAUAUCCGAGAACUAUGUUCUCAAUUAAAUUGCAAAAAUCAUUAUAUGGAUUGAAACAAUCCGGACGCAUGUGGCAUAAUUGCCUUUGCGAAUAUUUGUUGAAAGCGGGUUAUAAAAAUGACAAUAUCUGCUCAUGUGUUUUCAUAAAGAAAACAAAUAUUGGAUUUACAAUUUGGCAGUUUAUGUUGAUGAUUUAAAUUUAAUUGGAACUCCUGAAGAGCUCAACAAAAAUGCAGAUUAUUUGAGAAAUGAAUUUGAGAUGAAAGAUUUGGGGAAAACCAAAUCUUGUCUUGGAUUACAAAUUGAACAUUUUCCAGAGGGAUUAUUUGUUCAUCAAUCUACUUAUACAGAAAAAGUCUUGAAGCGCUUUUAUAUGGAUAAUGCACAUCCAUUGCCAUCACCUAUGGUUGUUCGAUCACUUGAUGUGAAAAAAGAUCCAUUUCGUCCACUUGAAGAUGGAGAAAAGAUUCUUGGUCUUGAAGUGCCAUACCUUAGUGCAAUUGGAGCAUUAACUUAUCUUGUAAAUUGCACUCGACCUGACAUAGCUUUUUCUGUAAAUCUCCUUGCAAGACAUAGCUCUACGCCAACUCAAAGGCAUUGGAAUGGUGUUAAACAUAAUUUUCGUUACCUAAAAGGUACUAUUGAUAUGAGACUAUUUUAUUCUCAAAAGUCAGGAUCUGCUUUAGUGGGAUAUGCAGAUGCAGGUUAUCUCUCCGAUCCACAUAAAGCUAAAUCACAAACAGGAUAUGUGUUUACACGUGGAGGAACAGCUAUAUCAUGGAGAUCUGUGAAGCAAUCCUUGACAGCAACAUUCUUACAUCAUUCUGAGAUUAUUGCAAUCCAUGAAGCAGGGCGAGAAUGUGUAUGGUUGAGGAAUAUGACCCAUCAUAUCCAAUCAUCAUGUGGAUUGACUUCAAUAAAAGAUAGUCCAACAAUUUUGUUUGAAGAUAAUGCAGCUUGUAUCGCACAACUCAAGGGAGGCUAUAUCAAAGGCGACAGGACGAAGCAUAUUUCUCCAAAAUUCUUUCAUACACAUGAACUUCAGAAGAAUGGUGACAUUGAUAUUCAACAAAUUUACUUAAGUGACAAUGUGAUUGAUCUAUUCACAAAAACGCUGUCAACAUCUACAUUCAAGAAAUUAGUUCAUGAGAUUGGAAUGCGUCGACUCAAAGAUUUUCAGUGAUCAAUAUUAGGAGGAGUAGCUGUACUCUUUUUCCUUCGCUUAGGUUUUGUCCCAUUGGGUUUUCCUAGCAAGGUUUUAAUGAGGCAGCAUUUAAUUUUAAUACUCCAAAAUAACUGUACUCUUUUUCCUUCAUUUAAUUUUUUUUCCCCAUUGGAUUUUUAUCAAACAAGGUUUUAACGAGGUAGAUAUUUUGUAAUAUGUCAUUCAACGAAGAGUGUUGUAAAUGGAAAGUCCGUUAAAGUUUAUUGGUGAAUGACAUUUGUACCCCUGUAGCCCUAGAAAUUAUUACCAUUGUAUCCCUGAUUCUUACCUAUAAAUAUAGGGCUUUGAUUUUCAAUAAUAUACACAAAAAGUUUAUUGAGUUUUUUCUAUUCUCUUUUCCUCUCAUUUUAUAACAAAAUAGUAAUAAUAAAUGAAAGAUUUGGAAUUACAACUGUAUUAUUCCUACGAUGGUUAUGUUGCCACCAUAAUUUCUAUUUGUCACACCACAAUUUAAUUGUAGUUAAACUCCCAAAUCCAUGCUCAUUGUAAUAAUUAUUUCCUUUAUUUUCGUUGAAUUUUUAUCUUCAACUUUCAUUAAUUAGUACAUCACGUCCUGACGAUAAUUUAUGUUAAAAUAUUUUGUGUACAUGCUCUACAUUAAGGGAAAAUAAAAUUUUUUUAAUUUUUAUAUAUGAUAAAAAAUAAGUUGUUGUAAGCUGUUUUUUUUUAACAUAAAUUGUUAUCAAAUACAAAAUAUAUUUGUAGUGGUCCAAAUUAUCCGUUGGGCUCUUGACCCAAUCCAUGUAUAUUGAAUGUUCCUAGCCCAAACUAAUGUAUGCCAAUCAUGCUCAUCCUUGACCCACUAAUGAUUUAUCAGUCUUACUUUGUGUCCGACCUAUCACACGGUGUCACGUAGAGUCUAAAGGAUAAACUUCUCAACAAGCAAAUCAGUUCAACUCACCAUCUUUUCUAUAAGAGUCGUGAGCUAAGGGUAAGACCAUGUCUUACGAGGUGUUCAAAUGGUUAUGGUAACUCUACCCAAAGUUGGUCGAGUUUUUCGAAACUCGGAAAAUAUCAUCCUAAUUAAUCAAUCCAUCUGGUGUCCACAUGCUCCACUAUUUGUGGAUCAAACAAUUUUGCUGGUUCUCUUAUAAAUAUGAGGGCCAACUAUUCAAGGGGAGAAAAAAAAAUUAUUGAGCCUACACAGCUUCCUCAAUAUUUAUCCAAUUUAGAUAUCUUAUUGCCAUUACUAUCACUUUUAUUUGUCACCUCUCACAAUCAUAUCAUCCAACCACUUCGCUACUAUCACUAUUUCAUCAUGCCAAUCAUAAAUAUCAUCAAUGCCUACUUUUAGAAUCAACUAUAGAUUCGAACAUCUACAAUUUGGCGCCCACCCCGUGGGCCCCAGUGAUUUUCAACACAAAAAAUAUUCCACUAACAGUAAACAUUUUGAUCGCAAUGACGGAAUCCCUAUUAUUGUCAAAGCUAGCAGCCAUGCUUGUUCAAUUUACUUCUCAAAUGGCUGAAACCAACCAAAAGUUCUAGCAGCUAGAAGUAUAAAAUGUACAACUUAAGCAGACAAUUAGAGAGCUCUCUACACUCUCAACGUUAGCUGGGACCAAGAGCCACAUUCAAUUUCACACUGUAGUGAGAACCAUAUAGUUACUUGACAUGCCAAAGCGUGACAUGCUAGGUAUAUGAAGAACUAAUGUCAAUACUAACAAUGUCAAUACAGGCCACGAGACAGACAUGGAGGACGAGGUACUGCUUGACGACCUACCCAUUGUAAAGGAGCUGGUACCACAGGUCAUUAAUACAAAUUACCAAAACACGGACUCUUCACGCAACGAAGGCACUAGCCCAAAUCCGAUAUCGAUCAACGUUUCGCCAUGACAGAGGCCAUGAUCAACCAUAUCCUGAGUGUACCUAUACCGAUCAAGAAAAAUAGGCAAAGCUUUGCGGACUCACCAUUUGUCUAUUCGAUAGCUCUAGUUAAAAUGUCAAUAAAUUUCAAUUUUUCCAAUAUGAAGAUGUAUGAUGGCACCACCGACCCAAAUGCCCAUAUUGCCCAAUGUAAACAAAGAAUGUUCACAGUAACCAGGCCCGGUUCUGGGGCCAGGCGAAUAAGGCCUACGCCUCAGGCCCAGAUUCCAAGGGGGCCUCAUUUUUAGCCCAGAAUUUUAUUUUAUUUUAUUAUUUUUUUCGGUUGAACCAAACUAGUAAUGAAGAAGAGUACCUCACAACUUCAAGCCCAAAUCCAAUACCCUUAGUCUUAAUCCAUUUAUCCAACUUAUACAUCCAUAAAUCAUAAUCUAUUAUCUGUCAUUUACCCAAAAUUCCCAAUUUCCCAAUCCCCAAUCAAAAACCCCUUUCUCCCAAACGCUCGUCUGAGUAGUCCGUCCCCUUCGUAGCGUCGCCGAUCGCCUCUGUCUCUCUUCUCGACUUCCUCAUUCCGACUUCCAGAUUUCCUCUUCCUUGAGUCAUCAGUUACGGUCCAUGGAGUCGGACACCAUCGUAGUUCACACCAAUUCCCUUCCGUUGCGGAGCACAGUUCGCUGUUCACCCCUGUUAGCAAGCAAGUGCUUGGCAGUUGACUAUUAGUUUAGUAUGUUAAGAUUAUUAAUUCCUUUUGAGUUAUAUGAUUACAUUUACACUAAGUAUUCAACUAUUCAUUCAUGACUUUUACCUUUUACUUAUUAUAAUUUUGAUUACAUGACUUUAACUAAUAAAUGCUCUUUUUCUAUGUUACUGUUAAAUACUUUAAUAUUAAUGGGUUAACUGUUAUCUAGUCUAGGAUGGAGUCGAGGACUUGAAAAUGCUACAACUAUGUUUAAUGAUUAUUGAUUAAUAUAUAAUUUGUUGUACAAGUUUGAGACGAAGAACUCUCAAAUCUCAAGUAAUGACUAAUGUGUGAAAUAGUUUAUAGUUAAUUUCAAUAACUUAGUUUGAUAGGUCUUUGUGAGAAUAUAUAGUUGAGAACUUGAGAUAUUAUUUUGUUAAUGAACUUAAGAAAAGAUAUCUUCAGUUUUUACAACCAGUAUACUAAUUUGAAUUAAUUUAUUUUGUUGAUGAAACUAUUUUAACGGUGAUUAGCUCUUAUUAAAUGUGUUAUUUCCCUAAGCUUGACUAAAUGUGCGCCUAUUUUUAAGUAUUGGUGUUUGAUGUUAAAUUUUUGUUUCAGGUUCGUAAGUUAUGACGAUGAAAUUCGCAAGGGUGUGAUUCCAUAGUUUUUGUCGCAAUUCUGCUUAUCAAGUAAGCAGUGGUUUUCCCUAACUUGUUAUUUAAGAGAUUAGAAAUGUUUGGAGCCUUGUCGGCUUAUAUAAUUGCAGCUUGGUUGGCUUAUAUGAUUGAUUAUUGUACGAUCAACUAUUUCAGAAGAAAGAUAGAAUGGAUUGACUAUGUUGUCAAUAGAGAAAGAAAUAGUUGAAUAGCUAAACUAUUCAAAUUUUAUUAAUGUUUUUGCCUUUUAGACGAAUAAUAUUUAACUAAUUACUUGAAAUAUUUUGGUUUUGUUAUUUGAUAAUAUAAAUUUUUUAUAUAAUAUAUCUGUUUGUUGUUUUAACUAAAUUUUAAGUUAGCAAUAAGUUGCAUAAUAUACCAUUGCAUUUACGUUGAUUUCGGGAGGGGGCCUAAUUUAUAUGCUUUGCCUUGAACCCUGACAAUCACAGGACCGACCUUGAUAGUAGCAAACCCACAUGAUCUCUAAGAAGCAUACAGGUGCAAAGGAUUCGGCUCUAGUCUUAUAGGGCUAGCUUUAUAGUGGUACACCAAUUUAACUAACAACUCAAUAUCAUCUUUUGUACAAUUAAAUGAUAUUUUUGUAGAGCAAUUCGCAAGUAGCAGAAAAUUAAUUAUUCGAACAUCCUCUAUAAAAUUGUACAAUGCACAGAAAUCUCUACUUUCAAAAAAAGAUUUAAACCUGACUCAGACCUCUACAAGGAAUUGACUAAGUACGCUUACUACACAAUGAAAGAUGUGUUGGUAGAGGCCUAGGCUCAAAUCAAGAGGGAAGAUGACGAGGCUAAUGCAUUUCGCAACCUACUCUUCAAGAUCAAAGAACCUAAAGGUAUCCAGAGGAUACAAAGACGACAAACUGACCCAUAUCCAAAAUUGAUUGUAGAAUCUUGUGAAGAACGGACAACUAGAAACUAUUGAGUGCCUUCACCAUUCUUACGAUAGACCAAGGAUACCCGAGUACAACCUUAGCAUUUUAUCAGUUGAAGUUGUAGCCAUAAUAAAAGGGAAGGAAAAUACCAUCAAAUUGAUAGGAAAAAUGAGAAGUCAUCUAGGCAACAGGCGUGAUACAUCCAAACCGUGUGCAUUUUAUGGUGAUCACGAACACAAAAUUCAUGAUUGUAUUGGUUUGUGAUUGGAAGUUGCUAAUCUACUCAAAUGUAGGCACUCACCAAUCUCCUAACAAAGAAAGGAAAAAAUACAUUGUUUCUCGGCAACCAAUGCUACAAUGAACCACACAAUCUAUGAAUUUCCAAGCACAUCCAAAGCUCGGUCGAGCAAUAACUUCAUCACCAAAGGAUCGAAGGUUAGCGGGAUCACUUAUUCUGUUGUACAAUGAUGCAUUCAAAUAAUUGGAUAGGUGGCGUGGAACGAAUCUCGAAAGCUUUCAAUAAGCUGAGAAGGCCAUCCCACUACGCUUAACUUUACAAGUAACGAGGCAUCAAACCUCCAAAACCUUCAUUGCGAUGCUUUGGUUAUUUCGUUAUGUAUUGCUAGCUAUCUUAUGAAAAGAAUUUCUAUCGACAAUGUGAGUUCUACUAAUAUAUUUUUCCUUGAGACAUUAAGAGAGAUGUAGGUCCCAGAGUCCAGCAUUAUAUGCAAUAUUACCACACUCAUAUGAUUCAAUUGAGAACACAAAACUACACUAUGAGAGAUGAUGCUCUUGGUCUAUGAUGAAGAAGUAAAUCUUCAUACCAAGUUCCUUGUCAUCGAGUGCCCAUUGGCCUACAACGUUAUCAUAGAAAGACAUUGGAUAUAUGCAAUGAAAGAUAACCUUCAAGCUAUCACAAGGUCAUGGGCUUUCCCAUUUCCUGGAGAGUUAAAAAAAUAUGAGGAGAAUCAAAGAGUCUCACGCAACUGCUAUAUGAAUGCUUUCAAACCCUGACCAGAAUGAGUGCACUAGAUCCAACAAAAAGUAAGCGAAUCGCUUGAGCCAGAUAUGGAGGACAUCAACAAAGUCCAAUUAUAUCUAGACAUUUCAAAGCAUACAGUGUAGAUUUGAGAUUAAUUCCCAUCAGACAUCUGAGAUGUAAUAAUUGAAUUUCUAGCUUGACAUCAAGAUCGCUUUGCAUGGUCGCACAUGAAUAUGACAUGUAUUGAUCCUUCAAUAGUAACCUAUAAAUUAAAGGUCAAUCCCACUACUAACUAGUUAGACAGAAGAGACACAAAUUCGCUCCAAAAACGAUAAAAAUUAUUAACGACAAAAUACAAAAGCUCAUUGACAUCGGCUCAGUACGUGAAGUCUAAUAUCCAAAUUGGUUGGCCAAAGUCGUCAUCAUUGAAAGGAAAAAUGGCAAAUGAUGGAUCUGCAUAGACUUCAUAGAUUUAAUAAUCGUGCCCAAAAAAUUCCUUCCCUCUAUCACAUAUCGACACUUUGGUGGUCUCCACAGCAAGGUAUAAGUUACUUAGCUGUAUGGAUGCAUUCUCAAUAUACAACCAAAUCUUAAUGCAUCCAAGUGAUCAAGAGAAAAUGGCUUUAAUAACGGGAGGAGAUGUUCUAUUACUAAGUCAUGAUAUUCGACCUAAAAAAUGCAGAAGCAACAUACCUGAUACGACCCAUCCCAAAUCACUAUAAUGAACCCGACACGUGUCGUGCGCCAAUGAAUGAUACCAGCUAAAUGCCAGACCUACCACCAAAUCAACUAUGAUUUGCUUUGACUGUCACAUAAUUAUAUAAAAAUUUGACAGAGUUUCCUCUAAGAUAUGGACUAAAAUAACCUGAAAGUUUAUCAACUUUCUCAAAUCAAUACAUAUAAUUUAAAACAAGGUACAUCAGCCCUUCCAAACACAACUAUUCAAAAUAAAGUACGAUUGAAUGGAAUUUACACUUCUUUACAAACCAGAGGACUCCAAAUACAUUACUUAUACAAAUUAUGUAGUGAGGCCAUGAUAUAAAUUGACAAAAGAUGCAUCUACCCCAAAAAAUUAUGAACUGUAUAAAUUGACAAAAAGAAACAUACAAAUAACAACUGAGGGGCUCAAUUUGGUAAUUCAACAGGCUCCGAUGUGGCUUAACACAGCUACCGUCUGAUAAGAAAAAGGGAGAUGAAAUAUAUGAGUUUGUAACUCAAUGAGUGGAUAAUUUUGUAAACAAAUAUACUUUUUCCAUUUAUGCUAACUUUCUAAAAACUGGUUUAUAAUAGAAAUAUCAUUACAUAGUACUUUAAGCUAAAUUCUGUAUUCUGAAAUUUGAUAAGUUGUAUAAUACUGAAAAAUCACACUAAAAAGGUACCCGGAAUAACUAUACUUAUGUAUCGAUUAGCAUCGAUAGACAUGGCAAAGAUAUCCAAUUCUGAAAUUCUGUAAUUCUAAAAUUUUGGUCAUACGAUGCACAGCUUUCUGGUCAUACACCAUGGAAACACAUUAACAAUAGUGCAAAGUAGGUAAAAUCACCAUAAUUAGUCAUACACUGUGGAAACACAUUCACACUAGUGCAAAGCGGGUAAAAUCACCUGGGUACUUUCUAGUGAUUUUUAGAAAAUAACUUUAAAUAUGCUGAACUAUUUAAUACUGAAAUAAUGUGCCAAUGAAAUGCUUUAACUGAACUGAAUUUAACUUCAAAACACAACUGUUAAUAAAUCAACUUUUUUCUGAAAAUCGUGUUUUCAAAUCAACUGUAUGAAUUAAUAAAUUUUCUAAUUUAAUAUAAAUUUUAUAAAUACUAAUUUCUUAAAAAUAAGUUUAUAUCCACUCACACAAUACGAGCUACACACUAGGCCACUUGGUAAGCUUUUCCAAUUUCUUUGUCACCACAUGAAAUACGUUACAAAAUAACUAAUUUAACUACUAUUAAAAUCAAGAAACCUUUUAUCUCUAAUGAUAAAAUAAUUAAACUAAAUUUUCCAAGACUUGCGAAAUUUUUUUAAAUUUCCUUUAUUCAAUUGGAGUUAAUUUUAAUUUCUAAUAAUACCUUCACACAUGGGUACUUUACCCAAAUUUACUUUCAUCCCAUUCAUAAAAAUAAUUAUACUUUCUGAUCUAAUGCAAACUAGUAACCAUAAUUCCACCUAUUUAAACUUUCAUCUUGUUUCUCAACUUCAUGCUUUCAUAUGAGUAUUCCAUCAAUAUAAUCAUUUCCAUGAAAUAUCCUUACUUAAGAAUCCAAUUAAAAAUUCUAGGGUUUGCCAAAUUUUUUUUGAUAUUUCUUACCUUAAUUCAAACGGAGACUAACCAAUCAAGAAGCUUGAGCUAGAGAUCAUAAUCCUUUCUCUAAAUCUGAAAUUUCGAACCAAAUUAAAACCCUAGAAAUUUAACAUAAAAUUUAUCUACCUCUUGAAGAAAAUAAAGAGAAAGGAAAAAUGAAAAUAAACCUUGAACUACAUCUUUCCCUUCUUCUUCCUCUUUUUCUUUUCCUUUUUCUCCUUCUUUUUCUUCACUUUUUUUCCUUUCUUCCUUCCUUCCGCCGAUUUUUCUCCUUCUCUGCCGGUUUCAAGAUUUUUCCUAUUUGUGUGGCUGAGUGAUAUAUAAAAAAAUGGGCUAGUUGUUGUACAAUUGCCACAUGCCCUCCAUAACAUCAACUUUUGCAAAUUAUGUCCUCAUUAAUAUACUUAGGAUCCGUUUGAUUGCAAAUGUGGAAUUUGGGUGAAAAGAAAACGAAUUUCAGGGAAUUGAAUUGAUGAGAAAUUGUUUUACUGGGAGUUGUAAAUUAUUGUGUUUGAUUGAUAUAAUUUUUUACGUGAAAAUUGUUUAAAUUAAAUUUUUUUUGAUGUCUGUUUGGUUUUGUUUUACAUGAAAAAUGUCAAUUAAAGGGAUAGAAUUUACUGGUAUUUGGAAUGAAAUUUGUUUUCAUUGCCAAAAUAAAAAAAAAUUCAAGAAAAUCAUCGAUUUUUGGGUGUUCGUUUGAUUUUGUUUUACAUGAAAAUUGUCAAUUAAAGGAAAAUAUUUUUUUACAAUAAUUUUUAGAAUUUAUUUUCAUUGCUAACACAAAAAAAGAAGGAAAAAAAAAUUGAAAACCUGGAAUUCACUUUCCUACCGUAUAGGUGGAAAAACCAAUUCCUUGAAAUGAAGGAAAAUAGGCGCGUGUGAGGCUUGCAUGGAAAGUGAAUUCCAAGGAAAUGUUUUGCCAUCAAACACUAGAAUUUGGAAAAGAUGGAAAUUAAUUUUCACUUUCUAGGGAAUUCAUGGGCAAUCAAACGGUACCUUAGAAUCAUUUACUUCCCAAAAAUAGAAAAAUAAAUCCCUAACUUUUCCACCUUAAACCUUCCGAUUAUUUCUCAGUAUAAAUUAAACUCCAAUAAUUAAUUUAUUUUAUUUUAGUCUCUAUUUGACUUUGACUUUGACGAGUCAAUCUUUGAAUUUUGACUAAACAAAAAUCGGUUGUAACAUCUUACUUCCUUAAAAGAAUUUCAUUCUCGAAAUUCCACUGGCAUCUGAUUAGGUAACGAAUAGAUGAGGAUACUGAAUACGCAUCUGAUCCUCAUGCUCCCAGGUUGCCUCUUCUACCGUCUGAUUCUGCUAAAGCACCUUUACAAGUAAAAUUGUCUUGUUCCGCUGAAUUUGCACCUUUCUGUAUAGAAUUCUCACUGGCUCCUCUGUAUAAGUCAAAUUCUCCUUCAAGUGAACUAGAUGAGACUCUAGAACAUGAGAAGGAUCUGUAAUGUACUUUGGAGCAUGGAGACAUAAAAAACAUCAUGGAUCCUAGAUAAUUCAGUUGGCAAAUCUAAUCGAUAUGCAACUAGACCAAUUCGCUCAGUAAUCUCAUAUGGUCCAAUGUAUCGUGGACUCAAUUUUCCUCGCUUGCCAAAUUUUAAAACUCCCUUCCAAAGCGACAAUUUUAGAAAUAUUUUAUCUCCAACUAUGAAUUUCAGAUCUUUUCUGUGCCUAUCUGCAUAACUUUGCUAUCUAUCUUAUGUUGGUUUUUCAACUUUUCUCUGAUCAAUUUCACAUUUACUGAAGUCAUUUGAACCAAUUCAGGGCCUACUAACUUCCUCUUACCAGCUUUAUCCCAGCAAACUGAUAUUCUGCACUUUCUACCAUAUAAAGUUUCAAGAAGAGCCAUUUCUAUACUGGAGUGGUAACUGUUAUUGUAAGCAAACUCCAUCAAUGACAAAUGUGAAUCCCAGCUACCCUGAACUCUAAAACACAAGCCCUCAACAUAUCCUCAAGAGUCUGUAUGGUCCUCUCUGACUGACUAUCUGUCUGAGUAUGAAAAGCUGUACUGGGCCAAAAUUUAGAUGUAAAAUGAGGGUCUCUGUCAGACAUAAUAUAUAAUGGAGUACCAUAUAAGCUCACUAUCUCGUCCACAUACAACUUUGCUAACUUAUUUAAAGUAUAAGUGGUUUUGAUUGGCAAAAACCUUGCAGACUUGGUCAAACGAUCCACAAUAAUAACCCAAAGAUCAUUAUGACCAUUCUGGGUACGAGAAAGACCAAAUAAAAAGUCCAUAGUAAUGUGCUCCCAUUUCUAUUCUAGAAUAGGCAAUGGCUAUAAUAGUCUUGUUGUUUUCUAACGAAUUGGUUUUACCUACUGACAGAUAAGACGUUUGGAUACAAAAAUAUGUUAUCUCUCUCUUCCACAAGUAAUGUUCUUUCAACGUAUCAUACUUUCAAUGUAUGAUACAUUUUAAUACAUUUUGAUAGAGUCUUCUUUAAAAGAUGGACUAAAAUCACCUGAAAGUUUAUCAACUUUCUCAAACCAAUACAUAUAAUUUAAAACAAGGUACAUCAGCUCUUCCAAAAACAACUAUUCAAAAUAAAGUACGUUGGAAUGGAAUUUACACUUCUUUACAAACCAGAGGACUCCAAAUACAUUACUUAUACAAAAUUAUGUAGUGAGCUCAUGAUAUAAACUGACAAAAGAUGCAUCUACCCCAAAAAUUAUGAACUAUAUAACUGACAAAAAGAAACAUACAAAUAAUGACUGAAUGACUCAAUUUGGUAAUUCAACAGGCUCCGAUGCGACUCAACACAACUAUUGUUUGAUAAAAAAAAGGAGAUGAAAUAUAUGAGCUUGUAACUCAGUGAGUGGAUAAUUUUGUAAACAAAUAUACCUUUUCCAUUUAUGCUCACUUUUCAAAAACUGGUUUAUAAUAAAAAUAUCAUUACGCAGUAUUUUAAGCUAAAAUCUUUAUUCUUUAAACUGAAUAAGCUAAAUUCUGUAUUCUGAAAUCUAAUAAGCUGUAUUAUACUGAAAAAUCACACCAAAAAGGUACCCGGAAUAACUAUACUCAUGUCUCGGUUAACACCGAUAAACAUGACAAAGCUAUCCAAUUCUGUAAUUCUGGUCAUACGCACGCAGAGCUAUCUGGUCAUAAACUAUGGAAACACAUUCACAAUAGUGUAGAGCGGGUAAAAUCACCUAGGUACUUUCUGGUGGUUUUUAGAAAAUAACUUUAAAUAAACUGAACUAUUUAAUAUUGAAAUAAUAUGCCAAUGAAAUGAUUUAAUUGAACUGAAUUUAACUUUAAAAAUAACUGUUAAUAAAUCAACUUUAUUCUGAAAAUCGUGCUAUCAAAUCAACUGUAUGAAUUAACAAAUUUUCUGAUUUAAUAUAGAUUUUAUAAAUACUAAAUUCUGAAAAGUAAAUUUAUAUCCACUCACUCAAUACGAGCUACAGACUAAGUCGGUCGGUAAGCUUUUCCAAUUUCUUCGUCACCACUUGAAAUACGUUACAAAAUAACUAAUUUAACCACUAUUAAAAUCAAGAAACCUUUUAUCUCUAAUGAUAAAAUAAUUAAACUAAAUUUUUCAAGACUUGCAAAAUUUUCCUAAAUUUCCUUUAAUCAAUUGAAGUUAAUUUUAAUUUCUAAUAAUACAUUCACACGUGGGUACUAUACCCAAAUUUACUUUCAUCCCAUUCAUAAAAAUAAUUAUACUUUCCAAUCUAAUGCAAACUAGUAAUCAUAAUUCCACCCAUUUAAACUUUCGUAUUGUUUCUCAACUUCAUGCUUUGAUAUGAGUACUUCAUCGAUAUAAUCAUUUCCAUGAAAUAUCCUUACUUAAGAAUCCAAUUAAAAAUUCUAGGGUUUGCCAAAAAAAAUUUGAUAUUUCUUACCUUAAUUCAAAUGGAGACUAACCAAUCAAAAAGCUUGAGCUAAAGAUCAUAAUCCUUUCGCUAAAUCUGAAAUUUCGAACCAAAUUAAAACCCUAGAAAUUUAAUAUAAAAUUUAUCUACCUCUUGAAGAAAAUAAAGAGAAGGGAAAAAUGAAAAUAAAUCUUGAACUACAUUUUUCCCUUCUUCUUCCUCUUUUUCUCCUUCUUUUUCUCCUUCUUUUUCUUCCCUUUUUUCCUUUCUUCUUUCUUUCUGCCCAUUUUUUUCUCCUUUUCUGCCAAUUUCCAGAUUUUUCCUAUUUGUGUGGUUGGGUUGUGCUUCAUAGCCCACGAGCUUGACAAAGGGGUUGACACCCCACACACACAUGGGGAGAUCGGUAUUAUUUUAUUCAAUGGGACCCACCUCGGCAUGUGAGAGGGUGGUCAGCCGUGGUGUCAACCCCGCGGGUCGUUUAGCAUUUUUCUUGUGUGGUUUGAGUGGUAUAUAAAAAAAAUGGGCUAAUUGUUGUAUAAUUGUCACAUGCCCGCCAUAACACCAACUUUUGCAAAUUAAGUCCUUCAACAUUAAUAUAUCUUAGAAUUAAAUCUUUUACUUCCCAAAAAUAUAAAAAUAAAUCCUUAACUUUAAAUUUUAUCCACCUUAAACGUUCCAAUUAUUUUUCAAUAUAAAUUAAACCCCAAUAAAUAAUUUAUUUUAUUUUAGUCUCCAUUUGACUUUGAUUUUGACGAGUCAAUCUUUGAAUUUUGACUAAACAAAAAUGGGUUGUGGCUCAUCAAUUCAAUGUUUACCAAAUUGCUCGAAAAAGUGAUGAGUGCCUACAUAAACGAUAUGCUCAUCAAAUCAUUUGUAGUGACUGACCACAUCAGGUACCCGGGUAGUCUUUCUAAGUCCUCAAAACGUAUAAUAUGAAACUCAAUAAUUAUAAAUGUUCAUUUGGUGACUCUUUUGAAAAAUUUGCAGGUUAAUAAGCAAGGGAUAGAAUUAAAUUCAGACCAAGUAUGAUCAAUCAUCAACAUCCUGUCUCCUAGACACAUCAAAGACAUUUAGAAGUUGACUAGACGAUUAGCUGCGAUCAACCAGUUUAUAUCAAAAUAUUAGAAGAAAAAUUGCAUUUUCUUUAACACAUUGCGAAAGAACGAAGAGUUCAUUUCGACUCCGAAUGUAAGAAAGCUCUACAAAAAUUAAAGAAUUAUUUGACAAGUCCACCGCUCCUAUCCAAGCCAAAAGACAGCGAGAUGCUCUACCUUUACUUAGCAAUAUCUUUGUCUGCAGAAAACGUCAUACUUGUCCAGGAGGAGGAUAGAAAGCAGCAUGUGGUGUGCUACAUUAGUAGAUUCUUGCUCAACUCUGAAUAUCGGUACAGAAGCUGAAAAAGCUUGCACUCGUCCUCGUAAUCAAGGGAAGGAAGCUAAGGCCCAUACUUCCAGCACACCUAUAACGGUGCUUUUGACCUUCCUAUAAAAGAUGAUCCUCCAUAAACCAGAAUUGUCGAGCCGACUAGUGAAAUGGCAGUAGAACUUAACGAAUAUGACUUGACUUACCAACUACGGUCCGCGGACCACUAUCAAAUCACAUGUGCUUGCUGACUUUAUUGUUGAUUUUUCAACCGACAAACAUGUCCUGUCCAAGAAAGAAAUUUUUGCAGUAACGGAGAGCUUAAUUUCGAAAGAAUUGACCUAGCGUUGGAUGGAUCAAGCAACUCUAAUGAAAGUGGACUGGGCAUAAUCUUAACCUCAUCCGAAGCCAACAUAAUCGAACGAGCAAUACAAUGCUGAUUCAAAGCAACGAAGCUGAAUAUGAAGCUCUAAUUGGGGAUCUAUCACUUGUAAAAGACACGGGUAUGAAGAAAAUCAAAUUGUCGAACGAUUGACAAAUAGUCACCCACCAAAUCUAAGGCAACUACUCAAAGAACAAAAAUGGCGACAUAUCUCAAAAUCGCAAAAGAGCUUCAGUCUUUCUUCCAGGAUUUUGACAUAAUCUAAAUCGUUAGAGAAGAUAAUAAUAAUCAUGCUAACGCACUUAGAAAUUGCAAUACUUUAUUAUACUAAUUGUAUCAUGUUUUAUAUUCUAACAAAAAAUUAUAUUUUAUUUUUCUUUUUGAAAUUUAUUAGAAAAUUAUGUUAAUCUUCAAAGUUCUAAUGUUAAAUUUAUAUAAUAAAUAAAAAAAAAUCAAUAAAACUAUUUGUACAUCCAAGAUUGACACCCCGGAUGACACUCCCCUUACAAGAGAGGGGGGUCCACACGUAAUAAAAUAAUUGUGAGCUCCCCUCUUGUGAAGGGAGUGUCAUCCGGGGUUAACACUUCGGAUGUACAAAUAGCAAAGUCCAAAAAAUAUAUAAUAAUCACUUACAAAACAUAUACAUGCACGUUGGAAAAAGGAAGGAUCGCUUAUAUAUUGAUAGGUGUGCAUGGCAUAUGGCUAAUUGUAAUUGGAACCUGAAUUUCAAGAAAGGAAAAAAAAAAUGAAUGGGGAUUCUAGUGCCACAAGUGAUAUAAUUUUAGAAAACUUCCCACAAUCGAAUUGUUAAUCAAAAAUGAAUAUUUCUACUCAAACAGGGGCCGUGACAGCCUUAAUAGGCGCCCCCUCCAAUAGGGGGACGCCCAUGUCACAGUAACAAGCCCCAUCAAAAAUAGCAUAGACAAUUGUAGAAGAGGUGAACUUGAGACAGAAGGUUAAUUGAAGGUUUAAUUCUGAUUUUCUUAUUUCUUUUUUAAUUUUAAAAGUUUCUUGAUUUGGCUACUUGUGCUUCUUUGGAAGUGAUAAUGACCUGCUAAAUUUCGUUUAUCUUCUUCUACGUUUCUGAUUAUUUUCUUCUACAUUUUGUGCCCAAGCCUUUAUUCUAUAACUAAUUUUCAAUGCUACAAAAGGGUGAGUAGCAUUUUAUGAACUCUUUGAACCUUUUUUAAGUACUUUUUUCCUCUUGAACAAUCUGGAUUAUGUUUUUGAAGUUUUAGAUGUAUACAAGUAUGGACGGAGACAAAAUAUUAUAAUAUAUUUUUAAAACUCUUACUUUCAAUAUUUAGUUGUCACCAUAUUUCUAAUUUUGUUGGUAACAAAUGAGGCAUCUUUGACAUUUUUAGUUCACUUCCCAUAAAUAAACGAUGAAGAUUGAUUCUAUUUUAUGAUUCAUAUUUUUUCUAGAUUAUUUUUGUUGACGCAUAAAAAUUCAGCCCAAAUCGAACAGCCCAAGGAGUGAAGCCUAAUUGGAUGAUCCCCAAAUCAAAUAGUCCAAAGAAUGAAGCCCAAUCGAACAAAUCAAGAUGAAGGCCCAAAUAAGGAGGCCCAAGAACGCGGUAACGCCAUCGCCCAAGUUUGCAAGUCGCCCAGAAUCUGAGCGAAUGGAGUGUCAUACAAUCGCCCAGAGCUGUUACUCUAUUCACGCCCAAACCUUCAAGUCGCCCAAGGUCUUAACAAACAUAAAGCGUAGUGGUUAUCAAGAAGUGCAGUUAUCAAAGCAGUUAUUAAAGCAGCCCUAUCACGUUCCACGAUUCAAGGAAUUCAAUCGAAAGCGGUUGAACGAUGAAGAGUAAUGGCAGCAGUUAAAAAAUACAGUUUUCAUGACAAGUUGGCCAUUACAAAGAAAGUGGGCAGUUAUAGGACGAUCAAGCAGUUUUUAGGACGGUUGAUCACAAAGAGAUCGUCCAUGAAGUAUAAAAGGGAGAAAGAACAUAGAAGCAAAGGACCGAAUCAAAAACUCUCGAACAGAGAACAUGUAAUUUUCAUUUCCUUAGCUUAGACUUAAACGCUUUUCUUCCAGUAACUCGUGUGCUUGCGCCCAUUGGAGGCACAUUGUUUUUAAUUUCCAAUUGUAAAAUCAUCGCCAAUAAAAGAACACCCCUUUUUGGGACUUUGUCUCAAGAGGUUUGUCCCUUACACAAUCGUCUGAUCAUUUUUAAUUGUUAGAGACUAACCCACGCGAAACAAUUUGGCACGCCCAGUGGGACAGUGGUGUUAGGUGUUGAAAGUACAAAAGGUGAAACAAUAUGCCUCAGAGAUCCGAUAAGGAAGUAGCAAGUCAGGGAGGAAUCCAGUCUGUGAUCGAGCGAUAUGAGGAGCAGCAUGCCUCUCCACGAACAGAUGGACAGAAUCAGAGCAGUAACGGUCGUUAUGAACCAAUGACAGAGUUGAGUCCUCGAACCAUGCGUACAUUACUUGGAGAACUUACGCAAGACGUCAUUAAACAGGUAAAUCUUCGAAUUAUUCAUAAUAUGGAAAGAUUUACGCAAAAUGGGAAUGUACACUAUGACAACAUGGCCAAACAAUUAAAGACGUUGAACGAAACAAUGAAUAAGUUAGUAGGCCAAAUCUGUCAACCGGCUAUACCUCUUACAAACCACUUUCAAACUAGGACAAUUGUGGGACAUAAUCCCUCGGUCCUAAAUCCGAAUCAAGGGGUAGAACCGCUUUCUGGUCCCUCUACUUCAAACCAAGGGGGUACUACAGUGCCAAAUCAGAACAAUGGUAGUGGUAUGCCUAACAUGGGGGGUAAUCCAAAUGUGAGAGAUAAUGUCCUAAACAAUGGACAGAAUAUUCCACGUGUUAAUGAGGGAAUAGAUGUUCGGGCUAAUGGUAAUGGCCCUAAUCAUGGUAAUUUUGUUGCCAAUCAAGGACCAAACAUUAGGCCUCAUGCAAAUCAACCGGUUAGCCAACCUGUAGGAAUACCAUAUGACCCCAACGUCAUGUUGAGGAACCAGAUUAUGGAAAUCGUACAGGAUCAGAUGGCUUUUGGGGUGCGUCCCGUCAUUAGGCCGACGUACAUAAAGCCAUAUCCUGAUUGGAUAGACCAAGCAUAUCCAUGGCCUAGAGGGUACAAAGUGCCAGAAUUCUCACUGUUUACCGGUUUAGGAGAGGUGUCUACUCUAGAACACAUAGGGCGAUUCACAUUGCAAAGUGGUGAUGUAACCGAUUACCAUAAAAUGAGACUUUUCCCUAGUUCGUUAACAGGAGUAGCUUUCUCCUGGUUCAUCAACUUGCCAGCGAACUCUGUUCAAAUAUGGCUACAAUUAGAACAGUUGUUUCACACUCAGUUUUAUAAAACUGAGUCUGAAGUUACUUUGGCUGAUUUGGCGAAUCUACGUCAAAUGCCAAACGAAUGGGCAGAAAGUUUUCUCCAAAGGUUCAAGACAGCAAGAAGCAAGUGUUUUGUACCUCUGGUCGAAAAAGAAUUUGUCAAAAUCGCUUAGGGCUGCUUGAGCUUUGAUUUAAAAAAGAAGUUCCAGGACAAGAAAUUUCCUGACCUUUUCCAGUUGAGUGCGAAUGUGAUUAGGUAUGAGCGAUUGAUAAGAGAGGAAGAACAAAUGAAAAAUUUCAGUAAAGGGACUUAUUACAAAGACCCAAAUUUUGACGUUCAUACCAUCGACGACGAGUCAUACGAUCAGGCCGAAAUGUGUUUGGCAGAAUUGGUCAAAGGAGAUACAUAUACUUGUCCUAUAAUAGCCAAGCCUAGACCAUCGGGCAAAGAUGAGCCCAUAAAAGAUGGAAACAUAAAGGCUAGAACGUUCUCGUUCGACGUAACCAAAGCUGACCUUAUAUUCGAUAAAUUAUAUAGGGAUAAGCAGAUAAAAUUGAGCGAUAAGCACAAAUUGCCAAACCCUGAACAAAUUAAGGGUAAAAAAUAUUGUAAGUGGCAUAAUGCAUGGUCACAUUUGACUAACCAUUGCUUGGUUUUCCGCCAUGUAUUGCAGGAUGCCAUUGAAUUAGGGCGAAUUACGUUCGAUGAUAAGAAAAAGAUGGCAGUGGACGAGAAUCCUUUCCCACAGCCACUUGGAGUAAACAUGGUAACAUCUGGAUUCAAAAACAAGUUGCCAAAAUUCAAGUUGGUCGUAAACGAUGGAGAAGAGGAUCCUAGACCACAUCCCAGCGUCUUUGAACGAAUCAAGAGGAAAGAACCAAAAAAGGACGAAGACGUCCUGUGUGCAAGGUGUAAAAGAGAAGUGAAUGGAAAUACGGAGAAACCAGGGAUAUGACAGCAUCCUCAUCACCCUACCUUCUUCCCAAACACUCAACUUGGUAGAGGGCGAGGUACAUCAUUCUUAGAGGACCGCCUUUUGAGAGGCAGUUCAGGCCAGUAGAUAAUGGAAGAACAUUCAGGCCGCAACCUCACCGGCCAAAUGUAUGGCAUUCAUUCUAGUACAAUGCAGGAAGAGCAAUACCCUUCGAUGAGAUGACUAGGACCCAACAAAGGCAUUUUCAACGAAACUACGGACGGAUGAUGAGGCAGCAACAGGGGAUGCCACAUCCUAAAGCGCCUAAACUACUUAAGGUAGCCAAUCAAAACUUCCUCAAAAAUAAUGAAGAGACCGGUACAGAUGAAUCAAUGAAGAAACUGCUAGAAACUUCUUCUGGGAGAUCAAGGUUUGAGCGAGACAGAAGGGAUGAAGAAGAUCUAGAUCAGCCCCUCACUAUCCAACUCGGUACGUUGCCUCCUGUCGUGGCCAAUAAUUACUUACUGGCCAAUGAAUUCAAGAACAAAGAAAAAGAAGAAGAGAGGGAGGACAACGAAGGAGAAGCCUGCGUGCUGGUAUGUGAAGAAGGCCAGACUUCUAGAGAGGCCUACAACGAUGAAGAGGACAACGGGAUGACAGACAUUGAAGAAGAAAUCGACCUAGAAGCAGAGAGAAGAAAAAGAAGAGUAUCGCGCAAUACUCUGUUAAAGCAACUACAUCGAGAGGGAGUUCACGAAGUAGACUUGUUGGGGGAACCAUCUGGGCGCCCUUUCGAUUUCUACGUACUGUACGGGACACCCAAAAGGAAGAAGAGAGUACCUCUCUCUGAAAAGUAUGGAUCACCUCCAAGAAUAAUGUCCCCUCCCACAGGUUAGGUAACUGAUGAGGAAGCAUUAGAAAGAAGUAGGAAGGAAGUUCAGGAGACAGAGGAUCAGCGCGAUGUACUGCACGUCGACUUAUCACAGGGGGAUAAUUCGACAGAAAACAAGCAGGAAGUAGAAAUAGAGGCUGCCAAAAAAGUUAUUUUUAAACGGCCAGCCAUGAAAUUGACUAAACACUUGAGGCCAUUAUACGUUAAAAAUCUAGUUAACGGCGUCCCAGUGGCAAAAGUGCUUGUCGACAAUGGAGCAGCUAUAAACACCAUUCCAUCUAGGAUGAUGAGGAAGUUCAUAAAGAUAGAGGGUGACAUGAUUCCUACAGAAGUCAUCCUCACUAGCUUCAAUGGAGGAGCGAUUUCAGCUAAGGGAGUUAUGCCAUUGGACAUAACUAUAGGGACGACUACUAGGACCACUGUCUUUUUUGUAAUAGAUGGUCCUACUAGUUACAAUGUGCUAUUAGGAAGAGAUUGGAUACACGGAAGUCGCUGUAUACCCUCAUCACUCCAUCAAUGCCUGAUCUUCUGGAAUGACAAAGGCGAAGCUGAGGUGGUACAGGCCGAUCAUAGGCCUUUUGUCGCAGAAGCAAACUCGGUGAAAAAGUUCAUGUACGAAGGAAACUAUGGACCUGUCAGGGUAGUACAAGACGGGGAAGAAACUCAGGUUGUCGCGCAAAGCGAAGAACCAUUCUCAGUGGACGCACUCACUGAGAUGUUUAAACAGAUGAGGCCAAAUAUAGUAGCCCUAGAAGAGCCAGUAAUUGGCAAAAGAAUAAUUAAGGAGUCUUGAAUGGACUUUAAGUUAUGAAAGCAAAUGGCCGACGUUCAGGACUUCAAAGCCAGACUGAUGGCUUUCAAUAAGGAAUGCAAUGACAAGGCGAAAGAAGAGACAGCCCUAAAAGCGCUGAAGGAUAAGUUGGCAGUAUUUGAGUUAGAGCAAAGCAUUGGCCGAGAAGUCAACAAGGUGGACUAUUUAGAAGAGAAAGUACUUACAAGGGAACUAAACGACGAAGUAAUGCGGAUCGCCAAACCUGGAUACGCUCAAGCACAAGACCCUCUGAUCAAAGUAAAUAUUGGCAAUGAAGGAGAAGAUCGUCCAACAUUCAUCAGCCAAAUGCUCGACCAAGAGGUUAGUAACAAGUUAAUAGCUUUGCUAAAAGAGUACAAAGAUUGUUUUGUUUGGGAAUAUGAACAAAUGCCUAGUUUAGAUAGAGACUUGGUGGAACAUAGGUUACCAACUAAGCCUAACUUUAAAUCUCAUAGGCGGCCUCCUAGACGUUUUGCUCCCAAUGUACUCCCUGAAAUCAAGAAAGAGAUAGAGCAAUUAUUGAAAGCAGGUUUUAUUAGAACAGCCAGAUAUGUCGAAUGGUUGUCAAAUGUCGUGCCAGUACUAAAAAAGAAUGGUAAACUAAGGGUGUGUAUAGACUUUAAAAAUUUAAACAUAGCUACACCCAAAGAUGAGUAUCCAAUACCCACGGUGGAUUUUUUAGUAGAUUCAACUGCCGGACAUGUCAUGUAUUCUUUCAUGGAUGGGUAUUCAGGGUACAAUCAAAUUUAUAUAGCUGAAGAAGACAUACACAAAAUUACUUUUAGAUGCCCAGGGUCUCUAGGAUGUUUUGAAUGGGUGGUUAUGCCUUUCGGUCUAAAAAAUGCAAGGGCAACUUAUCAAAGGGCAAUGAAUUUAAUCUUUCAUGAUAUGAUAGGCAAGUUUGUUGAAGUGUAUGUGGAUGACAUAGUAGUCAAGUCCAUUAAAGAAGAAGACCAUUUCGAACAGUUAAGAUAUUCGUUUGAGCGAAUGAAGCAAUAUAAGCUAAAGUUGAAUCCCUUGAAGUGUGCAUUCAGUGUUAAUGCAGGGAAUUUUCUUGGUUUCUUAGUACACAAGAGAGGGAUUGAACUUGAUAAAAAUAAAGCGAAGGCGAUUUUAGAGGCCAAACCACCUAGCAACAAAAAAGAAUUGCAAAGGUUUCUAGGCCAAGUAAUUUUUUUAAGACGCUUUAUUUCUAACUGUGCAGGGCGAACUAAAGUCUUUUCGCCGCUUUUAAAGCUGAAAAAUCAGGACGAAUUCGUCUGGAAAGAAGAACAUCAAAAGGCUUUUGAAAGCCUGAAGACAUAUCUAUCAAGUCCACCAGUGUUGGUGUCACCAAUUCAAGGACGGCUAAUGAAAGUGUAUGUAUCGGCUGAAAAAGAAUCAAUAGCUGGAAUGGUCGCACAGGAAGACCAAUUUGGUGAAGAAAGGGCAAUUUACUACUUAAAUAGACGGUUAACGAAAUGUGAAUGUAAUUACUCUGCUAUCGAAAAAUUAUGUCUUACAUUGUAUUUCACAUGUACAAAAUUAAGAGCUUAUUUACGGCCCGUAACCGUUUAUUUUAUUUCUAAAGUAAAUUUAGUCAAGUAUAUGUUCUCGCGCCCUAUUUUACACCAAAGGGUAGGCCUUUGGACACUAGCUUUAUCAGAAUUCGAAAUACAAUAUAUACCUCAAAAGGCAGUCAAAAAGCAGGCUUUGGCUAACUUUCUAGCCGAUCAUCCAUGCCUUGAUAUGCUUGAAGAGAUCGAACUAGAAAUCAAUUCAUUCGAGUUAAAACCUUGGGUGUUGUAUUUCGAUGGGUCAAAAACUUCUAAAGGUGCAGGAGUAGGAAUAGUAUUGAUUAAUCCUUUAGGGAUUUGCUACAAGUUCGCAUUCACUUUAGAUAGAAUGUGCACCAACAAUCAAGCCGAAUAUGAAGCCUUAAUUGUAGGCCUAGAACUAAUGAUAGAUAUGGGAGUAAGAAGUGUGAUCGUUAGGGGCGAUUCUCAAUUGGUGAUCCAUCAAUUGAUCAGUGAUUUUAAAUGACAAAGUGAUUCCAUUAUAAGUCAAUACGAGAUCGCCUAAGAAUUAUUAGAAGAAUUCGAUCAAGUAGAACUCCAAUGCGUUAAUAGGAUAUAUAACGACGUGGCAAAUGAGUUAGCCCAAAUGGCAUCAAGGUACUCAAAGGUUUUGAAUUGGAAGUCUACUUGUGAGUAUGGAAUCAUAUUGCCCGUGACUUAAAGAAGGGCGAGAAAGAUUGAACUCCACUGCAUACAAGAUGGAGAUGCAAUGGAUUGGAGAACAGAGAUUAAAAGGUUCCUUAAAGAACCAAUGGAGGGAUUAGUAGGAAAAUGAAGCUGUGUUUGCUGAACUAUAUACUAAUAGAUGAAGAGUUGUUUAAGAAACGCUCUUAUGGUGUAUUAUAAAAGUGUGUAAGUUUGCAAAAAGUCAAGACGAUCAUGGCUGAGGUGCACGAAGGGAUAUGUGGAGCUCAUCAAGCUGGCCAAAGGAUGAGAUGGUUAAUUAUUAGGAAUGGAUAUUUUUGGCCAAAGAUGGGAGAACUAUGCCUUCAGUAUGCAAAGAGUUGCUUAGCAUGCCAAAAGCAUGGUCCAAUACAAAGGGCGCCAGCACGAGAAAUGGCACCUAUUAUUAAACCUUAGCCGUUCAAGGGUUGGGAGAUAGACCUGAUAGGGAAGAUUUAUCCCCCAUCGUCCAAGCAACAUACUUUUGUUAUAGUUGCAAUCGACUAUUUCACCAAAUGGGUAGAAGCAAUACCUUUGAAAGAGAUCACCCAAAAAAAUGUUAUAGAGUUUAUCCGUGAUCACAUUAUUUAUAGGUUUGGAAUUCCACAAACGAUAAUGGUAGAUCACGGAACAUCUUUGAAUGGGGAUCAAGUGAACAAAUUUUUGAGCGAGUUUGGGGUUAAAUUAGUAAACUCCACACCAUACUACGUUCAAUCCAAUGGACAAGCGGAAUCUUCUAAUAAGAUUCUAAAAAAUAUCAUUAGAAAGAUGAUAGAUAAAAAUGUCAGAAAUUGGCACGAAUGUCUGAAUAAGGCUUUAUGGGCUUAUAGGACAUCACCUCGGUCAAGUACCAAGAUUACUCCUUUCCAACUUGCUUAUGGACAGGAGGCUGUUUUGCCUAUGGAAAUCAACGUGCAAUCGAUCAGAGUGUGCUUACAGCAUAAGUUGAAUGAUGAUGAGUAUGCCGAAUCACUAGUUCAAAAUUUAUUGGGGUUAGACGAAUUAAAGUUGGACGUCUUAGAUAGAUUACAAGAGCAAAAAAAAAGAAUGACUAAGUUUUAUAAUAAAAAAGUCAUAGCCAAGUCGUUCAGCCUGGGUGAACUAGUUUGGAAGACGAUACUCCCUUUGGAUAGCAAAGAUCCCAAGUACGGGAAGUGGUCGCCCAAUUGAGAAGGACCAUACAAAAUAAAUAGUAUAUUGCCCAAUGGAGCGUAUCACUUGGAGGAUUUAGACGACACCAAGCACGUAAGAUUCAUUAAUGGUAAAUAUUUGAAAAAAUAUGUUCCUUCUUUAUGGGAAUGUGAACAGAUAAAAUCAUAAUCAAAUAUGGUGAACGAUUAAAGGAUAAAGAGGUCAGAGCGAAAUACGUUCAAGUGAAGUCCUUUAUUAUCAAACGUUCAUUACAAGAAUACAAAAAUACAAAUAAUGGUUGUUCUAGGAAAUAUAAUUAAAAGUAAGCUAAUCUCCCGGUUGAUCGCUGAGUAAGCCUCACGCCGCCUUCCUAAAUGCAUCACUGCAAUGGUGGGAUCGCCGAGUAAGAGGGUGUACUGGCCUCACCGCCUUCCUAAAUGCAUCGCUGCAAUGGUGGGAUCGCCGAGUAAGAGGGUGUACUGGCCUCACCACCUUCCUAAAUGCAUCGCUGCAAUGGCGAGCAAAGAGGCUGAGAAGCACUCCCAGCAAGCAAGCUGAGAAGCACUCUCAGCAAGCAAAGUGGCGCACAAGCAGCCCAAAAAUUGCCUUCUAUCAUUGACUCCUUGUAAAGGACAAAGAGACGAUGGGAAGAACUUUGAAGGUAAAAACUUCGCUGCUGGCCAGAAAAUAUUUCCUAUACCUCCCACACCAAAGGUGACAUCAAGGUAAAUUGUAAAAUGGACUGACUAAACUGUCCAUUUUUGGUCAGAUUGAUUGUCAGAAUGCCAAGCAAUGGCAGUAAAUUAGUUUCGAAGAAGAAAAUAAAGAUGAAGAUAGAAGAUGGAAAAUGCGAAGCAUUUAUAGGAGGUGGAGACGAAGAGACAGAAUAUGAACAGCUACAUUUCUGCCUAAUAAACGGAAUUAAAUAGCCCAAAAUCUUGGGAAAAGUGGUGGAAAUAUCAAAAGAAAAUGGACAAGAUUUUUUAGCACAAAGCAGUCAAAUGCUUAAAGAAUUGACGACUAAAAAACAAACGUCAAAUAAAUGCACAAAAAGUUAAUGUUCAUUAAUGAUGAACAAAGCUACAAGAGGAAAAAUCAAAUUACAAAAGAAAAAAGACAUCGUAUGUCUUAAUUACAGUCCACCCCAUACUGAACGAAUUCGUUCCCUAAGUUUUUUCCAAUCCUCGUUCUGCCGAGAGGAAGUGAUGUUCAAUUCAGCCACGACAUCAUCAUCAACUUCCAACUUCUUGUACUGCUCGACCAAGGACUUAGUUCGCUCAAUUCCUUGGGAGGCGUUGCACUUUUCAGCAGCCAUUCUCGCCCUGUAGUCGUCCAUUUUGGCUUGAAGUUCCUUCAUCUGAGCAUGCAAAUUAACCAUCAAAGAGUCUUCAACCAUGACUUCGGAAGAGAUUUCUUUCAACUCGUCCUCAGCCUUGUUAAUCUCCAUACGCAAAGACUCUUUCUCAGCAACGGCUUGAAGAUAUUGAGUACGUUUGGCCUUUAGUUCAGCAUUCUUGGCCAGCAAAGAAAGGACCUCGGAGUGAAUAACCUUCAACGUCGCUUUAAAAUCGGCAGAAAGAUUGAGCGACGGAAGCAUCAAUGCUUGCUCCAACUUUGCACUCAAGUGCUCAAGUUUAUCCUUGUGUCUGGUGGCACUGGCCCUUCCAAUAUCCAUAUCCAUGAAGGAUACGUACUCAAGUAUCGACUCCUUGAGGACCUUCAAAUCUUCCUCUGAAGAAGCAGCAGGAUGAUCAGAUGGAGCAGGGCAAGACGUCUGGAGUUGCCCCUAGGAAGCGAACAAGUCUUGGAUAGAACGCACAAUUUUGUCAGCAUCCUGCAAAGAAAAUUGCCAAUAUUAAAGAUCCUCACUACAACGAACAAGAUAGAAAUAGAAGUAAAGCAAAGACUACCUCAUCAACAAUCGUAGAAGAUGGCAUGUCCUCAGCCAAGCUUGCCGCCAACGACUCCUCCAUUCGUGAGGACUUCCCCUUAUCUGAGCGAGAAGAUGUUGCCACAACGGGCGGACUCAUAGGAGUAUUUGCAAAACUCAAGAGCAACAAAUCAGAAACCAACAGCACAAGCAAAGGUAAGACAUCAAAAGACUAAAUUACCUUCUGCUUCAAUGUUUGGGGGGUUGACACCCUGGUAAGAAGGUGGUUCAUCCAUGGGUUGUGAUGAGAACUCUGGGACUGAAGAUGUCUCUUUAAGCGUAGCCUCCUCAUCAACCGGUUUAGAUGAAGUAGCCUCAGCAGAGGAUGAUGGAGUAGGAGCUGUCGAUGCCAAAGCCUUUGAAGGAGAGGCUGAGCUUUUCUGAGAAGUGCAAAAGAUCAUCAGCACACAGAAAAGUUUCAAGUGUGGAAAAGUAUACUUGUGAGUAAACCAAUUUAAUUACCUUCCUCCUGACGAUAAGAGGGGCAUCAUCAUCAUCAACAUCAUCCUCCAGAAUGGGAGAUACUGAGGCUGGCCGUUUACGGCUUGGGGUACUCUUGGCCGUAGUAGGCUUGGCAGGGAGAGAAGAAGAUGGAUGAACAGACUGUUUAGUGCGAUGAGAAGGAGAAGGACUACGAAUGGACAAGGGAGUGACUAAAAUAGGAGGAGGGGAAGAAAUGCUCGGUUGGUCUAAUGAAUGAAAGGCACGAUUGGCGUCAAUCGCAAAUAAUCUGCGCUUCACUGACGGCCAGAGCUGUUCAAAAAGAGGGUGAAUUGCGUGGCUAGAAUUGAAAGGGGCUAAUGAAAAAUGGCUAGUUAAAAGAAGAAUACGAGCAUCUAUAGCCUCUGCCUCUGCCUUAGUAAUGGUAUAAAAACGGUCAACUAAGUUCCUUGAAUAGCAAGGAGGAACAGGCCAAGUUUGGCCAAAACCAAGCUGACGAGCAAAAAAUUGGGGAGCAUAAAUCUCUACCCUCGCUUUGGCAUUGGUCCCAGUUAGAAUAUCAUGAAAUAGCUCCCUCCCGCUUAAAAACUGGAUCCAAAUGAGCAGGGAGGUGCUCGCGCUAUCUAUAGUGGAAGGGGGAUGUACAUAGUUUGGAGUCAAAAAAGGAGAAAAAGGAAAAAAGGAAGGGAUUGAAUCCAAAGAAUAAAAGAAUGAAAAAAUGUCCCUUCUAGACAUAUUUACAGGAGCUAAGGGCUCCAUGGCUAGCCCAUAACAGCUAGCAGAGGAGCGAGAGAUGGAUGGAGCACCAAGCAAUGGAAAAUAGGAUCUCAACCACAGUUGAGUGAACCAAAGAGGUCCAUUACCAGUGGGAGAUGCACCAUUCUUCAAUUGAGCUUGAAGAGAGGCCAUGCUUCUAUAAAGGGCAGCCAAAAACAAAGAACAUAAAUUCAAAGGCCUGCCACGCGCCAAUUCGUGCGCUAUAGGUAAAUAACUCAGGGAGGGCUUUAUGCUUGGCACGCACAAAACAUAUUUACAAAGCCAAACUAAAAGGAAGGCCACUCGCUCAGUAUGGGAAGGCUCAGCGCUCGAAUGAUUGUGAAGGGUUUGCAGGCUUGAAUAAGAAUCGGUGUAGUUUUUACCAAACUUUGGAGCGCCACCAGAAACCAAGAUACUAGGAAAAAUGGUAUCGCCCAAAGGUGGUAGAUUCACUAGGGCCCCAACAUCCCUUAAGGUAAUAGACAUGGGGCCAAGAGGGAAAAUAAAGGUAUUAUACUCAGGAGACCAAAAACUCAAAGCAAUCGAAAAGAGUGCUGAAUCAAAAGUAGGGGGACGAAUAGAGAUUUCUAACAAAUCAGAAAUCCUAGCGCUAUCAAAAAGUGCCUUAGUAGGACCAUGACCCACAUGGCGAGCAUGCCACCUACGAAAAGCUACAUCAGAUUUAGGCCAAGUGCGAAUACCUCUUUCGCGAAGUGGCCCCAGCGGCAGAGAGUUUAGAAAAGGAGGGCCAUGAGUGUAAGGAAACAGCUGACCCGCCGCCGCCUGUUCAACUGCCUCUGCAUUGUUGAAAAAAGGACCCAAGUAGAACUCAUUACGUUCGACAUCGACGGGCGCGAGAAAACUUGGAGUUAUGUAUGGGCGACUCAGAAGUUUUUGAAAGUCAUCAAAACUAAAGGAGUCGCCAGCUUGAGAUUGUGAAGCAGCCAUUUGAAAAGGAACGAAGUUUUUCAGGGUUACGUAGCAGGGAAGCAAGAGAUGAACAGUAAAUCGUGAGAGAGACGCAAAAAAUUUGAGGCGUGGUUUAAUAGUGCAGUGAAAUGGCGUGUUUGAGGUUUAUAAGGGUUUGCAAAACGACGCACCUUUUCAAGUUAUAGAAGAAAACAAUGAUUGAAAUUCUUGAGAAUUUCGAAUGUUGCUGGAAACACAAAGUGAAUAUGGCAAAAUUUAUUAAUUAUUAUUAAUUCUGCCAUAUUGGGGGGUAAUUGUUAACACAUAAAAAUUCAGCCCAAGGAGUGAAGCCCAAUUGGAGGAUCCCCAAAUUAGAUAGCCCAAAGAACGAAGCCCAAUCGAACAAAUCAAGAUGAAAGCCCAAAUAAGGAGGCCCAAGAACGCGGUAACGCCAUCGCCCAAGUUUGCAAGUCGCCCAAAAUCUGAGCGAAUGGAGUGCCAUACAGUCGCCCAGAGCUGUUACUCUAUUCUCGCCCAAACCUUCAAGUCGCCCAAGGUCUUAACAAACAUAAAGCGUUGUGGUUGUCAAGAAGUGCAGUUAUCAAAGCAGUUAUUAAAGCAGCCCUAUCACGUUCCACGAUUCAAGGAAUUCAAUCGAAAGCAGUUGAAUGAUGAAGAGUAAUGGCAGCAGUUAAAGAAGACAGUUUUCAUGACAAGUUGGCCAUUACACAGAAAGUGGGCAAUUAUAGGACGAUCAAGCAGUUUUUAGGGUGGUUGAUCACAAAGAGAUUGUCCAUGAAGUAUAAAAGGGAGAAAGAACAUAGAAGUAAAGGACCGAAUCAAAAACUCUCGAACAGAGAACAUGUAAUUUUCAUUUCCUUAGCUUAGACUUAAACAUUUUUCUUUCAGUAACUCGUGUGCUUGCGCCCCUUGGAGGCACAUUGUUUUUAAUUUCCAAUUGUAAAAUCAUCGCCAAUAAAAGAACACCCAUUUUUGGGACUUUGUCUCAAGAGGUUUGUCCCUUACACAAUCGCUGAUCCUUUUUAAUUGUUAGCGACUAACCCGCGCGAAAUAAUUUUUUGUAGAUAUGAUUCUAUUAAUUUUUAUUCAACUAUUACGAGUUUCUCAUAUCUUUUUAAAUAUGACAUCUAGUUACGACGUCAUUUUGAUCUAUCUUCUUUAUUCUAAAAUGCUCAAAACAAAUUCUCUACUAUAUUUCUGAAGUCUUUUGCAAGUCUCUUCAAUGUUCUACAAAAUAUAUAUGUCGAGCACAUAUAUUGUUAGCUAGUUUUAAACUUUGACUCAUUUGCAUCUCAUGCACAUGGACGUCCCUCGCUUAGUCCUAAUUUAUUCUUAACAAGCGUUGACUGCAUUUAUAGGUUUUUAGUUAUGUCAAAAUCAGAGUAUAACACACUUAUUCCAUAUUCAAAACUGUAAAUACUCUUGAAUAUCUCUAACCCUUAUAGUAUAUCUUGAAAGAAAAAGUUUGAGAAAUAUAAUGUUACAAUGUUGAUUGAUUGGAAGGCACAGUUCUUUAAAUUAAAAAAAAAAUAAAAAUAGGCUACAUAUACGAGACAACAAUUUAUAUUACCUUUUAAAUUAAUUUUUUCAAUUUAAAUGUAACCAAACAGUUAUUAUCAUAAACAAAUACACCAGUUCACAAAUUAUUUAAAUACUAAUGUCUAUGGAAAAUUACGAUAGUUUAUUUUCAUAAAUAUUCAACAAUUACAUAUCAAAUUUAAAUAAUUAAAUAUUUAACAAUUUACUUUUUUAUGAAAUUAACAUAAAGAUUGAAUGAGAGAAUAUGGAUAGAAUUGAUCAGAAAUUUUUAAAUUAAGGAUGAAAUUACAGACUUGUGCAAAAUUGAUGAAGAUUGGUCACCUAAUUUUAACUUGUUCACAUCCAUAUAUUUCCUCUUCCUAGUUCUUGUCGUGGAAUAGAGAGGACAAAAUCCCGUUCAACCCACUACUCGCCGCCUCACCCGAGUGGUGUGGGGAUUACCUGCCUAAUUCAGUAAACGUGUGGGGGGCGGAAUGGGGUUUGUUGCCUCAAAGAACGUAUGAAAAACAUGAUCGCCCCGCUACCCAUCACGUUUAACGUUAAUUUUAAAUAUAAAUUUUAUCAAACAAAAAGAAGAAAUUUAUCAUUAUUUUUAAAGAGAACAUGAGUUGUUCUUAACAAAUUUAAAAAAUAAUAAUUAUAUUCACUGACUAAAGAUAUAAAAAAGUAAAAACAAAAAAAAUAAAAUAAAUGGGACAAUAAACCCCCGCCUCGUCCCAAUCUCGCUCUGAACCCAACUCGUCUUGUUUUAAUUGGAUAUAGAAGCAGGGCAAUUAUAAUAAAAAUACCCAAUGCAAUUGGGGGACAGAAAUAGCUGACCCGCCCCCACAACCAUCGCUACUAUGGAGAGUGGUGUUCUCUUGCAUCAAAUCUGUGGUGUUACUAUCUCAUCUUCAAUAUUUUAUUUUUCUACAAAUCUCAGCUUUUCAAAAUCCACCCCCUCCCCCCGGGUCAAAACUCUAGUCUCUGAGUGGAAACUUUGUACAAAGUUUAGUUAACAUUUGGAUAAUUCACUCUUAUAUUUCAUUUUUUAUUACCUACGCUGGUCCUUCUUUUUUUUUUUUUUUCAAAUAAAUAGAUGUUAAAAUAUGUUGUUCGGAUUUACAUAAUUGUGGUCAAUUUACUCAUAAUGUUUAUGAUAAAGCAUAUUUUGGUUAAUUUGGAAUACAACUUGUGCAUGAUAUUAGAUGUCGAAUCAUAUUGAAAUGGAUAUUUAUAAGGAAAAAUUUGAUAAAUCCUAUCAUUAAUGUUAAAUUUUGAGAAAUGAGAAGCAUUUCACGAAAAUCAGGUCACUCUAAAAUAAUUAAAAAUAUAUUAUUUAAAAUAUUGUGAACCAAUGUGGUAGGUUCCCUCUAUUAGAAGAUUCUUAAAAAAAAAAAAAAAAACCGAUGACAUUAUCAAAAUAAAAUUCUGCAAAUUCUGGAAUGAUAUUUAGUUAAAAGAAACAUUAAAGGUAUGUUAUGACUUGGGACAUAUGACUCCUACUAUGUGAUCUUGGAUGACUAUUAACAAAAAGCAAUUAUAUGACUUAUUAUGUAUCUUAUUAUUACAGUCCAUACAUAUGGAAUGAGUUGACAUGAGAUGUAACAAACAAUUGUGACUUUGACUUUGACUACUUCUAUUUGAUAAAAUUACGACAACAUCGUGUGACGGUUGUUCAUGUAGAAAUGGUUGUCAAAUGCAACAACUAUGACAUUUGAUGGGAUAUUUAGCAACAUGUAUUUAUAGCUCAUAUGAGUCGUAACCAUUUAAAGUUGUGAUAUUGAAUUUAUUGACCUUCUAAUUAUGUUAGUGAAGAAAUAAUGACUAUUUUAUAGUACAAAUCAGGUGAUUGAUCCACUUGCACUCUAUAUAUUGCAAUAAAAAAGAGACCAUACCGUUAAAAUUAUCUUAAUUUUGGGAACAAUAUUAGAAACGUAAAAAAAUAAAUAAAUUAUACACGAAAAUUCUGAAAUUUUUGAAUUAAUUAAAUUAAUGAAUGUGAUUUAACAAUUUUUUUUUAUUAAUAACUUAAUUUGUCAAAAGUAAAAGCUUUUUUUAUUUUUUUUUAUGGGAAAAUUUCAUAACUAAGAAAUUAAUUAUGGCACAUUUCACAAAACAAGAAAACAAGUUUCAAAUUUCUAAAAUCAGAUUUUUAUUAAAAAUUAUUUAUAAUUUAAUUAGUUAAUUAAUUAUUUUAUUAACUAAAUAUAUUUAGGUCACGGAUCUAUACAAUUUGAUCACUAAUUAACAAUAUAAUUAGUUACUUAUUAUUUUUUGGUCACAAAUCAAAAAUUUUAUGUCACAAAUUUUUUUACAAUCACAAUUCAAAAAUUUUGUAAGUCACAAUUUGUUUAUUGGUCACAAAUCCAAAAAUAAUUAGUUACGGAUUAAUUUUUAGUCACGACUUAUCAUAUUAUUGGUCACAACUUAUUUUUCGGUCACAAACACAAAUUUUAUAGGUCACAUAUUAUUUUUCGAUCACGAAUCAAAAAUUUUAUAGGUCACAGAUUAAUUUUUCGGUCACAACUCAAUAAAUUAUAAGUCACAAAUACAAAUUUUAUAGGUCACAUAUUAUUUUUCGAUCACGAAUCAAAAAUUUUAUAGGUCACAGAUUAAUUUUUCAGUCACAACUCAAUAAAUUAUAAGUCACAAACACAAUUUUUAGGUCACGUAUUAUUUAUGAAAUAAAAAAAUGGAAAAAUUAAUUUGUAAGAGUUUAUUUAUAGCCUACUUCAAAAUUAAGAGAAGAAGGUUUGCAAUUUCAAGUUUCAGAUACUAUUAAAAUUUAUUAAUGAAAUAAUUGAUUAAAAAUUUAUAUAUUUGGUCACAACUUAUCAAGUUAAUUGGUCACAAAUUAUUUAUAAGUCACAAAUUCAAAAUUCUACAGGUCACAAAUUAUUGGUCGGUCACAGAUCAAAAAUUUCAUAGGUCACAAUUCAUUGAUCGGUCACAAAUCAAAAUUUUUAUUGGUCACAACUCAUUUGUCGGUCACAAAUCAAAAAUUUCAUAGGUCAUAAUUCAUUGAUUGGUCACAGAAUCAAAUUUUUUAUUGGCCACAUUUAAUUUGUUAGUCACUAAUCAAAAAUUUUAUAGGUCACAAUUCAUUGAUCGUUCACAAAAUCAAAUUUUUUACGGUCACAAAUCAAAAAUUUCAUAAGUCACAAUUUAUUGAUUGAUUACAAAAUCAAAAUUUUUAUUGGUCACAACUUAAUAAAUUAUAGUCACAAUUGCAUUUUUUAGGUUACAUGUUAUUAUUAGACACAAAUUACUGGUCACAAACACCCCCUACAUCCCAUCUACCCCGACCACCACCCCCCAUGACAACCGUCACAGUAACCACACCACCACCACACGCCAAACUCUGAAACCAACAACCUCCACUGUCGCCAAAAACCACCACAACCACCGCCACCAAACACACUAACAAUGUUCAAUUCACAACCUCACCAACACCACCCAAGCGUAAUUUUUCAGCUAGUUCCACCCACCAGAACCAUCACCACCUCAACACAUCGCAGAACACCAACGUGCCACAAUCACCACGACCACCAUCGUUGAUCAUCACCGCCAACGCCAAAAUAUGUAAGCAGCCACCACCACCACCACCACCCAAAUAUCACCUAAAAAUACCAUAGAUAACAACUCAAUCCAAAGCCAUUCCCACCUCCACCACUACAGUGAACAUCACCACCACCGUAGCUACUACCACCACCAUAUGAUCGUAGCCACCACCACAACCCACGACACAGCAAUAAACACCGUAGCCACUACCACCACCAUAUGAUCGUAGCCACCACCACAACCCACGACACAGCAAUAAACCACGGUCUCAUCUCAAAAGAUCUCCUUCUCUUCUUGUAGAUCUUACAGAUAUGCUUCAUGAAUCACGAGGUACAUCACGGCACCACCACCACCACUUCAUCAUCACGACAAACCAGCUAUAGAACUCUACAAAUUCACCACACCGCAACAACAAAUCCACCACGGCACCAUAGCCAUUACAACUGUCACAGUCGAUCCAUAGCUAUAACCAUCGGUGACGGCGACAGAUCGCUGUGAUGCAUGGUGGUGCAUUCCAGAUCGCUGCCGAAGUAGAUGAGCCAAUAGAUCUCUGCUAGUCGCUGAUGGGAACGCCGUGCCGCGCCUCAACUCCACCGAUUAGAAGGGUGGUCGCGCCUCCGAUGCCGAAAUUGUGCUUCCGGGAAAGGUUGAGAGAGAGAAGGAGACGGCGAUUUUCUUUUUAAUCAGGGAGGCGACGGGUGUUUUAGGGUAGAAUGGAGAAAUGUGAGAGAGAGAGAGUUAGGGUUUGUGAGUAAUGAUAUUUAUUUUAUAGAAAUAUUAAUUAAAAUAAAAUUUUUGAUUUUUGAAAUAUUAAACUUUCCCCCUGAUUUUAGAAUUUAAGAUUUUAAUGAUAUGAUUUUGUGUAAUUUCCACUUUUUUUAUUACUCGCUUGCUUGAGGCCCAUCUGAAAAAAAGCCCAAAUUAAAGGCAGAGAUAUCCAACUCUUACCCAGCCUGUUUACAGUUUAUGUAUAGAGCAAAGGGGACGAUCGGAUCUCUUCCUCGGUUUACGCUAAAAUUCGGGAACAAUUCAUCGCCCCUGGGCACCAAUUUAUCUCGUGGUGCUGUGCUUUCUACUCAACUUCUGCAUCACCAAACUUGGGAGGUAGUAUCGGAUUUUAUUAGUGUAAAAAUGGCUUUAUAUGAUGAAAUCGCAUUCUAUUUGAAUGUUGUGUGAAUGAUUUAAUUUUAUCUCAACUCCUUAUAAUUUGUUCCAAAACUGUUGAUUCUUGAUGAUAAUUUUCCUCUAGCAACAUUGAUUUUUUCGACCACACUUCUCUUGAAUUUUUGAUGCGGUUGUUCACUGUUUUCUCCUAGCUUUGAAAACUUGCUGCCCCUCAAGUGUAAUACGUGAAAUACCCAGGACCAAAAUCCAGUGGGGGCAGUUAAUAUACCCCAGGUCCGGCUCCGGCCCUGUACACAUUUGAGUUAAAAUUCAUCAAAUAUGAAAAUUUUGUGUUUGUGCUCUUUGUUAUGAUGUGUAGGGUCAUACUAAAAACGGUAUGCCUAAUCAUUUUUCAUGACCAUUUACUUGUUUGGGCUUAAUUUUUCGUUAUUGAUGUUUGGUUUUUGAUAUUGCAUUAUUUAAUAUUGCUGAUGGGGAAAUUUUGAUGAGUCUACAUAUUAUUGGAGUGGUAGAAGCUUCUGGUAGUACUAUGGCUUGGAAUGUUACUUCACAUCUUAUUGAUUCGCGAACCCUCACAAAUGAAGCUGAAAUUAAAAGGAAAAGGGGGUUCUGAUUUUUUAUCUGAUGAUCUGUUUCUACAAAAUAUUAUGUGGUUUGACUGUCAUUCUAAUUGGUGUAAAGUUAUCUAACAAUUAAAAGUAUAAAAUAUAAAAAUGUUUACUUUUCUUGUGUACAACAAUUUUAUUGUGAGCUUGCUUGAUACUGUCUGUUACCAUUGAUGGAUGCUAUUUAUUCCCAUGAAAUGAAAAUAUUAAAUAUUAAAAUGUUAGAAUGAUAAGAACAAAAAAAGAAAAAAACUGAGAUGUGUUGAUAUAGGAAAAUGAGAUGUUGUAUUUAACAAGUGACAAAACUUUGUAUUUAGUUAGCCCCUAUUGGUUAAAAAUGGUUGCAAACUUCAUACAAUAUAGGCCCACUAUAGGAUUUUAGAAUAAAAAGUUACUUUCUUACGGAAUUAAAUGAAAGCCGACUUUGGGGUGAUAUGUUGUUUCUUUGGCAUGUUUGUGGAUCUCUAUUUCAAAAUAAUGGUAUAGACUGAACUAAGCACUUUGUCAGAAUGCUCUCCGGAAGACGAAAGCUGCCAACUUAUUAUCAAUAACUUGAGUCACCUUAAUUUGGGUAAAAAGCUGACUUUCCCUUGCCAUUCUGGUUGUUCAAGUAAAAACAAGGAGAAAACUUGUGGCUACCUAAAAAAUACGAUAAUUGGGCUGCUUUUGGGAUUGGAUGUGCAAACAUGGUAAACUUUUUGGUUUAUUCUUCUAUUUUGUGGCUUAGUCUGAUGAUUAUGCUCAUAUGUUGGUCAACACGUUACAGAAGUACAUUUGUUAGUGCCCAAACGGAAGAAGUUGUUUUAUGAAUUAAGCUCCUAGAUAUUACUGUAAGAUGCACAUAAUAGAUAGAUCCUGGAAGAUGUACAGCUGGAAGGGCCUAUUUCCCUGAUAGGAUUAUGAGGACUGUAUAAUCUGAUUCAAAUGCCAUGAUGGAAUAACAGGAAACUUUGGUUUCUACUAAUUGCAGGAUUUGGGAAUUAUUUUAAUCAAUAGUUGGUGUAGUCUUUUGCCUCUUGUUUGGUCCUCGACUUUGCAAUCUAGGUUUUCUUACAGCAUCUUUGGCUAAGCUUACAAAAAAAAAUAAAGUUAAUUUUUAAGGGAGUGUUUGAUAGAGAUUUUUAUGUAAAAAUACAUUUUAGAAUAGUAAAUUGAUGUGAACUGUGUGGUUGAAAAAUAAGGAAAAGUUUUUGAUUUACGUGUAAUAUUAUUUUAAUAAAGAAUGUGUGGUUGAAAAGAAAAAAGAGAAAAACGUAUUUUGAAAAAAAUAACUACCAUACGGGGCCUAAGUAACUUUUUGUCUUUAGAUAACUUACUUUUAAUAAAAAGUUAUUUUUUCUCAAAGUAAUACCUUAGUGUCAAAAUAAAUAAUUCAUUACCUUCUUUGAUCAAUAAAUUUUUUCUUUUUGAAAGAACUUAUUUACCUGUUAGAAAACCUUUUAAGCAUAGCCAAACUUGUAGCCUGCUAUACAUUUGAUGCUCUUGUAAUGGAUCUUUUGAUACGUGCAGUGUUCAAUCAUGAUUGAGAGUGGAAAUUUAAUCCUCAAAUCUCAUUAUGAGAUCCUCGAUGUGAAGGAAGAUGCUAGCUCUGACGAAAUUCGUACAUGCUACCGAACUGCCAUUCUGAGUUAUCAUCCAGAUAAAAUGCAAACGACAUCCCAAACAUCAAAUCCUGCAAACGAGUUGGGCGGAAGGUUUUUAGAGGUGCAGAGGGCUUGGGAAAUCCUCGGAGAUUCAAAAUCUCGUGCACUUUAUGAUAACGAGCUGCAAUCUUCGAGGCAAGAUUCUGCAACUGCUGAAGAUAUCAGAUUAGAGGAUCUGUCAAUCGAAGAGGUUGGUGAUAUUUUUGAGCUUUCGUACGGCUGCAGAUGUGGCGAUUACUUCCUAAUCGAUUCUUUGGAGUUGUCAGAUAUGGGAUAUCCACUGUUGAAAAAUGGGAGUAAAAUUGUUUUGCAAGCGCCUAGAUCUCCACCUGCAUCUGUUGUUCUUCCUUGUGGGUCAUGCUCGCUUAAAGUACGGUUAUUGAUUAAUUCUGAUAGUAAGCUUCAAACUGAGUUGAGUAAUUGAUAAUAGUUUUUCCAUUAAUCUGCAAUUUUGGUCUGAGCAAGUGAUUUAAGAUUAUCUAUAAUUUUGUGGAAUGUAACAGAGAAUUGGAAAAAUGACAGGUCAUUUUGAUUAAAAUUUGUAAUGUGUACUGAUUCAAUUGUUCAUGCAAUUGUUGUGGCCUGUGGUGCCAUUAUUUGAAUAGCAAAGGAUUUGAACUCGCAAGAGAUCUAUUGCAUAGUUUUUAUUAAGGUUAGACAAAACUCUCGAAUCAAAUGAGGCCGAAUUGGACCCGAUUCGAACUAAAUCGAAUCGAGCAGUUCUUCUUAAAUUAAAUAUUUGAAUGGGUGUUUGAAUCGAGAACCGACGGGUUCGAUUCGAUUUUCGGAUCUAGAUCAUGAAUUGAAGAAUUGAAUAAGAACUAAAUCUCUAUAAUUUUUUUAAUUUAUUUAUUUUAAAUAAGUCAAAUUAUUUUAUUUUUUUUUAAAUAAAUUUGUUAAUUAAUUAAUUUAGCUCAAAUCCAAAAAUAUGAUUUUCAUAUUUCUAAUUUUCAAUCUGAGUCCAACUUAAUCAAACUGUUCUAAGUUUUAUCCAAAUAUGUUAUUCUAUCGUAGUGUUAUUUUUACCGUUUUGGAGAAAUUGAAUUAAAGUUGGACAGCAGCUCUCUUAAUUAUUGUAAGCUUGCUAUCGUCCUCUUCCUGUGAUUAUAACAAUCAAAUCUAUGAAAAACUCACCAAAGAGAAAUGCAAAAGACAUAUAAGAUUGGAUUACGUUAUUUCGUAAGAGUUAAGAUUAAACAUGUCAUUAAUUGAAUUAAUUUAGUUUUAUAAAUAUUAAAAAAAUUAAUUAUAGUAUAGAACCUGGGAGCCGAAUCCGAACGGUUCCAUAAUUAACUUGGGAUCCGACGGUACUAUUUAUUAAAUACCUGAAAAUUUCAGGUUCGAUUCGGUUCUAAUGAGAAUCCAACUAAAUCGAACCAUGUCCACCCUUAAUUGUCGGCAGACCAUUUUAUCAUCUUGUAAUAUUAAGGAAGAAAAAAGUAGGUGAAUUCUUGUUGGUUGUGCUGUUUAAACCCAACAAAGCUGUGUGUAGAAAUGCCACAGGCAACACACAAUUGGGUGAGGGGAAGAGUGGGGGAUUUUUUUGGUAUCCUUUAUCACGACUUGGGAUUCACAAAUUAUGGGUAUCUGGUGGAAUUUUGUGAGUCCUUUUUUUGUACGAAUGACUUUCUUAGUUUAAACCAUACUAAACAUGCUACAGUGACAAAAAUAUCAAUUGCAGACCCUUGACAUUCUGUUCUCUGAAUAUCAUAAACAAAUCAAUAAAGAGAUCCCUAAACUAUAUCGAGUUUUGUUAAAAAAAUAAAAAAUAAAAAAAAAAUAAGGAAAAGAAAAAAUCAACAUAAAUAUUAGUGUGCCACAUUGCUUGGAGUUGUAUGACGCAUGUAGGGUUGAUAAAACCCAACUCAACCCAAUUGAUAAGUGUAUUUUUAUAUGCUUAUGUGGUUAUUAAAUGAAAGCAGCUAUUGUUAAUUUGAAUGAAUUAGAGCUUAAUUAUGUUUUAAGUAAAACUCGUGACAAAUUGGGUGAAUUGGAAGAAAGAAGCGAAAAAUGGACUGAAAAAGAAGAAUACGAAGUUCGUGAUAAAAUUGCAAAUAUCCAAUAAUUGAUUCAGACAAAAAAAAAAUGUAUAAUUGAAGAUUAUUAAGAGUCAAUUGAAUGUAAUUAGAAGUCAAAAAACAGUGAAAUUCAAUAAAAAAAUUCUAACAAAUCAAUUUUCAACUGUACAAGUAAUGUUCCUGAAAUUUAGUCGGAGAUUGAAACCCAUUUUGACAUAGUAGUCGCUCUAAUAGAAAAAUUGCUACUUUUUUUUAUUAGUUGUAGCCCUUCGAAUUAACUUUUUAACACAUUUUGAAUCUUCUUAAUCAAAUAUUGAAAUAGAAAGUUAUGACAAAAAAUUAACGACCGAGUAAAGAUAUAAUCAUGUUUGUGCGAAGACAACUUUCCUUAUUUAAUUGACACUCUUUUGGAACCCAAACUUAAACGUAUUUUUUUGACCUAAUUUCACCUUAUAUAAUAGAAUACAUGGACAACCAUUGAAGGAUCUCUCCCACCUCUCAAAUCACUUCCAUGUCAUAAAAUCAUUCAAGAACGAGAAUCAAAUUCAUCAUAAGUUGGAGAGGAGAACAAAUCUAACAUGUAGAUAAAUCAAGAAACAUCAAGAACUUGAAAAAUCAAAGCUUGGGGUUGAACACUAAGAAUAAAAAUUAGACCGUGACAUCUCUUUCUUAUAUUUAUAAAUUUAGGUGAUGUUUUUCUAUUCUUCUUCUUGUUUGAUCAUUUGACAUAUGUUUAGCUAGAUUCUUUGUAUUUGAUGAGGAUGAACCAUAUUAUUUAUUUAUUUUAAUUCAAACUAAUAGUUUAGUAAUUCUUGUUUUCUUGAUUAAUUUUAUAUUCUCAUUGCAUUAUAUAAUUAUUUUGCCAUCAAUUAGAUAAUUAGUUGUUUGUUGCAGUGUCAGAAGACUCACAAUAAGUUUAGAAUGUAAUAAAAUUAACAUAUGUGUAAUAGAUGUUAUGAAUAAUAUUUAUUUCAUGUGCAAUCAUGUAAAUAAUAUAUAGUUUAUGUAUUCUAAUGAUUCGAAUUUAGGUUAAGGAUAGACUUGGGUUGUGGUUAGAAUAGAUUUAUUUUGUCUUAGAAAAGAAAGUUAAAUAUAUUAAUUUUAUUGAACGUUAAGAACAUAUGAAUGGAACUAGAUUACAAAUUAAGACUUAAAAUAGGUAACAAUAGAUGAAUUCGAAAUUCAAUAACAGCUUUCUUAGGUUAAUAUAGACUAAUCAACAUUAAAAACUCUUUCGUUUACACACUUCAGAUUACAUAUAAAUUAGUAAAUUUGAAUUAAAAUUUAUUACUUGUGGGACGUAAGCUCUCAAUUCACUCAAAUCGAUUACUUAUCCAUGAUCUCGUAUGCUUGCGGGAUUUAGUGAUCGAGUUUUUGGCGUCGUUGUCGGGAAUAAAGUAUUUAAUUUUAGUUUAUUAGUUUAUUUAGGAUUUGACUAUUAUUAUUAUUAUUAUUAUUAUUAUUAUUAUUAUUAUUAUUAUUAUUAUUAUUAUUAUUAUUAGUUUUUUUAAAUUUAGGCUUCUCACCAUAUCUCUCUUUUGUUUGGUUUUCUACCAAGUACUAUUCAAUAGCACAUGGAUGAUUCUUACAUUAACAAGAGAGCAAACCAUUUGCAAUAAUUAAUCUCAACGUGGAUGAUGAAGAUAUGCUUGUAGAAGACAUAUAUUGUUAAUUUUGUUACGGGUUGCAUUAUACUGGGCACGGCUUAUAAAGACGCACUGUUGAACCCCUAAGGUUCAAGCUUCUACAAUUUCAACAAUAUUUAAGUUAUCAAAAAUGAGCAAUUGAGAAAUUUAAUGAAAACUACAUACCGGCAAUCGAUUAUGUAUCAUUAGACAUGCUUGUGGGAGUUGGUUCCUUUCAUGUUGAAUGAAGAGAUAUUUGUAAAAUAUUAUAAUGAACUUGCUAAGUCAGAUGAAAACAAAUGCAUAUGGAGAUGGCAUAUCUUGGGACAAAUUUAAAUGAUGGGGAUAUAAUCCACUUGAAAAGAUUGAAAGGAAAUAAGUGACAUUGCCAAUGAAUUUAGAUAGUGAACCGACCAUUUAACUCGAAGAAAUAUCAAUUAUUGAAGAAGAGCAUAAAGACGAUGACAAACUAAUUAUAAAGGAACCAAGCAAAAAUGUGACAAUUAAUGAUGAUGAAAUUUACUCAUAUUCUUUUGACUUCAUCGAUUGUCCAACAAUUGAAUUUAUGAUUAAGUCAAAGAAGGAAGAAGUCUACAUAAUUAGCUUGGAAUAAGAUGGAAUAAACGAAUCAUAUCACAUAGAAUGAGGUAAUGUUAAGGUUUGAAAAAUUAACGAAAGUGGACCAAAGUCAAAAGAAACAAAUUAAGCAUGGCAUCAAAAGCUUUCUCCAGAAUUUCAUGGUGCAGAACAUGAAAGUCAAGCUAAUGACUAUAAAUAAGCACUUAUUGGAAUGCAAUUCAAUUUCUUCUCUUUUAUUUAUUUUUACUUUCUAAAAUAUAGGAUUAGUAAAUUUCAUUUUUUUAGUAGUUUUGUAUAUUUUAUUGCUUUUAGUAAUUUAGAGUAUCCUUAUUUUCAUAUUUUCCUUUAAGAAGCUUUAGAGCUUGUUUAACUAUGCUCCAUGGUAUAAUUGAAUUUUAUUUAUUUAUUUAUUUAUCUUGAAGAAACAACAUGACAUCUAAGUACAUUGGAUAAGGUAAAAUACAUAACAAGUGAUCCAACACUCUUAUGCCAGUCUAUCUACCACCUUCAGAUAUAUAUAUCAGGGGAAUACUUAGUUCUCUUAUUUAUCCUUAGUUUUUCUAUAUUACUUGUUAUAUUUUUAGACAUUAAGGGCAAUAUCUAUUAUAAAUUUGGGGAUUAAAAAAUAUCUAGUUUUUAUCUAUUUUUACUAUUUGGUACUUGCAAAAAAACUUCAAAAAUUAAAAAAAAAAAAUUAUCUUCAGUUUUAUUUUUGCUUUUAUAUACUUUUGUUGAUUAUAUAAAUUCGUCUACUAUGAUGCAUAUAUUUGGAACCAUCUGUAAGGUUAUAAAUAGUGAAAAAGUUGCAUGAUAGGUUGAUUUAUGCUUAUUAAUGUAAAAUUUGACAUUUUUGCACACAAGAUUAUUGUUUUGCAUCAUUAAGGAUUAAUUUGAUUCAAAUUUUGAAUAGUUUGAAAUAAAUUUAGUGGACCAUAGAUGCUAAAACUAGAUAAACACUAAAUUGUACAUCCUUAAACCUAUUUUCAUAUAAUUUGGGGGCGACUGAACUGUUGUAGGGAGAUAUUGAGAUAAAUAUAGAUUAUAUGCAUAUUCUGUUAAUUGUUUAAUGCAAAUAAGAAAAAAAUUAAGUGUAAAUUUUUGUGUCAAUUUUUGAGAAUGAGUGUUUAGUUAGGGGCAUUGUACUGGACAUUGCAUGGGAAAAUAAUUUCAAAGAAGAAAGAAACUCACAUUAUUAAACUUCUUUUUAUAGCCUUCAUGACUUAAGUUUAUAAAGCUUAAUUGAGAUAAGUUUGAACAUAAAAUGAAAAUGAAAAUAGAAAUAAAAAGAGAAAAAGCAAGUAACAAAAGGUGUACUACAUGCGUUGAUUAAACUCCAAAUACUUGUUUUAGAGAAUUAGACAUUUGACAAAGGAUUAUUGGCCUAGUUGAUUUUUGGAGGUUGAAGUAACCAAAAAUAAAGAGAACUCUCAUUUGUUGAUGUGUUAGCUGCAAUUAGUAAGAUCUAACCAAAGUAAAGGGGAUAAUGAUUAGUAUAAAAAAUCCAACUUUAGAUCACACUAUAGGAAAAGAGUUUUAAAAAAAAAUUAGUUUGAAUGUGAACCUUAUGCGAGAAUGAAGUAAAUAUUUGACCAAUUAGGGCCGGGACAUAAGUCACCUAAUGAGAACUUGUUUGAGCCCCAUUUUGAGGGGAAAGAAUGCAUUUUUAAAUAGUGAUUGAUGGAGAAUGUGUAGUUAAAAAUUAAGGAAAAGUUUUGGGUUGUGUAUAAUAUUAUUUUAUUGAAAAAUAUAUGGUUGAAAAUGGAUUUUAAAAUUUUUUUUUUUUAAAAGAAUGAGGCUCAAACAAGGGCUGGAUUUAUGAUGUUUAACAUGAAUUUUCACACACGGGCGUCGAUUUUGCAUUAGAUAAGUAGAAAUUAAUUUUAACAUUGUGAUUUUGAAGUAGCUCAUAACGUUAACACAUAAAUUUCAAUCCUAAGACCAAUGACAAAUUAUCUAAUCAUGUUUGUUUAAAAAAGUUUUGGUUAAGUUAAGCUAUAUUUUGUUAGAGGCUAAAUAAUUGUUCAAGUUUGGAGGUAUUUGAUAAGUUCAUUUCUAUAUACUUAUUUGGUUAUUAAAUGAGAGCCAUUAUUGUUAAUUUGAAUGAAUUAGCGCUUAUUUAUAUUUUAAUUUUAUUUGUUAGGUAAAAAUCGAGAUAAAUUGGGUGAAUUAGAAGAAAGAAAUGAAAAAUGGGUGAAAAAAAUGAAAUAUAAAGUUAGGGAUCAAAUUGUAAAUAUCUAAUAGUUGAUUUGAACCACAAAAUGAUAAUUGAAGAUUACAAGGAGCCAAUUGUAUGCAAUUAGAAGUCAAAAAGGAGUGAAUUACAAUCAAAGGAUUCUUACAAAUCAAUUUUCAUCCGUACAACUUAUAUUCCAGAUUUUUAGUCGGAGAUGGAGACCCAUUUUAAUUUAGUAAUCGUUCUAAUAGAAGAAUGGCUACUUAUUCAUUAAUUGUAACACUUUGAGUUAGCAUUCUAAUCAUUUUGAAUAAAUUCAAUCGAGUAUUAGGAGAGAAAUUUAUGACCAAAUUAUUGAUGAGUGUGCAAAGAGAUAAUCAUGCACGUGUGAAGGUAUCUUUUCUUAUUUGAUUGAAACAUUUUAGGAACCUAACUUGAACGCAUUUUUUAAGCUAAUUUUGCCUUAUCUCUAUCUAAUAUAAUCAUCCAUGGAAGAUCUCUAUCUCACCUCUCAAAUCACUUCCAUAGCAUAAAAUCAUUCAAGAACGAGGGAAAAAUUCAUCAUAAUUUGGUGGGGAGAACAAAUCUAGCACAUGGACCGAAUAAAAAAUAAAUCAAGAACUUGAAUAAUCAAAGCUUGAGGUUGAGAAACAAGAUCAAGAAUUAGACCGUGCAUCUCUUUCUUAUAUUUAUAAAUUUCGAGUGAUAUUCUUCUUGUUGUUUUAUCAUUAGAAACAUGUUUAACUAGAAAUUCUUUGUAUUGGAUGAAGAUAAAUUCUUUUUUUUAAUUAUUUUAAUUUAAACUAGUAGUUUAUUAAUUUUCCUUUUCUUGAUUAAUUUUACAUUCUCAUUGCAUUAUUUAAUUAUUUUGCCAUCAAUUAUAUAAUUAGUUGCUUAUUGUAUAGUUAGAAGACUCACAAUAAGUUUAAAACGCUACAAAUUAAUAUGUGCACAAUAGAUGUUAGGAUUAAUAUUUAUCACUUAUGCAAUCAAGUAGAUAACCUAAAAUUUAAUGCAUUCUAGUCAAUCGAAUUUAAGCUAGGAAUAGACUUAUAUGUGAUUAGAAUAAAUUUAAUUUGUCUUGAAAAAUGAAGUUAAAUAAUUAGCUUUAUUGAUUGUCAAAAAAGCAUGAAAUGAAUUAUAUUACAAAUCAAGAAUUGAAAUAGAUAAUAAUAGGCGGAUUCACAGUCUAUUAUAAUCAUCCAUAAUUUAAUAAAAACCAAAUUUUUAUGACUUAUUAGAUUUAGAAUAAUCAACACCAAAAACUCUUUUGUUUACAUAAUUCGAAUUCCAUAUAUAACUAGUGAACUUGAAUUGGUAUUAACUCACUCAAAUUUAUUACUUGUGAAUGAUCCCUUACACUUACUAGAUUUUAUCAAACACUGAUCAAUUAAAAAAUUAAUGCCUAAAAUAAAAAAAAAAUCCAAAUAGAUACAAUAGUGGAGAUAAGAGAAAGACUUAGAAUGUACAAACGUCCUUUAUUUACAUAGACUGAUUGACACUAUUUACAAAUGCAAAGUUAUUUGAUGGUGAACUAAAAUUAAAUAUGGAAUGAUGAAGUGAAUGAAUUCAAAAAUUGUUGUAAAAAAAGCUCCAUAAUUUCAAAUUUACACAUUAUUUUUUAAAAAGAAUUUCUUAUAUAGAUUAAAAACAAUAGAUGUUUUCAAGUGAUUUUAAACCGUAAAAAAUUGUCCAAAUUUAACAAAAAAUAAUAAUCAAAUCCAACUUGAAUUGAGCCCAAGCCCCAACCCUAAAAUUGAUUGGUUUGGGUUGGGUUGGAUUGAGUUUAAAACAACAAUUGGGUUGAGUUGGAUUGCGGGGGAGCACUUUAAAAAAUUACGUUUCUCACUUUUCUUUGUUUUCUUUGAACCUUAAAGAGUUACUUUGCAAACAUUUUUUUUCCUUCCUCCCAAUGGCAGAUCUAGGUAGUGGCGAGCUUGGGCGGCCGCCCUAGCUGGAUCCGCCAGAGUCUUUACUAGCCGCCGGGUGGAAGAUUGGAAGUUGCAGAGCCGCGACUGAACUGAAAAAGGGAGGAUCGGAGGAGGAAGAUGAAAUUUUGAAUUUGGGUCUUUUUUUUUAUUAUUUUAGUUUAGGCCUUUUUCUUUGGGCUGAUGAGUUGGGCCUCUUUGUUGGAAAAAAAAAAUUAGACCCAAUCCAUGGAUGAUGAUUGAUGGAAAUACACACAUAACUGCAACCACACCUCCAAAUCAGAGGUAAUAAUCGUAGCAAACCCUUCUGUAACUGCUCUCCUUCUCCCUGCUGUUGGCCGCAGAUGUUAUUACUUAUUUCGGUGGUCAAAACCUCAAUUGGUGGCAUUAGAAAUAGGACGCCUAUGUCCUGGUGAGAAACUUCUAAGUUCUAAUGGCUCAUUUUUUCGAUUUCCAUGUGUCUGCCUUGGAUUAAUGCAAAUUAUGCAAACCUGUAUACUUACUUUUUUGUUUAAUAUCUUUUUCAGGAAAUAAGAAUGGGAUACUCUUGCCUCACACAGAGUUCGCCUGAGUGCUGCUCACGCAUGUGACUUGUGAGCCCUCUCUUCUCUUUCACUUUUUUGUUUGUUUGUUUGUUUGUUUUGUUUUUGUUUUUUGUCCUUUUAAUUCAUUUUUUUAUUUAUCUUUUAUUUUUGAGCUAUGAAUCUAUGACUUGUGUUUUACUAGUUAUGAUUUAUGUUUUAUGAGUUAUGACUAUGAUUUGUGAUAAAUAAUUCAAGAUGAAAUCCCUACCUUCUAGUUCUAGUUCGUGUUAGGUUGUUGCUAGUUCAUUAGAUUUGGAAGAUUAUAAAUAAUUUGAACUUUGUUAAUAUAGCAAAUUAAUAAUACUUGUUAAUUAACUUUAAUUAUAAACUGAAUAUUGGCAUUUUGUUAAUAUAUUUUGCCUAUUUAAUUGAAAAAUAAAUUAAGGCAAUUUUGCAGAUUAUGGAACUAUUUUUUCAUUCGAAAUGAAAGUUUGUACAUAGUUUCAGUUCUAGUGGUGCAUCUAGUUCUAGUCCGUACGGUUUUUUGAAUACUAUUUAAUUAAAUAUUAAUAAACGAUUCACCUAUCAUGGAUGCUGACAGUUGACAGUUAACAUUCAACGUUUACGGUCCGUCCUAGCUGAACUAAGACCCUGGAUUCGCCCCUACUUCCUUCCACCUAUUUUUUCCUCCCUCCAUUUCAUAACUACGAAAGAAUAUCACUAACACUAUCAAUACAUAUAAAAAUUCUAGUCAAUGAAUUGUUGAUCAGUUAAUUGAUGUCGUUUCAAGUUUUUGUGUUCGUUCUAUAUAUGACAAAGUUGUCGAUAAUCCUUACAGUUCUCACAUGGCCCUGUUGAGAAGAAACGAAUUGCCACUUGCUAGGGAACUUUCUAAGGUAGCUAGGAUGCUGUGGCUGUUUCAAACUCGGAUCCAGCUUCCAUUCUUUUGGAACCUGCAUAGCCACAUUUACAAUGACACUCAGAUUCGACGUGAAAGGUUGGAAAUACGAUUAACGACGACCAAUUUUCUAAAAUCGAUUCAGGUCAGUCACCUUCUCGUGUCAAGGUUCAAAGGAUACAAUUGGAGUUUAACUAGAUAAUAUUCGUCACAUAGCAUGAGAUAUGUCAAGGCUCAAAUUGCUCCUUAACCCAAAGUUCUUAUUUUCAGUUAAAAAAAGCUGAAAAACUUCUAGGUUUCCUCCCAUCUCUUUAAUAUGGUUUUUAAGGUAUAACAAUACGUUACAGGUUAAUUCAUCGUUUUAUCUCUCGAACCAGUCAGGAUAGUCUGGUUAUCAAAACACUAAAGAAAACAAGAUGAGAAAAAUAGAAGAUCUUGAUAUUUUUUGCAAGUCACCUUUCAAACAUUAUUCACUUUUGUUCGUGAGAAACCUACAACCGUAUCGUUGACAAGUAAUAGAAUUAACAAGUUUAAAGUUACUGUCCCACAGGAAAUAAACUCAAUUGAAAUUUACCAAUUUUAUAUGGAAUUCGAAUUACAUAACACAAAAGAGAUUUUUAAAUUGAUAUUUGAUAAAUUAAUUUAUGAAAUAUUUAAAAGUUUGGUUUUUAUAAUUUAUGGAUGAUUGUAUUAAAUUUACGCUCUUCUAUUGUUAUCUAUUUCAAUUUUCAGUUAUGUAAUCUAGUCUUAUUAAUGCAUUUUUGACAGCCGAUAUAGUUAAUGUAUUUAACUUUUUUUUCAAGAUAAAUUAAUUCUAUUAUAGUCACGACUCGAAUCUAUUUCUAGUUUGAAUUUGAAGAAUGGAAUACAUUAAAUUUCAGAUUAUUUAUAUGAUUGCACACAUGAUAAACGUCAUUUUUAACAUCUAUUGUACAUAUGCUAAUUAUACUGCAAUCUAAACUUAUUGUGAAUCUCUCAAUACUACUACAAGUAACUGAUUAUCUAAUUGGUGGUCAAACAUUUAAAUAAUAUAAUAAGUGUACAAAAUUAAUCAAGAAAUGUAAGAAAUACUAAAUUACUAGUCAUGAAUUAAAAUAAAUAAACAAUAUGGUUCAUCUUUAUCCAAUACAAAAAUAGAUCUAACAUGGCAUGCUUUUAAAUAAAUUAUAAGAAGAAUAAUAGGAAAAUAUCACCCGGAUCAUGAAAAUAAUGCAAGAAAUCUUGAUCUUCAAUAUCAAGAUUGAGUUCUUCCAAAUCUUGAUGUAACUGGCUUCAAUUCCUUGCUAGGGUUUGCUCCCUUCUCUCAAAUAUAGCAAUUGACCACUUGUUCUUGAUAAAUUUUAAGAUAUUACUGUGUAUCUAGAAGCUAGAAAGAGUUCAUUUCCAUGUUUAGAUGUUGUUUUGUAUUUAUAGGAAUUGAAAAUUCGGGUUAAAAUCAUGUAUAAAUUCAAAUUAGGAAGAGUUUUAUGUCAAACAGAUUUUAUGUCAAGGAAUUUACAAGGUUUUUUCAAAUGAAUGAUUUAACUUGGGAGUAAUUAGUGGUUUUGCAAUGGAGUGUUUCAGCAAAGAACCUCGGAUGGAGAUGCGCUUCGGCCAGAGAGAUCAACCCUUUUCAUUGAUUUCUUCAUGUUGUCCUUGUUGACUUUUAGAUGUAUUGCCUCCACGCAACUUCGACUUGGCUUCCACUGGAAGCUUUGGAUACAAAGCGAAAUUUAAUAUUUAAUAUCUAUUCCAUAUGGAUUAAAAUCUCUAAAUCAAAGCAAACAAUUAAUUUUCAUCACAUAUUUCGUGGAUUCUACAAUGGAUAAAUAGCCAAAACCCCAUGUUUGAAACAUUUUUGUGCAAGCCCCACCGUCAUCAAGAAUUAUCAAAUUGAUCGUUAAAAACACUAAAAAAAUGUCAAAAUUAAAAAGGAAUAAAUGCAAUUUCAGUAUCUAAACUUUUAUUUUUUUUUACAAAUUAAAUCCAAAUUUUUUAUAUGUACCACCUACAAUCCAAAUAUUUAAAACUUUAUUUUCCACGCCACCCUCUUCAUCUUCUUCCCCAAAAUAUUCUUUUCUAGGUUUUCCUUCACCAAAAUCUAUGAUUUCAUUCCUAUUUACUAGUCGAUGCCACGUGCGUUGUACGAUUAUUGUAUUUAAUAUGUCUUUAUUAGCGUGAUGUAGAGAUUUUAGUUUUCUUGUCAUAAUCGUAACAUGCUUUUGAAGUUUGAAUUAAUUUUUUUUGGCAUGAAUUUUCUCUGACAAUUAGUAAAAAUUAGAUUUAAAAUUGUAGGGGAUAUAAGUAAAAGAUAAUUUAUAAUUUUAUGAGAGUCCUGCACGCGACCGUGCAGAGUCAGCACCAAUUCCAUGCGAGGAAGUCCCCGCACAGAUGCGGAUUUCCUGCACAAUUCGUGCGGAGUCCUCACACAGUUUGUGCGAGGACUCCACACCAAUUCCUUCGAGGAAGUCCCGCACAGUUUGUGCGGGCACUCCGCACCAAGAUUGCUACAAAAAGCCAUAUUUCACGAGUUCUAGGUGUUUGCAUUCUCAAAGUGAUUAAGAGAACUAAUAUCACCAAAAUUCAGCAAAAAUAAAAAUGAGAAUAUUUAUUUAUAUAAGCAAGGGAUGAAAAGUGGAAAUAACUUCCUAAAAAAUGAAAUGUACUGCAUUCAACAUUGAGAAAAAAACACGUAACAUGUAAUCAUAUUGUGCUGCUGGCUCAUUUUCAAUUAAUUACUACCAAAAAGUUUUGCAACGAGAAUUCUACAGUUAUAAAUAGAGAUUCAAAUGGCCUAUCCAAUCACCUUACUAUGCUCUGCUUAAACUUAUAGCUAAAAACUUAACAGAAACAAUUUGCAACUAUUAACUAAAAUAACAAAACCCCUUAUACUUAGAGCAAUUCAAUUAUUUUCACCAAACUUAUAUGCUUCACCUAAUCAUUCAUCGAUUUCUUGCUAAUUUCUUUAGUCCUACAUUUUCCUACUUCAGGUGCCAAACCAUGGCCUAAAAAAUUAAUCUAUACUUCUUUUUUUUUCCUCUCUAUAAUCUGUUGUUCUUAUGGCCAAAAAUUCAGUUUAAAAAGACUUAUACAAACUGAAAAUACACACAUUCUUAAUAUGCAUAAAGUAUGAAUAAACCCAUAUCAAGAGUCCCAACAAAAAAAAAAUUGAAAAUAAGUAAAAAGGCAGAUUUUUUCCCUAGUUGACUUUAAAAAAAAAAUUAAAAUUCAAGACUUCUUUUCUGCAGCACAUAUCAAAAGUCUAUUCACGGCAUCAUCGGAACAAUCAUCAACAAACAAAACCCAUACACCCAAAAUUAAUGAAAUGACGAAAACUCAAACAUCUAACACAUAAAUUUAGGGAUUAAGAUAAGAUAAGCCCAUACCUUCAAAAUUAUUAGUGUUAAAACCCAAAAAGUCCCCGCACAGUCUAUGCGGGGACUCCGCACCCAGAUUACUACAAGAAGCCAUACUUCACGAUUUCUGCCAAGAUUGCUAAUGCAUGAGAUACACAAGAGACCUAAAUGAAUUAACAAGCCAAUAAGCAUUUUAAUUUACAUUAAACCAAGAAUAUACCUCUCUAUUCACACAAAAACCCAAAAUUGUGAAUUGAAUGAACAAAAUUAUAAUUAUCAAAUAAAAUCGAGGAUAUACCUCUCUAUUCACUCGAAAUAAAAAAUUUUGCACGUAGAAUCUUGAAUAAACAAAAUCAUAAUUUGAGAAAAAUGGCAUGCCAGGAAUUUACCUCUCUAUUCAUGAGAAUUUUGCACGAAAUUAAUCACAGAAAAACGAGAGAAGAAUUGAAGAAGAAGUGAGAGAAGAAAAUGAUGAUGAUGAUGAUGAUGAAAGCUUGUGUCUGGGUUUGCGUGGGGAAAUGGCUUCACCGUCCUUUUGAGUAAGAAAAAAUGGGUAUGAUUGAUAUCUACAGUAAAAUCACUGUUUAGCUAAAGUAGAAGUCCCGAAUACUAUUGCAAUUAUAGUAUAUUUUAUUCAUCUUUCUAUAAUAAGUAGUUAGAUUUAAAAAAAAAAACUGCAAAUGUGGUGUUUUGCAAUUACAGUGAAUUUUAUUCAUCUUUCUAUAAUAAGUAGUUAGAUUUAAAAAAAAAAAAAAAAACUGCAAAUGUGGUGUUUCUACAUGAGUUAACUUAUGCGUGUUUUAUAUAAAUCUCCUUGUUCUGUUUGUUAGUGAAGAUCAUGAAUUGGCCAGCUCUAAAAACAAGAUUCAGUAACAUUUAUAGAAUAAUAUAUUAAAUUGGAUAGCUUAAGGAGGUCGCCAGAAUUUGGGGUGGCCAUAUUGCUCAACCCCAGACGGUGUUCAAGUAUCUGUCUAUUCAUUUUCUGUGUAUAAUCGUAUCCAAGAAUGAGUCAUGUAUUCUAGCGAGAAAUUAAUAUCAAGAUUCCAGUUCUUGACAUCUUGUUUAUCCAAAAUUUUUCCUUUAUCUUGGUGUAAUCUAUGGUCAUAGGUAGUGUUUUUGUGGAAUCAGAUCUUUGUUUCUCAUUUUUUAAGUUGGAUUUCAAAUCUUGAUAUUUGGACUUUUGAUUCUCGAAGUGUUCAAUAAUUUAACUGUAAUUUUCAAGAAAAUAGGGGGAUGGACUUACUAUAUGUUCUUGGAACCAGAAAGAGAGGUGAAUUCUAAUUACAUAAUUAAUUCAUUAUUUAAACAUCCCAUUCUGAGACUUGGGGAAAUGGACUUCUUGUAUUUUCGUGGAUCGAAGAAAAUGAAUUGGGGUGGGGGUUGGAAAAUAAAGUUCUAGAGAUUUGGGAUUGUAGGUGGCAUAUAUAAAAAUUUGGAUUUAAUUUGUAAAAAAUAAUAAUAAUAAAUAACAAAAUAAAAAAAAUUGGGUAUUGAAAUUACAAUUAUUCCUUUUUAACGACAAAUUGAUGGAUCUUGACGGUAGGGAAAUUUGGGAUGAGAUCAAUGCACUAACUGAUGCCCACCCUUGUACUUGUGAUGCUCGCAAAAAAGUCGAAGACACAGCCAAUACCGAACGACUCUUUCAAUUUCUUAUGGGCCUCAAUGACUCAUUCUCCAACAUUCGAAGCCAAAUUCUCACCAUGGACCCCCUGCCCACAAUCUCCAGAGCAUAUGCCACCAUACAUCAAAAAGAGACACAACGCCUCCUACAAAUUCCAUUGUUACCCAAUCCCGAAAAUUCGGCCAUGGCUGUCUCACACACCAAUUCUUCGGUCAAUCACGGUUUUUGUUCUCGCAACAGUAGAAAAUGCACAAAGUGUGGGAAAGAUGGACAUCAAGAAGCCUCCUGCUUUGAAAUCAUUGGCUAUCCUUCCCAUUGGAACACCAAUAAGCCGAAGCAGCCCCUGCGGUCCACACCUGUCAAAAAUCGGCCACAGGAUUCAGGCAGUAAUCGGCUACCCACAGCGAACAUGGUGUCUCGUACCUCAGCCCCUUCCACAUCGAGUGCAAUCCCUGGCUUAUCUGACGAGCACUACUGGCAAUUGAUGGAAAUGUUGGAUCCUAGCACCAUUACACACUCGGCCUUCUCUGGUAUCUCUCUAUCACCUCUCCAAAUCGCCCUAGGUCCUUGGAUUAUAGAUAGUGGGGCUUCAGCCCACAUUUCUUGUGUUUCUAACUUACCCAAAGCCUCACAUAUUUGGGCCCAUAGUCAAUCCCUUACAUUACCUACAGGCUUCAAGGCCCACGUCACACAUAUGGGCCACAUCCAUAUUUCUCCCCAUUUAUGUCUACAUAAUGUUCUUUUUGUUCCCGAUUUUAAAUACAAUUUAAUCUCAGUAAGUCAACUCACAAAAUUGUCUAAUUGUGUUACCAUAUUUUCCUCUUCUAUUUGUUUAUUUCAGGACCUAUGUAUGAGAAAGCUGAUUAGGAUGGGUGAAGAACAUGGAGGCCUCUACCAUUUUAAACCAUUUAAUCAUGUUGCAUUUCAACUCAUAGCGAAUCCUGCUGCUACACCGGAUGUAUAGCAUCUUCAUUUAGGUCAUCCUUCAAAUUCUUGUAUUCCAAAAAUUUUAUGUGAUUCAAAUAAAGUUAGAAAUUGUGAUAGUUGUGUUCGCGGUAAACAUACGCGCCUUCCCUUCAAAUUGGUCGAAAAUAAAAGUACUUUUACCUUUAACCGAAUUUAUUGUGAUAUUUGGGACGGAUAUUCCACACCCUCUACAAUUGGUGCACACUAUUUUCUCACAAUUGUUGACGAUUUUUCACGUGUUACUUGGGUAUACCUCAUGCGUUUUAAAUCUAAUACAUUUACUUACCUAACCACAUUCAUUAAAAUGAUCCACACGCAGUUUAAUUGCCCUAUCAAACAUAUUAGGUCCGACAAUGGUCAAGAAUUUCUUUCUCAUCGUAUGCAACAAUUCUUCCUUGACCAUGGGAUCAUUCAUGAGCGCACUUGUGUUGAACCACCCCAAAAAAAUGGUGUAGUAGAAUGAAAAUAUCGUCACCUACUAAAUGUAGCUCGAUGUCUUCGCUUUCAUACACAUUUACCUAUUUCUUUUUGGGGUGAGUGCAUACUUACUGCAUCCUAUCUGAUUAACCGCGUAUCAACUCCCACGCUUGGUCACAAAGCGCCUUAUGAACUCCUUUUCAACAAACCUCCUACCUAUGAUCACCUCCGUGUCUUUAGAUGUCUUUGCUAUGCACACACUUUAAGUGUCCAUCGGGACAAGUUCUCUCCUCGUAGCACACCAUGCAUAUUCCUAGGCUACUCUCAAAUUCCACAUACUUAUCGUGUUCAUAACUUGCAAACCAAGAAAAUUUUCUUCUCUUGUGAUGUCUACUUUGUAGAAUCUAUCUUUCCCUUCGCUCCUACGAUGCAACCUUCACACAUAUCAUCAGAUACCAAUCAGCCCCUCGAUGUCCCUUACAGUACCCCACUUCCAACCAACGUUUCACAUGACACCCCUAGCCCAUCUCCUUCAUCCACGCAGACAUGGAACCAACUAUACCAACACCACAAGUUGUUGAUGGACCUACCAACUCCCUAGAAAUCGUCACCAGCUCACCCCCACUCAACUCAUCCCCACCAACUAGACCUCGAUGCACGAUUACUCGUCUUACAUAUCUUCAAGACUACAUUUGUUCAGAUUUACCUCCAGAGGGACCACGUUCAUCAUCUCAUUGCCAGUCUUUCUCAGGUACAGUUCACUCUCUACCUAAUUUUCUUUCUUGUCGUUUCUUUAGUCCAAAACAUUUUGCUUUCCUCUCUUCUAUCUCCAAAAAUGUUCAAGACCCCGUUCUUUACUCUCAAGCUAUUCUUGAGCCGUAUUGGCAAUAGGCAAUGGCUUUUGAAAUUCAAGCCCUUGAAGUCAAUCACUCAUGGACCCUUGAACAUCUUCCCCCUGGUAAGAAGGUAAUUGGUUGCAAAUGGGUUUAUAAAACAAAAUUGCAUGCCGAUGGUUCCAUUGAACGCCAUAAAGCUUGUUUUGUUGCCAAGGGUUUCACUCAGGUUGAAGGUCUUGACUAUAAUGACACUUUUGCUCCUGUGGCUAAACUUGUUACUGUUCGAUGUCUCCUUACUAUAGCUACAGCUAAACACUGGAUUCUUCAAAAAUUGGAUGUUCACAAUGCUUUCCUCAAUGGUGAUCUUGAUGAGGAAGUGUAUAUGCGACCACCACCAGGAUAUUGUCGUAAAGGGGAGACUCGCGUUUGCCAUCUCCACAAAUCAUCAUAUGGUCUCAAACAAGCCUCACGUCAGUGGUAUUCAAAAUUAUCCCAUGUUCUCAUCCUUACAAGUUUUGAUCAAUCUGCUGCUGAUCAUAGUCUCUUCAUCAAAACCAAGGGUACAACCUUUACUGCCGCUCUUGUCUAUGUUCAUGAUAUCAUUGUUGCUGGUAAUGACAGCUCUGCCGUUAGUUCUAUCAAACGCCAUCUUGCAUAGACCUUCAAAAUUAAAGACCUUGGCGAUCUCAAAUAUUUCCUAGGGAUUGAAGUUGCUCGAUCUCCUAAAGGCAUAUUUAUCAAUCAAAUGAAAUAUACCUUGGACAUUCUUACUGAUUCAGGUGAACUUGGCUCUCGCUCGGCAUAUUUUCCCAUGGAACGACAUUGCAAACUUAAUGACUCAGAUGGUGAUCUUAUGGACGAUCCUAGCUCAUAUCGACACUUGAUUGGUCAUUUGAUCCUAUAAUGCUCGGACUCGGGUACGGGUAUCGGGUACGGGUACUUAUCUAAGUAUCAAAUCUUUUAUUUUUUAAAAUAUAGGAUACGGGGACAUGGUUAAAAAGAAUCCAAAUUUCGGACACGGGUACGUGGGUACGUCUUUCAAGCUUCAAUUUUUUUAUAUUAACCCAAGAUGUCAUUUUGAAUAGACUAAAAUCAAUAGUUCAUAAAAAGGAAAUGAGUAUUAAAUAAGAUGUUAAGACUAAUAAAAUACAAUUUUGGGGUUUAGUUUUCAAUUAUAGGAAACGGGAAAGAAAAUGAAAAGAAAAAAGAAGAAGUAAAAAAAAGGGCGAAAUGUCCGAUUUAAAUUUGGAGGAUUCUACACAUAUCCCAUACGCAUACCCUUGUCGUGUCGUGUCCGACACGGGUAUUUCAACCAUUUCGAAGAGUCCGAGCAUCAAAGGUUUGAUCUAUUUGACCAUCUCUCAUCUGGAUAUUACCUUUGCAGUCAACAUUUUGAGUCAGUUUAAGCACACUCCUCGCAAGCCUCAUCUACAUGCUGCUAUACGCUGGCUCCGCUAUCUGAAAACAACACCUGGUUAUGGAUUCUUCUUUCCAUCCAACUGCAACCUUCAGAUAUCUGCUUUUUGUUACUCUGAUUGGGCAAGUUGUCCACUCACACGACGUUCCACAACUGGUUUCAUCAUCAAAUUGGGCGAUAGCCCCAUCUCUUGGCGCACCGAGAAACAAACAAUUGUUUCUUGCUCUUCUGCUGAAGCUGAAUAUCGUGCGAUGGCCACUACAACUUGUGAACUUGUUUGGCUUCGCCUCCUUCUACAGGAACUUACUGUGUUGCAUCCACAACCUAUUCUGCUUCAUUGUGACAAUCAAGCAGCAAUCUACAUUGCACAUAAUCCGGUCUUCCAUGAACGCACCAAACACAUUGAAUUAGAUUGCCAUCUUGUUUGUGAAAAAAUCAAAUCUGGUCUUAUUACUCCCUCCUAUGUUUCAAGCUCUGAACAUGUAGUUGAUCUUUUUACUAAACCAUUGGGACGUGAAUUAUUUGUCUUCUUUUGGUCCAAGUUGGACAAUACGGGCCUCCAUGCUCCAACUUGAGGGGGAGUAUUAUAGCCAGCUCAUCAACAACAAUCAACGACAAUCAACACAAAGAAUUUUCUUUUAUAGUUAUUUCCAUAUCACAGUUUUUACCAUGUAUAGAUUGGAUUCUCACCUAUAAAUUUAUACAAAAUCAUUUUAACAUAUAUGGAGGAAAUAAUAUAAUCUUCAAUUCUUUCCUCAAUCAUACCUGUGUAUGUCGAGAUUUGUUAUUUAUAUAGAGUAAUUUUAUUUUGAUACUUGUUAUUAAUUUUUCUUAUUGAAAUUUUUUAAAUAUGAAUAUUUCUUUAUUAUUUAAUAAUAAAUUUGAAUUAAAAAUAUACGAUAUUUUUGAUAAAGAAAGAAAAAUUACCACUAGUGUGUUUGAGAAGUAUCGGUAUUCGACAUGUAUCGGAUGUUACUCACAAUAUUGCUAAUGAUAUAUUUCAACUAUGGUCUACGAGAAUAAGAUAUCGUAUGGAACACGUAAUAUCAGCUAAUGAAAGAUAGAAUAAUAGUUGUUUUUAGUACGGCAUGGUAUGCUACAUGAAUAUAUUGUCAACUCUAAAUAUUUUUUCAAUUACCCACAACGUUGCCGAUUAAAAUAAAUUUAUCAAUAGCAGUAAGAGUAGAACAAAUAAUUUAAAAUUGUAGAAAGUGAUAAAAGAGCAAAUGAACUUUCAAUCGAAGUCUAAAUAAACACAGUUUCUUUAAAACAAAUUGGCCUCCUCACUCUACGUGCUUGAGGCUUAGUUUGAGCAUCUGUUUCCUAGGAUACAACGAAAAAUAAGUAGAGUCUAAGCACUGCAUAUACUACUCCGGUGAACUGACUUAGUAUCCGAACAAUAUCACCAAAAUUGAAAAGAAAUUUUUUUUCGACCAAAUAGAGAGCUGUAAAACUAUGUAGCAUGCAGACAAAGUAUUGAUUCUUGUGUGGGAUAUGGAAAACGAGUUCCAUAUAGACUUAACCCCAUGAAUGGUGAGUUAAAUCUGUCUAUAAGUGUAUUAUCUCAUCCAUAACUCUUGGAGUUUCAAUAGUUUUAGAAGUUAAAAGGUCAGUUGGAGGAAAAAAUUGACAAAACGUAGGCCUUCCUAAGGGCUCAAUUUUGGUCCCUUCGGUCUGACAUAUGUGUGUACAGGUUGAGCCCACACACAAGUUCAAGGUUCGAAACCUAUUUCGGUCUAUGAUUUGUACCUCUUACGUGCGCACGUGAUGAGAGCCUCUAUGCUAUAUAUGAUCACACCCUUCAAAGUGUAAUCCUAUAUGAGGUGGUAUUUGCCUUCAUUAUUUUUCUAUGUGGAACAAACCUUAAUUGGUGUCCUUCAAACACAUAAACUCCUUUCAAUUGGCACACUUUGAGCUCCAAUUUUUCAUUCACCCAAGCAUCAUAUUUGACAAGUAAAUAUAUGAUUUCAAUAUUCUCACGACGAACACAAAUCAAUCUUGAUCUUCCAAAAUAAACAACCAGGUCCCACUCAAAAUUUAUGCCAAAGUAAGCCAUUCAACUCAUUUAUUCAAUGAUGUGCCAUCCUAGAUGAAGUGUCCGUGCAACAGAGGUAUUAGGUGUUCGUAAAGUGUUCUUUGAUGGUCAUCCAUUUCUUUUGAUGACUCAAGUUUUCGAGCUUCGCUCUACUAAUCUGAGGAGCAGCGGCCUUCCCCACUAAUCAUCCAUUGUUUAUACCUAUGGAAAUGGUGCCAGUAGCAUAUGGAAAUGUUUAUACCCCUGAUCAUUUAUGGAAAAUCGUACGAGGCCCAAGGCAUGGUAAUGAUUUCAGAGUGGAUUUAGAAGAUACUAUCUGUGCGUUGAAAAUUCUAAAUUGGUUUUAGAUAAUCGUCAAGUUGGCUAUGACACCAAGAAUAAAGUAGCGAAAGGAAGGAUACCUUGCAUAUGAAGUGAUUGGCUAAGGGUUUAUGAGUGGAGUUCUGCAUAUUACGUGUAGUAUAUGAUUUUAUUUCAACAUUUAUUCAUUGGGCUAUUUGUGGCACCAAGAAUAGUGGUGGCUAAAGGAAGGACACAUGCUUAUGAGUGGACCUCUACAUAUUAUGCAUAGUAUUUGAAUUUUUUUUCCUUUUUUUUUUGGCAGAAAGAACUGAAUAAAUAUUGAAGUUAAUGGGCUUUGUGUAACGCUCCGACCCCUGGUGGACCAGAACGCUACUUACUUUAAUUAGCUUAACCGGUGGUUUAGUAACAAGUGUAUACGUUUUAACGGAAUCUUACAUCUUCGGAUAAUAAUUUAAAUAACAAUACUUCAAAUACUUUAAACACAAACACUGAAUCAUUUUUCAAAACAACAAAAUAUAAUUUAUUUGAAGAAAACAUAACUUGUUCUCGCAUUCUGCGUUAUUCAAAACUUUAAAGAAAUAACAUUGGAAAACAUUUCAUAAAAAUAAAUCCAAAUCACUUAUUCACCGGAUUUCCAUGGGCUCGUUGCAUCAUUCUCCAUCUUCUCCUCCAUCCAUGCCCGAGGUAGAAUUCCUUCAAUUUGUAGAGAUGAGAUUAAACCCAUGAGUUGAAAAACUCAAUAGGUGUCAUAAGUGCAUUCGUGAUCAAGCUAUACAUUUCAAAACAUUAACUUUAUAACUCUUCAUACAUGCCGUACCCGGAGGCACCAUUUGAUAUGAAGGGGCAUGCCGUACCCCAGGGCACCAUUUGACAUACGAACAUUUCUUCAACAUAAAGGGGUAUGCCGUACCGGAGUACCAUUUGACAUACAACCAUUAACAUAUAGGGAUAUGCCAUACCAGAUUACUAUUUGACAUACAAACAUUAACAGGAAUCGAAACUUAUAACUUAACACGAUUAAACACAUUGCACCUCUACCUACUUUGAUUGAUGUUUUUGAAACUUUGAAAACUUGGAUUGAAAAUUUCGAUGAAACUUGGACGUUGAAAGAAAUGCACUCCUUGGAUGUUUGAAAACCGUUGAGAAUUGAUGCUUGAAGACACUUUUUAAACUUCUAAGAAAAAUAGUUUUCCUCCCUCUCUUUUUCUCUCUUGGAAACUCUUUCUUUAGUAUGUAAAAACUCUUGCUUUUGUGUGAGAAAAAAUGAGUGAAAUGAGGUCUCUAUUUAUAGGUAAAUAUUCCAUAACUUAAAGCAAAUGAAGGGUCAAAUUUCAUUUAAGAGAGAAAACAUAGUUUCCAUUUAAGUUUGAGGUUAAAUGCUUCAAUUUAGUGGGGGGUUUUUAUUGCCAAAAACGUGGGUGGCCCUUUGAGAAAAUAAUUGAUGAAAAUAAAUAUUUAAAUUCUAGAGAAAAACGAGAAUUUUCAUUUCAGGCAGCUUCGGUCGACCGGUUGUAGUCCGGUUGACACUGCAUAACUUUCAGUGUUUCUAUCAUAACUUUUUUUCCCGAUAUCCGAUUGAGGUAAUCCAAAGUGCGUUGGAAAGCUAACUCAAAAAGCUACAACUUUUAUUUAGAUAUCAUUUUCCAAAUUGAAUGUUUCCUAUGUUGAAAAUGGGUCUCAAAAGAGACUAAAAAUCUGAAGUAUACUUUAGUCAUUCAAUAUUCAUGUCUUAGUGCCACUAAGGUGUCUAGAAUUAUUUGGGGUUCUACAUCCCCCACACCUUAAUUAAAAUUUCAUCCUCAAAAUUUACCUUCUGAUUGGGCGAAUAGUAUUGGAUACUUAUCUUUGGCUUCUUCUUCUUUUUCCCAAGUGGCUCUUCUACGCCGUGAUAAUUCCACUGUAUCUUAACCAACUGAAUCUCUUUAUUCCUUAGUUUAUACACUUUUUGAUCCAAUAUCUUGAUCGGUAGUUCCUCGUACGACAAAUCUUUCUGUACCUCCAAGGUUUGAUAACUAACUACAUGAUUAGGAUCAUGUACAUACUUCUUUAUCAUCGAUAUACGGAACACAUUGUGCACUGCCGAUAAUUCAGGUGGCAAAGCUAGUCGGUAAGCCACAUUUCCGACUCUAUCCAAGGUCCGAUAUACCGGGGUCAUAGCUUGCCUUUCUUUCCAAAUCUAAGUACACCUUUCAUCGAUGCUACUUUCAGAAACGCUUUAUCCCCAACUUGGAAUUCUAAAUCCUUCAUCCUUGUAUCUGCAUAGCUCUUUUGUCGAUCAUGUGCUGCCUUUAUUCUUGCACAGAUCUUAUCGAUUACCUCGACUGUCCUUUCAACUAUUUCUUGUCCUAAAACUCUCUUCUCUUCGACUUUGACUUCAUCCCAAUGAAUAGGGGAUCUACAUCUUCUACCAUAGAGAGCUUCGUAUGGUACCAUUCCAAUAGUUGCUUGGAGGUAAGUAUGACUCCCAAUUACCUCCUAGAUCCAAAACACAUGUUUUCAGCAUGUCUUCCAAAGUUUGGAUGGUCCUUUCAGACUGACCAUCGGACUGAGGGUGAUAUGCUGUACUAAAGUUCAGCUUCGUUCCCAUAGUUCCUUGUAUACUUUUCUAAAAUUUGGACGUGAACCUUGGGUCUCUGUCAGAUAAAAUGGAUACAGGUACACCGUGUAAUCUCACAACCUCUUUAAUAUACAACUGUGCCAAUUGGUCCAAACUGAAUGUCGUUUUCACUGGAAGAAAAUGAGCUGACUUCGUUAGUCGAUCCACUACUACCCAUAUAGCAUUAUUUCCUCUUGCUGAAUUUGGGAAUCCAACCACAAAGUCCAUCGUGAUAUUUUCCCAUUUCCAUUCAGGUAUAUCUAGUGGAUUUAACAAUCCAGUUGGUUUUGGGUGUUCUACCUUAACCUAUUGACAUACUAUGUACUUCUGCACGUAUAGCCCUAUACUUCUUUUCAUAUUUCUCCACCAAAAUGUAUCUCGAAGAUCUCGAUACAUUUUUGUACCACUGGGAUGUGCGGUGUACGGGGUGGAAUGAGCUUCUUUCAAUAUCUUAUUUCUUAAGGCUUCAUCCUUAGGCACGCAAAUUCUUCCUCUAAAUAUCAAUGCCUGAUCCUCAGCUACUCCAAAGUCCUUUUUCUUAUCAGUACCAAUUUCAUUCUUAAUCUUCUGCAAAAAUGAGUCUUUAUUUUGUGCUUCUAUAAUUCGAUCUCUAAGAGUAGGUCGAAUUAUUAAAGCUGCUAGACGAGCAGUGACUUGUCCUGGUGUGAUAACCACUUCGAUCUGCAACUUUUCCAAGUCCUUAACUAACUCCACUUGAGAGGUGGGUAGUGACGUCAAUUGUCCCAUUGAUUUUCUACUUAGAGCGUCGGCCACAACAUUAGCCUUACCCGGAUGGUAGUGAAUAGUGCAGUCGUAAUCGUUCACCAAUUCCAACCAUCGUCUUUGUCGCAUAUUCAAUUCCUUCUAUGUGAAGAAAUACUUGAGACUUUUGUGAUCUGUGUAGAUAUCACACUUCCGUCCAUACAAGUAGUGUCGCCAUAUCUUCAAAGCGUGUACUACCGCUGCAAGUUCUAAAUCAUGCGUCGGGUAGUUCUGCUCAUGUUUCUUCAAUUGUCUUGAAGCAUAGGCUAUCACUUUUCCAUUCUGCAUUAGUACACAUCCCAAUCCUCGCUUGGAUGCGUCGCUGUAUAUAACAAACCCUUUCGUAUCUUGAGGUAUUGUUAAUAUAGGUGUUGAUAUCAACUUCUGCUUAAGUUCUUGGAAACUUUGUUCGCAUUUUUCUGUCUAUUGAAAUUUUACUCCCUUCCUUGUAAGCUGCGUCAUUGGUUCAGCUAUUUUGGAAAAUCCUUCUAUGAAUUUCCUAUAAAAUCCAGCCAAUCCUAGAAAACUCCGUACUUCGCCAACAUUUGUUGGUGCUUUCCAGUUGGUUACUGCUUCUACUUUUGCUGGAUCUACUUCAAUCCCUUGGGCAGUAACUACAUGUCCAAGAAAUCCAACUCGUUCAAGCCAAAACUCGCACUUCUUGAAUUUGGCAUACAACUUCUCCUUGCGUAAUACCUCUAAGACUAUUCUCAAGUGCUCUUCAUGUUGCUCCUUACUCUUGGAAUAUAUCAGAAUGUCAUCGAUGAAGACUAUAACAAACUUAUCCAAGUAUUGAUGAAACACUCAAUUCGUCAUGUCCAUGAACACUACAGGUGCAUUGGUUAGCCCAAACGGCAUCACCGUAAACUCGUAGUGUCCAUAUCGAGUUCUAAAAGUUGUCUUAGGUAUAUCCUUUGUCUCUACUUUCAGUUGAUGGUAUCCCGAUCGUAAAUCGAUCUUGGAAAAUACCUUAGCUCCUUUCAGUUGAUCUAACAGAUCCUCGAUCCUCGGGAGUGGGUACUUAUUCUUGAUGGUUAAUCGAUUUAUCUCCCUCUAAUCGAUGCACAUCCUCAUGCUUCCAUCUUUCUUCCUUACAAACAACACUGGCGCACCCCAUGGAGAUACGCUUGGUCCUAUGAAGCCCAUAUCUAGGAGUUCUUGCAACUGCUUCUUUAAUUCUUGUAGCUCCUUUGGGGCCAUUCGAUAUGGGGCCUUAGAUACUGGUACCACCCCGGGAAUUAGGUCUAUGGUGAAUUCCACUUGUCUAUCGGGUUGAAUGCCAGAUAGAUCUUCUAGAAACACAUCUACGAAUUUCCGUACUACUGGUACAUCUUCAACCCUUAUUGUCUCUUGUUUCCCUCUUGCGAUACUUACUAGAUAUCCUUGACAUGUGUUCUUUUCUCAACAUCUUCUCAAGUUGUAAAGCCGAUACUAGUCGAAUAAGGGGUUUCGUCUUCAUUCCAAGGAACGAAAAUGGUUCCUCUCCUGGUUUCUAAAAUGAUACUUCCAUUUCCUUAUAUCGGAUGGUGGCGUAAUUACAACCUAACCAAUCCAUGCCUAGUAUUACAUCAAAAUCCUUCAUUUCUAUCAUGUAUAGGUUCGUUUCCAUUAGUUUUCCCUCAACUUUGAUACUUACUGACUUGGCUAUCCUAUCAGUAUUCAAAGGGUUGUCCGAAGGAAUACUAACUUCUAAUGUACCUUCUUAUCUUCCGUAUCCACCAGAUGUGGAGCAUACUUUGAAAGUUGAUCAAACUUCCUCUCAUACUCAGUCAGGGACAUAGUCUUUUGCUUGAUUUGGAGGAAUUCACUUUCUUUGUGAUCCCUCAAAGACUGGGGAAAAUACUUGUCCAUUACUUCUCCUUUGAAUUGCUCCCAAGUCAAUUCUUCUUAUUGCUUAGGGGUCCUUGUCCUUGACAUUGAGACCCACCAGUGACUUGCAUUACCGGAGAACAUGAACUCAGCACGCUGAACUUUCUAAGCGUUUGUGCACCCUAUCAAUCGGAAUAUACGCUCCAACUUGUGAAGCCACUCCUCGGUUGCAAGUGGAUCAGCUGCUUUGUUGAAGGUAGGGGACUUGUGCCUUCGAAAUUGCUUGACCACUGAAGUAUGAUUUGGAACAUUAGGAGCUAGUGGUAGGGGUUGAGCUUGGUUCGGGUUUUGCCUGCCUAGGUCUUGAACCGCUCGGAGGAGGUCUCUUAUCAAGUUUUGGUUUGCGCGGGCCAUUUCUUUUAGACAAAGCAUAUGGUUCUUAUUAGUUUCAUUCUUCAAAUACUAAAGCAAAGAAGAUAGUAUUUUAUUUCUUGAUAUAAGGGAAGCUAUUACAAGGAUUUAAAUCUAAUCCCUAUAAGUUCUACGGAUCUUCUUUGGUGGAGCUUCAUCUUCGAGGAGUCUUCCGCAUCAGGUUUGGCUCUAUGUUCAUCUCAACUUGUGGCUCAGGCUCAGGAUCAUUCUCUAAAUCAUCCUCGAGUUCUUCUUCGAGAUCUUCUUCCUCGGCCAAAGCUUCCUCCUCAGGCUCCUCGUGGGUUACAUCAUCCCACAAAUCAAUCAGGGCAUGGCAAUACCUCUCAAACUCGAAUAGGUUUGGGUUGCUUGCUAACAUUUCAUCUCUAACCGUGACUCCCAUAUCUCCCCAUUGAGGUGGGAGGGAGUGUAUGAGGUUAUUUAUGGCCUCAAUAUGUGUGAUCUCCAUACCAGCAUUAACCGUCUUCAUGCAUCUCUCAUGGAUGUCAUACACAUGUUCGCUAAGCGAUCAGGUCAGAUCAGUUACAUAGUUUUCAUAGGAAUGGAUAGCAAUUCUACAGUUCAAUGCUUCUCUAUAUGCCCUAGCCGUUCUACGAGCCAUGUCUGUUGCAUUUUCACAUACAUCAUACUUUUUUUUGCUUAAAGAAAACAUGCAAAUAUUUAAACUUUCAUAUCAUGCAAUUUCCUUUAAACCCUUAACUUUUACCCAAGUUCAUUACAUAUCUUUAAAUAACACAUCUCUAAAUCAUAUCAAAACAUCAUAACAUAAACAUAAUCAUUAACUUUAAACAUAAACAUACCUAGGCCAUAGGAUGAGAUUGAUGGAUGGAUGCACGAUGCCAUGGAAUACCUUAACUUAAACUUUUCAUUUUCCUUUUGUUUUUUUAAAAAAAAAAUACUUGAUCUACAGAACAGGCUAAACCUUGCUUUGAUACCACGCUGUAACGUCCCGACCCCUAGUAGACCGGAACGCUACUUACUUUACUUAACUUAACCGGUGGUUUAGUAACAAGUGUAUACGUUUUAGUGGAAGCUUACAUCUUCGGAUAAUAAUUUAAAUAACAAUACUGCAAAUACUUUAAACAAAAACACUGAAUCAUUUUUCAAAAUAACAAAAUGUAAUUUAUUUGAAGAAAACAUAACUUGUUCUCGCAUUCUACGUUAUUCAAAACUUUAAAGAAAUAACAUUGGAAAACAUUUCAUAAAAAUAAAUCUAAAUCACUUAUUCACCGGAUUUCCAUGGGCUCGUUACAUCAUUCUCCAUCUUCUCCUCCAUUCAUGCCUAAGGUAGAAUUCCUUCAAUCUGUAGAGAUGGGAUUAAACCCGUGAGUUGAAAAACUCAAUAGGUGCCAUAGGUGCAUUCGUAAUCAAGCUAUACAUUUCAAAACAUUAACUUUAUAACUUUUCAUACAUGCCGUACUCGGAGGCACCAUUUAACAUGAAGGGGUAUGCCGUACCCGAGGGCACCAUUUGACAUACGAACAUUUCUUCAACAUAGAGGGGUAUGCCGUACCGGAGUACCAUUUGACAUACAAUCAUUAACAUAGAGGGAUAUGCCGUACCGGAGUACCAUUUAACAUACAAACAUUAACAUGAAUCGAAACUUAUGACUUAACACGAUUAAACACAUUGCACCUCUACCUACCUUGAUUGAUGCUUUUGAAACUUUGAAAACUUGGAUUGAAAACUUCGAUGAAACUUGGAUGUUGAAAGAAAUGCACUCCUUGGAUGUUUGAAAAUCGUUGAGAAUUGAUGCUUGAAGACACUUCUUAAACUUCUAGGAAAAAUAGUUUUCCUCUCUCUCUUUUUCUCUCUUGAAAACUCUUUCUUUUGUUUGUAAAAGCUCUUGCUUUUGGUGUGAGAAAAAAUGAGUGAAAUGAGGUCUCUAUUUAUAGGUAAAUAUUCCAUAACUUAAAGCAAAUGAAGGGUCAAAUUUCAUUUGAGAGAGAAAACAUGGGUGCCAUUUAAAUUUGAGGUUAAAUGCUUCAAUUUAGUGAGGUUUUUAUUGCAAAAAAUGUGGGUGGCCCUUUGAGAAAAUAAUUGAUGAAAAUAAAUAUUUAAAUUCUAGAGAAAAACGAGAAUUUUCAUUUCAGGCAGUUUCGGUCGACCGGUUGUAGUCCGGUUGACACUGCACAGCUUUCAGUGUUUCUAUUAUAACUUUUUCUCCCGAUAUCCGAUUGAGGUAAUUCAAAGUGAGUUGGAAAGCUAACUCAAAGAGCUACAACUUUUAUUCAGAUAUCAUUUUCCAAAUCAAAUGUUUCCUAUGUCGAAAAUAGGUCUCAAAUGAGACUAAAAAUCUAAAGUAUACUUUAGUCAACCAAUAUUUAUGUCUUAGUGCCACUAAGGUGUCUAGAAUUAUUUGGGAUUCUAUACUUUGUGACAUAGAGUGCAAUAAAACCAAAUAGUAGAAUUAUAGAAGAAGGGGGAGUGAAUAGAAAGAAGAGGGCAAAAGUGAAGAAUUGGGGGGAGGGGGUUGGUUAGAAGGAGAGAGAUAGAAAAGGAACAACAAUAGAUAGACGGAAGCAGAAUUUAGGAGAGAGGAAGAAGAGGGAGAAAAGGAAGAGGAAAACAAAUAAGAAGAAUAUUGAGAAAGAAAGGAUUUCUAUCAUUUCUCCCUAAUUGAAAGAACUCGACUCCAAUUCUAAGCAAAGAGGACUAUCUUUCUUUCUGACCAAAUAAUGAAAUUGAUUGCUUGAUGUCAAAUCCUAAAUUAGUUGGCUGAUUUUCUUCUUUUGAGUUGUGGUUGGGGAGAUUUUUGGGUGGUUGAAGAUGGCAAAGGAAGUGUGUGUAAAUUUUGAAUUUCAACAUGAAAUUUGUGUACAACGGAAAUGACUUGCUCUGCUAUCAAAUUGAUGUAUACUGCAAUAAAACCAAAUAGUAGAAUUAUAGAAGAAGGGAAAAUUGAUGUAUACUGCAAUAAAACCAAAUAGUAGGAUUAUAGAAGAAGGGAAAAGGGUAGAGAAUAAGAGAAAUGGGGGAAAAAGAGAAGAAGAGGGGGAAAGAGAAGGAGAUAUGUAGAAAGUGAAGAAGAGACAUUAGAAGCAGAUUUAAGAGAGAGGAAGAAGAGGGGGGAAAGGGAAAAGGAAAAUGAACAAGAAGAAUAUUGAGAAAGAAAGAAGAAAAGAGAGGAGAAAGAGAAGAAGAGGGAGAGAAAAAGAGAAUUUAGGGAGUGAAUAUCAAGUUUAUUUUAUGUCAAAUUUGUAUCUAUUACAAUGCACAAACCUCCUUCAUAUGGGGUUUUGAAAAACCUAUUCUAAAUAGGAAACAAUGAAUCAAAUACUAGAGAAUCUAGUAAAUAAAUAUAUAAUAAAAUCCUCGGAAAUCCAGUAAAUAAACCCUGAUAAUUUUUCCCAAAAUAAGAAUCUAAAUAUGGAAAAUAAUCAUAAUAAUCUAAUAGGAUUUACAUCAUUUUUUCGUGGUCCCGUGGGAAUGUGAGACAAUAUCAUUUAAGAUGUAUGAGUUUUAACUUGUCGCGACUCAUCAAAAUUUUCACUUGCGACCUGGAAAGAAAUCGAUUUGAAAAGUAAUUUUCCCCUUUUUUGAGUAAAGAUCAUGUCUUGGGCUUUAGUAGUGGCUCCACAGGUCUUUUAAUUCUUUUUAUGAUGAUUCACAUUCUUUUCACAUGGUUAAUCCUUUGAUGAUGCUAUUAUACUCUCAAGAUGCUAAUACAAAUUACUAUUGAUUUGAUGUGUAUUACCACCCUGUGUUUGCCUUCUUUUCAUUGUUAACUGUAACCUUGUGCUACAAUUUACUCUACCGUAAUACAGGCAAAACAUGGAAUUAACUGUCUUGAGCUUCCUCUCAUUCAGCACAAGAAGUUGCCUGAUUCUGAUAGACUUCCCUCUGUGUUGAGUGGUAAGUUUCUGACAUGAUUGAUGGUUAUAGGAGAUUGUUUUAGAUUAUCUGGAUGCAUUUGUUCACGUUACGUGCAUUUCAGAGACAGUUUUUUUUUUUUUUUUUUUAAUUUUUUUUAUUUUUAUUGUGAGGGUUUGUUUAGAACGUUUGCUUCAUCAGUUAAUCUGUGAUCCCUAUUGUGUUUUGUGUCAUUAUUGUUUUUAUCUUACAUCUUUAAAGACGAUUCAUAUGGGUGCACAUAAGAUGUUAAUGCACAGGUUGUCAAACUUGAUUCCUCAUUGACCGUAAAUAGUAAAUAUCUUGGCCACAUUUCAGUUAGAUUCGUGAAGAGAGACAGCUCCUCCUUUUGGGCUGUGAGGCACAAGGUACCAAGGUUAUCCAAUCACAGGUUGUAAAUUCACAUGGAUUAAAUUUCUCUAUGCACAUUGUUGUUAUUAUCUUUCUGACUUUGGUGUGAAUGCCAGAUCUUGUGUAUCUAGUCUCCCGCGGAAGUAAAUUGCUAAAUUGAAUGCUUGUUCUUAGUUGCUUUGAAAUGAAUGUUGUGAUCAGACAGAAAAUAAAACUCUCUCAAUCCCCCUUCCCCCUCUUACACAUGUUUCAUGACAGUUACUUCUAUUUAAAUUCACAAAUUCUACAAUGGAUGCACAUUAUGAUUUUUUCUUGCUUAUCUAUUGCUGCAGAUACUGCAUUUGAUUGGAUUGUCAUAACUUCACCUGAAGCCGCUCUAGUUUUUCUUGAUGCUUGGAAGUAAACUUCACAUGGAUGUUGGCACGUCAUUUAUUAUUCUAGAAUGGUCAUUAGUCAGUUAGAGGAAAACUCUAUAAAUAAGAUGGGAGAGGGGAAUUAGAGGGGAUUCAAUGAAUUGUUUAGAAAAAGUGGGGGAGAGAUCAAGGCCUCUCGAAUGCCUUUGAUUAUGUUUAAUUUCAUGACUUUCAUUCCAGUUAAUAUCAAUACAAUUCAUCUAUCUUUACAAUAUACUAUUCCAGUAACUCCAUGGACAUCUUGCAGUCACAUUACAAUUUCAGUGUUUUACCGGACAAAUUACUUCAUAACACUUCCCAGUUGGUCUAGCGGUUUUCUUCCAGUAGCAGUAGCAACAAACAAUAGCAGUAGCAGCAACUAAUCCUCUGCAUUAGCAUCCAGAAUCUGCAGUUUAUCAACCACAUUAGCUAGGAUCUUAUCAUAACCUUAAUUUUUCCCUUUACCUUUUGCUCUCCACGUGUGUCAACAUGAAGGAAGUUCCCUUUGGGUCAGGAUUGUUAUGAUGGAAAAUGCUGCUUAAACAAAUCAAAUGUCAAACUUAGAAGCUGUGGCAUCCUGAGGAUGUUCCUGAGAACAAUAUUUAGCUUGACUAUCUUAAUAUUUUAUAAUUCUUAUGUUGACUUGCUUGAAAAGGUUAAGAAUGUGACUUUUUGAAACAUAAACUGGAAAAAAUUCAUAUCUGAUUCUUUCAUGGGCAUAAACUGAUGACUAUCGGAUCUAUAGGCAGCAAUGAUUAGAAAAACCAAAAAUAAAAAAAGGAAGCCAAAGAUUAUUACAAGCUAUGAAUUUAUGAAAGUUGGUUUAUUGAAUUGGAAUAACUCCAAAAUACAUGGUGAAACACUAUGUAGAGCACCGGGAUAUCACAAUGAGUAUACUCAGAGUGGGUUGGUAAAGAAGUGUUUUAGCGCAGGUUUGAUGCAGUGGCGGACCCAUGACUGGGCCCUUCAUUUUUUACAUUUACAAAGUAGGCCCUUCUGUUGAGAAUCACACCAAAUCAAAUCAGUUUCCUGAUUUUUAGGGAAACUUGGCUGUAUAUUUCGUAAUUAUAGGGAUCCUAUUCAUUUUCAAAAAAUCAGUAUUGUAUAGCUGUAUAUUUCAGUUACAUAGUUGUAGCUUUAUUUUCUAUUUUAUUGACUGUAUUGUAUCUAAAAAAGGGUGACUAUGACUACUUUCCCAUUCAUUCGAUACAAUAUUCUUUUUCUACCCAAUCUAUAUGGUAUCAAAGCCGACAUAAUUGGCCUCUAUUUUUUUUUUUUUGGGUUCUUCCUACCCAUUACCACGUCAGAAAUCUCUAAAUCAACCCCUACCACUGGUGCCAAUAUCAACUCCUCUAAACCUCCAACUGAACCUCUCUCUCAUUCCGUCCAAAUCACCACGAUUCGACUCAAUGGGAACAAUUUUCUCAGGUGGAUCCAAUCCGUUCGAAUAUAUAUUAGAGUGAAGGGGGAAAUCAGUUACUUAAUUGAUGACAUUGUAGAGCCAGAAAAACUGAUGUUGGCCAUGCUGUUUAGGAUGCUGAAAACUCCAUGAUAAUGGCCUGGUUAGUGAAUUCUAUGGAGGAGGAAAUAAGUGCAAACCACAUGUAUUGUCCUAUUGCUAAAGCCCUGUGGGAUAAUGUCACCUUGAUGUAUUCAGUCCUUGGAAAUCAAUCCCAAACAUAUGAGUUACAACUCAAAUUGGGGGAAGUCCGUCAAGGUGAGAAUUUCGUCACUAAAUAUUUUAAUAUUCUCAAAGUUUCCUUGAUUUAUUCAAUGAUGACCAUGAGUGGAAGAACAUGGAUGGUUGCAAUUACUUUAAGAAAAAGGAGAUCUCACGAAUUUUCAAAUUUCUGGCUGGACUCAAUGUUAAUUUUGAUGAAGUAGGAGGCAGGAUUUGAGGUUGUAAACCUCUUCCUUCCCUCGGUGAAGUUUUUUUCUAAAGUUCGACGUGAAGAAAGCAGGAGAAAUGUCCUGCUUGGCAAGAAAAUCAUUGCUGGACUGGUGGAAAAUUCGACAUUAAUGGGGAUUGCUGUUGCUGCCAUCGUGCCCCUAGGGGUGAACCCACUAAGUACGAGGGCGGUCAGCCGCCCCCAUUGAUUUUUCAAAAACCUUCAAUUCGACCUUAUUAAAUUUAAAUUCUCAGAUUUUUUUUUUUUUGGUUUUUUCACAAUUUAUUUUAGCCAAUUUUCCAUCUCUUCCCCACUGAAAAAUAAUUUUAGAUCCACCCCUGUGUGUCCCUAAUACUUAGCGUCGUCAAGAUGACGAAUCGAAGGUUUGGUGUGAUUUUUGCAAUAAAUCACGACAUACUUACGAAACUUGCUAGAAACUGCAUGGAAAACUUGCUAAUUGGAAACCUGUAGAGUGGAAGAAUAAUAAAACUAAUUCGAAUCAUGCCCUAACCAAAGCACAUACUGUGAGACCACCUCUCUCAGUGAAGAACAAAUAGAACAACUCCUAAAGCUACUGAAAUCUGCUCCACCGACUCCCGGUACUCCUGUAGCAUCCUUGGUUCAAACAAGUAGAACUUUGUGUGCCUACUCUUCAUUAUCUACAUCUUGGAUCAUGAUUCAGGUGCCUCUCAUCACAUAACUAAUCUAUCCCAUUUGUUUAUAUCUUAUGAACUCUUUUCUGGAAAUAAAAAAGUACGUACUGCAGAUGGAAAUUUAUCUUCCAUUGCUGGCCAUGUUUCAUUCGUUUAUGAGAAAAAAAUAUUCUGAAAUCUGUUUUACAUGUCUCAAAACUCUCUUGUAACCUUUUGUCAGUAUGUCAUUUAUCUAAAGAUUCUAACUGUCGUGUUAUCUUUGGUGUCUCUUGUUGUGAAUUUAAGGAUUUAAAUGUGGGGAUGAUGAUUUGCAGUACUAGAAUGAUAGAUCUCUACUAUUUUAAUGACAACUGUGUUAGGAAUAAACAAGCUCAGGGUUUUAUUGGUGGUAUCCAAUUAAAUCUUGUUUAUGAUCAAAUAAUACUAUGGCAUAAUAGACUAGGACAUCCUAUUUUUUCCUAUUUAAAGUACUUAUUUCUAGAUUUAUUUAAAGGAGUGGAUUGUAACUCUUUGGUUUGUGAAACUUGUUUCCUGGCUAAAAGCCAUCGAAACUUUUAUAAAAUUAAACUUUUUUGUGCUUCAAAACAUUUUUAUCUAAUACAUAGUGAUGUUUGGGAUCCUUCUAAGAUUACCACUUCAACCUGAAAAAAAUGGUUUGUGACAUUCAUUGAUGUUCAUACACGCCUAUGCUGGCUUUAUUUAAUGAAUUCAAAAAAUGAAGUUGCAAAAUUUUUUAAAGAUUUUUUACUCUUUGGUCGAAAACCAAUUUCAAACUAAAAUAAGUGUUCUUCGAAGUGACAAUGGAAUAUAAUUUUUUAAUGAAUGUUUAGGAAAUUUUUGUACAAGAAAAAGGCAUUGUUCAUCAAUCUAUUUGUAGGGAUACUCAACAAAAUGGAAUUGCAGAACGUAAAAAUAGAUACUUAUUUGAAGUUGCUAGCGCUCUUAUGUUUCAUAAGAAUGUUUCUAAAUAUCUUUGGGGAAAUUCAAUCUUAACAAGUUGUUAUCUGAAUAAUAGAAUGCCCACUAGGGUUUUGAACUAUAAAACUCCUUUACGAACUCUUAAAAAAUCUUUUCCAAACACACGUCUCAUCAAUAAUCUCCCUUCAAAACUUUUUGGUUGUACGAUGUUCAUUCAUGUUCCAUCCCAUCUUCGAUCCAAAUUUGUCUACGAGCUGAAAAAUGUAUUUUUUAGGCUACUCUCCUAAUAAAAAAGGCUAUAAGUGUUUUAAUCCCGACACUAAAAAAUUUCAUAUUAGUAUGGAUGUUCAAUUUCUUGAAACAACUCCAUUUUAUACUAAAACCUUUCUUCAGGGGAAGAAUCUAAAUGAUGAUUAGUUUUGGCAACAAGAAGAACCAAAACUAGUUUCUUUUUUCCCUCAAAUAAAUUAGGAAAUGAAUACUUUACCUAGAGAAAAUAAGAAAAAUACUGAGCUAUAUAUGCCAAGUAAAAAUGUAUCACAAAAAGGGGAAAAACUUUACCACCUAUGCCCACUGAGCUACGUCUUUACACUAUAUGUAGGUUCAAUCCCAAUAUUUAGAAUCUUCCAAUCAAUUCUGAGCAUGGUCAAUCAUCAUCUCCUAGGUCUUCAAUUCCAGGUAAUCUUCCUAAAAAUCCUACUCCUUUACCUUUCUUUGAUCAUGACAUUCCUAUUACCAUUCAUAAAGGAAUUAGGAAUUGUACCAAACAUCCUAUUGCCAAAUAUCUGUCCUACCACAGACUUUCAGAAAAAUACAAAGCCUUCACAACAAAUGUUUCCCAUCUAUUUGUACCUAGAACUAUACAGAAAGCACUACAACACUCGGAGUGGAAGUGAGCAGUGUAUGAGGAGAUAAAAGCACUUCAAAAAAAUAGAACCUGGGAAAUUGUUGAUCUACCUAGGAAAAAGAAGAUAGUAGGGUGCAAGUGGAUUUUUACAAUCAAAUGUAAGUAUGAUGGGAGCAUUGAGAGAUACAAGGCAAGGCUGUUGCUAAAGGUUUUACACAAACUUAUCGAAUUGACUAUCAAGAAACCUUUGCACCUGUUGCAAAAAUCAAUUCCAUUCGAGUGUUACUUUCUCUUGCAGUACAUCUUAACUGGCCUUAGCAACAGUUAGAUGUAAAGAACACUUUCUUAAAUGGAGAGUUGGAGGAAGAAGUGUUUAUGGACUUACCACUAGGUUUCGAAGAAAACUUUGGAGAAAAGAAAGUUUGGCUAUUAAAAAAGUCAUUGUAUGGUCUUAAGCAAUAUCCUAGGGCCUGAUUUGACAGGUUCGGAAAAGUCAUCAAGCUUCAAAAGUAUUUGUAAAGCUAAGCCGAUCAUACAAUGUUCUAAAAACACUCAAGAGAAGGUAGAAUGGCAAUAUUAAUAGUUUACGUGGAUGACAUAAUUUUGAUUGGAGAUGAUAUUGUUGAGAUUGAUAGAUUGAAGAAAGCCCUAGCUCGUGAUUUCAAAAUCAAAGACUUUGGUCCUCUUAAAUACUUCCUUGGAAUGGAGUUUGCUAUAUCCAAGAAAGGUAUUUUUAUCUCUCAAAGAACGUACUUGAUCUACUAGAAGAAACAGGUUUACUCGGUUGCAAAGCAACAGAAACCCCUAUAGAACCAAAUCUGAAGCUUUAGCGUGCAAGUCUAGAAGAAAUGAUUGACAAAGAGAGAACCAACGCUUAGUUAGGAGACUAAUUUCUCUCUCCCAUAAACGUCCUCAUAUUGCAUUUGCAGUGAGCAUGCUAAGUUAAUUCAUGCACUCACCUAAUCAAGGACAUUUUGAUGUUGUGUACAGAAUUUUAAGGUACUUAAAGGGGACCAUGAAAAGGAAUUCUAUAUGAAAAUAGGGGACAUCUCCAAGUUGAAGUGUUUACAGACGCAGAUUGGACAGGAAUGUAAUAGACAGAUGAUCAACUUCGGGAUAUUGUACCUUUGUUGGGGGAAAUCUUGUAACUUGGCGUAGUAAAAAAUAAAAUGUGGUGGCUAGAAGUAGUAUUGAGGUGGGGGUGUAGGGCAGUGGCACAUGGUAUCUUUGAGGUUCUGUGGAUCAAACAUUUACUUGAAGAACUUAAAACUACCCGUUCCUUACCUAUAAAGGUAUUUUGUGAUAACAAAGAUGCUAUUGCAAUCGCACACAAUUCAGUGCUCCAUGAUUGAACUAAACAUGUUGAAGUUGACAAAAACUUUAUAAAGGAGAAAUUGGAGAAUGGUCUGAUUAUUAUACCCUACAUUCCCAGGUCUGAACAGGCAGCAGACAUUCUUACUAAAGGUCUACCAAAGAAGUAGUUUGAUACGUUGGUGAGCAAGCUAGCCAUGAACCACAUCUUCCAACCAGCUUGAGGGGGAGUGUUGAGAAUCACACCAGAUUAGGGCAAAUCAGUUUCCUGAUUUUUAGGGAAACUUGGCUGCAUAUUUCAUAUUUAUAGGGAUCCUAUUUAUUUCCUAAAAAUCAUUAUUGUAUAACUGUAUAUUUCAAUUCCAUAUUUGUAGCUUUAUUUUCUAUUUUAUUGACUGUAUUGUAUCAAUAAAAGGGUAAGUAUGACUACUUUUCCAUUAAUUCAAUACAAUAUUCUUUUUCUACCCAAUCUAUAUCUUCAUUUUUUUACAUUUACGAAGUAGUUCACAUAAUUUUAAGCCAUAAUUUUUACAUAAUUCUGUCUCGCCCCCACUAAAUUAUGUUCUUGGAUCCGUCCCUGCUUUGAUGGCCAUUAUUUGGGAAAAACAAUGUUUUGAAAAGUGUUUUUUAGGAGAAUGUGAGAUUAAAAAAUAAGAAAAUGUUUUGGAUUUACUUGCAGAAUAUUUUAUUGUGUUUAUGUUUGGUUGGAAAUGAGUUUGUAGAAAAAAGAGUUUUCAAAUAUUGGUUAUCGAACCCGGGCAUAAUGGUCCAUGAGAUUUGGAUGAACACAUUAAAGGUCAUAAGCAAAUGUUCUUGCUGCUGCUGCUUUUCCACUCCCCAUUCACCUGAAAAAUUCUUAAUAGAAUUUUAUUUAUUUCUCUUAUUUUUCCAUCCUAAUACUGCUUUUAGCUGUUAAAUAGACGUAUAAUGAUUAAAUCAAUACAGUAUGCUAAUCUUAAUCGCCAACUGUUCUAUAAUUCAAUUAUUAUGUUUCAAUAUGGAGUAAUUAAAAUUUAACAUCCACCGUUAAGAGAAGCCAAUUUUGCAAUUUAGUUAGACUGCCCAUUUUAACAAAUUAUCAAUCUUCGAAUUAAGCAAAGAUCUUAAAAUUUAUACAAUGCCUGUUGGAUCCUUUAGAUGAUGAAACAUGUAGGUUUUGCUUUGCAUUACUUUUGUACUCAUGCGAGCUGGUCUACUCAAGUAUGACUCAGCUUCACGAGAAUUCUUUUAUUAGAUCCUACUAUUUCAAACUUAUAAUUUUAUCUGUAAGGAAAUAUGAAACUGAUUUAACCUGCUAAUUGAAAUUGUCUGUUUCAGAAGAAGGCCUUGCCAAGCGUGGAUUCCAGGUUACUAGGCUCAAUACAUACACAACGGUAUGAUACUCUUGUAAUUUUGUAAAUGUUCUAAUAUCUCAACAAUUUCAUGUAAUUUAUAACUUUAAAUUUUAAUUUGCCUCCACAUAAUGCAACAGAAAAUUUAACAUUACAGUUACAGUCAUCAAUUGCAAGUGUUUAGAUGUCACUAAAUAUUGAUCAACAACAAAUACUCAUCUUGUUUCUGUUAAUUUGGUGGCCUCUGAUAAUUUCCUGUAGGAACCUGUUAGUCGUGUGGACCAAAAGUUCUUGAAUGGGCGGUUUCUGCUCCUGUUGUUUCUGUAGCAUCACCUUCUGCAGUUCGGUGUACUUUUCUGUUAUAGCAGUUCUGUUGAAAAUUAGUCUAUACUGUUGAGCCUGGACUAAUCUUCUGAAUAAAAAGUUUCUGAGUUGAAUUCAAACCUAAGCACAACUCACAUGGGUAUUUGUGUUCACAUAUUAAAUGGAUUGGGUGUACAGUGCUCUUUCUACAUGGUUUUAUGAAAGACAGGCUAUCAGAAAAUGUGAAAUAUGUUAACGGUCUAUUUGUGUUACAGGUGUUUUCGUGAAUAUUUUUAAGACUCAUUUUGAGUGUUUUUUUAUUGUGAAUCUUAGUUGAGGGGCUUAUGUUGUACCAAGUCCAACACUCUUCCCAAAAAUAUUUACCAUUUAAUCUUACCAAUUCACUUGCAGGAUCCUGUUCGUAUUACUGAAUAUGUUAAUUACAGUUUACUACUUGUGGACUUAUUGCCAUUGAAUGUGUUGGGAAAACACCUUCCAAAGAUAGCCCAAAGAUCAAACAAAGUUGACAAUGUGAAAAUUUCCAACCACUUCAAGAACAAGAAAAUGAGGAAGAAAUGAUUUUAAUGGAAUACAUGAAGAUCAAUGUAUUUGGAUUACUUGAACAAGCCUCAAGUUAAUCCCCAAAAAAGAAAAUAACUUUGAAUUUAUACCCAAGAUGAAUAACCUUCUAUCUUGUAAAAUUCUCUCCAAGUUUUCUCUCUUCUUUCUCUCUAAUUUUCGGGUGCAAGGGUUGUCUUAAUGAAAGGGGGGAAAAUGGCAAUAUAUAUAUCCUAUCGGGACGCCUAGGCGCCAGGUUCCUGGCUGUCUUCAUAUUCGGGGCACCUAGGCGCCAUGUGAGUGGCGCCUGGGCGCCCGGCAGAACCAGCAGAACCAACCCCCUUCCUCUCUUCCUUUCUCACAAUUCUCCAUCUCGUACAUCAUUUGAUAGACCUCAAAUUUUGGACGAACACAAGAAGAAGAAGCAAGCACCGACUCGGCUGCACCAUUCAAAUCAUGAUUGCCUACGUACCCAAAACUCGAGAUCAAGCCUCCGUAGUUCACCUCCACCUUCAUAAACACUCCACCUCAUUUCAACCCCGCCCCGAAGGGCCAUGCCCUCUCGGGCAUAUCAACACGGACUAAUGUGAAGCAAGUCCAAGCAAUGUUGAAACUUGCUACCCGUCACAACUUUGGUUAACAUGUCAGCUGGGUUCUCAUUUGUGUGUACCUUCGAGAGUGAAAUAUCACCUUCCUCUAUGACAUCACGCACAAAAUGAUACCUGACGUCGAUAUGCUUGGUUCGAGCAUGAUGAACCUGAUUCUUAGCCAAGUGAAUCGCACUCUGGCUAUCACACCACAAGUCCACACAAUCCUGCCCAAUCCCCAAAUCAUCUAGAAGACCCCAUAACCACAAUGCUUCCUUCACUCCCUCUACCAUGGCCAUAUACUCGGCCUCUGUAGUAGAAAGAGCAACUGUAGCCUGUAACAUCGAUCGCCAACUAACUGGGGCACCAUGUAUGCAGAACACAUAUCCAGUAGUAGAUCGUCGUCUAUCUAGAUCACCUGCAUAAUCCGAGUCCACAAACCCACUUAUAUGACAUGCAUCUCCACCAAAACAUAAACCCGUAUCCGCGAUACCUUUUAAGUACCUCAGGAUCCACUUCACAGCUUCCCAGUGUGCCUUCCCCGGAUUCGCCAUGAAUCUACUGACCACACUCACCGCCUGUGAAAUACCUGGGCGUGUACACACCAUGGCAUACAUCAAACUGCCAACAGCACUAGCAUAAGGUACACGAUUCAUGCGUACCUUUUCUUCCGCUGUAGUAGGAGACUGUUUACCAGAGAGCCUAAAAUGUGGAGCCAAUGGAGUCACCACCGACUUUGCACCUUGCAACCCGAACCUAGCAAUAACCCGCUCAAUGUAGCCUUUCUGACUCAAGAACAUUCGCCGGUUCGUCCUCUCUCUUCUAAUCUCCAUACCUAGUAUUUUCCCAGCAAUCCCCAUAUCCUUCAUCUCAAACUCUUUACCAAGUUGAGAUUUCAACUUAUCUAUCUCCACCUUACUUUUCGAAGCGAUAAGCAUGUCAUCCACAUAUAGAAGAAGAUAGAUAUAGUUACCUCCCCGAAGUUUUCGAAUAUAAACACAACAGUCAUACUCACUUCUGGAGAAACCAUGCUUUAGCAUGAAGGAGUCAAAUCGCUUGUACCACUGCCGAAGAGAUUGCUUCAAUCCAUAUAGUGAUUUUCUCAAGCGACAUACCUGACGUUCCUUAUCCUCAACCUUGUAGCCCUCAGGUUGAUGCAUAUAGAUCUCCUCAUCCAAGUCCCCGUGCAAGAAGGGGGUUUUGACAUCGAAUUGUUCCAACUCAAGAUCAUGAUGAGCAACAAUACUCAAUAGCACCCGAAUGGAAGUGUGCUUGACCACAGGAGAAAAGAUCUCAUUGUAGUCAACUCCCUCUCUUUGUGCAAACCCCUUAGCCACUAACCUCGCUUUGAAUCUUGUACCACCGAGUUUGGUAGGAUCCUCCUUCUUUUUAUAUAACCACUUGCAACCAAUAGCUUUCUUACCUAUGGGCAAUGGGACAACCUCCCAUGUUUGGUUCUUGUGGAGUGAUUCCAUCUCUUCUUCCAUUGCCGCCGACCAACUCUCGCUAUUGUUGUUUAAAAUAGCUUCCUUGAAAGUGGUAGGCUCAUCAUCCUCCACCGAGAGUGCAUACUCAACCAAAUUUGUCUGCCCAUAGUGCCUCAAAGGUUCAUCUGACUCCAACUUUAGAACUUGCUUGUAAGUACGGCAUGGCCUAGAGGAAGCCAAAUUAUCUGCAAGCUACUGUUGUUGCUGUGCCUGUACAUUCUCUUGCUGAACCGCCUCUUGUUCAAGUGCAUCAUCACUCUCAUCUUGAGUGUCUAUUUGAUGCUCCUCUUGAACAUGCCUAGAAUCAGGUUGAUCUCUAGGUUCUAUGUCAACAACUUGAGACAUUGUAGUCUCAACACCAUCACCACCGGGCACUGUAGCUUUCAACGACGCUACCAUGGAGUUCUCAUCAAAAGUAACAUCUUUGCUGAUUAUGAACUUAGAAUCCUCUACACACCAAAGGCGAUAGCCUUUAACACCUGCCGCAUACCCCAAGAAUAUAGCCUUCUUGGCCCUCGCAUCAAGCUUUCCCUCGUUGACAUGAUAGUAGGUUGUGCAUCCGAAUGUUCUGAGUUUCUCAUAAUCUGCAUGUUCUCCUGUCAAUACCCUAUAAGGUACAUCUCCAUCAAACCUUGAAUGUGGAGACCGGUUCACUAUGUAGCAAGCAUUUACAACCGACUCUGCCCACCAUUCUCUACCCAAACCAGCAUAGGAUCGCAUACACAUCGAUUUCUCUCGAAAUGUGCAAUUCAGUCUUUCCGUGACCCCAUUCUAUUGCGGUGUAUUUCUUACUGUCCAAUGUCUCACAAUGCCUUCCUUACCACAGAACUCCUUGAAAGCACCAUCUGUAUACUCAAUACUGUUAUCAGAUCUCAGUGUCUUCAAUUUCUUUCCAGUUCUAUUUUCAACCAUUACUUUCCACUUCUUGAAAGUGUCGAAUACCUCAUUCUUAUGCUUCAAAAAAUAAAUCCAAGCAUAGCUAGAAUAAUCAUCAACAAAUGUAACAAAAUACUUGGAACCGCCUUUGGAAGUGACAGAAGCCGAACCCCAUACAUCCGUGUGCACAUAGUCAAGAAUGCCUCUACUUCUAUGUUUGCUUGGCUGGAACUGAACUCGAUGUGAUUUACCGUACACGCAAUGCUCGCAAAAAUCCAUGCAAGACUUCUUCAAGUUCUUUAGCAAACCUUUCUUGACUAGCAAAUCUAGCCCCUUUUCAGACAUAUGCCCAAGCCUCCUAUGUCAUAGCCAAGUGCACUCACAUGGGUCUCCACCACUUCCACUUGUUCCAACUGCUACAUCUUCAGUAACUGUAGUACCCUGAAGAGCAUAGAGAUUACCUUCACGGAUACCCUUCAUCACAAUCAAAGAACCACGAACAACCUUCUUUACUCCAUUCCAUGUUACAAUCUUGCAACCACCGGAGUCUAAGGCACCAACAGAGAUAAGGUUCUUUCGCAAAUCAGGAACAUGUCUAACAUCCAUCAAUAUUCUAACCACUUCAUCAUGCAUCUUGAUUCUAAUUGAACCAAGCCCCACCGUUUUACAUGAAUGCUUAUUACCCAUCAACACGGUUCCACCAUCAGUGCUUCUAUAGGUAGUAAACUACUUCCUAUUUGGACACAUAUGGUAAGAGCAUCCAGAGUCAAGAAUUCACUUACCGGAGGUCUCUUCAUCACAAGAGAUGGUGUAGCACUCAUCGCUUUCCCCUCCUUUCGAGACAUAGCUUACCUUUUGCUUGACUUGCACCUUCCCACUGUUGUUGUUCUUAUUGUUCUUCUUCCAACCCUUUUUGUUUGGACAAUUCACCUUGAAAUGUCUAAGCUCGCCACAUUUGAAACAAGACCUUUCCGCAACAGGUCUAGAACUCGAUCUAGAUUUUUCUCCCUUGCCCUUUGGUCACACAUUGCUUCUACCCCUUACAAACAAUCCUUGAGCUUGCUCCUUGUUACCAAUGGUAGACAUGUCACUAGUUGCAAUCUUUCGAAGAUCAUCCGCUAGAAGUGACGUUCUAGUGUCCUCCAUCACAAGUUUAUCACCCACAAGCAUCAAUGUUUGUACUAGGUUCUCGUAAGACUUUGGCAAUAAAAGAAGUAGUAGAAGUGAUUGAUCCUCAUCAUCUACAUCCACAUCAAUGUCUUUCAAGUCCGAUAUGAUCUUAUCAAACUUGUUGAUGUACUCCCGGAUUGGUGUACCUUCAUCCAUCUUGCAAGUAUACAAUUUGGACUUCAAAUAGAUCCGAUUUGUUAAAGUCUUCGUCAUGAAGUUCGCCUCCAACUUUGUCCACACCUCCGCCGCCGUUACCUCACUAUCAACCAAGAAAGCAACAUCUCUUUCAAGGCAAAGAAUGAUAGACGCUCGUGCCUCAAGAUCUAGCUCUUCCCAAUCCUCGUCCGACAUAUCAACGUGCUUCUUCUCCUUUCCCGCCAAUGCCUUGUGCAACUUUUGAGAAAUCAACAAAUUUUUCAUUUGCAUUCUCCAAUAUGAAAAAUCAUUCUUCCCAUUGAAUUUCUCUAUCUCAUCCUUCCCAAUCUUCACCAUUCCUCUAGUAGACAUGAUUUAUCCACUUGUUUACCGAAAAUAAACCACAAAAGUUCACUUGGGAAUUUUCACAAACACCUUGUGCACAACAAAGUUCAAGCAACUCACCACAAAAUCGAAACUUAACCACCUUGAUUUAGGAUGUAGCUCUGAUACCAAAUUGUUGGGAAAACACCUUCCAAAGAUAGUCCAAAGAUCAAACAAAGUUGAUAAUGUGAAAAUUUCCAAACAACUUCAAGAACAAGAAAAUGAGGAAGAAAUGAUUUCAAUGGAAUAUAUGAAGAUCAAUGUAUUUGGAUUACUUGAACAAGCCUCAAGUUAAACCCCAAGAAAGAAAAUAACUUUAAAUUUAUACCCAAGAUGAAUAACCUUCUAUCUUGUAAAAUUCUCUCCAAGUUUUCUCUCUUCUUUCUCUCUAAUUUUCGGGUGCAAGGGUUGUCUUAAUGAAAGGGGGGGGGGGGGGGGGGGGGGAAAAANNNNNNNNNNNNNNNNNNNNUAAUGGCAAUACAUAUAUCCUAUCUGGGCGCCUAGGCGCCAGGUUCCUGGCUGUGUUCAUAUUCGGGGCGCCUAGGCGCCAUGUGAGUGGCGCCCAGGUGCCAUGUUUCUGCCGGGGAGGCAGAAACUGGGCGCCUGGGCGCCCGGCAGAACCAGCAGAACCAGCCCCCUUCCUCUCUUCCUUUCUCACAGAAUGCUUUUCUCGAAGCAUUUUCCUUUCUGCAGAUUUCUAUGAAUUUUGUUUACCUUCUCUUGUCUUUUUAUCCCUUAUUAUUUUAACGAAUGAUUGCAUAUCUUCCUUUACAGUGCUUGGAUAAAUCUAAUCCCAAAAUCACAACAGUGGAGCAAUUCUGUUGCAUGUAUUGGUGAGACAACUGCCUUAGCAGCUAAAAAUCUGGGUUUGAGGAAUGUGUAUUUCCCAACCAAUCCUGGCCUUGAAGGGUAAUCAAAUAUCCAUUUGGAACUUUUGGGAAAUCAUGCAUAUACUUGUUUCUGAUGCAAUUGUCUCUGUCUCUAUGCUCUAUGAGUGGUAAAAAGCACUAGCAGUUUUCCGUUCUCUUUACUUUCUGAGAUGUGCGUGAUAUAGUUGAAGAGUUCACUAUUUAGGUGAUAAUUUAGAAGAAAUACGAGGAUGUGACAUAAAUUUACGAUGCAGGGAGAUAUAUUUUAUUUGUAUAUGCCAUGUCUCAGUGCAUAAUUUUGUAUAGUAAUGGCAUGUUUAGAAAAGUGGAUUGCACAAUAGUAUUAAAGGAGAAAAAGAAGUUUAAAUAUUUUUAAUUGUAGUGUUCAUUGUUCAAUCCUGUUCAUUAGUGCAUAUCAAACAUGUUUUAAGUAUCACUGGGUUUAUCCUUCUGUUGCAGGUGGGUUAAUAGCAUUUUAGAAGCCUUGCAAGUCCAGGAACAAGUUCAGAAAGUCUAGGAGUCGUAUGUUGAUGCCCUUCUAAUUUCACCUGGUAAUUUCUAUAUACUGCUUACACUAAGUUGUUUCCCAGUGAAUAAAGAUGCUAUUGAAGAUUAAAUAUAAAUCAGUAAACGUCUCCUCUCUAACAACUUUAGCUUCUAAACGGCAUGGUUCAACACAGUAUCAAAGCACACGUGGAUCAUGAGUUCAAAUAUUGGGGGAUUAUUGGAGAACACUUCUUCCUAUUUCUUUCUCUUGAUAUCCGAUGAUCAUGGUGAUGCCCGUGAAUUCUUAUUUUUACGUAGCAAGUACUUAUUAAUUUGUCUCCUGGACUGGAUCUAUUAUGUCAGAUUUUCACGUACCCGUUGAUAUGCUAUUCCCAAGGACUAUAUCCUGGUAGUUUGUCGGUUAAAUUAAUAAGUGGGGNNNNNNNNNNNNNNNNNNNNNNNNNNNNNNNNNNNNNNNNNNNNNNNNNNNNNNNNNNNNNNNNNNNNNNNNNNNNNNNNNNNNNNNNNNNNNNNNNNNNNNNNNNNNNNNNNNNNNNNNNNNNNNNNNNNNNNNNNNNNNNNNNNNNNNNNNNNNNNNNNNNNNNNNNNNNNNNNNNNNNNNNNNNNNNNNNNNNNNNNNNNNNNNNNNNNNNNNNNNNNNNNNNNNNNNNNNNNNNNNNNNNNNNNNNNNNNNNNNNNNNNNNNNNNNNNNNNNNNNNNNNNNNNNNNNNNNNNNNNNCGAAGCACAUAGACGUUACUCAUUUUAGCGAAUAUACCUCAUCAGGAAAAUGAAACCUUUAGAUACGAGUAUAUAUCUAACAUUUGAAAUCGGCUUCUAGUAGAAGUGUGUUUCUAACAUUAUCUAUCAUCGUCUAUGAUUUUUAUCAGUGUAGGUGGCAGUGAAUGUCGUGAUUUACUGUUCAAUUAUUAAUGCAUCAAAUUACAUCAUAAUUUUAUUGAACAAUGAAUCAGAAGACCUUGUUGUCAAUUACAUCGCUGAUAAUCACCACUCCAUUGACACUCCAUAAAAAACAUGAAAAUGAUUCCAAAGCUGUGGUAUGACCAUGCAAAACCAAUGCUACAUGUUUAAAACUUUUAUCCAAUGAAUAUCCAUUCUUUUUUGUUCUUUAGGGAGAAAUUGAAAUAUUCGUCAGCAAGUCUGUCUCCAACUUUUUAAAUUGAGCAUUUGUUUGAUGCCAUUGAAAAGAGUUUUUUAAUUUUUUCCCCCUUUUGGGAAAAAUGAGUUUUGAAACAGUAAUCUUUUUAAUAGAAAUUUUGAGUUUAAAAAGUAAGAAAAUUUGUUGGAUUACGUGUAAACUAUUUUAUUGUGAGAAUAUUUGGUCGAAAAUGAGUUUUAGGAAAAAGGAGUUUUUGAAGAAUGGUGGACAAACGGGGAUUGAAUGAGUUAUGUCUUAUCCUUUGAUUGAGUUAAUAAUUAUACAGUUGCCUUUGAAAAUCGUUCAAAUCUCUAUUAAAGAUGUCCUGCUUCAAAUUUAUAUGCACUAACUUCAGUUGAAAAACAAAAUUAGUAUCAUAAAGUCGCACUGUGUAAAGGCCAUGACAGAAUGCUUCAUUAGACUGUUCAAGUAAUAAUAAGGCCCAAUGUAGCAAUGUUAUAGGUUUGAAAAAGUAGAAGAGAUUGGUAUUAACUAUAUUUCAAGUCUUGGGAGGCAUAUUACUUUUGAUCGUGGGUGGUCAUUGGCAUUUUCUUGGUUUCACGGUAAAGAUUGUCGAAGACGAUCUAGAAAAUCCAACAAAAUUGUUUACUAUAUGGAGCUUCGAUGGGAAGAUGGUGUACGAAAACAUCAUUGAAUCGACUGAGGGCUUCCGCUUUAGCCACUUUGUUGGGUGGGAGGAUGUGGCAGUGUUUUAGAGCUAAAUUGAAUGACCAGACUGUCGCUAUAAAGAAAUUACAUACACCAUGUAACGUCCCAAAAUUUCAUAUAAUAGAAUUAUUUGGGGAUAACGAUUUUGAUCUAGAUGCCUUUGGUGGACUCAUUCUGUAGUUCGUAUUUAAUGGCAUGUCAUGGACUCGAGAAAAGUUAAUUCAAAUAAGUUAGGUCCAAGUUAUUGAAGUUCCGAGAAAUUGUCUUUAAUUGGUAAUUAAUGAAGUUGGUUUAUGAUUUAAUUUCUAUGACAGCAUCACGUGUAGGACAAAUUUUAAUCCUAUUUUGAUAAUUGUUAAUUGUAAUCCUAUUUUGAUUUUGAUAAAUGUUAAAAAGGUUAAUUGUAAUUGUUACGAUCCAAAUUUUUCUAGUCAAAAAUAAAAUGUUGAAUUGUCAAAGUCAAAGUCAAAAGGGAUUAAAAUGAAAUAAAUUAUUUUAAUUGGGACUCAAUUUAUUAUGAAAAUUAUUUUGAAGGUCUAAGUUGGACAAUAUAAAAUUUUAGAGAUCUACUUAUAUAUUGCUAGAAGUUUAGAAUUUAAUGUUCUAUUAUAGAAAUGUUGGAGGACCUCCUUUGCAAUUUUGAGUUUGUAGCUACUUGAUAUAUUACAAUAAACCCAUUUCAAUUAUAAUUCAACACACACACACAAAUAAUAGGCAAAAACGGGAGAGCGCUGAGAGAGAAACCGAGAAGAAAGAGGAAGAAAAAGAGAAAGAAAGUGAGAAAAAGAAGAAAAGAAAGAAAGAAAGGAGAAGAAGAAGGGAAAGAGGUAGUUCAAGGUCUAUCUUCAUUUUUCCUUCUCUUUAUUUUCUUCAAGAGGUAGAUAAAUUUUAUGUUAAGUUGCUAGGGUUUAAUUUGUGGCUAAAAUUUCAUAUUUAUGCAAGAUGAGUACAAAUUGGAGUUCAAGUUUGUUGAUUAUUUAAUUUUCAAUUUCAUUAAGGUAAAAAUACCAAUUUUGGCAAAUCCUAGAUUUUUAUUUGGGAUUCUUAAUUAUGAAAUGUUAGUGGGAAUAAUUAUAUUGAUGGAAAACUCUCAUCAAACCAUGAAUUUGAGAAACAAGAUAAAAAUAAAAAUAGGUGGAAUCAUUGUUACUAGUUUUCUUUAGAUUGGAAGGUAUAAUUAUUUUUAUGGGUGGGAUGAAGGUAAAUUUGGAUGUAGUAUAUAUUUGUGAAGGUAUUAGAAAGUAGAAUUAGCGCUUAUUGAUUAACGGAAAAUUUGGAAAAAUCAUUCAAAGUAUCGAGAAGUCAAGUUUUAGUAUUCAACUAUUAAUAUUAAGAUAUACUUAGUAUGAGAUUUGUUAAAUUAGUUAUUUUACAUCGUAUUUCAGGUAGUGACGUGAAAGCUGGGCAAGACUGGUAAAUUUAACAAGAUUGCAAUACAUGGAUAUGUGAGUGGAGAACCUACUUUUCCAAUUAAAAAAAAAGGGGGGAAUUUCCUUUUUAAUUUUAUUUUAUAGAAGUAUAUUAAUUACCUGAAAUGUCUUAUUUUCAAGAAAUUAGUAAAUGAGCAAGAUUGUUUUGAAAUUUUCAAAAAAUAAUUGAUGUGAUUAUCUUACUCUAGUGCACUGAGGGGAUACGGCCGUGUACUAGAGUCAUGUAUUUAACUCUUAUACAUUGAGGGGUUGCAACCGUGUGUAAGGAUAACUCUUAUCCACUGAUGGGCUACGGCCGUGUGUAAGGGUACCUAUUAUACAUUGAGGGGCUACAAUCGUGUGUAAGGGUAACUCUUAUCUACUGAGGGGCUACGGCCGUGUGUAAGGAUACCUAUUAUAUACUGAGGGACUACAGUCGUGUAUAAGGAUGAUCAUGUUGUUUCCAUCUUAUACACUGAGGGGCUACGGUCGUGUACAGAGUGUUGAUCAGACGGUUUAUAUGCGUCUGACUUUGUAGCUUUUAGAUCAUCAGUAGAUGUUUACAUGGGGUAUAUUUUGAUGUGAAUUUUAUGUAUAUAGUGGUUUAUUAGCCUUCAACUUAUAUUUCCCCGUUUGCUAUUCAGCUUAUGGAAUUCAGAUUAUAGAAUUCAAUUCGUUCAAUUUUCAGAGUAAAGCUUCCAAUUUAUAGUAUUGAGCAACAAUAUUUCACAGAUUUUCAUAGAUUUCAGAUUAUUUAUAUUCACUAUAUUUUACAAUUAUUGAACUAGAAUGAAGAAUAAAGAAUUUUAUCAUCCAAUUAUGUCAGUUUUAAAAGUGUUACUAAAUUUUUGAAUUUCUCAAAGUUUUAGUAAAGCAAGAAUUAUACAUAUAUGAAAAAGUAUACUUAUUUUCAAUUUAUUCACUCACUGAGUUACAAACUCCAAUUUUUUUACCAUUCUCUUAGCAGAUAGCAUCUAUGUUGAGUAGCUUUGGAGCCUGUCGAUCCACCGAGAGUGCCAGACACACACAUUGUCAUUAGAUGUAUGAUUCAUUUCGUCAAUUUAUAUAGUUCAAAUUUCCUUUAGGAUACAUGUAUGUUUUGACAGAAUCGUUAAUUGGUAAUUUAUAGAUCCAUACCAUGGGCUCACUGCAUAUUUAAUAUUCUCAUUGCUUCUGGGGUCUUUUGUUUAUAAAGCAUGGUAAAUGUUUUGAAUUGUUUGUAUUUUAAAGGACUAGCGUGUUAUAUUUUAAAUUAUCUGUACAGUUUUGAUAAAUUUGAUAUUUGUUUAGGUGAUUUAGUCCAUAUUUUAAAGGAAAUUCUGUCAAAAUUUUUACACAUAUAUGUCAUAGUCAAAGUAGGUCAAAUCUGCUUUGGUGGUGCGUCCAACACUUAGUUGGUAUCUACCAUCGGCUCACAACACAUGUCAGGUCUAUUAGGGUGAUUCGGGACGGGUUGUGUCAGUAAUCCCAACUUAAUCCUUUUUACAGCAAAUGUACGAGAAAAUCAUCAGUGGAGUACAAUCCAAAUUCAACUUUUUGAAACUAUGUUUAAUUAAAAUAUUUAAAACACUUAUCAAGUUGGUAGCCACUUGUGUGCAGUGCAUUAGGAGUUAAUCUUUUUAUUUUUGGAUUAGAAGGAAAACUAAUUUUAAUCAUAAUUUUAUUAGAUUUUCAUUGAUUACUGGUUUAGUUCAAUUAAACAAGUAGAAUCCUACUUUCAAAAAGAAAUCUCAAAUCUCACCGAUUUAUACCCCCACAUUGAAGCAAAUCUGCAUUCGUAAGUUAUUACUUUCAAAGCAUACAUGCACCCAUUUGGUCACAGAAGCAGAGAGUUUAAGAAAGUUUUGAAAUGUACAAUCAUAUUUUUCUUUUCGAAAUUUUGUUUGAUACGAGGGAAGAUACAUAAAGCAUAAGUGGUUCGUCGAUACAUGCAUGAAUUGUUGGUUGACCUUUGGGUUCGACUUAAUAAAACAUGAACUUUUUUGGGUUCUUUAAAACGAAAUAUGAAAUAUCUCAAGAAUUCGAAAUGAGUACGUGAUGAGUGUCUCAUUUUAUCACCGAUAUACUCCAAAUAAAUUGUGGUAUGAGAUGUUUAUUUUAUUGUUAUAUAAUUGUAUAUGAAAACUGCAUGUAUCUUAUUAGGUACUAUCAAAUACUCAUUCUUAAAAUAAUUUACAAGUUAGUUGAGAUCGAUUGAAACUGUGGCAGAAUAGUGAUGUGGACUACCAAGAAGAUUUGAAGAACUAAAAACAUUAAAUUUUCGAUCUUUCAAUUGAUUAUUUAGUUUUAAAUUGUUCAAAAAUAAGUUUGUUCAAUAGUUAGGUAGUUAUAUCUAUUUUUUUAAGGAAAUACAAGUUACAUGCUUUAAAUUGAUAUUUAUUAUUGAAAAUAAAGAGAUUAAUUUUAUUAUUAUCGUUUUCCACAAUAUCGUGAAGGAAAUUGAAUUUUAGUAUCAUUCUAAGGUUUAUGAAUAUUGGGGUGUUAUAAUUUGAUAAUAAAGCACAUGUUUAUCUUUCUGUAUUCUUUUUAACAAAAUAGUUAUUUGUUUCAAAUAAAUGAAUUUUAAUAGGAAUUUACCAAUUAAAAAAUUUGUAUUUUAAGAGUUCCCACUUAUUAUUUGAGUUUUCUUGAUUUACGUAUUUGUAAAAUUGAAUGGUUUAGUCAAAACGACCUAAAUUGUUUAAAGAGAGUUUGAGAUUUAAGUGGUUCACUUAUAAUCUUCCUCCUCACCUGAAAGCCUUUUAGUUGCACGCUAUUCAAAUCAUAAAAAUGAAAAAUAACAUUUCAAACCAUUCCAUAUUUAAGAAAAUUUUAUUUUUAACAAAUUCUAUUUCAAGAGAAUUCCUUUUUAGGAAAUUUUUAUAUUGAAAAAAAAUAAAAAAAUAAAAGUAUUGUCAUAGGAUUUUGCCACUUUGACAGAAAAAUUGUAACAGAUGCGAUGAUAUAAUCCCAGUUGGAAAUAGAUGAUUUGAUGGGGAUGUUUAUUGUGUUUGAAAUUGUCCAAUAAUGGGAUGUCAUGUGAUAUUAUAUCAAAAAUUAUGUCAACUAUUAUGUUCCUGUAGCAUGAUUGAUUUUCAUAAGAAUUAUGAGUUUAAGGAGAAUAUUUUUGUAAAGUUUUUGUAAUGUCCCCAAAUUUUCAUAGAUUAGAAUUUAAUUUAUGUGUGCUAUAUUUUAAUAUUUUGGAAGUUUAGUGACUAAAGUGUAUAUAACGUAAAAUUUAAUCUUUUUGGGCUUAAAAUGUAAAUAUUGGCGGGUUAAUGAUUAAUAUAUGAAUAUUGGGCUUGUUGGAUAGAUCGUAAUUAAAGACACAGUUUAGGCUCGAGAAAAACUUUAUUUGGAUUAGUCGAGCCCAAGUUAUCGAAGCCAGAAGAUAUAACAUUAAAAUAUUAUUUUUAUUACUUUUGUUUUUGGAAGAAUUUACGUGGAGAGAGAGAUGAAAGUUGUUGAGAUAUUUUAUUGUUUUAUUAUUAAUAAUAAUAUUUUAUUAAGUGUUUUGAAUUGGGAGGUCUCACGUGAAGUACUAGGAUUCUAAGUAGGGGUAGGUAAGUGAUAAUCGAUUUGUUUAUUAAAUGAAAUAAAGUAGAGAGAGAGAGAGAGAAUUAUGGGGAGCCCCAACCACGUGAGUGAUUGUUGAGAAACCAAAUGGAUGUGUAGGGUAAUGUUUGGCUGUUGGGUGAUUGGUUAGUUGACAGUACAUGAUCUUAUAUUGAUAAGGUUUGGGUCUCCGAUUUUUUUCAAAAACAGUUUUUUUUUACUUUAUCUAAAUAUCCACUCUCCCACAUGUUUUCCUAUGAAUACUUCUACAUAUGUAUAUGGAAUGAACUGCACGAGAAUAAGGACACAAAAAAUAUAUUGGUACGUGCACACAUUGUCAAUAGAGGCAGAAAAAUAUAGAAGAAAAGAACGUGAUUUUAUUAUUUCUCUUCCGGAAAUUAAAUCAAGGUAGGAUUACGAGGUGCAAGUGGGUUGUCCCAUUUAAAUUAUUUCUUCAUAUUUGAUAAAUAUUAUACUUAUGAAAGUUAUGAUAUGUAUAAUGUAAUUAUGAUAUGUAUGUUAUGGUCAUCCGGUACCAAAGAUAUGAUACGAUAUGAACUCUUACCGAUUCUAAAGAUAUGAUAUGACGGUAUGAUAUUUUGACGCGUGAUUUAAUAUUUUAAUUGGGAUUGCACAAUUUCUCGUACCCUACUGAGUAUUCCCAUAUACUCACCAUUUUCCUACUCCUCACAGGUUAGACCGGGUCAUGUUGGAGCGUGGUGGUUCGAAGGUGUGGUUGUGUCUUGUUUCACCAAAUAAAGAUCUAAGUUAGCACGUAAUGUUUAUUUAUUUUCAGUUUAUUUCAAUAAACAUUUAUUUAUUUACGAAUAAAUUCUCGUUUAUGUUAGUUGCAGAUGAAUAUACGUAUUUUAUGAUUUUUAAAUAGAAGUUUGAACUAAAUGUUAUUUUCCUUCCUAUCGAUUUGCAAAUCUGUUCUUUCAUAUACGUUGGGAAGAAAGAAUUUAAUAGUUUGCAUGCCUAUAUUUGUACUUUACUUUGAUUUUCCCCAAAUUGAUGGAAAUUUAGGGUCAACACAAUGAUUCCCUGCCACCCCACACCUUCAUUUGUGUCCCAUCACAUCCAUAGCAUUAAUUAUGAUAUGAAUUUGAUAGUUUUUGCUUGUACGUGUUAGUCAUGAAUCAAUGUCUUGUUCGUAGUUUUUUUUUUGACAUAAAUGAAUUCUGUUUUGGAUUUUUUUUGUUUAAUUGCAGUAAAUAAACAUUCCGUGAGUUAUUUAAUUCCAUCCGUUGCCUUUGACUUAAUUAAGUAACUAAUUGAAAUUAUGCACUAAUUAGGGGGAAAUAUUGUGUUAUGAACCACUGUAUUAAUUAUGCCAGGAGUUAGCAAAUUCAUGUUUGUCUGCCACACCCGUGUCAAAUUCGUUUUAAUUCAUAAGUCUUAGAUAUAAAUUUAUUGGAUCUCCCGAAAUACAUAGGAAUAAGAUGUUAUUUUAAUUUGACUUGAGUGUUCAACACGUGAAGAUGAUUGAUAAUUGGAGAUUCAAUGAAAGCAAUAUUUUUUUAGAAUUCAUUAUAUAUAUAUAUAUAUAUAUAUAUAUAUCCAUGUGUUUUAUUUAUUUUAUAGAUGGAACUAGAAAGAUUUUCAUGUUGGAUGUUUAUUAUUUUAAUUAUUUAUGGAAUGAAAGGUUUGGUAACGAUUUCUAAAUCUAUAUAAGAUUUGGGUCGUUACAGUUUGGUAUCAGAGCAUAGGUUUAAAUUCCUGUAGACUCACAUGUAUUCUCAUAAUUCGGUUUUAAAAAAAAAAAAAAAUUAUUGUGAACAGUGACCGGACCGUUCACGUGAACAGUACUCGGUACUGUUCACUGUUCACGUGAAUAGUAUUGUACUGUUCACGUGAACAGUGUAGGAUAAAAAAAUAAAAAUAAAUAAAAAUUGUGUGAUGUUAUAUAUAUAUUGAAUUUUCUUUUUUGUUACAUGUUAUAAAAGGCUUAUUUGCUUAUUUAUUUUCCUAGAUAAUAUUUGUUUAAGGUUAAUAUUUAUUUAUUUAUUUAUGAAUUUAACGAUAAUAUUAAAUUAAAAGUUAUGAAAUAUGUGAAUGAUCUUUGGCACUCAACGACCACCAAUCGACCACCCUCCAACGACUCUAAGGUAUGUAAAAAGGGUAAGAAGAUAAAUGUACUUAAAGCUUUUUGCGAGAUUUAAAUGCUUUAAAUUUCCUAUCUUUAAAUGUUAAGACAUCCACGUUUAUUUUUCCCACUAAAUUAUGAUAUAUAUUGUCAUAGAUAAUUAUAACUUAUUAGACUUAGUACUAAGUGUGAUUGGUGACUUCAUAUUAAAUUUUAGGAAAUGGCACCACCUACUCAUACGAAUUUGAUGCGCGAUUUACUACGAGCGGUACAAGAGUUGAGCAGGCAAAAUCAAGCACCUCCACCACAAAAUGCACCGCCACAGCAGAAUGCACCGCAUUUUGCCCCUGGAGCUAUCUCAGUGGUUGAGCAGUUUCGUAGGUACAAGCCUUCCACUUUUGACGGUAAUUCUGAAUCACUGGUUGUCGAAGAGUGGAUAAGAGGCCUGGAGCGCAUAUUUCGACACAUUGCUUGUACGGAUGCACAGAAAGUAUUAUGUGCAGAAUUUAUGUUGAUUGGAGCAGCUGGUCACUGGUAGGAAUCUGUUUCACGUACAAGGACGGAAGAGCAGCACCGUAAUCUGACUUGGGAGCAGUUUAAAGAUGAAGUGAUGGCAAAAUAUUUCCCACAGGCUUUGAGAGAUUUCAAGGAAUUAGAAUUUUUGCAGCUCAGACAAGGGAGUAUGUCACUUACUGAUUAUGAAAGACAGUUUGAGCAGCUCUCAAGAUAUGCCCCGCACUUGGUGGAUACAGAAGUUAAGAAGAUUAGGAGGUUUGAGAAUGGACUGCGCCCUGAGAUCGGCAUGAUCAUUAUGUCCCAUCGUUUCACCUCAUAUCGUGAAAUGUUAGAGAGGGCUCAUGCUAUUUCCUAUCAGAGGACUACCUUUGAACAGUAUGCCCAGCAAAGCAAGGGGUCAUCGGGAAAAAGAAAGUGGAAUGAUCCAAACAAGGACAGACGUAAUUGGUAGAGUAAAAGGCCAAACACAGGAGUUCGUAUUGGGGGAGCGAGUGAGAAUAUUACACCGUGUCCUAAGUGUAAUAAACUCCACAGGGGUGAAUGCUUACUCGGGAAGAACAUGUGUUUCCGAUGUGGUAAGCCAGGGCACAUUGCUCUCAACUGUACAGAGCCACCAAAAAGGAAGGAUGAUGAUCAGGACAAGAACAAGAAAGGAAAGGCCCGAGUUUUCACACUAAAUCAGCAUGAGGCGGAGCAGGAUCCGAAUGUGAUAGCGGGUACUAAAUUAUUAAUAUUUUAACGCACUUGCUUAUGUUCUUUUCACAUAGGACUACACAUUGUUCCAUCUCCGUCCCUUAAAUGUUAUUCUAACACUAUAAAUUAUAAAAACAUGUAUUCUGUUAUUAUCUGAUGUGCCUGCUUAUGUACUUUUUGAUUCUGGGGCUACCAAUUCUUUUAUCUCUGCAUCCUUCGUCGUUAAGUCCAACUUUGCAUGUGUAAGAACGAAUAAUGAACUAGAGGUUAGCAUCCCUUCAGGAAGAACUCUUUGUACAAAUUAGAUGACUAAGGACAUAAAAUUAGAGAUUGACGGAAAAAUAUUAGAGGCAGACUUGUACCUUUUGGAGAUGAAAGAUUUCGAUGUUAUUUUAGGCAUGGAUUGGUUGGGAAUUAAUCAUGCAACCAUUCGAUGUUACGAGAAAGAAGUAUUGUUUCAUAGACCAGGAGAGGAAGAGUUUCGUUUCUUGGGAGCAAAGUUCAAGUCUUUACCGCUCCUAAUAUCAGCUAUGCAAGCAGAAAAGAUGUGAAGGAAGGAGUCAUGCCAGGGAUUCUUAGUUAACAUCAAUAGUUCUCAACAUACAGAAAUGACCGUUAAUGAUAUUAACAUCGUCCGAGACUUUGCAGAUGUAUUCCCAGAAGAUUUGCCAGGCAUUCCACCAGAUAGACAAAUGGAAUUUACAAUUGAUUUAGUUCCUGGAACGGCACCAAUAUCUAAGGCCCCAUACCGAAUGGCACCGAAAGAACUACAAGAAUUGAAGUUGCAAUUAGAGGAGUUACUGGAGAAAGGCUUCAUACGACCAAGUGUAUCUCCUUGGGGAGCACCUGUACUUUUUGUCAAGAAGAAGGAUGGGAGUAUGAAGAUGUAUAUUGACUAUCGGGAAUUGUACCAUCUGACCAUAAAAAAUAAGUACCCACUGCCAAGAAUAGAAGAUUUGUUUGACCAGUUAAUGGGUGCUGCAGUAUUUUCAAAGAUCGACUUGAGGUCAGGGUAUCACCAGCUAAAAAUCAGGGCAAGCGAUAUACCGAAAACUGCUUUCAGGACUCGUUAUGGGCAUUAUGAAUUCACUGUCAUGCCUUUUGGUUUGACCAAUGCUCCAGCUGUAUUUAUAGAUCUCAUGAAUAGAGUAUUCCAUCAGCAUUUAGAUCAGUUCGUCAUAGUGUUUAUUGACGACAUACUUGUGUACUCAAAAGACAAGAAGCAACAUAAGGAACAACUUCGAAUUGUACUUGAAACUUUGAGGAAUGAGAAAUUAUAUGCCAAAUUCAAAAAGUGUGAAUUUUGGCUUGACCGUGUAGUUUUUUAGGUCACGUUGUUACCACCCAAGGAAUCGAAGUAGACCCCGCUAAAGUGAAAGCAGUAACAAAUUGGCUAAGGCCGAGCGAUGUGGGUGAAGUCCGCAGUUUCUUGGGAUUGGCUGGUUAUUAUAGAAGAUUCAUUGAAGGCUUCUCAAAGAUAGCAGGGCCAAUGACUCAAUUGACAAGAAAGGGUAUAAAGUUUCGGUGGACAGAAAAAUGUGAAAAAUGCUUUGAAGAACUCAAGUAGAGACUAGUGUCAGCUCCUGUAUUGACGAUACCUGAAGGUUCAGAGGGAUUUGUGAUUUACAGCGAUGCCUCCAAGCAGGGCUUGGGUUGUGUACUGAUGUGGCAUGGAAAAGUGGUUGCUUAUGCCUCGAGACAGUUGAAACAGUAUGAACAAAACUAUCCAAUGCAUGACUUGGAGCUUGCAGCAGUUGUUCACGCCUUAAAGAUAUGGCGUCAUUAUCUUUAUGGUGGGAAGUGUGAAAUUUAUACGGACCACAAGAGUCUCAAAUACUUUUUCACACAGAAGGAACUAAACAUGAGACAGAGGAGAUGGUUGGAGUUAGUGAAGGAUUAUGACUGCACAAUUCAUUACCAUCCGGGUAAGACUAAUGUAGUUGCAGAUGCCCUAAGCAGAAAGACAGGAACACAGUUAGCAGUUUUACCCACAGUACAGGAACACUUGAUAAGGGAGUUUGAUAAAUUGAGAUUGGAAGUUAUCACGCCGCCAACUCAGAUUUCAGGGAGAAUAAGAGCAUUCAUGAUUCAACCUACACUUCGAGAUCGAAUUAAGGAGGCACAGGAUAAAGAUCCAUUUUUAUAGAAGAUAAAGGCCAAGAUUGGUACAGAUAAACAUAUAGGGUUUGCAGUAUCUGCAGAUAAUGCGCUAACUUUCAAAGGAAGACUGUGUGUACCUAAGGAUGAAAGUAUAAGAAAUGAGAUAUUAGAAGAGGCUCAUUCAACCCCUUAUUCUGCUCAUCCAGGUGGUACGAAAAUGUACCGAGAUCUCCGGGAUGUAUUUUGGUGGAGAAAUAUGAAGAGAGGAAUUGGUCUGUUCGUGGAGAGAUGUAUUAUCUGUCAACAGGUUAGGGCAGAACAUCAAAGGCCAUCAGGAUUACUGAAAUCGUUGGAUAUUCCAGAAUGGAAAUGGGAACACAUAACGAUGGACUUUGUGGUAGGCCUCCCGAGAUCAGCAAAAGGUCACAAUGCUAUCUGGGUAGUGGUGGAUCGUCUGACGAAGUCAGCCCAUUUUCUUCCAAUUAAAGUAAACUUUAAUUUGGAACAGCUGGUACACUUAUACAUCAGGGAGAUAGUCAGGUUGCAUGGAGUCCCAGUCACCAUUGUUUCAGAUAGAGACCCGAGGUUCACAUCUAAAUUUUGGAAAAGUUUGCAGACAGCCAUGGGAACAAAACUGAAGUUUACCACAACUUAUCAUCCUCAGACGGAUGGACAAUCAGAAAGAACCAUCCAAACUUUGGAAGAUAUGCUAAGGGCAUGUGUUUUGGAUCUUGGAGGUAGUUGGGAGACACACCUGCCGUUAGUGGAGUUUGCUUACAACAAUAGUUUUCAGGCCACUAUAGGAAUGGCCCCGUAUGAAGCUCUUUAUGGUAGAAAGUGCAGAUCCCCUAUCCAUUGGGAUGAAGUCGGGGAAAACAGAAUUUUGGGUCCAGAAAUCAUUGAACGAACAGUUGAGGCAGUGGAUAAUAUUAGAGCAAGAAUAAAGGCCGCACAAGAUCGACAGAAAAGUUAUGCUGACAGUAGAAGAAAGGAUUUAAAAUUUCAAAGAGGUGACAAAGUCUUUCUAAAGGUAGCACCAAUGAAAGGUGUAUUGAGAUUUGGAAAGAAAGGAAAGUUGAGGCCGCGGUUCGUCGGACCUUUCGAAAUUCUUGAAAGGAUUGGUAGUUUGGCUUACAGACUUGCCUUGCCACCUGAACUAACAGCAGUGCAUAAUGUGUUCCAUGUUUCGAUGCUCAGAAAAUAUGUUCAUGAUCCCAAUCAUGUAGUAAGCUAUCAGACGUUGGAUGUACCAAAAGAUCUAUCAUAUGAAGAAAUUCCGACGGUAAUUUUGGAAAGAAAGGUACAUCAACUUAGGAAGAAAGGAGUUCCACUGGUCAAGGUGCAAUAGCGAAAUCAUGGACGAGAGGAAUCAACUUGGGAGAAAGAAGAAGAGCUUAGAACCAAGUAUCCAGAACUUUUCAAUUAACCAAGGUAAAUUUUCGAGGACUUAAAUAUUUAAGGAGGGGAGAUUGUAAUGUCCCCAAAUUUUCAUAGAUUAGAAUUUAAUUUAUGUGUGCUAUAUUUUAAUAUUUUGGAAGUUUAGUGACUAAAGUGUAUAUAAAGUAAAAUUUAAUCUUUUUGGGCUUAAAAUGUAAAUAUUGGCAGGUUAAUGAUUAAUAUAUGGAUAUUGGGCUCGUUGGAUAGAUCGUAAUUAAAGACGCAGUUUAGGCUCGAGAAAAAAUUUAUUUGGAUUAGUCGAGCGCAAGUUAUCGAAUCCGGAAGAUAUAACAUUAAAAUAUUAUUUUUAUUACUUUUGUUUUUGGAAGAAUUUACGUGGAGAGAGAGAUGAAAGUUGUUGAGAUAUUUUAUUGUUUUAUUAAUAAUAAUAAUAUUUUAUUAAGUGUUUUGAAUUGGGAGGUCUCACGUGAAGUACUAGGAUUCUAAGUAGGUGGUAGGUAAGUGAUAAUUGAUUUGUUUAUUAAAUGAAAUAAAGUAGAGAGAGAGAGAGAGAAUUAUGGGGAGCCCCAACCACGUGAGUGGUUGUUUGGAAACCAAAUGGACGUGUAGGGUAAUGUUUGGCUGUUGGGUGAUUGGUUAGUUGACAGUACAUGAUCCUAUAUUGAUAAGGUUUGGGUCUCCUAUUUUGUUUCAAAAACAGUUUUUUUUUUUUACUUUAUCUAAAUAUCCACUCUCCCACACGUUUUCCUAUGAAUACUACUGCAUAUGUAUAUGGAAUGAACUGCACGAGAAUAAGGACACAAAAAAUAUAUUGGUACGCGCACACAGUGUCAAUAGAGGCAGAAAAAUAUAGAAGAAAAGAACGUGAUUUUAUUAUUUGACUUCCGGAAAUUAAAUCAAGGUAGGAUUACGAGGUGCAAGUGGGUUGUCCCAUUUAAAUUAUUUUCUUCAUGUUUGAUAAAUAUUAUACUUAUGAAAGUUAUGAUAUGUAUAAUGUAAUUAUGAUAUAUAUGUUAUGGCCAUCCGGUACCAAAGAUAUAAUAUGAUAUGAGCUCUUAUCGGUUUUAAAGAUAUGAUAUGACGGUAUGAUAUUUUGACGCGUGAUUUAAUAUUUUAAUUGGGAUUGCACAAUUUCUCGUACCCUACUGAGUAUUCUCAUAUACUCACCAUUUUCCUAUUCCUCACAGGUUAGAUUGGGUCGUGUUGGAGCGUGGUGGUUCGAAGGUGUGGUUGUGUCUUGUUUCGCCAAAUAAAAAUCUAAGUUAGCACGUAAUGUUUAUUUAUUUUCAAUUUAUUUCAAUAAACAUUUAUUUAUUUACGAAUAAAUUCUCGUUCUUGUUAGUUGCAGAUGAAUAUACGUAUUUUAUGAUUUUCAAAUAGAAGUUUGAACUAAAUGUUAUUUUCCUUCCUAUCGAUUUGCAAAUCUGUACUUUCGUAUACGUUGGGAAGAAAGAAUUUAAUAGUUUGCAUGCCUAUGUUUGUACUUUACUUUGAUUUUCCCCAAAUUGAUGGAAAUUUAAGGUCAACACAAUGAUUCCCUGCCACCCCCACCCCCUCAUUUGUGUCCCAUCACAUCCAUAGCAUUAAUUAUGAUAUGAAUUUGAUAGUUUUUGCUUGUACGUGUUAGUCAUGAAUCAAUGUCUUGUUCGUAGCAUUUUUUUUGACAUAAAUGAAUUUUGUUUUGGAUUUUUUUUCUUUAAUUGCAGUAAAUAAACAUUCUGUGGGUUAUUUAAUUCCAUCCGUUGCCUUUGACUUAAUUAAGUAACUAAUUGAAAUUAUGCACUAAUUAGGGGGAAAUAUUGUGUUAUGAACCACUGUAUUAAUUAUGCCAGGAGUUAGAAAAUUCAUGUUUGUCUGCCACACCCGUGUCAAAUUCGUUUUAAUUCAUAAGUCUUAGAUAUAAAUUUAUUGGAUCUCCCGAAAUACAUAGGAAUAAGAUGUUAUUUUAAUUUGACUUGAGUGUUCAACACGUGAAGAUGAUCGAUAAUUGGAGAUUCAAUGAAAGCAAUAUUUUUUUAGAAUUCAUUAUACAUGAUUAAAUACAUAUAUAUCUAAUAAUUUGUUUUUAAGUUCUUCCAUGCGUUUUAUUUAUUUUAUAGGUGGAACUAGAAAGAUUUUCAUGUUGGAUGUUUAUUAUUUUAAUUAUUUAUGGAAUGAAAGGUUUGGUAACGAUUUCUAAAUCUAUAUAAGAUUUGGGUCGUUACAGUUUUAACCAGGUAAUAACAUGAAAAAUCCUUGGGGACGUUCACUGUUUGACCACUCUCCAAUUGAUUCUAGGUAUGAAUUGAAUGUUAUUCUUUUAUCAUAAUUACGAGUCAUCUUGCUUCAUGUUAUGAAAUGUAUAAGCAUGUUUACCUCUCGUAGUUUAUUAGUUGAACUAUUUUACAUUUUAUAUGAAUAUUGUUUAUGUUGGGAAUCUACUUAUACAUGCACAGUGGAAAAUUAAAAUUAUUUUGAUUCCCACCGAGAAUCCCUUUGUGUUUAGAUAGAAAUCGUGAUAAGAUUGUACCUUUUCAAAUCUGAAAAUUUCUUUACUAUUAUUUUCGUUCCAACAAUCUUGAUUCGCCACCUACAGCUGUCCAAUUGUCCAGCCUCCAACGGUGAUCCACACAAAGAAUAAGAUUGCAGCUAAUAGGGUUUUCUCUCUUGUGCCAGCAAGAAUAAUGAAAAUCAUAUAGACCUCAAACCCUAACCAUGUAUUUAUAUACACCCAAAUGGGCUCGGCCCGAUCCGGUCCAAUAUUUAAUUAAUCCAUUUAAUUAAACCCGAUCUGUGAAUUAAUUAAUCCAAUUUAUUAAUUUAUACAAUGAUGUUAAAUUAACUAAUUGACAAUUUUCAAUCUUCCAAUUCUUUUUUGUGUGUGACCCAUUAGGUUCCCGACCACGAUGUCUAACGACGUGAAAUAUUAUUUUGAUCUAAUCAAAAUUGAUAAAUUAAAACACUCUUUUAAUUUAUCGUCAAUUCACACUCGCCGUCCCUGAUUGACAUCUAGCAAUGUGUCAGGGCAAUACAUGUGACGAAAAAUGUCACGUGGUAUGACAAAAUCAAAUUCGUUCGUUUACCGUGAAACUAUAAUCCCUUCGUCAAUAUGAUCCGAUCAAUUACGAGAUAUGGAAGUGUGUCAAUCUCGAUCAUCGAUCAUAUCUUUCACUCCACUAUUAAGUCAAUAUAAGUCGAAAACUCAUUUUCGACUUAUGAAUACACCUUGGCCAAGGAUUUCAUCAUCGACUUAAUUGAAUGAAACACAGAUCAUAAUCUCCUACAAUCUAAGAGUGACAAAUCCUUUAUUGAUUAAUCACAACCUUCAUACGAUUCUUGACGUACCCGAACGAUAUCGUAUUAGCGGCCUUUUUCAGAGCAACAUCCAACACUGUCAAAGUAUGACUAUCCUCAUGUAAGGUACCAUGACGACAUCAAGUCAAAGGACCAAUUCCAUUACCGAACGUUAGAGAUUAACCACUGACACUUAGAUAGUUAUCCAUGUGGAAUCUCUUGGCGGGUCUCCAAAGUUUUGUUCUAUAACAAAACAUCCACGUGUUCAUUUAAGUGUCACCACACUUUAGCUUGCGAGAUCAGCUACUUACUUUACAAGUAAGAAAUGUCACACGUAAUGAUCUAUCCAUAAUAACGAUAUCCGUAUCUCGUUAUUACUUACGACCACGGAUGAUUUAAGAUUCAAUCAGAUGUAAUUUAUAUCUCACAAUCACAACUCCUUGAUUAACAAAUUACGAAUAUUUGAAUCUACGGACUCUAUUAUUUAUUUAAUUGCCUAUUAAUUAAAUAAUAGAUCUGUCAUUAAAUUGCAUUAAUUAUAUAUCAAAAGUAUUUAUGUCCAAAGUUGAUUGGACUUAGGGCAUAAUACUUACAGUUUAUUCGAGCAUAGAAUGAAAUAAAUUGUCAUUGAAAAAUUAAGCAUAAUUAAAUUUAUACAUUUCACACAUGGUUAAGACUAGACAAAUAUAGUUGAACGAAUAGAAUGGCUAGAAAGAAUAUGAUUUACACAAGUACCUUAGGACCUAUGAUUGUAGCUAUUUGAGAGUAUGAGUACUUUGUGUCAAAUAUGGCCAUGACAAGUUAAAUGCAAAAUUUAAUACAAGGAAUUGAGAAUGGACCAAGAAAAAUCGGAAGGAAUAUUUAAUUAUUUUCAUUCAACCGAUGUAGUAGAGGUUUGCAAUUCAUUGAGUUUCAUUCAAUCAAUGUAGAAGAGAGAUUGUUGUGUUUAAUAUUUCUAAGACAAAAUUUUGUUUUGUAUAAAGAAAAUUUCGAAACAACAAAAUCAAGUUACAAUCAUCAGUGAUCUGUUAAGAGUUGUAUAGGAUCUUGAUAGACAAUAAGCACAGACUGACCUUCAAAUUGCAUCGAUCAAUGCUAACAACACAACUCAAUUGUUGAACAGUUCCACCGUUAUGAGCCCUCAGUUUCCGAUGGCAAAGUAGACUCACUGGCAACUGAAGAAUGGAUAAUCUUCAACAUCUCUCAUCCAAUGAUGCUCUGAAAGUAUCAUGUAAAGUGUUCACGUUGGUUGAUGUAGUGGGCUAUUGGUUGGAAUUUGGCUCAAGCACUAGAACUAAGGCAUGCAACAAGUUUUGACUAGGAUACAAUUCAAAGAAGUGAUAGAAAAAUACUUUCUACAAGCCCUAAAAGAUCAAAAGGAGGUAGAGUUUCUAAAACUUAACAAGGAAAAGUGAAGCUUGAGGAAUAUGAGAGAAAGUUCGAAUAGCUCUCUAGGCACGCACUGCACCUGGUAGAUACCAAGGCAAAAAGCGAGGAUGUUCGAACUAGGAUUGCAUCCAAAGAUUGGUAGAAUAAUGACCUCCCACCAAUUAACCACAUACAAUUAGGUUUUGCAAACUGCUCAAGCAAUCUCAAAUAAAUUAGAGAUUGACCAAACUUUUCAACAAGAGUUUUGAAGAAAGUGAAAAUGAAAUGGGUCCAACAAAGAGAAAAGGGAUGGACAAAACAAGAAAUUCAACAUAGUAUGGAGUUCAUAACAAGUUGUUACACUCUGUCCUAGUGCAAUAAGAUGCAUAGGAGUGAGUGUAUAUGGGAGUAAUAUGUGUUACCGAUGCGACGAAGCAGGCCAUGUUGCUAAAAACUGUAAAGAAGCCCCCUCGAAGAGAAAUGAUGAGCAAGGCAAGAAAGCGAAAGCUAGAGUUUUUGCCUUAACUCAAGACAAGGCAAUGGAGGAUUUGAACAUGAUGGCAGACAUUUUUUUUAUACGUGGAAUUCCUGCUUAUGUUCUUUUAGGCUAUGGAGCCACUCUUCCAUUCACUUUUGCUGCCUUUAUUAAUAAGUCACUUAUUACAUGUGAAGAAUUCGAUAGUGUUCUAAAAGUUACUAUCUCAUUGGACAAACCUUUGAAUACCAAUAAGAAAACUAAAGCGAUUAAAGGACUGGGUGUUCAAAGUCGUUUAUCUUAUGAGAAGGCUCUAACAGCUAUUUUUGCAAGGAAGAUACACAAAUCGAGAAAUAAAGAAAUUGUAUUAGUUAAGGUCCAAUGGUAGAAUUCUGGAAUAAAAUAGUCUACUUAGGAGAGAGAAGAUAUCAAGGUCAAGUACAUGGAAACCUUCAACUAGUUAAUGUAAUUUCUAGGACGAAUUCAUUUGAAGAAUGAGAGAUUGUAAUGCUCCAAAAUUUUAUAAAAUGAAAUUAUUUGGUGCUAAUGAUUUUGAUCUAGAUUCCCUUUUUAUAAUUUUGGGAAAUUGAACGAUUAAAGUGAAAUAGUAUUAAAUUCAAUUUUAUUUGGGGCAAAUAAUUAAAUAUUGAUGGCGAAGAUAAGUAUAUCAAUACUUGGCUUGUCUUGUAGUUCGUAUUAAAAAACGCGUCGUGGACUCGAGAAGAGUUAAUUCGGAUAAGUUAAGCCCUAGUUAUUGAAGUUUAAAGAAAUUAUCAUCAGCUAAUAAUUAAUUAAGUUGGUUUAUGAUUUAAUUUUUAUCGCAGUCUCGGUUCAAUUGUAGAAUAAAUUGUAUUACUAAUUUGAUAAAUGUUAUUUAAUUAAGUUUAGUUAAUGACUUAUCAAGUUGGAAGCCACGUGUGAGUAGAUUAUUAGAGUAUUUUUUUUUUCCUUUUUUAGAUUGGGAGGAAAACUAAUUCUAAUCCUAAUUUUAUUAGAUUUUCAUUGAUUACUGGUUUAGUUCAAUUAAAAAACUGGAAUCCUACUUUCAAAAAAAAAUCUCAAAUUUUACCUAUUUAUACCCCCCAACAUUGAACCCAAUUUGCAUUACUUAGAUAUUAUUUUCAAAGCAUACAUGCACCCAUUUAUUUACAGAAGCAGAGAGUUUGAGAAAAAGUUUUGGAAUGUGCAAUCAUAUAUUUUUUUUUUCAAAAAUUCGUUUGAUCUAUCCAGGUAAGAUACAUAACAUGUAAGUGGUUUGAUUCCUUAUAACUUUAUUUGUGUAUAUAUAUAUAUAUAUAUAUAUAUAUAUAUAUUAUUAGUGGACCUUCGAAUUCGACCUAAAAAUGCCUUUUUAGUUCUUUAUAACGAAAUGUGAAAUCUUUCCAGAAUUCAAAAUUACUAUGUGAUGAGUGUCACGUUUGAUCACCGAGUUACGUUAAAUGAAAUUUGGUAUGAAGUGUCUAUUUUAUUGUUAUAUAAUUGUUUAUAAAAACUGCAUCUUAUUGGGUAUUGUCAAAUACUCAUGUAACAACCCGGUCUUUAUGCCAAAUCCGUUAACUUAUGUACUGUACAAUUUGUGAGAGCUUGAAUUUAUCUUACCUCUUACGAAUUUCUGUCGAGUCCCCAAAAUUCAAACAUAUGACAAUCACCUUAUGAGAGAUUUUAAUUUGAAUUAUAGUACCAAUUGAGCAAGUUGUUUAAUAAGUACCUGGAUUCAACUUAAAUUUCUCAUAAGGUGGAGGUAUUGGGUUCAAAAUUUGACGAUAGAAAGUCAAGAGGGAUAAGAUGGAUUUAGCUCUCCCAAAGCGAACAGUAUGUAAGUUAAUGAUUUAGAUACAGUGAGAGAUUGAAAAUAAGUUUGGAGGUAUGCAUUCAACAAGAAAAUGAGACAGUUGUCCAUUAAGGGUAAAAAAUAAUCAACCUAAAUGAUUAUAGUGAUUGAAUUGACUAUGAACACACACAUCGAUCGAGUAUUAAAUAAGUAUAAAUUUAUUUUGGUGGCAUUGCUUAUGAGACUUAUUUGAAUUGUCAAACAAUUUCAGUACUUAGGACGAAUACAACAUGCUAUCUAAUACUUUGACGUUUAUGUUUCAUUGCUUAUAUGCUCGCGAUGGAUAAGAGUUUAAGUUUGGGAUAUUUCAUAGGCAUAUUUUAUAAACGUCUUUAGUCUUUUAAACUCAAUUAUGGAUAAUUGAAAGGAUGUCUAUCUAAUUUAGUAAAUAUAUUAAUUUUAGGUAAAAUUUGACAUGAAUACAAUUAAUGCAAGAAAGGCAAUUUUUAACUUAAAUGGAGUUGAUUUGGAGCAAUUAAAGUAAUCGAAUUGCACGUGAUCAAUUAUAAGUAUUAAGAGGCAAUCCUAAGAAACUCAUAAGUUUUGUGAGUAAAGUUUGACAUUUGAAAAGUUUGGGAACUCUAUUGUAAACUUUCAAUACUUUUAACGGAUCAAUUAUGAAAGAGAAAUGAUGAUGAUGAUGAUGAUCAAAGUAUAAAGAUUUAAAGAUGAAGGAUCCAUGAUGAAUAAAGAAUGACUCGAGCAUUACCAAGAGGAAGAUUCAGGGAACAAUUUGAAAGAAAGGCAAACAUUGAUCUUGCAAACGCAAGAUUGAUGGAUGCGAUCGCAAGGCUGCUUAAAUUAAUUCAAACAAGUAAAAAUGAAAUAAUGUACGAUCAAAAUGGUUAAUACCAUCAAUCACAUGGAAUUAACAGACUAGGAUUUUUUUUUUUUUUUUCGAAUUUCAUUUAACCUCAUUUUGGAAAGCAAUUAGGAUAGAAUUUACACCUAAUUCCUGGGGCAAUAUAGACAACCUUUCAUCUGUUGUAAAAAGAAGAGGCUUUUGGGAUACAACAAACAUAUAUCUUACAAAGAAGAAGCCUUACAGAUAGAACAUAGAUAUUUCUCGCAUACUUUGAGUGAACUUUUUAUACAAAACACAUAUUUCAUACAUCUUCACUUGGGUUUGAAGAAGAAGAAGAAGAAGAAGAAGAAGAAGAAGAAGAAGAAGAAGAAGAAGAAGAAGAAGAAGAAUAUAUUCAAGGAGAUUGAUCAAGAACCAUUGAAAGGAUUCAAAAUUGUUUUCCAUCUUUCUUCUACCUUUAAUUUCGGGAAAUGAUGUAAUGAUUCAAUUCAUAUUUUUGUAUUACUAUGAUGCUCAGUUAAAUGUAUAGAUGAUAUGAUAAUGAUAAACCCUAUAUUUUGAUACAUUUAUAUUGAAAUCGAAAAUCCAUGAUUUGAAUUGAUGUCAUUUCAUUGAUUCCUUCUAAAUUGCGUUGGAUUUCACUUGACUGUCUAUGGUUCCAUUGUUUGUGCUCGAGGUAAAAGUUUUGUAUAAAUAUAUCACCAUGCUAUUAAGUAUUUUGAUUUAAGAUCUUUUAUUUCUAAGAGGUGGAAUAGAAUAACCCGGUGACCGAGAGAUAACUAUCGAGUAUUUGGACUAUCCGGACACAAACUUCGGGAAAUGGUUCAUGCGUGUUAAGUUUCAAAUAUUGACAUUUAAAUGUUUGUAUGGUUUUGAACGCUUCUUAUUGUCUUCAUGCUUUUUCAAUUACAAGGCCAUGAAUUGAAUUAAUAUAAUUUCUAUUGUCAUUUGAAAGAAGGAAAAUACAGCACAUGGUAACAAUCAUUGUAAAGUCCUAUAGACUUUUCCUAUGCUUUGUAUGAUCUCAUUGAUGUUCUUGUAAUUGAUUGUAUGAUCUCAUUGAAUAUUUUUUUGAUUGAAUGUAUCUUCAUAUAUUCGCGUCCAAGAUAUGAAUAUUUCAUGUCAUGUAUGAGAUAGAUUUAAUUUUUAUCAGGAGAGGUUAUUGAAUAAAAUAUGAGCACUGAUAUACGAGUCCAAAUAAAUGUUAACCAAUUAUGAGAUUGAUAUUAAGAUGGAAGGAUAUACGAGGAUUUGAUGUCCCGGUGACUUAUUGUUUAAUUGAGCCCCCGGUGGCACAGUAUGCCUUCGAUAUUAAGAUGGAAGGAUAUACGAGGAUUCGAUGUCCCGGUGGCUUAUUGUUAAUUGAGUUUAUACGCGCUUCCCAUUUAGUUAAUUAGAUCAAUUAGUUAAUUUUAGGUAUGAUCGGUAAAUAUAAUCAAUCUCAUCUUAAUUGUGAUAUUCGAUUAAAGUUCUCAUUAAUUGGAAUUUAAUUAAAUACUUAGUACUCGUGGAAUUAAUAUGUGAACCAAGAUCGACUUUAAUGUUUGUUUAUGACAUUGUUCAUAGUGGUAUUUUAGCACAGCAAACACAAUUAUUAGUUUAAUCUUUUGGAGAUAAAACAUCUUAAAAUAUAAGGCUAAUUUAGGGAGCCUUUAAAACAUUUCCUCUCCCUCUCUCUCACACACACGCAUAGGUGACUAUAUGCAAAUCUACAUGGGCUGUACUUGCUGUACAUGCAGUUCGAGCUAGACUGUACAAGCAGCUCAACCCAAUCUAUAAAUACAUUUUUUGCUCACUCUAACAAAAAUUGAUAGGCACCAAGAUUAUUAGACUAAGAAAAAUGAUUAGGAUGGUUGAUAGUACGAUGAUUAAGUCAACUAUUAGUAAAAGCUAUAUGGAGAAUUGUGUGUGGGAGAAAUAAAUAGGGAGAGAUUUGGCUAGAAUUCAAAGAAUGUGUAACUUUUUCUUUACACGUCCAUGAAUAUUUAUAGGGACAGAGUUAUAAUGGAAUUAGGUUAAAAUAUUGCAACCCCUAAUUCUACAUGGUGUGUUGUGAUUGAGCAUAGAGUUUUGAAUGAAGUAUGGUAUGUUUCCUUUGUCGGGUUUACUUCCUUGUAAGGCUAAGUUUCCUUAUAGAGAUUGAUUUUCCAUGAUCUUUUCUAAUUCCUCGGCAUCCUCUCCUUAUUUUAACAGAUUGACAAGGCUAUAAAUUUUAGAAUCGAUAAAAUUGUCUCAUUCCAAGAUUUAUCCCAAUAUUGAUUUUAUCUCCAUGUUUCAUGGAUCCUUUGACAUCAACAAGGUAUGGGUCUCAUCCAAAGGCAAUAGGUCACUAGGCCCAUUAGAGCCACAUCCUCCCAUCUCGACACGAGGGGUUCAAUUCGAAGACUAUCACCACUAUCCAUUACUAUGAAUAUUGUAAGAGCUGAUGGGAUAUUUCAUACGAGGCUUGUGACUUGAUUCUUUUGUGCAGGCGAAGACCAUAGGAAAACAUGUAGCAUGUUGGCUCUUGCUCAUGUGGUGUUCGUAAGUCCUCUUGACUUCCAAGUGUACCCAGGAUGUAACAGUGGUCUCUCAAGUUCAAUUUUGUUAUUUAUACUAGGCUUGUGGCUUAUUAGUUUGCUUGUGUUACGAAAAUUUGAAAGUGAAAGGCUUGUGAUGCAGUUGGGCCUCGUUGCUCUUUGGCUAAGAUUGAAUUUAUGCCCAAAAGAAUUUCACUGGCCUUUGCUUACCAUGAUGGUGGUGUGGCGAAGAUGUCUUGACAAAUGCCUCUUGGCCAAGCUAUAACAUCGAAGUAUAACAACUUCGUUUUGAAUACCGUUGUAGAUUUUCCUAUUCCGAUAUAUAAUGUUCAUUUUGAUAUUUAAACCUCUUGUUAUAGUAAAUUCAUUAUUGUCGUUAUAGUGAAAGAUUUACGCAAUUGUCAAACUCUAUUUCUCGCACAUUUUAUUUAUUUCUAAAUUUACUAUGACAUAUUGAGAUUAAUGACUUUUUUACAAAGAUCGGUAGUCUAAUCUUAAUGACACAAAAGAUAGAAAAGAAAUUUCCUUUUUCUUAAAAUCCACCAAUCCAAUAUAACUAGAUCAACCCUUCAAGUUCGCAUUAUUUGAAAAUAGUGCCACAAAGUUACUUUUUUCAAUUGUACUCGAGGAAAAUAAAAAAUAAUAAAAUAAUGAUAUUUAUUUAUUCAUUUGACUCUUUAAUUGCAUAUGCAAAAUUAAUUAAAGUUAAUCUUGUUUCCCAAGCUUUUGGUAAUUCAUUCUUUCUUCACAAUUGUCAUUGUCUUAGAAUAAUCUUUCCCUACGAACCGUCAAACCAAGCACGUAUUCCCUGAUCUCACGGAUUUCUUCGGGUAACACUUUACAGCCUCAUAUUUAGACUUUUCGUCGGCUAUAUAUUAUUAAUAACUACAGAUUACAUUUACAAUUUUUAAUUAUAAUUAUUAUACGUUUUUUUUCUUCAGAAGGCUGCUAAAAAAUACAUAAUAGUGGGUACAAGUAAUAUAUUGAGGUUUCAAAUGAUUUUAGGCCACCGUCAACGCAGAAUGAACUAAUUCUUAACCAGCAAUUCGAAAUUAAACUGAAUGGAAAUUUUACUUUCGAAAAAUCUUGGUGAAAAUCAAAGAGAAUUAUGUUCAUUUUUCUCUCGUCUCUUGCUCUUUUAAAAUAUUUUGUCAAGAUCGAAUGAUUAUUAUAAAUUGAAAUAUUGUAAGGUCAAUGUAUAAGAAUCUCAAUAAUAUAAACGAUCUUUUUUUUCCCUUAUCUAAUAUAAUACGAUUAUAUAUCCGUGAAAAAUUAUCCAACAAAUUUUUUAUGCGAAAAAAAUAUAAUUUUAUUAAUUGACUUGUUGAAAUGAAUUACGCAUGCAUAUAUCUAUCUUGUGCUUGAAGGAAAAGUCGCGCAUUUGCGUGUAAACUACUUAUUUUGUUAUUAAAAGUACAAUCUAACAUAAACUACGUCAGCAGAAACUUUGAGAAAAAAAAUCAGAAAUAUUUACAACAAAGGCUCCAAAUCUAUAGGAUAGCAACAUGUUGAUCCCCAACCUAGAAAUGAGCAAUAUAAUCCUCAAACUUUCAAAAUAAGUGCAAACCUAGUCCUAACAUAUAGAAAAAAUAAUAAUAAUAUUCAUCUAGAAUCCAGAUAAUCAUCUGUCAUUUUUAGAUAAUUCUAUGCAUGGGACAAUGCAGUAGUAGUUUCACUAUAAAUGAAUAUUUCUAGUCUCUUCAAGAAUACUCUUACUCAUAUGGAAAUAAUGUAUCUUAUUUAGGAUUAACAAUGCGAUAAGUCGAGCUCGUUGACCAAGGGACUACACUUCGCUUGGCCCAUGGGCCUUGCCUAUGAUGAGCCGUGCCAACCUACAAGCUUUUUGAUUUUCUUGGUUCAUUAAUCUAAUUUAUUUAACUUAAAUGUGAGUUAAAAAAAAAAGGAAACUCUAACAUAAUUAAAUAACAAUGCAAGGAAAAUAUGACACAAUCGCAAAGUUCAUGUACCCAAUGCUUUACUUGCAAACGUCGACUCGACUCAUUUACUUGUUGUAGAACAAGACUAGCAGAACAGUUGAGCAGUCGAUUUUCUUUUGGUUAUGGACUUUCCGGUUGUAGGGUGAAGGUAUGACAAGGGAAUUCCAUGCUUUUAAGAAGCUUUGUUCUAAGCCUCGGGAUGAAAUUCGAAUCUCACUCAAAUAGGGCAGGUGAAGGAAAAAGAUCUCUUAUACGACCACGCUCUAAGCUAAGUUUAUCAUUGGAUCACUCUUGAUAUACGAAUUUACUAGAGAUAUCAUCCAAUUCGAUUGAAGUAAGGAAAAUACAAAUAGAAAUAGAAAUCAAAAGAAUUAGAAUUAGUUUUGUGAAAAGUGAAUCCAAACAAUUGUGAACCACUCAUUGCCAACCUAAUCCUGUUUUUAAUUGUUCACGAUAAGACAAAAGGGGGCAGUUAUCAUGCCUCGAUAUGCACCUAUUCAAAAAGGUUGAGGACUAUAGUCCCACUACCGCUAUUUAUACGGAUCCAUUUAUGCAAUUUUCUUGAAAAAAUCAGAAAAUUUGUGAAGUGUCAUCAGUAGCGGCAGGUUUGCCAACAAUAAAUCCUGUCUACCAUUUCUUCUCUCCUCUCUAUAAAUAUAACACCCUACAUAUCUGCUUUCCUUUGUCCAUUAGAAUAUACAGAAACUAAACUCAAUGGAAAUGGAAGUGAUUAUCUCUGUAAACAAAAUGGAUUUUGACUUUAACAGUCCACAUGUCAGUGCACCUUCGACGCCCAAGCGUUUUGGGGAAUUCUAUUGCAGCGCUCCGACAAGUCCGACGCAUUUGGCGCAGUUUUAUCGUGAUUUUGAUGAUUUCUCGAACAGAGCCAGCGGAGUCACAUCGAGGGUGCCGUUUGGUUCCCCUAAGAAUGAAGGUGAUUUUGCUUUUGAUAUUGGUGAGGAGUCAUCGGAAAAGGAGUCUCUUUCGGCGGAGGAACUGUUUGACGGCGGCGUAAUUAAGCACCUAAAGACCCCAUCGCGGCUGCAAGCUUCCACCGGAGCAAGAAUUAAGGGUGAUUACUCACCAAGGCAUAAGAAAGAGGACGACCCUUUUGCAAUCUCUUCUCAAAGCGCCACGGCGGAGCACAGUCACAGAAGAGGAAGAGAGAGAGCUCCUGCAGCAGGUUUAUCUUCAUCAAGCCGAAGAGCAACGCGUUCACUUUCUCCUGCGAGAGAUUCUGAUCAAAAUUCACGGGAUCAAGAAGAGAAAAAACAGCACAAUACAAAGAUUUUGUGCUCAUCUUCAUCCUCAAAAUGUCACAGAAAAUGGAGAUUGAAGGACUUUUUCUUGUUCCGAAGUGCAUCUGAAGGACGAGCAGCAGAUAAAGAUCCUUUAAGGAAAUACACAGCAGGGUUCAGAAAAUCAUAUGAAGAUGCUAAGAAUCCGAAUUUCCGGAGAAUGGAUAGCCAGGAUUCUGGAUCAAAUUCAAGUAGAAGAGGAAAAGUUUCAGCUCAUGAAUUGCAUUACACAACAAAUCGUGCAGUUUCUGAAGAUUUGAAGAAGAAAACCUUCUUGCCAUACAAGCAAGGCAUUCUGGGGCGCCUUUCAUUUAAUCCUGCCGCCCAUGCACUGGCUAAUGGUUUCGGGUUUUCUCGUAAAUGAAUAUUCGUCCGGUACAGUUGAGGACGGCAUUGUGAGAAGGAAUAAUUCUCUGCUAAUUAUAAUCUUUUUUUAUUUUUUUUUAAUGUUUUGGAUAGGUAUUUUUUUUCAGAUUUUGGUCAUGAGAUGUAUAAAAAUAAAAUUUACACAUUGAAGCAUCAUAUCUUAUUGUGGAAUUAUUUAUCAAUGUACUAAAUUUUAUUGAUCCUAAAAAAUUUAGGGUCUACUAGAUAAAAUCUUGUUUCAUUACUUCUUUUAGCUAAUUGCUAUGUAGCUGUUCAAAAACAACUAUUCAACGGAAUAUAUUCUACGUUAUGGAUGAUUUCUAUUCUUUGUUUGAUGAAAGACGGAAAAAGACAUCGAUCAUAGAAGGUGACAAUUCAAAAGUUUGAGACAAGCAAUUCGAGACGACUCUUCUUUCUGAACAACGUCUGAGUUAUGGGGAUAUUUAUUGAUAUUUUAAUAUUUAAAACCUUUAAGAAACGUAUUACGAAUUCCGGAAAAUAAACCCAUGGACAAAAAUGAAGAGAGAGAGAGAGAGAGACUAGCGUGCAUUGUGGACUAUCAAUUUCUUUAAUCUAGAAGACAAUUUUUAGGGCGGUCCAUUUGUCGCAUUUUACUCUUUGGUGAAAUCAGAAAUGAAAUGGAAUAUAAACAACAAUUCAUGCAUGAUAUAAAGUUCGACAUUUUUCUAUGUGGCAGUAAGAUAUACCUUGAUUUUAAACAUAUCCAUCCCAUUGCUAGCCAAAUUUUCUCCAUUGACAGGAUAUCAUGUAGGAAAAUUUGUUACCUUUUUAAUCACAAGAUCUUUCGUGUUGAAUAAUCAAGAAUAUAUAAACUACUAUAAAACCUGAAUUAGAAAUGAUUAAUACAAUAGUUGAAUCUUGCGGUUUAUUCUUCCAAAUCAACACACAGACCUUAAUUCUUUAUAAUGAUGGGAGGCAGAACAGAAUGAGCAAUUCACAUGUGAUUUGAAAACCAUAACUGUAUUUAUAUAUAUUGUCGCCAUUUGACCUAAUUCGACCUAUCAUAGAAUUAGGAACCUGACUCAGUUUUUACCCAUAAAAUAUCCACCCUUUAAUUGGAUGUAUUAAAAUUCAAAAUACUGGAAACUUAUUAGAUCACUUUAACUAGGCUUAACCAAAUUUUAUAGCCUUUAAUUUGAUGCACAAUAAUUUACAUAUAUAAACCCACACGGUCAUUUAAAAUUCCUUACAUAUCAAACUUGUUUUCAACCAAAAAUAUACAUCUAAUUUUAUUUUAUAAAUACGAAAAGAACUAGAGAAUUGAAAUGAAACAUAAGCUAUUGUUUGACAAACAUUAUUUAAAAACUUCUUUUUUUUUUUGUACAUAUUCAUUUUUAAUUACACAUUUACAUUAUAAAAUAUUAUGCAUGUAAACUCAAUAUUUUUUCAUACUUUCUAACUGCACAUUCUCCUAAAAAUUAUUUUUUUCCAAAUGAUGAUUGUCAAAUAGAAGACUAAUUAAAUUGUUCCUUGUACAUGACCAAAAUGGAAUUAUAACUUGCUUUUUGUAUAAAUAAACCAUCAACUUUAUUUUUGAAUUGGAAAUGUUAAAUACCUAUGUUGAUGUAAUUUCCACUUCUUUACUCUUCUUUUUUUCUUUCUUUCUUUUCCCCUUUUUCAAAAAAAUAAUUUGGUUGCCCAAUUCUUUGUGCAGAACUGUUUCUCCUACUUAUAAAUUUGAUACACUUAUUUAUUAAAUAAUCGUGACAUUUAAUUUAAGUAAAUUCAACGCUCAAUAUUUUAUGGAUCUCAAACAGUUAUAACAAACUCUCCCAUGAUUUUAGUGAAAUACAUAUUAAGUGUUGGAUUGAUUUAUAUUAAAGGUCAUGAUUAUUUGUUAAAUAAGUGUGUCAAAUUUAUGACUAUUAGGAAUUUGGAAUGUUCUCGUUCUUUGUGCUCUCUUUGUCCGUGUAAUUUGCAACCCAUGUAUCAUAAAUAAUUCUCAUAUACGAAUCAUAAUUGAUUGCCUAUUUGCGUUAUAUGUCCCCUAAUUACUAGCAUUCGUUUUCUUUCUUAAUUUAUAUAAAGAUUCAUUUCCCUAAUAAAUCAAUAAAAAAAAUGAAAUCUUUUACAUUAUUGCAUCAUUUCAUCGCUAAACAGUAGUUCCUUUUCCUUUUCCUAAUAGGACUUUUCUAUUUCACAUAUUUGGGUCGAAUCCAACAAUUUCCAGUUGAUCCAAAACCUCCCAAUCACAGCAUACAUUGACAUUGAUUAUACCACCAAUUUACCACUGUUCUUCAAAUAAUUGUAGUAGACGAGAAAAUUCAUCAAACUGUUAUAAAUUAGAGAAAAAAGAGAAAAAAAAGUAGAAGUUAAUUGACUUGUGUAUUUUAUUAAGAACCAAAAUCACAUAUAUCUAGAGAGAAUAAUUAGGAACACAAUGGUAAUAAAAACUAGGGCUACAAGGGUCUAAUUUUCAUCCACUAAUAAUCAUAUUAUUUAUAACACCCCCUUUCAUUGUUACAUUACAAAAUAUUUGCAUCGUCAAAACAUUGUCAAAAAAAUCUAGUGGGACAAAAUUUGAUCGAAGGAAAAAGAGUACAAUUACUCCCAUUGAUUUCAAUUCUUGUAUCAAUUCAUUAUUGUCUUAUAAAUCAGUAUUUUUAAAAUUGCAAAUUUUGGUUAAAUAUAUCUCAUGUUGUCUUGUAGGUAUUCAAACAAUAUCGUCUACGUACAAGAUAUUUAUAAAAAUUUUGUGACCAUAGUAACAUGAUGAUUGAAAAAUAGAUUUUGUUGAUCUUUUUGCGAGUUUCAUACAUAUAAAAGCAUUAUUUUGAGGGUAAAUGUCUUUAUACGUAAUUGGAUAUUCAUUAAAUAAAAAAUAUGCCUCAUUAAAACCUUAUUCGAAAAAAUCUGUAGAAAAAUCCUAAUUAAGGAAAAGAGUACAUUAUUCUUUUGAAUAGGGAUAAAAGUUGUCUCAUUAAAAAUCUUAUGAGGAAAAUCCAAUGGGACAAAACUUUAUUAAAGGGAAAAAGAGUAUAGCGUGUAUUUACUCCUCCCUCAUAAUAAUAUCUCUUAAAUUAUGUAUCAGGCACAUUAAAUCUGUCAGUGAUAAUAUUAAUAGUCAUGCCAUAUGAAUUGAUUGUAACCGUAUUUCAAGUUUCACGCAUUGUUAUGAUAACAAGAUACAAACAAUGAUUUCAUCCACCACGAAAUUCAGUAUGUUAAGAGUCGUUCAUUCAUAUUGCGACAUUAUUUUUCUAAUUUCUUUUUCACACAAGUGUACACAUUUUGAUUUUUGGGCUGCAAGUCCAGAAACUCCAAAUUUCCUAAUAAAUUCGAAUUUAAUAAGAUUGUGUCCUUUUAUUUGGCCAAUUAUAUUUUCGAUCGAUAUGCGUCAACGAAUUUAUUUCGAUAUCCUCGAAUUCAUAAAUAAGUUGAAAUAUCUCUCGAUUGAGUUUUAACUAUUGGUAAGGCGUAGAGAUAUCAACGAGCCGAGCCAGCUUGUGAAUCGAAACUCCUGACUCGGACUCGGCUUGGCUUUUUUAAGACGGACUUUUUUCGGCCCUAGCCGAGCAAAAGCUUGGUCAAAAAAUUAAGGCUCGACAUGCGCUUUCAGCUCAGGCCUUAUCGAGCGAGCUUGAUUUUUCUUUUUUCUUUUUUUUCCUCUCUCCCUCUUAGCUGCCUAUUUGGCAGCUAUUUGCUACCUCAAUUGACAAUAAAUUGAGUUUCUUUCUCUUUUUUUAAUAACGGACCGAAUCGACUAGAGCCGACUCUCUGAAAUAGGGCUCGGUUUGGGCCUUAGCUCGAUGCCUCCGAGCCAUGGGUGACCCAAGGCUCGAUGCCUUCGAGCUACGGGAGACCCUAGCCGAUGAGCUUGAUUGUCAUUCUUAAUAAGACGGUCAUAUUUCUUUUAACUAAACUAGAACUUGAUUUAGUGGCUCUAUCCAAUAGGUGUGCAACAAUUUUUUCUCUUCGAUUCUUUUUUUCGUAGUGACAUAAAUUAUUGAAAUAUCUCAAUUUUCAACAUAUCAAGAACCUGAAGGUCUUCUGGAGUUUUAUGAUUUGUUAUGUCUAAAUAUUCGUCAAGAGAAUGGAGCCAUCUUUGUUAAUUUCUCCAUUUUUGUUUGAAAAUUUUUAUAUUAGAAUCAAAUAUCAUAACAUUUCAAGCAUGCCAUAAAUUCAAAUAUAAUAUUACCAAGACAUUAAUUCGAGUUAGAGCAUUCAAAGUUCGUAUAUGAGAUAUUGUUGAUCUCUUUGGUCAGUAAAUGCAUUUAAAUAUCUUUCGAACUUUUGAUUCCAAUUAUUUUUGUGAGAAUUUAAAUAAUGAUGCAUUUGUACAUUAUUUUAGUUUCUUAAUUCUUCUUCCUCAUACUGAGAAAAUUGUCUAUUCAAAUUGAUAAUUGCAAACCAUAUUAUAAAAUAUCAUCAGUCUGAAAUAAAAAGUUCGAACAACUCAUUUAUUCUCUAAAUUAUUUACUUUCCAUGUCAAUGCAUUGUGGUGGAUCAAUUUUACAUAUACUACAUUAUCAAAAUUAUUUGAUGAAAAAAUUAGGCUCGGACCAUAUGCCUAGUUAUAGUAGGGAUAACUAUGAUGAUAUGACACGUAAUAGCCUUUCCUAAAUAGAAAUGGAAAGUACUUCGUUUUCAAUUAAAUUAAUUGGAGGUGUAUAACAAUCAAUAAUGUUGAAUCAUUUAUCAACAUUUCAUCUAGUACAUAUUAAAAUGUUGAGAUUUACAAUUACUAGAUUAAGAGGUUACACCGUCUUAACUGUAUAAUCUGAAAAUUCUACUCAUAAUUUAAAAUUUGAGAAGUAAUUUCGCAAACUAUAAGUUAUAAACAUCAUGCAACCAUCGAGCAUACAUGUUAAAUCUAUUAGAUACAAAUAAUAUUUAGAUGGUCUACGUCGAGGAUAAUGAAGCCCCAUUUAUCACCCUGAUUAAUUUUCAGAAAUAUAAUGAAUUCGAUCCCUAUUUUUAACUAGCGAUGAUCAAUUUUCGAUAAAAAAAACAAAUAACGUAUAGGAAUUUAUUGGAUUGAAGAUUCAGGUUCUUUGUUGAAUGUCCAUUUAAAUUUUUUAUUUCAUAUCAUUAUUGAUCCAAUAUGAUCCAACUGGUCAUGCCGAACAAUAAUACAUUCAUUAAUUAAAAUUUUGAGUUAAUAUAUUAUUCGUUCUAAUUAUACUACACAUUUUAGAAACUUAUCACAUUUCACUUUAAUUUAGAGGGGAAUAAAUUAUUAUCAAUAGUAAAAUUUAUUCUCUCACAUAACGCAAUACUAACCCUUCUAUAGUAUCAAAACAUAUUCUUCUAAAAUAUUGCUAUAUACUUGGUUAUGAUUACUCGCAAGUAAUAAAACAAUAUUUUUCAGGAAUAUUGAUAUAUUAAAUUAAUCAUAAUAUUUUUCUAAAAAUAUUAAUAUGCAUAUAUUUGUGCUUCUUCACAAACACAAUAUGGUAUUCUUCAAAAGAAUAUUAAUAUAUAUUAUUUUUGCUUCUUCUGAAGCAAUAUAUCAAUAUUUUUCUGAAAUAUUGAAAUUUUAAUGACAUGGUCUUCAGGAGCAAAUAAUUCUAUCUAGAACAUUCACAUAAGGUAUGUGUUAUGAUUUUCCUAGAAUAUCAACACCAUAUUUCUUUAGUAUAAAUGUAAUUUCUAGUUGUGCUUCUUCAAGAGCACAAGAUAAAUCAAAAUAUUUAAUUAAUCUAAUAAUUCACAAGUAUAAUAUAUAGCAGUAUAGAAAGACUUUUAAAUAAUUUUCAUCCUUGAAUUUGAAAACUUUAGAAAGCGUUAAAUAGUUGAAAAUUUUAUAUUCUUCAAAGAUAUAAAUUUGAAUUUUUUUAUAAAACUUAAAAUUUGCUACUGUCCCACAAAUAAGCCGUUAGAUUUUGAUAAGAAUAGAUUGAUUUAAAAUACAAUGAGCUAUAAACAUCUUGUCCAAAUUUCAUUACGAUCAAACCACGAAUGUUGAGUUAUCAACGUUUUUAUCACAGUUGCUCAGACUGUCCAAAUUCUACAAAUUUUUGCACUGUUGAUUCCAAUAUAAUAAUACAAUCAUUCAAUAUUAUAUAGAAUCACUAUAGGGUCAAUGAACUUUGAGUUUGUGACAUUAUUUGACUCAAUCAUUUUCACUAAUGUACGUAUAGUAGAUGCGAGAAUAGAAUGUCAAAAGUUUUUCUUUUGUUUACUUCGGGUCAAAUAUAAAAAAAGUUAUGUAUAGAUAUUCUAUAUUUUUUCUUGCACAUUCUCCAUGUGAUAUUCAUUGCAUUGACUAUCUUUAAAACUAAUCAAUUUUUUAUUUUAAUUUUUUUUUAAAUUUGCUUGCAUAAAGUGUAUUAUUAAUAUAUAAUUUUGUAUUAUUAGAUAAAAUAAAACAGGUUCUUCGGACCCUUCAAUGAUAUUUGAUGCAUCUAAUAUUGUAUCAAUAUUAUUUUUUGUUAAUGUUAAUUAUAAGUACUUUUUAUUUUAAAGAAUUUUUUGCAUAGUUACACUAUCUUCUAAACAGAUAUCUUAAUAAUCCAUCUUAAUCUUUUUAACAUUCCAAGAUUUAUACUUUUUCAAAAAGAAAUAAUAGAAUAUUCUCUGAGAAUAUUCAAAAACUAAAUAUUAUGCUUUUUCGGAGCAAUAAACUAAUAUCUUCUUGAAUAUUAAUAAAAUAAAAUAAAAUAAAAUACUUUUUUUUUAAUUACAACACAAUAUUGAGUAAUUUAAUUUAUGUUUCCUAGGGAGCACAAUGAAAUAUAUAUUCUUCUAGAACCGUGCCACUUCGAUAACACAUUAUAUUUUAUUACUAUUUCUUCAAAAGUAAUAUAUCAAUAUUCUUGUGGAAUAUUGAAAACUAUAAUUUAAUGCUCUUCAGGAGCAAUAACAUAUUAUUGUUUAGAACAAUAAAUUAUGUAAGAAUUUACUCUUUAAGAUUACAAAAAUAAUUUAUGUUAGAUCUAUUUUAUUAUUCUCUUUGAGAGCAAGUAAAAUUUAAUUAGAAUACUAACGAUUGUGAACCAAUGCUACAAGUCUUUGUAUAAGCUUUUGAGAUCAAGGUUGACAAAGCUGAAGAGCAGUAGCAUUCCACUGACCUGCAUCACCAAAUAAUGCCUUUACAGGCAUGGAAACGUGUCUACUUUAGGAGCAACAAUAUGAUACGGUUUAAAUUUAUUGAAAAAAUAAAAAAAAUUAAUCAAUUUAUAGUAGAAUAAUUUUUUUUUGAACAAAAGUAUAAAAUUCACAAAUUAAAUAUAUUAGACAAUUGCAUAAAAAUAUGCUAUUAUAUUAAUCUAAUCAUGCAAAUUAUAUUAAUGUAAUCAUGCUACUAAAUUGGGAGAACAUUCAAACGGCACGGAGAUGGAUGUGUGCCUUCAUUAAUUACAUAUUAUAAUAAUCAAAUUGUUUGUUAUAAUAAGAGUUUUGCUAUAUGGACAGGGCCACAUAGGCGCAGACAACUGACCAAUAAGAGGAUGCCACAUCGCCGCCAUUUGGAUAAGGCCUACGUGGCCUUGUCCAAGAAGAAUUAUUCAUUAUAAUAAUUCUCUCAUUUUUCUCCUCUAGACAAUUUCUAGUCAGAUUUUUGUUCAAGAUUUGUCAGUGCAAAUUCAAUGAUUGCCAUUGCAAAUUGAUUACAAGGCACCCUCUUUCGCUAGCACUGAAUGGAAUCAAUUGGAAAUAUAUUCCUCUGAAGUCUAUAGAGGAAUUCAAGAAUCACUCGAGCUAAAAUUAGAGACCAAAAGCAAGUUGAGCUUUAAAUUAAAAAAAUUUGUGCUGAUAACAUGUUAUAAAAAUAGAGAAAAGAAUAGGACAAUGAAGAAGUCAAUAGAAUUGUAUAUUAUUAUUAAAAACCAAAGUCUUAUAUUUAUAUUGAAGAAUUAGGGAUAAAAUCAUAAUAAAAAUUAGGAUUGUAUGGAUUUAAUUUUCAUUUACUCAUAAUCAUAUUAUUUACAAUACAAACUUGUUUUCGUAAUUUGCUUCUUCAAUCUAUAAUCUUCAAUUUUCAUUUUUAGUGUCACAUAACUCAUAUUGGCGACUUCGCAAUCUUUUGCAAUAGCAGAAGGCUUUCCUUGAAGCGACUCUAAUGUGACAACUCCAAACUUUCUAUGAGUAGCGUAUACAAAUUACCAACCUUUUUACCUCAUUAAUGCGAUAUAAUUAAUCUUCACAUCAAUUCUCCCAAUGCAUGCUGAAUAUUUAUAUGUCAACGUGUCCAGUGCUCCCAACAGUGUCAAACUUUUUCUCAAUCUUGAGACCUAUUAAUAACCGCUCUGCUACAUCAAAAAUCUUCACACUUAAAAUACUUGAACCUUUAACUUCAAGUUUAUGAUUAUUAGUCAUGACGACAUCAUGAGCAUCUAAUAGCUUAUAAUCCUCAAAGCAGUCCUUGUGUGGGCAUAUAUGAUUACACAUCCAAAAUCCAAGAGUUACUUGAAGAGUCGUAAUUUGUGACACAAUAAUCACUAUCAAUAUCAUCAUCAACCAUGAUCGUAGAAUCAGAGGCCUCUUUAGACUCUAGACUCUUCUUUACUUUAAGAUGAUAUGUCAACUUCUCACAUUUUGCCUUAAUGUGUCCUUUCUUGUGGCGGUAUUAACACUUGGCAUUUCUCCUAUAAUGACAUUGAGAAUGAUCCCUCCGGACAUUAUUUCUUCCUCGCGAUUUACCACACCUCAUUUCAGACUUUGUCUAGAGUACUUGAUUUAAAACCUUCUUCACUAUCGAAGUAGAUUUACCAACUAGUAACGUGGUGACCAAUGUCUCAUCUGACUUAGGUAAGGAAGACAGCAAAAUUAUUAUCUUAUCUUUUUCCUCAAUUUUUGACAUCAAUAUUAAACAACUCAGUUCACACUUAUUCAAAUGAUUCCUAAGAUCAGUGUCCUCAUCUAUCUUCAAAUCAUAUAAUUAUUUUCUCAGAUAUAAACAUAAAUUAAAACAUAUCAGGAUCUUUUAGCAUUUUGAAUAACUUAAAAUGCAAAUUUCUUAUUCAAAACACUAUAAUUUACCUAAGCAAUCAUGCUACGUGGUCAAAGUUAAUGACUAAAAAGUAUUUCCAAAUUACACUUGACAAUUUUUCAUUGAAUAAAGGGUAAAAAAACAUCAUAAAAAUACUCAAUUAUUAGCUGCCACAUCAGUCUAUUUUUUUAUUCCCUAUUUGUUCAGCAUUAUUCUUACCUAAGUACAAGCCAAUCUAAUGGUGUUGACUGUCUCCAGUUUCAAUUCUUCCAACUCCGCUUCUUCAUGCCUUGUGACAUCUUACCUUACAAAUCUUUGUAAAGUCCCUAUUGCAAGAGAAUAACUUCAACUGUACUUCACAAAAUAUUUAAAUUAUUUUUCUCGCCAAAUCGUUUACCCUCAAACUUUGCACAUGCCAUCAUCUUCGAGGCAGUAUCCCGAGUUUGAAUUUUGAGCUCCGAAACCAGUAGACUUCGCAGGAUGAAAUUGGCAGAAAAUGAACAAGAACCAAUGAGAGGUUGAUUAGGGACGAGAAAAACGAAUUGCAGAGAACGAGUCACAUGAACCACCAAAAUCAAACCAAUAAAAUGAAAUAGAGAUAUCAAAUUAAACACAAAUAAAUAUGUAAUCGUUAAAUUCAAUUUUACCACGUCAAUCUGCAGAAAUUUUCGGUGCUCGCAGGCGACAGAGAUAGGUGGAAGAAAGGGAUUCUAUGGGGGCUCAAGAGAGAGACUGUAGAAGUGAUUGCUUUUCUCUCUGUGCUAUUUUAUUAGAGAGAUAUUUAUGAAAAGGAGUUAACCAGUUAGUGAAUAGUGAAUAGUGAAUAGUGAAUAGUGAAUAGUGAAUAUCCGGUUAGUGUAUGAAAUGGGACACCAUAGAAAUGAACAGUGAAGGCUGGUUCCCUCUUUUAUAUAAGUGCAAUGAUUUUAGCAAGUUUUAAAACUUCAAGUCAUAAUAUUUUGGGUUCUAUGGAUAUAUUCACAUUAUACUUUUAGAAAUUGUGUUUCAUUAGGCCAAAAUUAUGUACUGAAUAGUACAUAAGAGAAAUAAAGAAAAAAAAUUACUAGAUUUUUGUGUCACACAGAAAUUUCUCAAUGUCACCCUCUAGGGUAUGCAUUUUGAGAGAGAUGUAAAAUUCAAUCGAACAAAUAUUAAUUUCAAAAAACUGUGAGGCCAUAUGGCUAACACUUGUAGAGAUUGUUAGUUUAAUGUCCCUUUUUUCAGUAGUAUUUUGAAAAACGACAUUCUGAAUUGACAUGCUACAAUUUGAAAUGAUUAUCUAAGGUUCCAUGAACAUAUAGAACGUCACAAAUUAUAUACUCAAUAGUUUAGGUAUAGUAAGAUGCAAUUCAAGAUGUGAUCAAAAUAUGUCGUUUACAAUCUCAGUACAUGAAGUUGGACACUUUAUGUUUAUAAAAUUACAUUGUUCUUAUUAAGAUUUGUCUAUAUUUGGCAAUAAGAACAAUAAUGUGUUUUGUGAUGCACAUUAAACGGGAACCGCAUAGAUAACUCAUUUGUGAUCGUUCGAAAUGAGACUCUAUCAAACAAUUCAACUAAAUCCUGAGUGAGUAAUAUACUUUUGAUUGCUAGUUCAAAUUUUUUGAAGUAACAAUGAGUGAAAUCUUAAUUAGAAGAUUGAUCUUGGUGCUUUGGGAAUCAGGUCGAAACAAUUAGAGAUCAUAUACUUGUGAUAGUGAAAUCCAUUAAUCAUUAAGAUGAGACGAUCAUCACUCUAAGGUAUUUUAGAUAGACAAUUGAACCUGUGCUCAGUAGCUUGAUGAUGAGAUCGUUGGACUCUAUAUUGUUAUUUGAUCACAACUAAUUCAUCUUAUGAAAAUGGAACUUAGAGGGUAAUAAUGUUCAAGGACAAAACGGUUAUUUUAUCAUUUUCAACUUAUUAAUGGUCCAAUGGGGGUUGACUUGUGGAACAAUAAUCGGAGCAUAUUUUCAUCGAAUCAUAAUUUACUUCUAUAACUAUCACUCGACUCGACAAUGGAAUCUCGAUUUUUGGUACAAUGAGCCGAGAUUAAUAGAUGUAUCUCAAUUGGUUAAGAGUUGACCCAAUUAGAAACUUCUAUUGUAGCUUAAGUCUUGUUGGUCUGAUUAGGUCCCUUUCUUGACUACAAUAAAUGUGUGACUUAAUUGGUCUACUACAAUUAAGUCCAAGAAAAUUUGUGCAAUUAUAAAAUCCUAAUUGAGUAUUAUAAAUAUGUCCUUUAUGGACACAUUUUCACUUAGUUUUUAGGGUAAGCCAUAUUUUUAUUUCCCAAAGAGGGAGGCACCUAAAGAACACAAGGGAUAAGAUAUAAGGGAAAAAGCACUUGGCUAGGCCACUAAAAUCUCCUUCAAGGUUAUCAUUUUCCUUUUAUGUGGAAGAAUUUAAGACAUCCAAUGAUCUCAAGGUGAUCGUAGAUCUUUUAUUUAUUUACAUUUAAUCUUCAAAGGGAAAUUAAUUUCCUAUUUUGAUGAUUAAAUUCAAUAACCAACAAAUGGAAUCAAAGCCAAGGUUACUAAGAGCCUUGAGUAGGAUUAAGUGCUUCGAAUCCUAGUAUAAAAUGCAUUUUUAGUAUGGGCGGUGUUAGGUUAUUUAAUUUGACAUGUUUACUACUUUAUAUGCUUAAAGUAGAUGUUUAUACAUAAUCACUUUUGGCCCUGGGAUUUUUUUUUACUUCCCAUUCUAAUUCAUUCCAUUUGUCUUUCUUUUCUCUAGAAAAAUUGUAAGCCAUGCGUCAUUAGGGUUUUGUACAUAUUUUUCAUACUUCUACACUUGUGUAUUAAAAGAAGAUGAAGUUUUUUGGGCUUCAUGCAUUUUUCGUUUCUGAUUCUUGUUAGAGAAAUGGAAGGAGAUAGAAAUAGGACAAACAAAAUGCAAAAACCAUUGUAGAAUUACAAGUGGCGGCAAUAACAACUAUCGCGACCGGAGUGGCUACAGUCGCUGCGUCCAAAUGCAACAGUUGCUCCAAGUUGUGAUAGCUGCUUCUGUUGCCUGUCAUGACAACCAUAGCUACUGCAAAUGUAGCAGCGGCGCUUGCUAUUACUGUUUGCAGUCGCCAUUGCCACUCGACGGCUGCAGCUAUGGUGGCCUCUUUUGGUGUUGCUACUGUCGAUGUCAUUGUAGGAGAUGGAUGGUGGAUGUGAUACAUGGCGAAUUUUCCAGGAUUUGUGAAAUUAGGUUAUUUUUGAGUUUUUGUGCUUUUCUUUAUGACUUGGGCAAAUAUUUUUGGCUAAGGGCUUUUGAUUUAAGGAUUGCGAAAAAAUUAAAUGGACUCAAUUUUUGAAUAUUGAAUGGGUUAGAUUACAAGGAAAUUGAAGAAUUGGGGCGAAAAUUGCUUUAUGGAUGAUGAAUGAAUGUAUGAUUAUCACAUGUCAUGUAGAUUAAAUUGAACACCACCCAAUGCACUAAACAUAUGCAUUGGUAUUGGAUUUUUUUUAUCACUCUAAAUUAAUUAGAUGUGGUUAAAAAAUUAUAUUUAACAAUUUAGUGCCAUUAUAAUUGUUUAUAUUUGGCACAUUAAUUAUAAAAUCAAAAUCCAAUGGUUCAAAAUAAUAAGUGGGGGAAGGUUUAUAGCGUGUAUAAACUUGCGGCCUCCUCCUUCAUCCAAUUUAUUAUUAAAAUACGUAUGUCUGGUGUCAAAUUACAUCGGUCUCCCUAAAGGAAGACUACGUUAUUCUAAAUUAACUGAAAUUGAAUCUUAUAAUAGAAAGUUUUAAAAAUUGGAUAAUCGGCUGAUUAUCCUAUAGAUAACAUCUCAUAUAUUUUGGAUAAUUUAAAAAUUAUUUGCAGAGGUUAUUACACUUAUAUAUGACUUUAUUUUUGGAGGACUUCCAGUAGAAGGUUCCAACAAAAUAUUUAUAAGUCAAAUGAUAAUAAAUCCUCAUUUUUAUUGUGGCACGAGAUGCCUAACUCCAUCAAAUGAGUGGGAGUGUUCCAACUUUGUGAUGAGGACAAAUCAAAAAUCUAAUUAGUGAAUAAAUCAACGCUACAAUCUUCCCGUAUAAAGUGGCAACUCUAAUUUAUUGGUUGUGAACAAAAUAUUUGUAAUCAAAAUAUAAGUUAUGUCACACUACACUUCUCAGUACAAGUACCCAACUUAUAUUGUCACAGGUAAUUAUAAUUACUUUAAUUCAUAUGCUCACAUACUCAAUAAUAAAUAAAUACAUUAAAUGGAUAAAAUCACAAUUUGUUUAUUAUAAAUUAUUAUUUAUUAUAACAAAAUAUACUAUAUGGACACACAACCCCACAGUCUCCACUUCCUACGUACUUUGUUUAUAUUUUUUAUUAUUUUAACCCCAAACCUUAGAUCUCUCUCUUUUAUUUGCACACGCAAACACAUAUUGAAAGCACAGGUCAGCAGCUACAGAAACUACCUAAGAGCCACUAACUUAGGUUGUACACGCCGCAAGAAGAUAAGUAGAAGAAGCCGAAACAAAGAGAACCAAUGCUAAAAGGAACUCAUAAAUAAGGAAUGGGUGGAGAAGACACGACUUCCAAAUAAAAGAGACGAGAUUGGGAGUAUCCCUAUGCUGCAGGCCAGUGGCGGCAUCACGAAAUUGAUACCCAUCAAUGUCGACAGCUCGGGGUUGCUCCAUCGAGGUGCUAAGAGAUUUGGGGAUUUAGAAAUUCCAAAAUGUCUAUCCAGUGUUUAUUGGGUUGAUUACAAGAGGAAUGGAUCUGGUUAUUAUCAAAAAAUGAUUUUUAAUAUGAGAUCAUAAGAAAUUAAAAAAGCGAUUCAAUAAGAGAGGGCAAACGACUAAUGAAUUCAAUGUAGUGAAGUAGUUCUUUUAUUCAAUGUCUCAAGAUGGGUUUCAAUGCCCAAUAACGUUAAAUUAAUUUUUCUUCCAAUUAACUAAGGUUAUUGAGGCUGAGUUUGAGGCGGGGACUUUAUUUCUCAUCCCCUACUCGUGAUAAGGACUUUUUUUCCAACUGUGCUAUGUGUACAAUCGGGAUUGACAAACCCAUUUGACAAUUGGACACUUAGGAGGGGGGCUCACACUGAAUAGAAAAAUCGUGAGCCCCCCUCCUAUGAGUGCAUUGUCAACAUGGAUUGUACAAGAAGAAUAAUUUCUUUUUUCCUAACCCCCACCCCAAUUCAUUGAUUAAUCUAGAAUCCCCCGCUAGUUUGGGCAGGCCAUAUGGGGGACUAGAACAAUUGAGGAUAAUUGCUCCCCCGAAUAUCAUUUUUGAAUGUGUAAUGGUUCGUGCGACUCACAAAGACACUAUACAAAUGUUAUAUAUAUACGUAAUAUAUAUUAUAUUGCACACCCAUGAUAUAUAUUUUGUACGCUCACACGAUCUGUGAUUUGAAAUCGAUCUAGCAAAUUUAUUCAUAAUUUGAUUAAUCUCUCGAAAUAAGUUGGUCGUAUUUUACGUUUAUUGUGGUUAAUGUUUAUGCAUAUAAUAUUUCUACGGAUGUGUUUUAUUUUUUGGUCCAUAUUACGUAUGAUUUAUUUAGAAUUGACAGGAGUUUAAUAGCGUUACGUACGAGAAUUUAACAUCAUCUAAGUUCGGUUUAAUUUUCAAGUCUCUCUCUAUAAUUAUGAUUUUUUUUUGGGUAUAAAAAUACAUAUAUAAAUUCAUUAUUCAAGCACAUUUAUUGAUAUUUAUUCUCAUCCCUUUAUAUCUUUUCUUCUAGAUGAUUGAUGAUUCGAGGCGGUUGGCACGAAUAUGGCUUAUGGUGGCAAAAGUUCCGAUAAUAGAUUAUUUUGUUAUCUUUAAAAUAUUUCUUUUUUCAAGUUAAAUUAUCAAAAUCACUGGAUCAUUUGAAUUAUUAUAUAUGUUUAAUAAUUUAUAUAAUAGUGUUGAAUAUUCCUUAAAUUAUUUUAAUUUAGGAGUUAGUGGCACUCGAGUCGUUAAGGAUUCAGGUUGUCAUAGUUGUCCAAUUAGUAUCAGGAUUAAUUUAAGUCUCUCUUAUGGUAAAGAUCAUGAGUUCGAAUUCUUGGGACGCAAUAGAAAUCUAUUAGAGAUAGGAUGAAUUUAGGUUCUUCCAGAACGAACAAUACAUAAAUUAACGACUUUGGCAUAAAGAUCAGAUCGUCACAUAAUAUUGGGAUCCGAAACCACAUUAAUUGAAAGAUUAUCGAGAACAACCCUAAAUUUUCUCAUAUUGAACAAAAAUCCAUGUGUCCAUGUAUAAACAAAACAAUUGCAAAAGAACAAUUAAGAAAAUAUAAAGAAUAUUGCAAAAUCAUCUAAGGGUCACUACCUCCAAGUACCUUGGCCACCAGUGACUGGGUUUGGAGUAUAUUUUCCUUUUAUGCUUUCUGAUAAGUGUGUUUUUGCACACUUAUUGGGCACUUAAUUUGAUAUAAUUAUUGACGAAAAGAAUAGAAUUCUACUCAUAGUUAAGUAAUAUUCACUUUUGUAGGUAAAAAUCACCUAAAGAAAAGAGAACAAGGCAAAAGGAAGAAAAAUGAGGAAAAAGGACUAAAAUUGUACAAAAUUGUGAAGUUGGAGGCCAAGGAAAACAAGUCAAAAAGUGGAGGAUUUGAGAUGCAAUUUAUGGAGGGCAAAAUCGAAUUGGAAGUCAAAAUUCGAGGACCAAAUUGUACAAAAUUAAAGUUGAGGGACUAGCAUGCAAAUAUUUGAAACUUGGCUUCAAAAAGAAAACCAUUUUCAUGGUUUUGGACAGAGAACCAGGCACCGAGGCGCCCAUUUUAAAAGAAAAAAUGAGUUGGGGACCUUUUUGUUCACUUUUGAAACUUCAGGGACCAAGGCUGCAAUUUUCCUAGGUUUUAAUAUAAAACCAGCAGCUGAGUUUUCAUUUGCAGUUCUUCAGUUCGAUCUUCUGCUGGGUUCUGUUUUCUGCUGGGUUCUUUCUUUUUUUUCAUUUUGCUUUCAUUUUCUUUUCUUUUUCUUGGUUAUUUUGGAGAUAUAACAUAGAGUAACAGGGAGAUAACAUCAAGGAUUUGGCAAAGCAUUUGGGGAAAAUCAUAGUCAAUCUACAAAAAAGGGUUUUAUCUAUAUCUUUGUAUUUUCUUCAUCAUUUAGCCUUAUUUGUAAUACAUUUGAUGAAUAUUCUCCUUGAUUAUCAUUUAUUUAACAUGGGCUAAGUAUUUUGUUGGGAUUUAUGGUAGUAGCUUGACAUAGGUUUAAUUGAUUUUCAAUAUUUGCUAUUUGAUAUUAAAUUGCCCAUUUCCAUGUGUUUCUAUUAUUAUAUUUAUUGCAUUUUCAUUUAUGUGGCCAAUGAAUGAAUAUGUUUCGUGAAGUGUACAUAGUUCGAGAGAAGAUUGUGUAUUUUAGACCAAAUGGUAGAAACUCUAGGUUUGUAUAGAGGAUAGAUAUAUAUCUUUAGCCCUAUGUGACCCAAUGAGCUAUUUUCAUAACAAUUUAAUGCUGUUAUUUAGUUGUAAUCGACAUAGAGAUAUAAUAGGUUAAACCAAUCAAUUAUGGUUAAUUUCACUCGAGAGAGGUAAUUAGCUAAAAUUGAAGAAUCGGAUCUAACAUCGUAAAUGAGUAAUUCGUUAAUUGGCAUAUGGAGAAAUUAAUUAGGCGACGGCUAAGCGAAACCAUGAAUCUCAAUCACGUUUUCCUCCAAAAUUCCCAAGAUUUCCAUAUUUUCCUAUUUUGUAUUUUUUUUUCUUUAGUUUCUAAAAUCAACUCUUUGUUGUGUAUUUGUUUAUUUUCAUUGUUAGAAUUAAAUUGAUUAAAGUUGUGUAAUUUAAAUUAAACAUUCCUCGAGGGAUCGACAACUCGGACUUCAAAUGUCCACUUUAUUACUUGAACGCGACCCGUGCACUUGCAGUAUGAUUUUAGCGAACAAGUUUUUGGCGCCGUUGCUGGUGAAUGUUUUAUUUCAAUUAUCAUCUUUUGUUGAUUCUAAUUUUUACAAGUUUCGUUCUUUUUUUCUUUUGCAUAGCUUUUAUAUAUUUAUUGUGUAAUUAACUUUUAACCUUAGGUCUUUGGUGGUGCAUGCUUCGUUCGAGAAGUUUUGAUCUUUUCGAGCUUGAUCCGGAUAUUGAAAAACCUUUCCAAAGAAGGCGACGGGAACAAAGGGAAUUGAGAAGGCAACAAUUGAUUGAGAUGACACACCAAGGGAGUAAUUUGGAACAUAAUGCUCAACCGGAAAAUGUUCCUCGAGGCGGCAUUCCACCGGGUUUUGGUAACCAAGCGGGUAGAGUUCAAGAGCCUAUUGUAAAUGAGGAAGAUAUACUGUUUGGGAACUUCAUGAACCCACCCGUAGUAGAGAAUGAAUCAAGUAUUGUUUACCCUCCAUAUUGACAUCCAAACUUUCAACUUCGUCCGGAUGUUAUUAGUUUGUUCUCCAAUACCAUUCCAUUCUAUGGAAGGAUUGAUGAGAACCCUCACUCACAUGUUGCACGAUUCAUAGAGAAUGUUGAAAAUUUUAAAUAUGAAGGCGUAAAUGUGGAGACGAUCCGGAUGAGGUUAUUUGUUCACACAUUGAAGGAUAAGGCAAGGGAAUGGCUUGAGACUCUACCGCCCAGAAGUAUAAAUAGUUGGUUGGAAUUUAUUCAAAAAUUCACAGCCAAAUUCUUUCCACCCGCCUGAGUAGCCAAACUCAAGCAUGACAUAACCACUUUCCAACAAUCCGAAUUUGAGAGCUUUCACGAGGCUUGAGAAAGGUUCAAGGAUAUGCUUCGAAAAUGUCCAAAUCAUGGAAUCACAAUGGGGCAACAAGUGAAUCAUUUUUAUGCCGGGUUGACUCCUUCUUGCCGUUCAAAUGUGGAUUCAUCAUCUAAUGGCUCAAUCAAGAAGAAGAAUAUUCGGGAAGCAUAUGAUCUAUUUAAGGUCAUGAGUGAACAAAGUGCUAUGUGGCCGGAUAGAGGUUCACAAAGAGGGGUUGGUGGAGUUCGAGAUGGUGAAGCUUUCUCAAUGGUUCUAGCAAAGAUCGACUCACUAGCAAAGAAGGUAGAAGGACUUUCUUCAUCUACCUCGAGCUCUCAUUCCGCUCAUAUGGUACAAUCUCCACCUAUUUGUGAUAUUUGUGAACCAAAUCACCGAAGCCCGAGUUGUCCAUUGAUAGGUAGUGGUUCAGCAUCUACCGAGCAAGUGGUAUAUACUCAAAACUUUCAACGCCAAGGAUACAAUCCUUAUUCGCAAACUUAUAACCCCAGUUGGUGAAAUCAUCCGAACUUUUCUUAUGGAAAUAAUCAAAAUGUGCUCAACUCGAAGCCACAAGAGAAAAAAAAGGUUGGGAAGAGGCUAUUGCUAAGUUGGCAAACCAUCAAUUAUAAUAUUAAGAAAGCAAUGAUGCCUCUUUGAAAAACUUGGAAUGUCAAGUGGGUCAAAUUGCCAAGCUUAUCUUCGAAAGGCAAUAGCGGGCAUUGCCUAGCAACACCGAAACAAAUCCAAGGGAGAAUGUACAAGCUAUUACCACUAGAAGUGGGGUGCAAUUGCCCGAAAUCACGGUGACACGCCCUAAGGGUCAAACCGACAAGACACCCAUUGAAGAAGAAAGGAUUAUGCAAGAACCUAGUCCAAAGGACGAGACACUAAUUGAAGAAGAAUCGGAGCCAUCAACAUCAAAGGCUCCAAUACCGGUCAAAGCCUAUGUGCCUCAUAUUCCCUUCCCACAAAGGCUUCACAAACAGAAAUUGGAUGCUCAAUUUGGAAACUUUUUGGAGAUAUUCAAGAAGCUACACAUAAACAUUCCAUUUGCCGAUGCAUUAGCUCAAAUGCCGAAUUAUGCCAAAUUUAUGAAGGACAUUCUUUCAAACAAAAGGAAACUAGAAGAACAUGAGACAGUAAUGCUAACGGAAGAGUGUAGUGCUAUCCUUCAGAAGAAGCUACCACCGAAAAUCAAAGAUCCAGGGAGUUUUACUAUUCCAUGCACUAUUGGAGAUUUAAAUUUUAGUAAAGCUUUAUGUGAGCUUGGUGCCAGUAUUAGUUUGAUGCCUUUGUCUAUUUUCAAGAAGCUGGGAUUGGGAGAAGCUAAGGCCACCACUGUAUCAUUACAAUUGGCUGAUUGAUCAAUUAAAUAUCCUCGGGGUGUCAUUGAGGAUGUAUUGGUCAAGGUGGACAAAUUCAUAUUUCCAGCUGAUUUCAUAAUUCUUGACAUGGAAGAGGAUCAUGACAUCCCUAUCAUUUUAAGACGACCAUUUCUUGCCACCGGUCGAGCUUUGAUUGAUGUGCAAAAGGGGCAGCUCGUUCUAAGAGUCCAAGAUGAAAAAGUUACAUUCAAUAUCUUGAAGGCCAUCAAGUAUCCAUCGGAAUCUGAUUCAUGCCUUCGAGUGGAUGUUGUUGAUCAUGUGGUUGCCGAGUCUUUUUACAGGCUUUCUAAGGAUCCUCUAGAAGCAUGUCUUGUUUAUCCUUUGGCUAUCAAAGAGGAAGACCCUAAAGUUGAGCAUAUGGUACACUAUUUGGAGGCUACACCUUCUCGGUCUUAUAAGAGAGCACCAAAUUAUGAGGACUUGGAAAAGAGCUCUUCACCACCACUGCCAUUUCUUCAGCAGACACCUAUACUUGAUUUGAAGCCUCUUCCAUCUCAUUUGAGGUAUGCUUAUUUGGGAGAGUCAUCUAUGCUUCCGGUUAUCAUUGCUAAUUUCUUAAAUGAAUUGGAUGAAGAGAAGUAACUCGGGUGUUAAGGGAGUACAAGGGAGCCAUUGGUUGGACUAUUACAGACAUUAAGGGAAUUAGUCCUUCACUAUGCAUGCAAAAAAUCCUUAUGGAGGAUGAUUUCAAAUCAUCAGUGGAGCAUCAAAGGCAAUUGAACCCCAACAUGAAAGAAGUGGUAAAGUAGCUUGAUGCGGGCAUUAUUUAUCCGAUUUCAGAUAGUACAUGGGUGAGCCCCGUUCAAGAGGUGCCAAAGAAAGGAGGUGUCACGGUUGUGGAAAAUGAGGAUAAUGUACUUAUACCUACUAGACCCGUGAUCGGUUGGAGGGUAUACAUAGAUUACCGCAAGCUUAACAAGACUACAGGGAAUGAUCACUUUCCUCUUCCUUUUAUUGAUCAAAUGCUUGAGCGGUUAGCGGGGUAUUCUCAUUAUUGUUUUUUGGAUGGGUAUUCAGGCUAUAAUCAAAUUCCUAUAGCCCCAGAGGAUUAAGAGAAAACCACCUUCACAUGCUCAUAUGAUAUAUUUGCAUAUAGAAAGAUGCCCUUUGACCUUUGCAACGCACCCGCCACUUUCUAAAGGUGUAUGAUGGCUAUAUUCUCCGACAUGGUGGAGAAAUUUACUGAGGUUUUUAUGGAUGACUUCUCGGUAUGUGGGGCCUCAUUUGAUGGAUGUUUGAGCAAUUUAGAGAUAGUGUUGAAAAGAUGUGAGGAGACAAAUUUAGUACUUAAUUGAGAAAAAUAUCAUUUCAUGGUCCAGGAAGGCAUAGUUUUCGGCCAUCGGAUUUCACGUAAAGGGAUAGAGGUUUACAAGGCAAAAAUCCAAGUCAUUGAGAAAUUACCUCUACAUACCUUGGUGAAAGGGAUAAGGAGUUUUUUGGGGCAUGCCGAAUUUUAUAGGAGGUUUAUCAUGGACUUUUUGAAGAUCACAAAUCCACUUUGCUCCUUACUUGAGAAGAACACUCCAUUUGAUUUCUCUCAAGAGUGCCUCCAUGCUUUUAACACUCUUAAAGAGAAACUCAUCACGGCUCCUAUCAUUGUAGCUCCGGAUUGGAAUUUACCAUUUGAGCUUAUGUGCGAUGCAAGCGAUUAUGCCGUUGGAGCAGUUUUAGGGCAAAGGAGAAAUAAAAUCUUGCAUGUUAUUUACUAUGCUAGCCGGACUUUGACUGAUGCUCAACUGAACUAUGCCGUUACUGAAAAAGAGAUGCUCGCAGUGGUAUUUGCAUUUGAUAAAUUUCGAUCUUACCUCAUUGGAUCGAAAGUGAUUGUUUACAGGGACCACUCAGCCCUCAAGUAUUUGCUAGCAAAGAAAGAUGCCAAACCUCGGUUAAUUAGAUGGGUCCUUCUUCUACAAGAGUUUGACUUGGAAAUUCACGAUAAAAAAGGGACCGAAAAUGUUGUUGCCGAUCAUCUGUCUCGACUUGAGAAAACCAAAGAGGUAGUGGAUAGGGAGAUAAAUGAGGUAUUUCCCGAUGAACAACUCUUGCAAAUUAUGCAUCUUCUACAAGCCACCCAUAUACCAUGGUAUGCGGACCAUGUGAACUUUCUUGCUAGUGGCAUCAUUCCCUCGGAUCUCUCUUACCAACAAAGGAAGAAGUUCUUUGCCGAUAUCAAGCAUUAUUUUUGGAACGAUCCAUUGUUGUUCAAACAGAGCCCGGAUCAAAUUAUACGGAGAUGUGUGCGGAAGAUGAAAUGGAGCAAAUCCUUGAACAAUGUCAUUCCUCACCCUAUGUUGGUCACUUUGAGGCCCUGAAAAUCGCAUCAAAGGUACUUCAAUUCGAUUUUUAUUGGCCUACAUUAUUCAAAGAUGCUCAUAUUCUUGUCUCCAAGUGCGACAAAUGCCAACGCAGUGGUAAUAUUUCCAACCGAAAUGAAAUGCCUUUGAAUUUUAUAUUAGAGGUGGAAAUUUUUUAUGUAUGGGGUAUUGAUUUUAUGGGACCUUUUCCUCCUUCAUUCUCAAAUCAAUACAUAUUGGUAGCGGUUGAUUAUGUGUCAAAGUGGGUAGAAGCGGUGACUUUGCCCACUAAUAACGCUCGGGUAGUAGUAAACUUUUUAAAGAAAAAUAUUUUCUCUCGCUAUGGCACCCCCCGAGCUAUCAUUAUGGAGGUAAAAAUUUUUGUAAUCGCCUCUUCGACUCAGUAUUGACCAAAUAUGGAGUAAAGUAUCGUGUAGCCACUCCCUAUCAUCCCCAAACUAGUGGCCAAGUUGAAAUUUCGAAUCGGGAGUUGAAGAGGAUUCUUGAAUUGACGGUGAGUGCCUCUAGAAAAGAUUGGUCCAAGAAAUUGGAUGAUGCAUUAUGGGCUUAUUGUACCGCGUUCAAAAUGCCCAUUGGUAUGUCUCCCUAUCGUCUUUUGUUUGGAAAAGCUUGCCACCUCCCAGUAGAACUUGAGCAUCAAGCUUAUUGGACAGUGAAAGCUUUGAAUUUUGAUGUGAAAUUGGCCGAUGAGAAAAGAUUGCUCCAAUUGAAUGAACUGGAUGAAGUCCGCCUUGACUCUUAUGAGAAUGCUCAAAUUUACAAAGAAGAGACAAAGAAAUGGCAUGAUAAACACAUUGUGAAAUGCGAGUUCUUUGUUGGGCAACAAGUUCUUCUCUACAAUUCUCGACUCCGAUUGUUUCCCGGAAAGCUCCGCUCAAGAUGGUCUGGUCCUUUUACCAUUGCUAAGAUUUUUCGACAUGGAGCAAUUGAACUUCAUCAUGAGGAAAAGGGAAAUUUCAAGGUUAACGGGCAACGAUUGAAACCAUACUUUGAAGGUGAUUUUUCUAAGGAGAAGUCCUCCAUUCCUCUUGCCAAUUUGGAGUGAACAAGGCCUAUAGUCGAGCUAGGGACUAUAACCAAGCGCUUUUUGGGAUGCAACCCAACUUUCUUAUCCUUAUACUUUUGUUAUUACAUUUUGAAUUAAUACAAUUCUUUUGUAGGUCAAAAUUUUUGUAGUCCUAGCCACCCAUAGAUCUCAACAAAUUUGGGGGUGCCUGGUCCCCAAAGUCAUAAACAAAAAAUUCAUCUACAACAUCCUUCAAAAAAAUCUAAUCGGCGAAGUUUCGUUAUCCCUCUCCUCUUUAUCUUGUUUUUUACACAUUGAGGACAAUGUGUGGUUUAAGUUUGGAGGUGAUUGUGCUUGAAUUGGUGAUAUUAUGUUGAUGUGCUAGAUAGCCUUGCCGGCUUUGCAUGGUUUUGAUGUUUGAAAUUGUUAUUGAUUCAUGAGUUAUGCAUAUAUGACCAAAUAUGCUAUUUGUGCGUAAUUUUUUCCCAAAAAAAAUAAAAAUUGCUUAUCUAUUGUGAGAUUUUGAAUUACUUUGGGCACAAUAGUCAUGAUUAAUUGUUAUCUAGAUGUGGAAAAUUUUUGAUUGAAGGAUAUAUUUUUGAAUUGCUUGAACUAGGUUGUGACUUGUAAGUUGUUUGGAAAUUUUUAUCAAUCUGUAUUCUCUUUUCUUUCACUUUAUCAUAUUAUGAGAUAAGUUUGGAGGUGGUCGAGCCGGUGAAGAAGAUUAUCUAGAAGUGUGUGAUUUCGUGCAUGUUGAAAAUAUUUGUGUAGAGUGUCUGUUACCGAGUAUAAGCUAGGUAAUGACCAUAUGCUAGGGAUCUAAGCCCCAUUUUUGUUGUGUUAAAAAAAAAUGGAGUUAUUGUACUUGUUGAAUCUUGGGCCUCACUUUGUAGCCUUUUUGACUUGAGUUAUUAAGUGCGUAGGGGUAUUUUGUAACCCGGUACCCUUUGGCCUAAACAACCGGAGAGUUAUCGACCUAAAGCUCGCUACAAGGGUCAAAAAAAAAGUUUAAGGGAGUGAGGUAAAACAUGGGAUUCGGCUAAAAAGGAAAAAAAAAAAAAAAAAAAGAGAAAAAAAUGUUAUUGAUAUUUGGGCUUAGAUAACUAGUGAGUUUGAAUUGCUUAGUAUAAACUUGAAUGUGAAAGCACUCAUUAGUAGAGAAUCAUCACAUAACUAGAGAUUGAUAUUACUAGUUAGACCCAAUCGAACUAGAGCGGGAAAAGAAAUGAGUGACUUGAGAGCAGCCUUAUAUUUACACCUCGGGGAAAGAAAUGAAUAUCUAUUUGAGGAGUGUAAAUUCCACGAGUGGGAAAGGAAAUAUUUGACUACAAAGGGUUGGGUUGGAGAGAAUCUGAAGAUUUUUCCGUCUUGACAAAUUUUUCCUAAUUUAGAUGAUAAUUGAAAGUGAUUUUACACAUAUACACCGAUCGAACAUUGGAUAAACUCAAAUUAUUUUUGUUAGCAUUAUUUGGAGCAUAUUUGUGAAUUGAUUAUACAAUUUUACACUCAUUGAUAUUUUUGGCAAGCUAUUUAGUGUGUUGACCAUGAUCACUUUUGCUUGAUUGUGUGGUAGAUAAUCUUGCUCGGGACGAGCAAGAGUUUAAGUUUGAGGGUGUGAUAAGUGUGUUUUUGCACACUUAUUGGGCACUUAAUUUGAUAUAAUUAUUGGUAAAAAGAAUGAAAUUCUACUCAUAGUUAAAUAAUAUUUGCUUUUGUAGGUAAAAAUCACCCAAAGAAAAGAGAACAAGGCAAAAGGAGGAAAAAUGACUAAAAUUGUACAAAAUUGUGAAGUUGGAGGCUAAGGCAAAGAAGUCAAAAAGUGGAGGAUUUGGGAUGCAAUUUAUGGAGGGCAAAAUCGAAAUGGAAGUCAAAAUCCGAGGACCAAAUUGUACAAAAUCAAAGUAGAGGAACUAGCAUGCAAUGUUUGAAACUUGGCUGCAAAAAGAAAACCAUUUUCAUGCUUUUGGACAGAGAACCAGGCGCCGCGGCACCCAUUUUAAAAGAAAAAAUGAGUUGGGGGACCUUUUUGUUAACUUUAGAAACUUCAGGGACCAAGGCUGCAAUUUUCCUAGUUUCUAAUAUAAAACCAGCAGCUGAGUUUUUAUUUGCAGCUCUUCAGUUUGGUCUUCUGCUGGGUUUUUUUUUUUUUUUUUUUUUUUUUUUUUUUUUUUUUUUUUUUUUUUUUUUUUUUUUUUUUUUUUUUUUUUUUUUUUUGGUAUUAAAAAAAAAAAAAAAAAAAAAGGGAUUGAAGUUGGAUGAAUUCUUGAAUUCAGGGACCAAUGUAUUGAGUUUGAAAGUAGAAGAGCCUAACAUGCAAUAUUAAAGGACUUGUGACUAAAUUACACAAACCUGUAAAAAGUCGACCCUUGCGAUCACAAGGGUAUAUUUAGUUGCGGUCGCAAAGACUUUUGCAGAAUUGCUUGUGAGAUAUAGUAGGUUAAAUCAAUCAAUUAGGGUUUAUUUCACUCGAGAGAGAUAAUUAGUUAAAAUUGAAAAAUCGGGUCUAACAUCGUAAAUGAGUAAUUCGUUAAUUGACAUAUGAAGAAAUUAAUUAGGCGACGGUUAAGCGAAACCAUGAAUCCCAACCACGUUUUCCUCCAAAAUUCCCAAGAUUUCCAUAUUUUCCUAGUUUGCGUUUUUUUCUUAGUUUCUAAAAUCAACUCUUUAUUGUGUGUUUGUUUAUUUUCAUUGUUAGAAUUAAAUUGAUUAAAAUUGUCUAAUAUAAAGUAAACAUUUCUCGAGGAUCGACAACCCGAACUUCAAAGGUCCACUUUAUUACUUGAACGCGACCCGUGCAUUUGCGGUAUUAUUUUAGCAAACACUUUCCUUUUAUUUUCUUGAUUUUAUGUUUCUCUUUUUUAGCGGACUUAAUAGCCAUUUUGCACGGAUUUGUUAGUGAGGAGUAUUUCCAAAAUAAAAAUGAAGGGUCGAAGACUGUGAUGCAAAUAAAUGAAGUUUGAGGAUAUAAAUGCAUAAGGAGUUGAAGAUUGAGAAUGUGGCUUAAAUUUUCCAAUAUUAAAAAGAAAAUGUUUUGCCCAAGUCAUUUUCUUGACUACUGUCAAGGAAAAAAAAAUAAAUAAAUCUUUUUGCGUUGAAAUUUGACUCCACAUUGUAGGAACUGUAUGGUCCACCCAUGUGAAAUCCAUUGAGUGCCAAAUCAGAGUUCCCGACAAAUUGUCGUAUGCCCAACAUGAUACAUGAUCUACAAUGUGUUACAAAUUGCCCCUGUAGACAUGUAUGUUUAAUCAAUAAAAAAAAAAGUCUGAAAUUUCCUCAAAUUCAAUAAUGAAUUCUUAAAUCAAAUCUGAAUAAUGAAUUUUCAAUCUUUUGAAUUACAAAAUUCGAAUUUUGAUCUCUAGAACUUGAUGAUUUUAACUUGCCAUUUCUAUAUAGUAUUACGUGUCAAACAUGCAAUGAUUUCAUACUUAUUCGUCCUUAUACUACAUCCUCAACUCUCUCCAUCAAAUUCUUCAUCUAUUCUUGCAAAAUAUAUUGUAGCUUAAAGUUAAACCGGUUUCAAGCAUAAUUUAUCGCUCGGGAAUUAUUCACUCAUAAAUAGAAUAUCUGCAAAUCUUGUAUUUUUGUGAAUUUAGUUAUUUUGUUAAUUGAGAAUAAGAUGAAUGAUAAUCUUCUUGGGAGAUCAUUCUUAUGUGAAAUUCAUACAAAUGUCUUGAGUGCUAUUUUCACCUUCACUCAUUUAUUAAAUAUUACAAGUUCUAGCUUUCAUAGGAAAAUAUAUUUUACUUGGUGUGCUGAAGAUAUUCUUCAACCUUCAGUAAAGUGGGGUUCUAGGUUCUCGACCCAAUUAAAUUUGGAAAUUACAUAAAUUGUUAACGUGAACGUCAAAACUGGACAUGACUUAAAAUUGAAUGUAAAGUGGUUUGAUGCUUUGCUCUCCAACUUUAAAUUACAUAAAAGUCAAGCAAUUCUAAUUUUCACAAUGACGAGUUUUUGCCACAUGGCGAUCCAAAUUCACAUAUUUAAAUACGUUGGGUACCCACGAUAGGGAUGACAACGGGAGAGAUGAGACGGGAUGGGAAGCCGCUAGGGAUUCGUCACGCCCUGUCCAAACCUUGAUCCCAGCUUAAGGUGGGGCGGUUGCAGGGGAUAGGGCAAUAUGGAUGGGAUGCCUCCUCUAUGCACAUAUUGUCCGUUUAAUUUUAUUUAAAUCAUAAGCCUUAGAUAUCUCUUUUUAAUUUUCACGCACUAACACAUACUAAAUGCCCACGUCAAUGGCUGCAAAAAUAGGGUCGGCCCUAAUAUUUUGGGGGCCUUAUGUCAAUUUCAAAUUGGGGCCCUAUAUUUUGAAUUUUCUUAUAUAGAGUUUUAGCCCCUGUUUGAUGAAGAUUAAGCCAUUGUUUGAGACUCAUUUUUUUCAUAAAAAUAUAUUUUUCAACAAUGAUUUGACACCACCAUGUCAACAUAUAUUUUUCAAUAAAAUAAUAUUACAUGCAAAUUCAAAAAUUUUCCUUAUUUUUUAAUCACACAUUCUCCAUCGUAUCACUUUCUCAAAAUGCAAUUUUUUUGGAGAAAAAUGAGGCUCAAAGGCUCAAACAACCCCUAAAAUAGAAUUUUCAUUUUUUUUUUCAAAAUGCAUUAUUAUUUUCUUAUGUUUGCAUAUGAUACUUCUAUACUACAGAAUUUCAUAAAUAUAAUUUUCAUUUUUUUUUCAACCAACAAAUUAACUUUACAUAAUUUGGGCCUCACUUAGGUGAUCGCCUAUUUCGUCUAUACUUAGGGCCACCACUGUGCAAAAACAACACAAGCCACCAAAUUUUGUGGUAAACACUGCAAGAAGAGGAGAACCCUAAACAAAGAGAGGUAAUGCUAAGAGGAACUCAUAAAUACGGAAUGGGGUGGAGAAGACAUGGCUGCUAGUUAAAGGAGAUGUGAUUGUGAGUCUCCAUCCUGUGCAACGAAGUCAUGACAUUGAUACCCAUCAACGUCGAUAGCUAGGGGCUGCUACAACGUGGUGCUAAGAAAUUGGGGGGGGGGGGUUUGGAAAUUUUGAAAUGUCUACGCUUUGUGUAAUGCACGUGCUUAUUUUUUGUGAUUAUCAUGUUUAUCUAAAUUAGUUGCGUUUAUGUUACAUUUACUAUUAAAUUAUUAUAAUUAUCAUAGUCGUGAUUAAUUAUGUUGAUAUAGUGGAAUGUGCCUUGGAUCAAAGUCGUGAUUAAUUAUGUUGAUACAGUGGAAUGUGCCUUGGACACUCUAUGCGAUCGACAUGCCUAUAGCUCCAAACUUAAAAUACAUAUGACUCUAUUUAAAUAUGCAAUUUAAUAUAAUUUGACGCCGUAUCACAUUCCUAUUAAUUUAAUUGUAUUGUCUAUAAUUAAUUUUAUUUAGUUAGAUUAAAUUAUAUAACGUAUUUAUCCUAUUAUGUACAAUCUCUUUUUUAGAUUGAACCUAGACAUUGAGUUGGAAGAUUUCUUUUUAUAAGUAAAUAAAUAAAUAAAAAUAAUAAUGAUAUAUAGUUAAUAAUUGAAUUAAUUUUCUAAUAGGAUCAAUUUAAGGUUAAGGAAGUUAAUAUAGAUAAAUAAGGAGGCGUAAUUUGUUAGAUUAGUACAAAUUAAACUAAAUAAACGCCAGUAGGUUUAGGAGUCUACAUAGUUGCCUUAUUUCACAUCUUUUUAAAAUUAAGUAGAAACUCUUUUUCCUGCCAAAAGUUUAAUUUCAAUUUCUUAUUUUGGGACUAGUAUGCUCUUGCAAUAAGGUAUGGUUCAUAAUUUAUUCAUGAUAUAAUCUAUCGGUUAACCUAUGUGUUUAAUUCUCUCUCUCUCUCUCUCUCUCUCUCUCUACACUACCAUAAAAGAGAGAAUGAGGGUUUACUGUUUAUUUUUGUCACACUCGUUUUCACACUUAACCGGUUUGGGAACUGGUUUGACAACAAGAAAAAUUCUAUUAAAAAAUACUAUAGGAAUUUUGUCAGGAAAAAUUCUAUUCAAAAUACUGUAGGAAUUUUGUCACACACCAUUGUCUACUGUAAUAUUUCUCCCUUGCUUUGAAUCUGACACACCAUGCUCUUUCUCCUAAUUCUCAAGCUAUAAACUACAAACUAUAUCUUAUAUAUUUAAAUUUUUUAAAUUAUAUUAAUAAACAAAAUUAUUGUAAAUAAACUAUAAAAAAAAUAUAUUCACUCUGUGCAUGGAGAAAAAAAUUUACGUCAUACUACAUAAUUUUUUUUGAGCAAAAUGAUGUAUUGAGAAAAUUGUUGGGAAAAAAUAAUAAAUAGUAAUAAAAUAAUUGAUUUUUUUAAAAGAAAAAUGACUUAUACGCAUUUUUUAACACAUACGUUUAAUGUCCGUUUAACUAUUUUCGAUAUUCAUUUAGAUCAUUCGAUGUGUCUAUGAUAUAGUUCUUGAAAUGAGUUUCGAGAGAAUGUAAAAUAUUUAUCGAUUCGACUAUCGUGCAAUCGUCAAUGAAUUUUUAAAGUUAACUCAUUAUCGAAAAUUUCGAAAUAUAGUUUGAAAAUGCCUAUUUUGACGUCCCGUAACAUUUGCUACGAUUAGCCGUUUCACGCAUCGUUAACGACAUGCAAUACUAUGCCGCAAGUACUUCAAAAUGAUAUUAAGAAUGUAAUAUUUCAAUUUCGUUUGAUAUCCCGUAAUGAGCCUGAGAUGAAUACAAAAACAUAAAUUAAAAAAAAAAAUUAGCAAACCUCCGUGCACGGAGGUUAAACCUCCAUACACGAAGGUUUAUGCGUGCGGGGAGUCCCCGCACAAAUAUGCAAUUUUUUUUUUUACUUUUAUUUGUAGUACAUUUUUUUAUUAAUAUUUAAUUUAAAAAAAUUAAAUAUAUCUAAAUAUUUACUUAAAAAUGUUGAAAUUAAUAUUUUUUACGUAUAAGUAACUUUUACAAUUAUAAUUUUUUUUAUUACUUUUAAAUAACUUGAAGUGAUUUGUUUAUUUAUAAAUAACUUUUUACAUUCUCGAUAGUUUAAUCUUUUUAUUAAUAUUUAAUUUUAAAAACUAAAUAUAUCUAAAUAUUUGUACUUAAAAAAUUCACAUUUUUUUAUAUAAGUAGCUUUUGCAAUUAUAAGAGAAUGAGGGAUUAAUAUUUUUUUAUCUUUUAGAUAGUGUAAUCUCUUUUUUUACUUUUAAAUAACUUAACCGAUUUGGGAACUGGUUUGGUAACAGGAAAAAUUCUAUUCAAAAAUACUGUAGAAAUUUGUCACAUGCCAUUUGAGUGCAAUGUCACAUCCACUGCAAUAUUUCUCUCUUACUUUGAAUCUGACACACCAUGCUCUUUCUCUUAAUUCUCACGUUAUUAACUAUUAAUCAUAUCCUAUAUAUUUAAUUUUUUAAAAUUAUAUUAAUAGAAAAACUUAUUGUAAAUAAAAUGUAAAAAAAAAAAUAUAUAUAUAUAUAUAUUCACUCCGUGCAUGAAGAAAUUUUUUUACGUCAUACCACAUAAGUUUUCUUAAGCAAAAUGAUGUAUUGAGAAAAUUAUUGCGAAAAAAUAAUAAAUAGUAAUAAAAUAAUUGAUUUUUUUUGAAGAAAAACGAUUUAUACGCAUUUUUUAACACAUAUGUUUAAUGUGCGUUUAACUAUUUUUGAUAUUAAUUUACAUCAUUUGAUGUGUUUAUGAUAUAUUUCUCGAAAUGAGUUUCGAGAGAAUGUAAAACAUUUAUUGAUUUGACUAUCGUAUAGUGGUAGAUGAAUUUUUAAAGUUAGCUUAUUAUCGAAAAUUUCGAAAUACAGUUUGAAAAUGUCUAUUUUGACGUCCCGUGACAUUUGCUACGAUUAGCCGUUUCACGCACCGCUAAUGACGUGCAAUACUAUAUCGCAAGUACUUUAAUAUGAUAUUAAGAAUAUAAUAUUUUAAUUUCGUUUGAUAUCCCCUAAUGAGUCUAAAAAUGAACAUAAAAACAUAAGCUAAAAAAAAAUGAAGCAACAUGUAUUAAACCUCCUCAUGUCCUCGGUGCACGCACCAAUCCGAUUUUUGGUUACCCAUUUUCUCCACCACUUAACCCUAAUUGUUCUCUCUCUCUCUCUCUCUCGAUCGGCACCAUUGUAGCAAGAAAUUCUGGAAAACCUGAAGCAACUGAGACAUAUACUUGUAAGUCUAAUCAUCACUGCUUCGACUUCUUUCUCUUCUCUUCUGUAUAUUGCUUCUAAUUUGUCGAGUUGUAUUGUUCAAUAUAUUCUUAGUUUUCAAUUUUUUUUUUUUUUUUUUGUUUUUUGAAGAGUUCAAGCCCAAAUACGUAAAGUCAUGUUUCAAGGGGGGGUUAGGUUUGGGUUGUUGUGUAUAUGUUUUUCAAUUUAUAUAGCUGUGGUAUUGAAUAUGAGAUUUCUUGUCCAAUUUGCUUUUUUUUUUGUUCCCCGUUUUCCUUCUUCUGAGAGGUCGAACCCAAAAUACCUAAAGUCUAUUAUUUUCAUGUUGUUAUUAUUUUUUUCUAUUAUUAUUUUCAUGUUAUUAUUAUUAUUUUUUUUUGUUCAAUUUCUUCGUGUUGUGUAUAAGUUUUUUUUUAUUUCUGCAGCCGUCAUGUUGAAUAUGAGAUUUUUUGUUCAAUCUGUGUUUUUUUCCUCAUUUUUUGUAAGAAACUGAACUGAAAAGACAUAUAAUUUGUUCUUCCCAUGUUUGGCUCUUUGAUUAUAUUUAACUUUAAGAAGGAGAACAAAAUGUUUCAAGUCGGAUAAUUCAUUAAAUACCCAAAUGCAAAUUCCGAAAAAGGUUAUCAUUGCUUUUCACUUGCUGCAAUUGAUACACAUGAGUGCUUAAUUUGAUGUUUGUGAUUGACAGAUUUUGAUGAAUACUGUACUACCANNNNNNNNNNNNNNNNNNNNNNNNNNNNNNNNNNNNNNNNNNNNNNNNNNNNNNNNNNNNNNNNNNNNNNNNNNNNNNNNNNNNNNNNNNNNNNNNNNNNNNNNNNNNNNNNNNNNNNNNNNNNNNNNNNNNNNNNNNNNNNNNNNNNNNNNNNNNNNNNNNNNNNNNNNNNNNNNNNNNNNNNNNNNNNNNNNNNNNNNNNNNNNNNNNNNNNNNNNNNNNNNNNNNNNNNNNNNNNNNNNNNNNNNNNNNNNNNNNNNNNNNNNNNNNNNNNNNNNNNNNNNNNNNNNNNNNNNNNNNNNNNNNNNNNNNNNNNNNNNNNNNNNNNNNNNNNNNNNNNNNNNNNNNNNNNNNNNNNNNNNNNNNNNNNNNNNNNNNNNNNNNNNNNNNNNNNNNNNNNNNNNNNNNNNNNNNNNNNNNNNNNNNNNNNNNNNNNNNNNNNNNNNNNNNNNNNNNNNNNNNNNNNNNNNNNNNNNNNNNNNNNNNNNNNNNNNNNNNNNNNNNNNNNNNNNNNNNNNNNNNNNNNNNNNNNNNNNNNNNNNNNNNNNNNNNNNNNNNNNNNNNNNNNNNNNNNNNNNNNNNNNNNNNNNNNNNNNNNNNNNNNNNNNNNNNNNNNNNNNNNNNNNNNNNNNNNNNNNNNNNNNNNNNNNNNNNNNNNNNNNNNNNNNNNNNNNNNNNNNNNNNNNNNNNNNNNNNNNNNNNNNNNNNNNNNNNNNNNNNNNNNNNNNNNNNNNNNNNNNNNNNNNNNNNNNNNNNNNNNNNNNNNNNNNNNNNNNNNNNNNNNNNNNNNNNNNNNNNNNNNNNNNNNNNNNNNNNNNNNNNNNNNNNNNNNNNNNNNNNNNNNNNNNNNNNNNNNNNNNNNNNNNNNNNNNNNNNNNNNNNNNNNNNNNNNNNNNNNNNNNNNNNNNNNNNNNNNNNNNNNNNNNNNNNNNNNNNNNNNNNNNNNNNNNNNNNNNNNNNNNNNNNNNNNNNNNNNNNNNNNNNNNNNNNNNNNNNNNNNNNNNNNNNNNNNNNNNNNNNNNNNNNNNNNNNNNNNNNNNNNNNNNNNNNNNNNNNNNNNNNNNNNNNNNNNNNNNNNNNNNNNNNNNNNNNNNNNNNNNNNNNNNNNNNNNNNNNNNNNNNNNNNNNNNNNNNNNNNNNNNNNNNNNNNNNNNNNNNNNNNNNNNNNNNNNNNNNNNNNNNNNNNNNNNNNNNNNNNNNNNNNNNNNNNNNNNNNNNNNNNNNNNNNNNNNNNNNNNNNNNNNNNNNNNNNNNNNNNNNNNNNNNNNNNNNNNNNNNNNNNNNNNNNNNNNNNNNNNNNNNNNNNNNNNNNNNNNNNNNNNNNNNNNNNNNNNNNNNNNNNNNNNNNNNNNNNNNNNNNNNNNNNNNNNNNNNNNNNNNNNNNNNNNNNNNNNNNNNNNNNNNNNNNNNNNNNNNNNNNNNNNNNNNNNNNNNNNNNNNNNNNNNNNNNNNNNNNNNNNNNNNNNNNNNNNNNNNNNNNNNNNNNNNNNNNNNNNNNNNNNNNNNNNNNNNNNNNNNNNNNNNNNNNNNNNNNNNNNNNNNNNNNNNNNNNNNNNNNNNNNNNNNNNNNNNNNNNNNNNNNNNNNNNNNNNNNNNNNNNNNNNNNNNNNNNNNNNNNNNNNNNNNNNNNNNNNNNNNNNNNNNNNNNNNNNNNNNNNNNNNNNNNNNNNNNNNNNNNNNNNNNNNNNNNNNNNNNNNNNNNNNNNNNNNNNNNNNNNNNNNNNNNNNNNNNNNNNNNNNNNNNNNNNNNNNNNNNNNNNNNNNNNNNNNNNNNNNNNNNNNNNNNNNNNNNNNNNNNNNNNNNNNNNNNNNNNNNNNNNNNNNNNNNNNNNNNNNNNNNNNNNNNNNNNNNNNNNNNNNNNNNNNNNNNNNNNNNNNNNNNNNNNNNNNNNNNNNNNNNNNNNNNNNNNNNNNNNNNNNNNNNNNNNNNNNNNNNNNNNNNNNNNNNNNNNNNNNNNNNNNNNNNNNNNNNNNNNNNNNNNNNNNNNNNNNNNNNNNNNNNNNNNNNNNNNNNNNNNNNNNNNNNNNNNNNNNNNNNNNNNNNNNNNNNNNNNNNNNNNNNNNNNNNNNNNNNNNNNNNNNNNNNNNNNNNNNNNNNNNNNNNNNNNNNNNNNNNNNNNNNNNNNNNNNNNNNNNNNNNNNNNNNNNNNNNNNNNNNNNNNNNNNNNNNNNNNNNNNNNNNNNNNNNNNNNNNNNNNNNNNNNNNNNNNNNNNNNNNNNNNNNNNNNNNNNNNNNNNNNNNNNNNNNNNNNNNNNNNNNNNNNNNNNNNNNNNNNNNNNNNNNNNNNNNNNNNNNNNNNNNNNNNNNNNNNNNNNNNNNNNNNNNNNNNNNNNNNNNNNNNNNNNNNNNNNNNNNNNNNNNNNNNNNNNNNNNNNNNNNNNNNNNNNNNNNNNNNNNNNNNNNNNNNNNNNNNNNNNNNNNNNNNNNNNNNNNNNNNNNNNNNNNNNNNNNNNNNNNNNNNNNNNNNNNNNNNNNNNNNNNNNNNNNNNNNNNNNNNNNNNNNNNNNNNNNNNNNNNNNNNNNNNNNNNNNNNNNNNNNNNNNNNNNNNNNNNNNNNGAUUGAGCUGGUGUGACUGCAAUGGUAUAAUUAUUGCAUGUUUAAUUAUUGUACAUGCAUGUAUUAGCCAAUAAUUUUUGCUUCCCCAGAAAAUUCAACUGAUGGGGAUAAAUUGGAAAAACUUUCUCGUUGUCAUUUGCAUCAUCUGCAAUCAAGCGUUAGCAAGCGCAAUCGUGCUUGGUGUACAAUCAUUUUUACAAUAUUGUUGAUAACAUGCCAUGGGUCAUGUUGUCAUUGGAUAAUUUAAAAAACAAUUUAUAUUUCCUACUAACACUUUUAUGACAUAUACAACAUCGUCAACAAUGUUGUCAAAAAUCAUUGUACAAAUGGCAUUAUCCUAGCAAGAAACACAAGGCAUACGGUGAUGCAAAUAAUGGGCAUAAGCCAUUAGCAUACGGAGAAAAGCCAAGGAAGGCAGCAAACGUUCCUUUUGAUAUUUCCUUACUUGAUAAGUUGCUGUCAGCUUUCUUCCCUUCAUUUUUCUUCCUAAAAAAUAAUUUGUUAUUUGUACUCCUCAUACAUGUGGAAUUCAUGGAUCUUAGGAUAAUCCCAACGCCUAAAAUAUUCGUUGAUGACUUUUGCAUUCCCUAGGCUAAAUUUCACUGGUUUUGUUGAAGAUAUCUAUAUAUAUGUAGAUGAAUAAUACUAUUUUUUCGAGUGUAGAUGAUUUCCUUACGAUAGUAGAAUUUGUUGCUCAAUUCUACACUAAUGGUCAUUAGUUGCUUUCUUUGCCAUUUAUGCUUGUUUUCUUAUUAUAUUUCAUUUCGGGUUUAAUUUUAAUUUAGUGAUAUUAUGGUACAUGGUGUUUGUUAUACUGUGGCUAAGUUCUCAUUUUUAGGUACAUUUGGAUUCAUUAACAUUCUUUUACAUGGCUGUUCUUUAAAACUUAGCCAAAGAUGAUGUUGCAUGGUUGAAGUGGCAAGGUUUUCAUAUUUAGGUAGAAUCAUUUUUGUAUCUAAUACUAAGAGUUGUAACCAAAAUGGUUAAAGUAGGACAAAAGCUUUUACUUAGUGUUUCAUUAUGAUACAUGGAUUGAAAUUUAGAUCUAUCCUAUAACCUCUAUAACUGCAGAUAAUGUAUGUAUUAGAUAGUUUUCUCUUAUAAUUAAAUAUAUAUUAAAUUCUUUUGUCAAAGCAAUUAGUUACAAGGUGUAAGAAAUAUUAAUUUUGUAACAUAGAAUGGAGUUAAUUCGUGAAGUUUAUCAGUUAUUAAGUACUAUUAUUUUACAACAUGUUCAUUUUAAGAGAAUUGAUGUUACUUGAGAAAUUGAAGGAAUGCAUUUGUUGCGCCAAAAGGGGAUAAAGACUGAAUAGACAUAGGUAUUCUUUGACCUAACGAAAGAACUGAAAAAUACCAUGCAUGGUGUUUGAUUAAUAAAGUGCUUUCUCUGUGUUGUGGUAUAUCUUAUUGUCUGAUGCAGGCAAUAAGAUCACUAGGGAAAUGAGAGCUUUCCAAAAUACCAUAGAAUCUUGAAGGAAAUUCAAGUUUGAUUACUUCAGGUAUGUUAGUUUCUAUUUUUUGUUGUCAAUCUUCAAAUUGUUUGUUUUCUCUUUUCAGAAAAUUUAACAAACCGUUCCCAAAAUACCAGAAAAUUUCGACAAAAAUUGGACUCCGAGGACCUCGAGUAUCUUCCUUUAUUAUUUUUCUGUGUAUUUUUUGUUGAAUUAUCUUCAUAUCUACUCUGAAGUUUUCGUUCUUUUCCGUCUAUGUUUGAAGUUCUUUGCAAGGAAAGAAAAGAUUCACGUACAAAUUGAAGAGUAUCAAAAUAAGGUAUGUCGAUUUCAUAUUUGCCUUUAAUAAGGUAUGUCGAUUUCAUAUUUGCCUUUUUUUUUCUUUUUUUCAAAUAAAUCAUUCUCACUAUUUGUUAUCUGUUUGUAUUUUAUUUGAUUUCUCUAUUUCAUUUUAUUGCUUUUUGUUGGUUGUUUAACCUAUUCGGCGUUCGUCGCAACUUGUACAAAUAAACCAUGACAAGAAUAUUGUACUUGUAAAUAGGUAAUAUUAUUUCAUUUUUUAGAUAGUAAUUAUGAAUAGGGAGAGGAGAAAGCGAUUAAACUAUUCACAUUCUCCUCUGUGAUUCCUAACAACAAAGGACUGAUGACUCUAUCGAGAAACAAAAGUAGCAACUUCAGAAGGAAAGAAUUGAAUCAAAUUGCCAUUAAUUUUUUUUGGUAAUAAAUGAAUUAAAUUUCGGUUAUUUUGUUAAUUAAUUUAGUGUUGAUUGAUUUUUUUUUUUUACCGUAUUUUAUCUUUAAAUACAUAUGCAAUCAUUUGUGCCAAAAGACAAAAGUGAAAAUUGAUGGGGUUUUAUUUUUUUUUUUUUUAUUUUUUAAAUGGGUUUGCAUUGUGUUAGAAAUGGGAAGGAUUUUGACACCAAACCGUCUGAUUAUGGAGAAAAGAUAAUAAGUUAAGAAAGAACGGGAAGUUAUUUAAAAAAUUUCAAGUUUUUUCAUAUUAUGUAGGAGAUGGGAUUUCUAUUUUUCUGGCAGAAUUUUCAUCAAUUGUCCAAAUUCAUUUGUCAAUGAGGUAAUUGCUAUUCCAUUAUGCCACAUACAAAGGAUAGAUUUUUGAAUCAAUUUUCGUCUAAGGAUUUGGUUCUAUGGUGUCUCAAAUCCAUGCAUUCGCUGCAUAGUUCUAGCCAGUAGUUCUUAGCCAAAGAGAAUAAACAUUCUAUAACUAUUUAUGAUAAAUAUGAAAUUCACUCAUUUGCUUAUGAGCUGCAUUAUUUAGAAAUAGAUUUUUUUUCCCUCUCUCAUUUUCCCUUCAAAACUCCAUUUUCUCCCCUCUUUUCCUUUUUUUGGAUGGAAAUUUUUUUAAUGGAAUUAUCCUUUUCAGACUUAGAAUCUGAUAUAAUCAUUUUCUUAUAUCUUCGAAAGACAAUCAGGUAUGACUUUUAGAUUUCCUUUUGUAAAAAUCUUAUGUUGCAAUGCUAUUGGAAUUUCAAUGAAAGAGAAUUUUUCUAAUACCCUUUUUUUCUUUUUUUAUGGAGAUUGUAUAUUCACCCAAUGGCUAUUAUUUCGAUUAUUUGUUUAAAUUUUUUUGUGUUAAGGUUGCAAUUUUUUUUGCCUUUUGGAAAUCACUUAAUGGGGUUGUCAGUCUCUUUUCUUGAUUUAAAUAUCUCUCAGGACUUAAUUUGAAGGCAUGCAUUAUGUGAGAACAUGUGAAGGAAGUGAUAAUAUUUUAAUGUAGGGUUUUGAAGAAGUUCAAAGACAAGAUAUCUGAGUUCCAGGUAAAUUAGAUACACAAUAUAAUGGAAAGGUUUGAAUUUCUUCCAAUUCUUCUUUCCAUUUCUCAUUAUCUCUUAAUAAUAAUUUUCUAUAGGCUUUAAGACAAAACAUCCAUCGAGAGUAUCGUGAAAGUUGUCAAGAGGCGUGUAUUCACAGGUUUAACCCUUAUUAUAUGAAAUGAACUUGUGUAACUCUGUGUAAUAGGUUCCUUUCUCUUUAUUCAAUUAACAAUUUCCUUUUUCAUGAACCUCAGUGACAGAAAGUCAAGCUAAUGAAGAGGUAAAACUUGCAACCACGUUUUUAUUCUAAUAAUUAGAAUGUCAUGGACAGGUUUCUCAUUGCUCAAAUGUUUUGCCGCAGACAAUUGAUAAUUGACCAGGACUGGGGAUAGUGAACAAAUCCUUAUGACAUUGUUGUUAUGUGUUAAUUGUCUCAAUGGCAUAUUUCUAUUUACAUAUCUAUAUUAAGGAAGUUAGGACUAUUGGAAUGCUACAUGUUGCAACUUAUAAGCUCAAAUUAAUAAGCAAGUAUGAAAAUAAAGCUUAAUAUCUCAUGGCUGAAAAUAAUCGUUUAUUAGAUUCACGUAUUAUAAUUUUCUGGAUGUAUUCAUCUGUUGUUUUGGUUCCAUUAAGCAUGUGACUUCGGGAUUGCCUCCUCUAAAAUUUGUUCACAUCAAAGAGCAUUCCAUGUUUUAUUGUUAUUUAUUUUUGAAACUUUAACUAAUUCAACUAUGUAAUUAUGGCCCCAUUUGAUCUAUGUACAAGGUUCUGAGAAAUUAUAUAAUUGCAACUGUUGGAUUGUCAAAAGCUUCCACAUGUUGAGCUCGUUUUAAUUUUUCAGUAGAAUUUGAAUUGUAUAAAUGUUGUCUUUAGCAUUCCUCUCAAAACGUUUGUUUUUUUAUGUUUCAUGUAUUGCUUUUUCUUAAGAGUUAUUUAGUUUUACUAGCUUCUUUUUUAAUACAUUGGUCCUAAAAUGGUUUUCUACAAUUUCCUUUGUAACAGGCAAGCUUAGUUACUAGCACCACAAGUUACCAUGUUCCACCACAAAAGUAAUUGUCAAAGUGAUUAGGCGAGUGAUGACCUGAGCAUGAACACGUGGAUAGUUAGGAACAUCUCCCAUUGUCAUUCAAAAACCAUAUUACUAGGAUUCAAGGUAAGUAUACCUCACAUUGUCUUCAUGUGCAUAUUUAAUUAUUAAAUGUAUAAAUGUGUUACUUAAAUUUGUUAUUAUGUGAUCUUGAUAUUUAAUUAUUUCGUUUUAUGUCAUUAAUGCUUCUUUAUGACAUAUUCAUACACAUCAAUGCAUCCAUAAGCAUACAAGAAGUUCCAAGAAAAAAUGAAAGUUUCCAAAUGUUAAUGAAGCAAGGAAUGUUUUUAAAGAUAUAUAUCUCGAAUAUUUUCUUACGAGGUGUAUAUCUAUGUCAUGAAGGGUGUGAGUGGGGAACCGGCACACCCGACUAAUGUUCAAUGAUAAUGUUAAUGUUAUUCGUUUUGUGGACCUAUUGGUAGGACUCGAUCGUGUUCCAAAUAAUAAAUGUACACUGCAUUUUGAUUGGCUAGGUGAUACAUCAAGUGAGCUCACGACGUCAAUAUUAAAUUUUUUUUUUUUUUUAAAAAUGAAUGAAAGAGGAUACAUAUUGAGGAAUGAUUUUAUCUUAAAAUAAUUCAUGUGCAUAUCAUAAGCAUAUAUCAUAUGCAUGAGAUUUGCUUCCUAAGCGUUCGCUCAUUUCACGUUAUUCCUCCCAAUUUUUAGAUAAUGAAGGCAACAAUUCAAGACGAUUACUUGUGGUGCAAUGGAUUGAGUACUAAUAUAUUCAAAAAUUGACUCCUUUUAGAAUAUAAAGUUAACAUUUAAUUUUAUUGUUUUUUAAAUUUAAGUGUAAAAGUUUUCUACAAGUUACGCUCAUAAACGAAGUUAAUAAUGUUCAUUAUAUCAAAGAAAAAUUUCGUUGCUUCCGCAUUUAUAAUUUUAAUAGAAAACCUUUAGCACCAUAUCUUAAGACAUCGAGGAUGUCUAGGAUCCAGGCCCCCCCCCCCCCCCCCCCCCCUUCCCCCCANNNNNNNNNNNNNNNNNNNNNNNNNNNNNNNNNNNNNNNNNNNNNNNNNNNNNNNNNNNNNNNNNNNNNNNNNNNNNNNNNNNNNNNNNNNNNNNNNNNNNNNNNNNNNNNNNNNNNNNNNNNNNNNNNNNNNNNNNNNNNNNNNNNNNNNNNNNNNNNNNNNNNNNNNNNNNNNNNNNNNNNNNNNNNNNNNNNNNNNNNNNNNNNNNNNNNNNNNNNNNNNNNNNNNNNNNNNNNNNNNNNNNNNNNNNNNNNNNNNNNNNNNNNNNNNNNNNNNNNNNNNNNNNNNNNNNNNNNNNNNNNNNNNNNNNNNNNNNNNNNNNNNNNNNUUUUUUUUUUUUUUCAAUUAGGGGCAAAAAACGACGCCGUUUGCUUGAUAUAUAUUUUAUUUUAUUGUACACUACCUCCAAAUUUACUGCAACAUGCAAUUUUCAUUCUUCGCCUACUUCGAUAUAGAUAUAUAUAGUAGAGAUAUAAGAAAAAUACCACUUUUAUAUUAAAAAAAAAAUAAAAAAAGAUAGAGAUAAUAUAGGACUGAAUUUUUUUUACAACAUAUUACUUGUAAGUAAAAAAAUUGAAGAGAAACGAAUUAAAGAGAAUUUUAAAUUGAAAAAAAAAUUAUAACGUAAAAACUACACAGCAAAAAAAAAAAGUAAGUAAUCUCUUCGUGCAUGGAGCAAAAGCUCCCGUGCAUGGAGACAUUAGUCAUUUUUUAUUUUCCAUUUUGUUUAUGUCAAACAAAUGUUCUUCUACACAUCAUGUCAUUAGCAUUAAAAAAUAAUAAUAAUUUUAGUAAAUAUAAAUUACCACGAGCAAAAAAAAAAAACUCCUCUCCACACAAUGCGGAGAGAUGGCAAACCAUGUGCGUAGAGUUGACAAACUCUCUGUACAGUGAGAAGUUAAAAAAAAAUUUAUAAAUUUUUUUUUAUUACAAUUAACAUAAAAAAAUCAUUUUUAUCUUCAACAAAAAAACACAUUUAAAAAUUAGCAAUUUCAUAAUCACUUUUUUUUUAUUCCCGAAAAUACAAUUAUAAAAAAGAAAAUAAUAUUGAAUUAUAAAAACCAAUAUCUGCGAAAUACGGUAUCUAAAGACAAUAUGUGCAAAUACGGUAUGAUGUAAAUACAGUAUGAUGCAAAUAUGAUAUACUGUAUAUAUAGUAUGAUACAAAUACGAUAUGUUGUAAAUACGAUAUGAUGCAAAUAUGGUACGCUGUAAAUACGGUGUGCUGCAUAUACGGUAUAAUGCAAAUACAGUAUGAUGCAAAUACGGUAUGCUGUAAAUACGGUGUGCUGCAUAUACGGUAUGAUGCAAAUAUAAUAUGCUGCAUAUACGGUACGUUGUAAAUAUGGUAUGCGUAAAUACGGUAUAUUACAUGUAUGAUAUAUAUAAUGCAUAUGCGGUAUGAAUAAAUCCGGUUUCAUCCACUACAAUAAAUUUCAAUACCAUAUAUGCUGUCUUUCGUAUUUGCAGUUUACCAUAUAUGCAGCCUACCGUAUUUGCAGGCAACUUACCGUAUAUGCUACCUACUUUAUGUGCAGCUUAUCGUAUAUACCAUUUUUGCACUUACAAAUACCGAGAGUGCAGAACACCAUACAUUCACUUAUCAAACGAAUGUCAGAAAAAAAUUUCAGAUUUUUACUUUUCAACAUAAGCAUAAAAUAAAUAUUAAAAUAUAUGAAAGACAAAAUAUAAAACGCAUAUAAAUAUGCAAGUUGAUUUAUAAUUAUGCAGUGGCACAUAUUAUACAUUUAAAAUUUCUUAUGUCGGUGCAAAAUAACUUUGAAGUCAUUCUAGAGCAAAUUAAACCACUGCAAUGUCUAUUCUAGAAAUACAAUUGUGCAAAUUAAUAUGAAUUAAAUCUACAUUACAUUGGACUUGGAUUUAUUUAUAACAAAUAUUGGUGAUUAGUCUAAAGACAAUAUGUGCAAAUACGGUAUGCUAUAUACUAUAUGUUAUAGUUAAGAUAUAACAUACUAUACGUAUAUGUUAUAAUACAAUGUUUAGCAUAAUAUAAUGAGAAAUUAUUGUUGUACAAUUUUUUUUUGUUAUAUUACAGCAAAAUGCAUAUUACAACAUAUAACUUACCGUAUGUGCUCUAAUACAAUCUGUGCGGCGACUUUCUAUUUUUUUUAAAAUUUAAUCAUGUAACCUAAUAUUUGUUUAGUUUGUUAUUUUAUUAAUUAAAAAUAUGUAUUAAAUCUAAUAACAAAAUAUAAUUACAAGAAUAAGUUUAAUUUCAAUAUAAUAAAAAAAAUUUCGAGGAAAUAAUCAUUGCUAACAACAAAAGAAUCUAAAAAAAUGAAGAAGACAAAAACGAAAAAAGUAAAAUUUGUGAAAAGAAGAAAAUGAAAACAUGAUACCAAAAAAUUUGGCAUUAUUGUUUGAAUGAGAAAUGUUUUAUUGAUACACAAAAGACUUUUGCAGUCACCAGGUUAAAAGUAUAGAUUUAUUGUGUUGUGAAUUUUUUUUAAAUAAUCGUAGUAAAUCUUCUUGUUACGAUAAUAAAAUUACAAUAAUUUUUUUUUUACAAAUAGCAUAAAAAAAUCAUUUUUAUCUUCAACAAAAAACACAUGUAAAAAUUUUCAAUUUCAUAAUCACCUUUUUUUUUAAAUUCCCCAAAAUAAAAUUAUAAAAAAGAAAACAAUAUUGAAUUACAAAAACCAAUAUCUGCCAAAUACGGUAUCUAAAGACAAUAUGUGCAAAUAUGGUAUGCUGUAAAUAUGGUAUGAUGCAAAUACAGUAUGCUGUAAAUACGAUCUGAUUCAAAUACGGUAUGCUGUAAAUACGAUAUGCUGCAUAUAUGGUAAGCUGCAAAUACGGUAUGCGUAAAUACGGUAUGUGGCAUAUAUGAUAUGUAAAGUGCAUAUACGGUAUGAAUGAAUCCGGUUUCAUCCACUACAAUAAAUUUCAAUACCGUAUAUGCUGUCUACCGUAUUUGCAGCCUACAAUAUAUAUAGUCUACCGUAUUUGUAGGCAACUUACCGUAUAUGCUACCUACCGUAUUGCAGCUUACCGUAUAUACUGAUUUUUGCGCUUACAAAUACUGAGAAUGCAAAACAUCAUACAUUCACUUAUCAAACCGAAUGUCAGAAAAAAAAUUUCAUAUUUUUAUUUUUUCAACAUAAGCAUAAAAUAAAUAUUAAAAUAUAUGAUGCUCAAUCUUCAAUUUUUCAAUAUUGAAUUACACAAAUUUUAGAAAUAUAAUGUUCACAUUCAAUUCAAUCAUAUCAACACUAUCAAAGAAUACAGGCAAAAUAGUUUGUAUAACCUCGUAUAUUUCUUAUUUAAGUAUGAAAUAUACAAGCAUAUUUUUUUAGAUAACACAAUACUGUUGUAAUUGUAAAAAUAAUUUGCAAUCAUUUUCUUAUAUCAUGAAAAUAUUUCUAGAUAUUACUUCAAAAACUUUCCAAAAAACUAAAAUUCAUAAGCUAAUAAAAAUAUGAUAAAUACAAAAUUCGUGCAACGCACAUGACAGCGACUAGUAUGAAGAAAAAGGGCAAAUGACUAACCUAUUCAAUGUAGUGAAGUGGCUCUUGUAUUCAAUGUUCACAUGCCCAAGAUGGGUUCAAUUCCCAACAUUGUGAAAUUAAUUUUUCCUCCAAUUUUCGGGGCGAUUUUGAGGUGGAAACCUUGUUCCCUUGUAGUGUCUCUACACGAGAUAAGAACUCUUUUCCUAGCCGGGCCAGCCUACCCUAAUUCCUCGAUUAAUCAAGAAUUUUCUGUUAUUUAGGAUAGUCCUUGUUGGCAUCAAGACAAUCGAAAAUAAUUGUCAUCCUAACCUAAAAUAUCAUUUUUGAAUGUUGAGACCCGAAACCAUAUUAAUUCAAAUGUUAUCUAGCACAAAUCUAAUUUUUCUCAUAUUGAAUAGAAAUUCACGUGCCCACCUUUAAACAAAACAAUUGUAGAAGAAAAAUCAAGAAAAUAUAAAGAAUAUCGCAAAAUUCACUUAAAGGCCACUGCCUCCCACUACUGGGCAAAUCUCCUGAAUCGAACCGAAUCGAACCUGACGGUUCUUCUCAAAUUAAAUACCCAAACGGGUAUCUGAAUUAAGAACUGACGGGUACGAUUCGGUUCUCGAUUCUAGACGAAGAACCGAAUAUUCCUAAUUUUUAUUUUUUUAUAUUGAAUAAAUCAAAUUAUUUUAAUUUUUUCCAAACAAAUUAACAAAUUAGGUGAUUAAUUGAUACUUUAUCUCCUAAGCCCUAGCCUAGCUAGCUUGACCUAACCCAACCAAUUUCUAAAUCCAAUUUUUUGGCCCAAUUAUUUGUUUCAUUUCUAUUUUUUUAAUUUUUAGCCCAAGUGUCAUUUUUAGUUUUUAUUCUUCCAUUUUUUUAGCCCAACAUCCAAGUGAUCCAACCCACUAGUGACUAACCCUAAAUAAAUUACACACAUUAUCACCUACACAUAACACAUUUGACAUUCCAAAACUCAAAUAGAUGUAUAGAACCUCCGACUUCGAGUCCGAAGCUAUGACCUCCGGGCUCCGAUGACGACCUUUGACCGUUGAUUAUUUGAAUAAGGUAGUGUGUAAGCUUUCCUAUAUGUGAUUGGUAAAUUAAUCUUGUUGGACAACUUGUUAUAUACAUGUCAAAUUGGAUUACGUUAAUUUAUAAAAUUACGAUUGAAUGUGUUAUUAGUUGUAUUUAUAUAGUGUUGUUAUAAAUGUUAAAAAAUUUAAUUAUAUAGUACAGAACAGAACCGAACCGAACGGAACUGAACCCGAACGGUUCCAUAAUUAUAUUUGGACCCGACAGUUCUAUUUACUAAAUAUCCAAAAUUUUUGGUUCGGUUCUCUAGUGUGUAAGCUUUCCUAUAUGUGAUUGGUAAAUUAAUCUUGUUGGACAACUUGUUAUAUACAUGUCAAAUUGGAUUACGUUAAUUUAUAAAAUUACGAUUGAAUGUGUUAUUAGUUGUAUUUAUAUAGUGUUGUUAUAAAUGUUAAAAAAUUUAAUUAUAUAGUACAGAACAGAACCGAACCGAACGGAACUGAACCCGAACGGUUCCAUAAUUAUAUUUGGACCCGACAGUUCUAUUUACUAAAUAUCCAAAAUUUUUGGUUUGAUUCGGUUCACUUUAAAAUCGAACCGAACCGACUUACGCCCAGGCCUAAUCAUAACAAUAAUUAUAUACAUCUCUACCUUAUUUCAAUACCAUUCCUUUCACACCAUGUGGGACCCAUCUUUAAACUAAUGGUCAAAAAUUGAUUUUCAAAAUAAGCUCCUAACAGGUUCAUAGAGGUAUAAUCAUUAGGCCCUUAUUAAGCCGAGUUACGAACAAUUUUUUUUUUCAAAAUUAGUUUUAAAAUAAAUAAAGUUUAUCUUUUGUAUAUAGGUGGUCGUGGACCAUGAGCCUCUACCUAAGUCCAAGUGGUGUGGUCUCGAGCCUUGGCGGCUAGGUGCACAUUUAUUUUUCUAGUUUUGAAUCAUCCGUAUAGUAAUUAAUUCACAUGCAGAUGCUUAGUUAUAUGCAGACAAGAUGAUCCUCCAUUAAUUUACACAAAUGGAACGAUUCCAACCAUUCGAAACUUGUGCUAUUUGAUGAUGAUAUUAAAUGGUGCUAAAAAAUAUGUCAUUUCAUAUGUGAAUCUAUUCAUAGAUCUUAUCUACACAACUAACACAUCAUAAUCAAUGACUGUCAUUACAAUAUUGCGUGACAAAUUAUCGAACUUUCACAUAACAUUAUUUAGGAAAUCUUUCUUUUGACUUUAUGUUUCAUUGUAAUAAUCUAAAGAUCUCAUGAAUCCAUUUCGAAAAUAGAACAUGACUUCAAUUCAAUUUGGCAAUUUAUACUAAUCUAUCUUUUAAUUUGAGGAAUUUCCUUUAUAUUUUCUUGCUUAACAUAAAUAUACUUUGCAUUUUUAAUUUCCAGCCUAUUUCAUUAUUUUAAUUUUGUGAUUGUCAUCAACAAUGAAACGAAUACUAGUUUUAUUGAAACAAUCUUUCAUGCCUAAUUAAUUUAAUCCUUGAGCAAUAAAAAUCAUAUUUCUUUUGGAAUUUAUGGUUGGAAUGUGAAAUAAGAAUCACCCGAAAAAUAAAAAUAAAAUCAAUUUAAGAAAUCAAGAUCGUUACUGGAUGUUUACAUGUAAAUUUAAUCAAUAAAUAAAAAAUAUCUAAAAUUUACCCAAAUUCGAUAAUUAAUUCUUAAAUCAGAUAUGAAUAGCGAAAUUUCAGUCUUUUGAAUUGUGAAAUUUCAAUUUUGAUUCCAAUAAUUUGAUUUAAGUUUCAAGCCUUCUAUUCAUCAAAAUCAAGAUUACACUAGUGUGUGGACAUCUUCUUUUAAUUACACCAAAAAUUAAAUUAUAGACCUUAGAAAAAUCACUUCAAUCCAUAUAAACUUUUGGUAAAAGUUUAAAAUAUCUACUCAAUAAAUCUUAAUGUCUCUUAUGAUUUUUAUAGUGCUAUGUUGAUUUCCAAAGGGAGUACUAUUUCAUGUUUGACAAUACAUCGUUUUCACAACUAACACCAACAAUUUUAUUUAAUUUCUAAAUUAAAAAAGGAGAUGCUAUUUACAUCCACCAUUAUUAUAUUUAUCUACUUUAAAAAAGAAAAUUAUAUUAUAUUUUUAACCUUAUGUAAAUUUACUUAAAUAUCAUUAUAAAAUUAAAUAAAAAUAUAUUAGUCUAAAUUUAUCCACUAAUAUUUAUUUUCAUUAAAUUCUUCUGGACUUUUUAUAUUCUUUUAAAUUUAUGUUUAAAUAAAAUUCUAAUAUUUAUAAAAUAUCCUCUUCGACUAUAGUCAAAACAACAAUGAAAGACACAUCAUAAGGGCAAAUGCAUAUAGACAUAACAAUAUAUGAAAAAAGAAUUUGAAAAAGUAGGAUUGCCUUUCAUUGUAAGCAUAAUGAAUUUAGUAUGUGAACAAUUCUUAAUUUUUGUUUGGAGUUUUGAUAAUAUGCAUUUUAAACUCAAGUUGUAUCAGUAAGAAAUUUUAUUACAAAUUAUUUUAGUUUUCUGUUGAGAUUAUCUUUUUUUCUCUAAAUUUUUUGAAUUAAAAAUAUUGAUAGUUAUAUUUUCUGUUGGGAUUAGUAAAACAAGAAUUUGAGUUUCCUGCAGGGAUUAUCUCUUUCUUUUUUCCCCUUUCUUUCUUUCUUUCUUGAUUUUCUUUCUAUGGAUUUAUAAGGACAAUUUUGAAAUAUAGUGCUUGUUUGGUAGGGAAUUUUGAUAAUAUAUAUAUGUCCCGUUUGGGAGUGAUUUUUCACCCCAAAAAUAUGAUUUUUUGAUUGUUAUUUUAUUAUUCCAAUCAUAAUUUUUGACUUCUUCUUUCACAGGUGGCUCCCACAUUUUUCCUAACGAUUAAAAAAUCAAUUUUCAAAAUCACUAUCGAAUAUGCCUAUAGAGUGUAAUAAAUAUAUAUCUAAUAAUGAGAGUAAACAGCGACUCUAUAAAAACUAUGACUCUUUGAAUGAACAUAUAUUAUUGAAUGACAAAUAAAGUACUAUAAGUUACAAGAUUAUUCCAAAAAAUGUGAGACUCUAGUUGCACAAUUUGAAUAAAAUUCCAGCAACAGUGACAUUAACUUUGAAAGGGACUCAAUUUUUUUUAUUUUUUUUUCAUUACUAUCUGUGAGGUGACACACUUUUUUAUCCUUAAUUUCAACGACACUUAAAAUAAUUCAUGACAUAUAUUUUUAUAUAUCAUACAAUGUCAACCUUAAUGUAUGCAUAGUUGAUAAAAUAUACAAAUAGCAUUUUCCUUUGAAUAAAUGCGUAAAUAAAUAUUUUCCAAAUAAUUAUUCCAAAAAGGAUUAGUCAAAAUAAAUUGAGAUUGUGGUUGCACGAUUUUGGAUGUUUGGACUUCCUGAAUAAUUGUAAAAAUGUUAAGUUAAUUCGAAGAGCUUUGCUGGGCCACACAAUCCAUUGUUAUUGAUCAGUUUCACUGUUGCCUUCAUCGUGUUCUUUGACCCCACCAUGUUGAUUAAUUGAACCAAUGAAAUUUCUCCGUGUUCAUUGACCCCACCAUUUUGUAUAAUUGAACCCAACCACUGUUGGGUUCAAUUAUUGAUCAGUUUGCUGGGCCAGAUGGAUGCUUGGGUUCAAUUAUUGAUCAGAGACAAUCCAUUGUUAUUGAUCAGUUUCACUGUUGCGAUCAUCGUGUUCUUUGACCCCACCAUGUUGAUUAAUUGAAACCAAUGAAAUUUCUCCGUGUUCAUUGACCCCACCAUUUUGUAUAAUUGAACCCAACAACCAGCAGACGACUUUCAUUUAUACAUUAUACAAGUCAAUCUCACUUGCAUUCAUCCCUCUUAACUCUUGCUUCCUAUCUUACAAAAAAGAUAAUAAUGGCUGUAAUCGAAGUUUUUCUAGGUGCAGUUCUCACUGUUUUGCUUGAGAAGCUGGCCUCUGGUGAGCUACUGAAAUUUCUGCGUCAUGUAGGAAUCGACGCCCAGCUGGUAGAAUGGAAGACAACUUUGAAGAGGAUCCAGGCAGUGCUUACUGAUGCUGAAAACAAGCAAACAACGGACAAAGAUGUGAAAGAGUGGCUAAUUGAUCUGGAAGAUUUGGCUCUUGAUCUUGAAGACUUAGUGGAUGAGUUGAAUACUGAAGCCUUGCAGCGCAAAUUAAAGGAAAAUAAAGGCAGCACCAGUAAGGUAAAAAAGCUCGUCCCCACUUGUUGUACUAAUCUUUCUUUCACUGAUUUCAUGUCUGAUCGCGGGAUUGCUUCCAAGCUAAAAGAGGUCAGUGGCCGGUUGAAAGAUCUGGAAGAACAGAAAAAAUUUCUCGAUUUGGUGGAAAAUGUAAGGGGAAGGUCUUAUGGAAGAUUGCCAACAACUUCGCUCGUGGUAGAAUCGAAAGUUCAUGGAAGAGAGAAGGACAAGGAGGAAAUACUGAAUAUCUUAUUUGGUGUUGAAUCAAAUGAUAGUCAAAUAUCCGUGAUUCCAAUUGUGGGCAUGGGAGGUAUCGGCAAAACAACUCUGGCCCAACUUGUGUAUAAUGAUGAAAGAUUGAAGGACAAGUUUGAUCUUAAGGGAUGGGCUUACGUUUCGGAGGAAUUUGAUGCUGUAAAAGUAACAAAAAACAUUCUUGAGUCAGUUUCUUCUGGUGGAAAGUGUGAUUAUGAAAAUUUUGACACGCUUCAGAACAAACUAAAGGAGAGCCUUUCAAACAAGAAAUUUCUAGUAGUUCUAGAUGAUAUUUGGCAUGAAAAUUACGAAGAUUGGGAGAUCCUAAGCCGUCCUUUUCUUGCUGGAAAACCUGGAAGCACAAUCAUCAUUACCACUCGACAAGAAAGGGUGGCCAAAAUCAUGUCUGAAAUUCCAGCAUACAAUCUGGAUCUGUUAUCAGAGGGCGAUGCUUUAUCAUUGCUAGCUCAACAUGCAUUUGGAGCUAAAACUUUUGACGGUCAUCCAGCUUUAAUAGAGAUUGGUAAGUCUAUGGUAAGAAGAUGUAAGAUGUUGCCCCUGGCAGUAAAGGCCCUUGGGGGGCUUCUUCGAGUUGGUCGUGAAGAUUGGGAAAAGGUGUUGAAAAGUGAAAUCUGGAUGAAUGAAGAAAAUAUUGGAAUUCUUCCUGCUCUAAAACUGAGUUAUCACCAUCUUCCUCCGGAAUUGAAAAGAUGCUUUGGUUACUGUGCUCUCUUUCCCAAGGACUACGAAUUUGACAAGUUCCAACUAGUGUACUUUUGGAUGGCUGAAGGUCUUCUGCAGGAAACAAAGAAAGAUAAGUUAAUUGAAGAUGUUGGUAGUCAAUAUUUUGAUGAACUAUUGGCUAGAUCAUUCUUCCAACAAUCAAGUGCCAAUGCUUCACGCUUUGUGAUGCACGACCUCUUUAACGAUCUAGCUAUGUCUGUUGCUGGUGAUAAAUGUUUGAGGAUGGAUGAUGAACUGCAGGAGAUUUCUGUAAAGGUCCGUCACUUGUCAUUCAAGCGCAGGAUGUUUGAAACUUAUCCUAGAUUUAACUUUCUUGACAAAGUUCAAAAGUUGAGAACCUUUUUGCCACUACCUGUUGAGGCGUCAUUUAAUUACUUAUCCCAAAGAAAUUUGCUUCACCUAUUCGCAAAUUCAUACUGCUUAAGAGUGCUAUCCUUGAAUGGUUAUGCCAUAUAUGAGUUGCCAGAUUCUAUUGGUGAUUUAAGACAUUUAAGAUACCUGGGCCUAGCUGGAACAAGACUGAGGUGGUUGCCUGAAUCUGUGUGCACUCUUAUCAAUUUACAAGUGUUGAUUCUAAGUGGUUGUAGUAGACUUACCAAAUUACCCACAAGCAUGGAAAAUCUUGUUAAACUUCGGUAUCUGGACAUUACUCAUACUUGCAAUUUACAUGAGAUGCCUCAGGGAAUUGCUCAACUAACAAGUUUGCGAACGUUAACUAAGGUGACUGCAAGUAAAAAUAAUGGAAUGAGUUUAAAGGAGUUGGGCAAUCUAUCAUUUCUACAAGGUAAUAUUUCUAUUGAGGAAUUGCAAAAUGUUGUGAAUGUUAAAGAAGCAACGGAAGCAAGGCUAAUGGAUAAGCCAAGCCUCAACGGAAUAAGGUUGGAAUGGAGCGCAGGCUUUGAUGAUCCUCGGAAUAAAAUUUUAGAAUUGAAUGUGCUUAAUGCAUUAAAGCCCCAUAAGAACUUAUCAACACUUGAAAUCAAGUAUUACGGGGGUGAGAAUUUCUCUAAUUGGAUUGAAGAUUCAGCAUUCCUUAAGUUAGCAAGGAUAAGCUUUGAAUAUUGUAAAAAUUGCACGAUUUUGCCACCAUUAGGGCAACUACCUUUGCUAAGAGACUUAAGCAUUCGAGGCAUUGAUCAAGUAAAAGUGAUUGGAGCUGAAUUUUAUGGAAAUAGAGGCCAUGGAGAAUUACCUUUUCCAUCACUCAUUAAUCUGACUUUUAGUGACAUGUCUAACUGGGAGGAAUGGGUUGGAAUAGGAGGUGUUAUCCAACUUCCUAAGCUAUGCUCAUUGAUUAUAACUGAUUGUUCAAAAUUGGUCAGUCUUCCAAAUCUUUUACUGCCAUCCCUACGUCACAUAAAUGCUGCUGGGUGUAAUGAGGUGGUGCUAAAUAGUAUGCAGAAUUUGAAAUCUUUAACCAGCAUAAUAUUGUGUAGAAUUUUCGGAUUAACUUCAAUUAUCAAAGCAUUUGUACACUUUCCUUUUACACUUGAAAGUGUCACAGUUAAUGAAUGUCACAACCUUGUGACUCUAUGGCCAGGUGAUAGUACUGCACGAAACCUAGUUGACCUACAACGCGUGGAUAUUGACAGUUGUCCUCGGCUAUUGUCCCUUCAAGAGAUUGACGUUCUUCCCGAUCUUAGGAGACUUUAUAUAAGAAAUUGUGGAGCUCUGGAGUUGUUGCCUCAUAAAAUAUCUUGUCUUGAGAGAUUGUCUAUCAACAAAUGUCCAUCGUUAAGGACGAUGAUGAAGCUACAGAAUUGCAACAUCUCGCUCGAUUAUCUAAAAAUUUCUCGUGUGAAUUUGAAUUUGGCAAAUUUACUAGGCUCUGGCUCCAAUUACCAAAGUCUCACUCAUCUACAAAUACGGUCUUGUGAUGGUCUAGAAUUGUUUCCCAAUGGAGGCUUGCCCACACCAAAUUUAAAACUACUAAAGAUAAUUGAGUGUCAACAUCUCAAGUCGUUACCUGAUCGGAUGGAUCUACUUUCAUCCCUUUCGUUCCUGGGGGUGUCUUCUUGUGCUUCAUUGAAGGAACUCUUUCCCCAGGAGGAUAUUCCCCCAAAUCUGUGUCACCUUGAUAUCAGAAAUUGCGGAAAACUAAAACCCCCGGGGGAGUGGGGCCUACACAAACUCACCUCUCUUCAAACCUUUGAAUUUGGUGGAUGUCUAGAGCUGGUUUGCUUCACUAACAAUGCUGACGAAGAACACUGUGUGCUUCCUCCAUCUCUAACAGCUUUGUCGUUGGAUGACCUGCCGAAUCUCGAAACACUAUCAAGGGGCUUCCAAAGCCUCACCUUUCUUCAACAUUUAUGCAUCUCUAGAUGCCCAAAGCUUGAGGCGUUGCCUAUGGGAGACUAUCUUGAAAAGCUUUUGAGCCUUGACAUUCAAGGCUGCCCACUUCUUAAGAAACGGUGUUUGAAGAACAAAGGAGACUACUGGCCCAUCAUUGCUGACAUUCCGGUCGUCGAAAUUGAUUCCCGAUCCAUCUAUGAUCCAUGUCCAUGAAUUCAAUUACACGAGGUAACAGAUUUAAUUUGAUACCUAUGAAUCUCAACAUCAUUUCAUGCAAAACACUUCUCGACAUUUCUGUCAAUUUUGUUUUCAAACAGAAUGUGAAUUUUCUGCAGCAAAUAGUGGAUCUCCCUUUCUGCAAUAGCUAUUCAAGUGUUCAUGCCACUCUGUAUCUUAUAUUUGUGCUUCUGCUCUGCAGCAUAAAUCAAUAUCAGAGCCGAUGUACCAACAAUCAAGUAACUGAUCGGCUAUGGCGCUAAAAUUAGCCUCUUUUUGUACUAACAGUAAGAUUCUAUCAAAUAGAUAAAAUCGGAGUGAUAAUUGUUAGUCGAAUGUGGUUAAAUUAUUAAUAUUUUGAUUCGAUCUGCUUUAGCAAACUGGAAAUGCAUUGAUUUGACUUACUGUAUGUUUAUGCAUUUUUGGGUUUUUAUGUGGCAUGCGUUUUUAAACUUCUCUUGUAGAUUGGAGGUUCCUACGCCAUUUGAAUGGAACUAAUAAAAAUGACAUCGUUUUGGUGUAGGCAUUUUCUGAUUACUUGUAAGAACACAAGAUGGAAUGAAUGUGUCUCUUCAUUAGACCUUCAAGUAAGUUUUUUGUUCGAUUCUUUUGCGUUUUAAGUGUUUGUAUAAAUGCCUCAGUGAAAUUAUAUGGCUGGAUCUGUGACUGAAGCUAUGUUCUUGCCUUUAUUAUUAUUAUUAUUAUUAAUUUCAUGAUUUUAGUAAUAUUUUCUGAAUAAUUCUUUGAAUGAACUUUUCCUUUUGGGGGUUUCCUUCCAUAAAUGUCAAGAAAUCUGUUUAGUCUCUGAAAAUUGUCUUGACUGGCCAAAAAUCCUUUCUCGUGUGAUUUUGGUGUGGUUUAAGGUAUGAGGUACCAUGUUUUACAAUUGCUAUUUUAAAAAUUUUCUUGAUUUUAUUAGAUUAACCUCUGCCGAUUGUGUAUUACAUUCAUCCGUAUGAAUUGGAUGUUUUAAUCCAAUCUGAAGAUUUGAAUCAUUGCUUCACAAUUUCAUGCAAUUAAAUUAAGAAACCGAUUAAUUUUUUAUGUGAAUGCUUUUUAAUCGAAAACUUUAUUUCAAUUUGGAAAGUUCAAUCAUUUUAAGUUUGCAGUUAUACCUCUUGCUGGUAUGCAUUUUUUUAAUGUUAUUAAUUCAUUCUAAUUCUUAUGGAUUCUAUUUCUUUGUAUGGGACUUUUUCACUGGUUAUAAAUUUUGGCUUCUUUGAAUUUUCACUUUCGUAUUUAUUUAUUUAUUUAUUUAUUUUUGGUAAAUAUUUUAAAAAAUGAUUGAUAAUAUUGAAUUAUCCUAGACAUUCUAUAACAUAAUAAAUUGAUGUACUAAUUUGUUAAAUUCAAUUAUUCAGUAUUCUGUUUCUUAAUUUAGUUGAUCAAGUAGGUUAUUUUUUUUUUUUAUCCUAAUCUGGAAUAUAUGUGCUCAGAAUGUCGCUGUGAGCAUAUUGCCUGUCAAGAAGAAUCAUUUGAGUUGAGGACGAUAAGAUGUUACAUUUUUUAGCUAUGCUGUUUUUCAGCUUACUCCAACUUGAACUCGGUACAAUUUUAAUUUUUUGAAUUAAUUCAGUUUCCUUCAACUGAUGAAUUAUUGCAGUAUCAGUGUGAGUUUGUGUGGUUAUUUCAUAUUUGCCUGUGAUUUUGUAUUAAUCAUUUGAGUUGAAAUCCUGACUCGGAUUUAUAAUCAUUGUGGACCCAAAUUGCUGAUUUUAAGAUGUGUUUUUAUAGUAAACUAAUUGCUGAUGUCAAAAUUCUUUUCAUUAGUUUUGGGUUGAUUAGUUAAUAAGUUCUUCUGUCUUUUACUGUUUGGGGAUUCAGCAUGUGUUUCAUUAAUUGGUUCUAUUCUUUUUUUAUAUGGUAUGUACUGACUUCAAUUUGGCAAUUUCUUGGGGAUAUCUUUUUUGUCAAAUUGUAUUUUCACAGAGUUCAACUGUAAAAAUGUGAAAUAUGUCCAAUUAUUUGAAUUUUUGUUGAUAUUUUGAAAUUGAUAUUAUGUAUUGAUGAGCCAUCAAGUUAAAUUUAAAACGAAUUCCAUGUUGCAAAUGCUAUUUGGAAGUUGAAUUUGCUCUGCUGGGUUGCAAAGUAUACUUGAAUUUAUUUUAUCAAAAGAUGAAUAUUUAUCAUCUCUUAGUUUCCCCUUCAUUGUCAUAUAUCUUUACGAAAUUCUUGUAGAAGUAUUUAGAUGAUAAUUGGAUUGUGUUGAUAAUGUAGCUGGAAGAUCAUACGAGGAAUUUCAGGAAAAUAGGUUUUGUUGCUUGAGUCCAUUUUAUUUAAGGUGUCCGGAAAAAAAAGGUUGUGUGAGUGUGGAAAGUAUAUCAUCCUUGCGCGUUUGGAUCUGUUAUUCAUAUUGAUAGAUGGCAUUCCGUGUGUGGAAGCAUAUUUCACUUAAAACAUAUAUUCACCUUGUGUUGUUAGGUAACUAUUGUAGCUUUUCACAUCUGCUUUCGUAAUGGUUUAUUGUUGUACAUUUUAUAGGCUAAUGUUGCUAGAAGAAAAUCGAAUUUCUUUCUGCUCAAACGAUGGAAUGAUGAUUGAUGGCAUCACCUGGUUGCUGAAAUGAUAGGAUUGUCGUAAGUUUUAACUUGCUAUGUAUAGCUUCAUUUCUUGCUUUUAGUUUUGGUCGACUUCAACUCUAUUAAGUAUUUUGAGCCAAAUAUUUUUUAUUAACAGCAUCAACAUAAUUAAAUUUAUUUUACUCUUGAAACAACAAAUAUGUUUCCUCUUCCUUUUUGAUGGAAGUUACAUCACAAUAGAUCUGUCUUUUAUAUGAAGAUUUUCUUCUUCUCAAUUGCUAUUGCACACUGUACUUGAUAUUAGUUGUGGGUCUGGUAGCUUUAAUGCUCGUCUUCUAUCGCUUAAGCUGAUGUGUGACAGCAUAUGAGCCAACAGGUAGACAUGUUCAAUUGGCACUUGAUAGAGGUCUCCCUUCAAUCAAAACUUAAUCUAAAGACAGCUCCCUCUUCAUCCUUUGUCAUAUGAAGUGGUUCACUGCACUCAAUGUAGCAUUGUCUGUGAUAACAAAGGUAUGAUCUUCAUUAAGGUUUGGGGUUUUGUUUUUUUCCAUUAAAUCACCAUUUCUUCAUCAGAUUAAGUGCAGUGGUUUUUAUUGAUUUUUCACCGAUGAAAAUUCUUGAAAUUAAUUUGACAUUUAGCCUAAUGUAGUGCGAACUUUUCUGUGGUUUUUGCUAUUUUUUGCGUGCAUUUCUAUUUCUUUUUUGUUUAUCACAUUUUGUUUGAUACUAUAGUUAUCUGUAAUAAAUUUUGCAAUGGUAAUAUUAGGCUUGCUGUAAGGAAGGCCAAGAAGGAAAAGAAAGCGAAUGAUCCAAACAAGCCAAAGAGACCUCCAAGUGCUUUCUUUGUUUUCAUGUAUGCCCAUUUGCAUUUUUGGUCUCUAGCAUUUCUGUCUAUUGUUCUUAUAUAUUAUCUUUUUUAUGCUGCUUGGCAGACUACAACAAUAAUUUGGUAAUCCAUCUAUGAGAAGCACGGUGUUAUACACAGUUUAGUUUGAAUUGUGAUACUGAAACGAUUUGUGCCAAACUGUUUUUAUAGGCUAGAGGGGCUGUUGAAUUCGACAAGGCAAAGUCUGAGGUUAAUGGUGAUGAGGACGAUGAGAACAGUGGAGACGUUAGUUGAAAUUAAGCUCUACAACUUUUUUGUACUUGAAACUUAGCUACUAUGCUGACUUUUUAUUUUGUUUUAAUUAAUUUAGGAGGAAGAUGAUGAGUAAGCACUAUCAUGAAGAAUUAUUGUGUAAAAUUUGGCUUCAGGUGAAUUUUACUGAAAUUAAUUGAAAGUAAUUAUCAAUAAUACUCCUUUUUUAAUUUUUAUUUUUUAAAGUUGCUAAUGUGUUUGUUCUUCCUUUCAGUGAGGGAACAAGCGUCUCUUUGCCAUUAACUUGGGGCAAAAAAAGAGAGGAAACGUAUGCCUUGUUUUUCAUUAUUGCCUAUUGGUACACAAGACGUAUUUAGAGGAAAGGGGUGGAGGAAGAGGGGGUUGAGUGCUUGUAGACCAUGAGCAAAAAAUGGCAGACUACAAUAAGAAUUUGGUAAUUUCAUCUAUGAAAUUCUCUAUUACAAUGCACUACGUGCAUCUCACAUGCGAAGAACUAGUUCGAUAAAUAUUCAAUAUUUUGCAGCAAGCUUCAUAUCUUGUUAAAUUUUGAAGGUCCUUCCUUUUGUGAAAUCAUUUAAGUUAAAAAUGUUAAGAGAGAAAAACAUUAAUUUAUUAAUAUCUUCAAAACUCUUCUUAUGGUGCAGGUAGAUUUAAUUUUUCUAUAAACAUUAAAUUUCUGACUUUGAUGGGGAUGAUGUUAUUAUUUUACAGAUUUUCAUCUGGUCGUCCAUUACCAAUACAAUUUCGAGACUCGAUUUGAUUAGAGACUAAUAGCUCAGUCAUCUACCAGGUCAAGAAAGUUAUUAAUUGGGUUAGUUGCUUUAAGCUUGUGGGCUGACCACCUAUAUGCCUGCUUUGCAUAUAUUUCGUUGCCAGCUCCAAUCCACAUCAUUUGAUGACGUGUUGUUUACACCAAAUUUGACUUGUACACAAUAUCUGUUACUACGAGAGUUAGAGAGAGAGGCCAAUUCAAACCAUCAUUUGGUGACACAUUUUUUAAGAGCAAUCGUGGAACCUAUAUUUGUUAAGUGAAGUCAAUGUUAUGCUGAAGCAAACAAAAGAUUAUGACGAUUGAGGAUGGUCAAGUUCACAUUUCACUUCUUAUCUUUCCAUUCUCUCUCUUUUAGAGUAAAGAUCAUUUGUAGUAUUUCGUGGCUACCAAAUAUUCAAAUACUCCAGGGAACAUUGUAGAUGUAAAAUUCUGCAUUAUAUAAUAGGAGGAAUUUUUUUUUUUUUUUUCCUAAAUGGAUUAUCAGGUAAGUUGUCAUUAUUUGCAAUAGUAAUAGGCUUUUUAUUAUGAUGUGCAGUUGCACAUGUCCAUGUGUGUCCACGUAUACUUGUGUGUGUAAAUGUGGAAUAAUGAUAUUUACAAUCUAUUCUUACCUAUUAGCAAUUAGCAUUCUAUGUAGAUGUAUUGUUACUGCCACAUUUUCCUAUAAUUUUAGAGUAGGGAUAUUUGUAAGCAUCGUACUGAAAACAACAAUCUAUAUGACAAUGAGAUAUCUGUCUUAUUCUCCUAUGAAAUUGAGUUCGUUUUAAUUUAUUGAAGAAUGUGAUAGUGACCCCAUUAUUACAUCAAAUGUUGGUAAUAAGUACUGUUAUAAACUUAGCAUACAUUUAAUUUAUUGAAGAAUGUUACAAUAAUCAACUGUCGCAUGGACGGUUGAUGGAUAAGUACUGCUUACAAAGAGUAUUACUCCUUAAAAAUGGAAAUUUACUCGGGAUAUGAAGCCAAGUGGACAAAUAUCAGACCUUGCUAAAGAAAUUUCACUCUUAACAAAUACGAUUAUCCAUGAUAGACCAUAUGAAAAAUCAAAAUUGAGGAACAUUCUAACAAUAUCCCUCGACACCCAUCUCACCCUUUUAACUAUUUACCCACCAACCCCCACACUUUAUAUAUAAAUGUUUUUUCUUGUUUUUGUCUCAAUUUUAAGGGUCAAAAUGUCAAACAAAGUUAAAAUAUUAGAAUUUUAAUAUCAUUUUGAAGUGCUCAUAGCUUAGUUUCUCGCAUCAUUAACGGCGCGUGAAAUGACCGACCACAACAAAAGUUACAAUGCGUCAAAAUAGGUCAUUCAAAAUUAGUAUUUCAAGAAUUUCGAUAAUAUGCUAACUUUAAAAAUUUGUUGGCGAUCGUAUGCUAACUGAAUUCAGAAAUCGCUUGUCAUCUUGAUCCAAACCGAUAUAGGUUGUACAUUGAAAAUAAUUAAAUUAUUUGAAAAUUUUUGACGUCAUGUGUCAUGUAAAAUUAUCCUAAUAAAAUGAUUAUAAAAUGAUGUAAAUUAUAUUAAUAUAUUUGUUGAGCAAAAAUAAUAAAUGUUAAUGAAAUAAUUGAAAAAUUUUAAAGGAAAAAAUGAGUUAUGCAUCUCUUUUUGAGACGAUCAUUUAAUUAUUUUCGAUAUUCAAAUUUUGGACCAUUCGGUAUGUCUACGAUAUAAUUCUUAAAACUAAAACAAAUUUUAAAAUUAACAUGUUAUCGAAAUUCUCUAAAUACUAGUUUGGAAUGAUCUAUUUUAAGACAUCAUAACUUUCGCUACGAUUGAAAGUUUUACGCGCCGUUAACGAUGCAAAGAAUUAGACUGUGAGCACUUCAAAAUGAUAUUAAAAAUGUGAUAUUUCGAUUUCAUUUGACAUUCCAUAAUGACCUCAAAAAUUGAGACGAAAACAAGGGGGGAAAAAAACCUUUAUAUAUGAAGAAUGGGUGAUAAGAAUGGUGAGGCGUAGGUGUGGGGUGGGGUAAAAGGGGCGGGGGUCGGUAAAAAGUUAAAAAAUUGGGCAAGUGCAGGAGGAAACAAAAGUUGCCACAUUAGUAGUGGGUAGAAUGUUCUCCUGCACACCAUUGCCAGCAGAACAAUUCUACGAAAAAUAAUACGCGAAGAAUUAAUUUCAUAAUUUGUGAUCGAUAAAAAGUUAUAACCUAUAAAAUUUGUGAUUUUAAGUGUAACGUUUUGUAACUGUGACUGAUACGCAACCGUGAUCAUAAACUAUAUGAUAUUGCGAUCUUAAUAUAUUAAUUAUAUAUUUAAUUAAUGUACCAUAUUUAAUAUUUAUGACCCGGGUUUUGGAAAAUAAAAAAAUAAAAAUUUCAAGUUCGUCAAAAUUGAAAUUGUAACUUAAAAUCUAUGUAACUAUGCAUUCUUCCCAUUAUAAAUAGCAGUGGUGGAUAUAAUUUAUCCAUGGAAAAAUGCAAAAUCUCCAUUAGACUAGAGGAACUGGCUGUCUCGGCAGAGUUAUAUAUCGAAUUUUACUUGUCAUGCUGAGGUCGAGGGCUAAGAUCUCUAGCUUACGUGUAUAUAGGCAGGGGCAGAUCCAAGCACGGGCUCCACCAUGCUAUAGCCCGUGUACGGCCCUUAAAAUGUCUACUGUAUUUUUAUUAUUAUUAUUUUUUUUUAUUGAAAGAUAAAUCCAUGUAUAUUUGUAUUGUAACCCGUGUUCAAACUCAAGACUGAAUCCGCCACUGACAUAGGCGUUUAUUUCUAACCAAGUUACGAACACCAUCACUACUAGUAGUCGAAGUGGGCAGAUAUACAACAGUUACCAUCUAAAAAUGGACCAAAAAUAGUUCAGUGUGUUAUAGCAGAUCGAUGACCACACACUUUGAGCCAUCUAGGUAUCAACUAAUCAUUUACUAUCCUAGAUUAAGAAUAAGUCAUUAUAAGUGAAGUGUGACCUCCCAUUUCCCUUGAGGAGACCCAAACUAACCAUAAUCGUAUAGAAUAGAUGUAGUUCAUAAUCACAAAUCAACAUAGAAUCAAGCAGAAAUAAUACAACCAACAGACGGUAUACUCUGUUACAUUAAAUGUUGCUUUAUUGAAUUCCUCAACAGAACGUGAAAGUGUUCACACCUCUGUUUGAGUCUCAUUCUUUCAAAAAUUCAUUUUUUCAAAACUCAUUUUCAACCACACAUCCUUCAAUAAAGUAAUAUUACACGUAAAUUCAAAACUUUUCUUUACUUGUUAACCACAUAUUCUCAAUCAAUCUACUAUUCAAAAUGCAUUCUUUUCAAAAAAAUGGGGCUCAAGCUAAGUGAAGACUUCACAACAAUGUAAAUGGUAUUCUAGCAAUCAAUAUUCCAGUUUCAAGUUGAAAUGAAAUUAAGAAAAGAAACAUGUUGAUCAGUCUUAGAAAACGGUCAUAUAAAGAUAUUAGAAAGCACAUAACAAUCAAGUGUAUGGAUGGAACCACCUUUACAACAACAAGAGAAACUGGAUGACAGGCAACAAAUACAGUAUCAUAAAGCACAACUAAUCGAAGCUAUAGGAAUUAGAAAAAUACAGACCUCGAUCGAUUGUAUGAGACUCUUAUUAUGUAUACGUAAUAGUCUAGUUCAGUACAUUUGAUCAGCCAAGAAGAGGAUUAAGAACGUGCCCAAUGAAUAGCACUACCCCCGUCAUAUCUUCUCUGAUGAUGAACAAAAAUGGAUGAUCGGCAACAAAAUCGAACUCAUCCUCGACUAAUAAACCCCUCAGUUUAACAAGACCAGCAGAAGCAGCAGCAGCUUCCGUGCCUUCCUCAUUUACCUCGAUAAAUGACUUGUGGAAAAUGCUAGAAACAUAAAGGUUCUGACCAACUUGUGAGUCCACCAUAUCUGUGAGACCACCACCAGAAAAAGGCAACACGACUCCCAGUCCCUUGAGAACUUCCGAGGCUUCAAACCCAAAUGACAAUUUGAAUUUUGGGAUACGGAAUUCACCAACUUCGACCUUUUGAUAUGGGAGGUGAUGCUCCAAGAAUCCUGAUUCCGAACUGACUUUCUCUACCAAAGCCAGCAAUCCAUCUUUGGUGUCUGGAAGAAGGAAGUUCAUAGAGAACUUGCGCUUAUCUUCACCUUGCUUAUACGGAAGGCUCAAAAUUUUGAAACCAUCAAAGGAACGUAUAUAUUGCUUCUUCUUGCUACUCAUGAAGGGUACUUGUACUGAGCUCCCAUCUAGGAGGAAAAAGUCAUGGUCCUUUGUAAUUGAUGCAUCAAACUUCUCACUCCAAGCUCCUUUGAAAUACACUGCAUUUGCAAAGAUGAGCCUCGUGGAAGCAUCAACUGAGCCAGGUGGAAGAAUUUCUUCGACAAGGCCACUUGUUUCCUUUUCAGCCCAUUGAUUGACUUCACCGAUUACCUCAACAGCCUUCAGAAAUAUCAAGAAUAAAGAACAUAACAAUUAAUACAUUGUUAAAGAAAUUUACUUGCAGAAGUAGAAGUUCUACAACAUGAAUGAUUUCACCCAGCCAGUUCCUCUUUCUCCUACAACUCAAGGUGUACAAGCAGAUAAAUAACUGUUUACAUCAUGAAUUCGUUGACAUUACAAUAGAGACUAUUAUGUGUAAGGUUUAUUCUAAAUGUCAUGGGCCAUGAAUACCAUUUACAGAUAUACUUGAAACAGAAGUUGGUUACAUGCUUAUGAACAUAACCACCACCAAAAAACAAAAGCAAAAGCAAAGCCGUCCCCAAUAAAUUUGGAGUCAGGGAGCUAGAAGCAUUUUUCAUCCAUUCGACAGGGAUUUCUUGGUGACCAAUACUAACAUGAAGACAAGAAUAAAUCGGAUGUUAUCCAUUUGAUAUUUUCAUAAUAUCAAACUAUCACAAUUCUGUAAACAAUUACAGAAUUUACAAUUUUAAAAAAAAAAAAAAAGGAGGAUAAAAAUAAUGCAAAUUUUCUUACAAUGUGAAGCACCACAUGGAUUUACAACCACUGGUGUAUGGCAAGUGUUUUAAAGUUUAAAAUUACAUGUCAUUCUAUUUUGGUAUUUGGGAAGAUGAAAUCGAAGUAAUUAGGAGAAAAUGCCUCCGGCUUGGUUGGGCUUAGUUUAGCAACUUUUGAACGUACAAAGGUCAAGUUUUCAGUUAGAAACAGAAAAAAGUGAAAAUUUUUAAAAAAUGANNNNNNNNNNNNNNNNNNNNNNNNNNNNNNNNNNNNNNNNNNNNNNNNNNNNNNNNNNNNNNNNNNNNNNNNNNNNNNNNNNNNNNNNNNNNNNNNNNNNNNNNNNNNNNNNNNNNNNNNNNNNNNNNNNNNNNNNNNNNNNNNNNNNNNNNNNNNNNNNNNNNNNNNNNNNNNNNNNNNNNNNNNNNNNNNNNNNNNNNNNNNNNNNNNNNNNNNNNNNNNNNNNNNNNNNNNNNNNNNNNNNNNNNNNNNNNNNNNNNNNNNNNNNNNNNNNNNNNNNNNNNNNNNNNNNNNNNNNNNNNNNNNNNNNNNNNNNNNNNNNNNNNNNNNNNNNNNNNNNNNNNNNNNNNNNNNNNNNNNNNNNNNNNNNNNNNNNNNNNNNNNNNNNNNNNNNNNNNNNNNNNNNNNNNNNNNNNAAAAAAAAAAAAAAGAAAUUUGACAGCACACAAACCACCUAUAGACACCAAUAAUAAGCAAAAAAAUGUUAUAAGGAAACAAUCAAACCUUGAUCAACGAUAAACAGAUUAAUGAGUUCUACAAUUGAAAAUAGAAAUUAAACUAACCUUAGUUUGAAAAUCAACAGGAUUAGAAGCAGCCUUGUAAAUAUUAUCAACAAUUUCUUUAAAACUGGGCUUGAAGCUGAGACUCUGAUCUAUCCAAACCCCAUUAGCGAAUGACAAGCAAGGCCCACCAAGGGGGCCACCGUCAGCGAAAAUGAGAGUUACAAGCUGAGAGGAGAGUGAGUUGAGUUCAUCAGUGGACUUCGAUUUGAGGAAAUUAAGCAACUGAUUAAGGGUUUGAUCUUUGGAUCCGGCCGCGAUCAGACCCAACACCACGUGAAUCGAGAGCGGCGAGAACACCAAAUUCUUUUCCUUGGCCUCAGUCGAAACCAAGUGAUGUGCAAGCUGAAGUGAUGCUUGUGUUUGGUUCUUGAUGGAUUCUCUUAGGUCCAUUUCUGUGUGCGUCGGCGUGUGGAAGAGGUGAUUGAAUCAAAAUUCGUGCGCGUUUGGACGUUCUGAAAAUCUGCACUGUGUUCACCGACACAUCAGAGGCAAUUUAUAUGUGCCACUUGUGAUGGUUGACUCAAGCGUGUCUUUCAAUGUCUACUCAACACGUUAGGAUUCGUUUCUUCGGGAUAAAGAUAACAAAUUGGGGGAAUCCAUUGUUUAUCCAAACGACCUUGAAGAAUACUUCGACGUAGAUGUUUUGAAAUUAAUUUUGUGAAUAGUGAUUAAUUUAUAGAUUGUAGGGUUAAAAUAGAUAUAAUUAUUUACGUAUAAAAUUAUUUUACCAAAAGAAUGUGUAAGAAAAAUUAGGUUUUAGGAAAAUAUAAUUUUUUUAGUAACAUAACCAACCAUCCAAUAAACUUCUCUAGGGUCUAAAAAAAUUAUAGUAUCGUAACCAACCAUCCGAUAAACUUCUCUAGGAAUUUAAACCCUGAUUGUCACCCAUUAUUUGGAAAAUUAAAAAGUUAUGAACAGUAUUUUUUGAAGAAUAUGUUGUUAAAAAUAAAGAAACUUUAUUAAUUUGUGUGUAGAAUAUUUUAUUGUGUGAAUGUGUAGAGUAGAAUGGUAACGUAACAACAACAAUUUUAAAUUUUAAAUGGGGCCAAACAAGUUUCUUUUACGAUGGAGAUUUCUUGCUUGUUUGACAUUCUUUAAUUUAUUUUAUGGAUUGUAACAUGAUCAUUUUCAAUAUAUUCAUACAAUAAAAUAUUAUACACAUAUACUGCAGAUUUUCUAUACUUUUUAAUCAUACACUUCUAAAAAUUAUUAUUUAAACUCCGUUUUUUUUUUUUUUUUUGCCAAAAUUGUUGUCAAAUAGGCUUCAUCUUGUGUGAUUUUUUGAAAAUUACUUUUUCUGAUAUUUAUUUUCAAUAUAUAUUCUUUAAAAUUACUUUCACGUUUUUCAAUUUUUUUAAUAUUUUAACUGCACAUUUUCCAAGAAAAUCACAUUUCAAAAUCUCCAUCCCACACACUGAUUUCUUUAUUGAUUUUGAAUAUAUAUUUCGACUUUUUUUGCCUUUUUCUUUUCUCCCUAAGAUGAAGUUUAUCAGCCUAUUUGGGAGUGAUUUUUUUUUCUAAAAAAUUGAUUUUUUGACCAUUAUUUUACUAUUACAGUUGUCAUAUUUGACUUUUUCUCUCACGGAUGGACCCCACUUUUCUCCUAACGGUCAAAAUAUCAAUUCUCAAAAUCACUUCCAAACAGGCUCUAUAUCAAGGGCCUGUUAGACAUAAAUUUUCCUAAAUUUUUUUUUCUCUAAUUAUUGUAUAUGUUCCAUAACUUUUUCUUACAUUUUAAUUACACAUCCUCUAAAAAUUUAUAUUUCACUUGAAAAAUCCAUGUCAAACAAACUCUAACAGUGACAUGAUUGAAGGGAAUUCUUCAAAGCUUUCACAAGAACAUAAAGAGGAACUGUGGGCUUUAGCUCCAGGACCAUACCCAUUUAUUUUUGUAUUAAUUCAGUGAAAAUAGUUUUUUAUUAUCCCUUGACUCCACCACUAAUAUCAACCCAUGAUGCGCAAUUCUAAUUAUCACACUAUGCAAAAAUCUAUUUUUGGUUGAGACAUACUUCUCAUUUGUAGUAUUCAAAUUUAUAUGAUUAAAAAUAGUUUAUACGUUUCCUAAAAAUAAGACAAAAUAAUGCAAAAUUUUGGACAAAAAAUGAUUAAUAAAGUAAAAUAAUUCUUCCCUGGAAAAACAAGGCCUAUGUGUCCCUGUUUGAGAAGCAGAACCCUCGUAUAUAAUGUUUACUACCUUGAAAUGUCAUUUCUAAACAUGCACCUACUUGACACCUCCUUAUGAUAUUUUGACUAUGCUUAAGAAGCUCAAUUAUUAAAUAAAAAAAAAGCCUUCUAAAAUAAAUUUUUUAUUGGUAAAUGUUUAACAUAUUUAUAUUAUUUAUUAUAAGUUUUUAUAUAGAAAUGUGUGGAGGGUAAGUUGUUCGUCGAGCCAUGAUUAAAGAGGCAGUUUCGACCUUCUCUCUCUCUACUGUUAAUUUUGAUAUAUUUUUCACUCGAAAUUUGUUUUACCCAGUUUUCAAUUUAUUUAUUUCUUUAUUAUUAUUAUUAUUAUUAUUGUGCAUUUGCGCAUUUUACAUAUUGGUUAACUCAAUAUCUUCAUCUCACAAAAUAUUUACAAUUUCUUAGAGAUUUCAGAGAUCCAACGAAAUGAAAAUUUGGGUUACAAUGUUAGAAAAUGAAAUAUUAGUUAAAAGUAUUCUUCCUAAACUAUUGAUAUAGUAUUUUUUUUGACAUUUGAUUCUACUUAUUCUGGUGGACAUCAUCUAUACGUGUUUUUAGUAGUAUUAUAUUUUGACAAUGAUCAUUUGACUCUUCAGAAGAAACUAUUUUAUUUUAAAUCAGCUCCAUCAAAUGGACCUAACAUAUCGUCACGUCGCACAUACUUUACAACAGUAUUAUAUAAUUAACAAAAUAUUUAACAUCUUUUCUUUUGAUUGNNNNNNNNNNNNNNNNNNNNNNNNNNNNNNNNNNNNNNNNNNNNNNNNNNNNNNNNNNNNNNNNNNNNNNNNNNNNNNNNNNNNNNNNNNNNNNNNNNNNNNNNNNNNNNNNNNNNNNNNNNNNNNNNNNNNNNNNNNNNNNNNNNNNNNNNNNNNNNNNNNNNNNNNNNNNNNNNNNNNNNNNNNNNNNNNNNNNNNNNNNNNNNNNNNNNNNNNNNNNNNNNNNNNNNNNNNNNNNNNNNNNNNNNNNNNNNNNNNNNNNNNNNNNNNNNNNNNNNNNNNNNNNNNNNNNNNNNNNNNNNNNNNNNNNNNNNNNNNNNNNNNNNNNNNNNNNNNNNNNNNNNNNNNNNNNNNNNNNNNNNNNNNNNNNNNNNNNNNNNNNNNNNNNNNNNNNNNNNNNNNNNNNNNNNNNNNNNNNNNNNNNNNNNNNNNNNNNNNNNNNNNNNNNNNNNNNNNNNNNNNNNNNNNNNNNNNNNNNNNNNNNNNNNNNNNNNNNNNNNNNNNNNNNNNNNNNNNNNNNNNNNNNNNNNNNNNNNNNNNNNNNNNNNNNNNNNNNNNNNNNNNNNNNNNNNNNNNNNNNNNNNNNNNNNNNNNNNNNNNNNNNNNNNNNNNNNNNNNNNNNNNNNNNNNNNNNNNNNNNNNNNNNNNNNNNNNNNNNNNNNNNNNNNNNNNNNNNNNNNNNNNNNNNNNNNNNNNNNNNNNNNNNNNNNNNNNNNNNNNNNNNNNNNNNNNNNNNNNNNNNNNNNNNNNNNNNNNNNNNNNNNNNNNNNNNNNNNNNNNNNNNNNNNNNNNNNNNNNNNNNNNNNNNNNNNNNNNNNNNNNNNNNNNNNNNNNNNNNNNNNNNNNNNNNNNNNNNNNNNNNNNNNNNNNNNNNNNNNNNNNNNNNNNNNNNNNNNNNNNNNNNNNNNNNNNNNNNNNNNNNNNNNNNNNNNNNNNNNNNNNNNNNNNNNNNNNNNNNNNNNNNNNNNNNNNNNNNNNNNNNNNNNNNNNNNNNNNNNNNNNNNNNNNNNNNNNNNNNNNNNNNNNNNNNNNNNNNNNNNNNNNNNNNNNNNNNNNNNNNNNNNNNNNNNNNNNNNNNNNNNNNNNNNNNNNNNNNNNNNNNNNNNNNNNNNNNNNNNNNNNNNNNNNNNNNNNNNNNNNNNNNNNNNNNNNNNNNNNNNNNNNNNNNNNNNNNNNNNNNNNNNNNNNNNNNNNNNNNNNNNNNNNNNNNNNNNNNNNNNNNNNNNNNNNNNNNNNNNNNNNNNNNNNNNNNNNNNNNNNNNNNNNNNNNNNNNNNNNNNNNNNNNNNNNNNNNNNNNNNNNNNNNNNNNNNNNNNNNNNNNNNNNNNNNNNNNNNNNNNNNNNNNNNNNNNNNNNNNNNNNNNNNNNNNNNNNNNNNNNNNNNNNNNNNNNNNNNNNNNNNNNNNNNNNNNNNNNNNNNNNNNNNNNNNNNNNNNNNNNNNNNNNNNNNNNNNNNNNNNNNNNNNNNNNNNNNNNNNNNNNNNNNNNNNNNNNNNNNNNNNNNNNNNNNNNNNNNNNNNNNNNNNNNNNNNNNNNNNNNNNNNNNNNNNNNNNNNNNNNNNNNNNNNNNNNNNNNNNNNNNNNNNNNNNNNNNNNNNNNNNNNNNNNNNNNNNNNNNNNNNNNNNNNNNNNNNNNNNNNNNNNNNNNNNNNNNNNNNNNNNNNNNNNNNNNNNNNNNNNNNNNNNNNNNNNNNNNNNNNNNNNNNNNNNNNNNNNNNNNNNNNNNNNNNNNNNNNNNNNNNNNNNNNNNNNNNNNNNNNNNNNNNNNNNNNNNNNNNNNNNNNNNNNNNNNNNNNNNNNNNNNNNNNNNNNNNNNNNNNNNNNNNNNNNNNNNNNNNNNNNNNNNNNNNNNNNNNNNNNNNNNNNNNNNNNNNNNNNNNNNNNNNNNNNNNNNNNNNNNNNNNNNNNNNNNNNNNNNNNNNNNNNNNNNNNNNNNNNNNNNNNNNNNNNNNNNNNNNNNNNNNNNNNNNNNNNNNNNNNNNNNNNNNNNNNNNNNNNNNNNNNNNNNNNNNNNNNNNNNNNNNNNNNNNNNNNNNNNNNNNNNNNNNNNNNNNNNNNNNNNNNNNNNNNNNNNNNNNNNNNNNNNNNNNNNNNNNNNNNNNNNNNNNNNNNNNNNNNNNNNNNNNNNNNNNNNNNNNNNNNNNNNNNNNNNNNNNNNNNNNNNNNNNNNNNNNNNNNNNNNNNNNNNNNNNNNNNNNNNNNNNNNNNNNNNNNNNNNNNNNNNNNNNNNNNNNNNNNNNNNNNNNNNNNNNNNNNNNNNNNNNNNNNNNNNNNNNNNNNNNNNNNNNNNNNNNNNNNNNNNNNNNNNNNNNNNNNNNNNNNNNNNNNNNNNNNNNNNNNNNNNNNNNNNNNNNNNNNNNNNNNNNNNNNNNNNNNNNNNNNNNNNNNNNNNNNNNNNNNNNNNNNNNNNNNNNNNNNNNNNNNNNNNNNNNNNNNNNNNNNNNNNNNNNNNNNNNNNNNNNNNNNNNNNNNNNNNNNNNNNNNNNNNNNNNNNNNNNNNNNNNNNNNNNNNNNNNNNNNNNNNNNNNNNNNNNNNNNNNNNNNNNNNNNNNNNNNNNNNNNNNNNNNNNNNNNNNNNNNNNNNNNNNNNNNNNNNNNNNNNNNNNNNNNNNNNNNNNNNNNNNNNNNNNNNNNNNNNNNNNNNNNNNNNNNNNNNNNNNNNNNNNNNNNNNNNNNNNNNNNNNNNNNNNNNNNNNNNNNNNNNNNNNNNNNNNNNNNNNNNNNNNNNNNNNNNNNNNNNNNNNNNNNNNNNNNNNNNNNNNNNNNNNNNNNNNNNNNNNNNNNNNNNNNNNNNNNNNNNNNNNNNNNNNNNNNNNNNNNNNNNNNNNNNNNNNNNNNNNNNNNNNNNNNNNNNNNNNNNNNNNNNNNNNNNNNNNNNNNNNNNNNNNNNNNNNNNNNNNNNNNNNNNNNNNNNNNNNNNNNNNNNNNNNNNNNNNNNNNNNNNNNNNNNNNNNNNNNNNNNNNNNNNNNNNNNNNNNNNNNNNNNNNNNNNNNNNNNNNNNNNNNNNNNNNNNNNNNNNNNNNNNNNNNNNNNNNNNNNNNNNNNNNNNNNNNNNNNNNNNNNNNNNNNNNNNNNNNNNNNNNNNNNNNNNNNNNNNNNNNNNNNNNNNNNNNNNNNNNNNNNNNNNNNNNNNNNNNNNNNNNNNNNNNNNNNNNNNNNNNNNNNNNNNNNNNNNNNNNNNNNNNNNNNNNNNNNNNNNNNNNNNNNNNNNNNNNNNNNNNNNNNNNNNNNNNNNNNNNNNNNNNNNNNNNNNNNNNNNNNNNNNNNNNNNNNNNNNNNNNNNNNNNNNNNNNNNNNNNNNNNNNNNNNNNNNNNNNNNNNNNNNNNNNNNNNNNNNNNNNNNNNNNNNNNNNNNNNNNNNNNNNNNNNNNNNNNNNNNNNNNNNNNNNNNNNNNNNNNNNNNNNNNNNNNNNNNNNNNNNNNNNNNNNNNNNNNNNNNNNNNNNNNNNNNNNNNNNNNNNNNNNNNNNNNNNNNNNNNNNNNNNNNNNNNNNNNNNNNNNNNNNNNNNNNNNNNNNNNNNNNNNNNNNNNNNNNNNNNNNNNNNNNNNNNNNNNNNNNNNNNNNNNNNNNNNNNNNNNNNNNNNNNNNNNNNNNNNNNNNNNNNNNNNNNNNNNNNNNNNNNNNNNNNNNNNNNNNNNNNNNNNNNNNNNNNNNNNNNNNNNNNNNNNNNNNNNNNNNNNNNNNNNNNNNNNNNNNNNNNNNNNNNNNNNNNNNNNNNNNNNNNNNNNNNNNNNNNNNNNNNNNNNNNNNNNNNNNNNNNNNNNNNNNNNNNNNNNNNNNNNNNNNNNNNNNNNNNNNNNNNNNNNNNNNNNNNNNNNNNNNNNNNNNNNNNNNNNNNNNNNNNNNNNNNNNNNNNNNNNNNNNNNNNNNNNNNNNNNNNNNNNNNNNNNNNNNNNNNNNNNNNNNNNNNNNNNNNNNNNNNNNNNNNNNNNNNNNNNNNNNNNNNNNNNNNNNNNNNNNNNNNNNNNNNNNNNNNNNNNNNNNNNNNNNNNNNNNNNNNNNNNNNNNNNNNNNNNNNNNNNNNNNNNNNNNNNNNNNNNNNNNNNNNNNNNNNNNNNNNNNNNNNNNNNNNNNNNNNNNNNNNNNNNNNNNNNNNNNNNNNNNNNNNNNNNNNNNNNNNNNNNNNNNNNNNNNNNNNNNNNNNNNNNNNNNNNNNNNNNNNNNNNNNNNNNNNNNNNNNNNNNNNNNNNNNNNNNNNNNNNNNNNNNNNNNNNNNNNNNNNNNNNNNNNNNNNNNNNNNNNNNNNNNNNNNNNNNNNNNNNNNNNNNNNNNNNNNNNNNNNNNNNNNNNNNNNNNNNNNNNNNNNNNNNNNNNNNNNNNNNNNNNNNNNNNNNNNNNNNNNNNNNNNNNNNNNNNNNNNNNNNNNNNNNNNNNNNNNNNNNNNNNNNNNNNNNNNNNNNNNNNNNNNNNNNNNNNNNNNNNNNNNNNNNNNNNNNNNNNNNNNNNNNNNNNNNNNNNNNNNNNNNNNNNNNNNNNNNNNNNNNNNNNNNNNNNNNNNNNNNNNNNNNNNNNNNNNNNNNNNNNNNNNNNNNNNNNNNNNNNNNNNNNNNNNNNNNNNNNNNNNNNNNNNNNNNNNNNNNNNNNNNNNNNNNNNNNNNNNNNNNNNNNNNNNNNNNNNNNNNNNNNNNNNNNNNNNNNNNNNNNNNNNNNNNNNNNNNNNNNNNNNNNNNNNNNNNNNNNNNNNNNNNNNNNNNNNNNNNNNNNNNNNNNNNNNNNNNNNNNNNNNNNNNNNNNNNNNNNNNNNNNNNNNNNNNNNNNNNNNNNNNNNNNNNNNNNNNNNNNNNNNNNNNNNNNNNNNNNNNNNNNNNNNNNNNNNNNNNNNNNNNNNNNNNNNNNNNNNNNNNNNNNNNNNNNNNNNNNNNNNNNNNNNNNNNNNNNNNNNNNNNNNNNNNNNNNNNNNNNNNNNNNNNNNNNNNNNNNNNNNNNNNNNNNNNNNNNNNNNNNNNNNNNNNNNNNNNNNNNNNNNNNNNNNNNNNNNNNNNNNNNNNNNNNNNNNNNNNNNNNNNNNNNNNNNNNNNNNNNNNNNNNNNNNNNNNNNNNNNNNNNNNNNNNNNNNNNNNNNNNNNNNNNNNNNNNNNNNNNNNNNNNNNNNNNNNNNNNNNNNNNNNNNNNNNNNNNNNNNNNNNNNNNNNNNNNNNNNNNNNNNNNNNNNNNNNNNNNNNNNNNNNNNNNNNNNNNNNNNNNNNNNNNNNNNNNNNNNNNNNNNNNNNNNNNNNNNNNNNNNNNNNNNNNNNNNNNNNNNNNNNNNNNNNNNNNNNNNNNNNNNNNNNNNNNNNNNNNNNNNNNNNNNNNNNNNNNNNNNNNNNNNNNNNNNNNNNNNNNNNNNNNNNNNNNNNNNNNNNNNNNNNNNNNNNNNNNNNNNNNNNNNNNNNNNNNNNNNNNNNNNNNNNNNNNNNNNNNNNNNNNNNNNNNNNNNNNNNNNNNNNNNNNNNNNNNNNNNNNNNNNNNNNNNNNNNNNNNNNNNNNNNNNNNNNNNNNNNNNNNNNNNNNNNNNNNNNNNNNNNNNNNNNNNNNNNNNNNNNNNNNNNNNNNNNNNNNNNNNNNNNNNNNNNNNNNNNNNNNNNNNNNNNNNNNNNNNNNNNNNNNNNNNNNNNNNNNNNNNNNNNNNNNNNNNNNNNNNNNNNNNNNNNNNNNNNNNNNNNNNNNNNNNNNNNNNNNNNNNNNNNNNNNNNNNNNNNNNNNNNNNNNNNNNNNNNNNNNNNNNNNNNNNNNNNNNNNNNNNNNNNNNNNNNNNNNNNNNNNNNNNNNNNNNNNNNNNNNNNNNNNNNNNNNNNNNNNNNNNNNNNNNNNNNNNNNNNNNNNNNNNNNNNNNNNNNNNNNNNNNNNNNNNNNNNNNNNNNNNNNNNNNNNNNNNNNNNNNNNNNNNNNNNNNNNNNNNNNNNNNNNNNNNNNNNNNNNNNNNNNNNNNNNNNNNNNNNNNNNNNNNNNNNNNNNNNNNNNNNNNNNNNNNNNNNNNNNNNNNNNNNNNNNNNNNNNNNNNNNNNNNNNNNNNNNNNNNNNNNNNNNNNNNNNNNNNNNNNNNNNNNNNNNNNNNNNNNNNNNNNNNNNNNNNNNNNNNNNNNNNNNNNNNNNNNNNNNNNNNNNNNNNNNNNNNNNNNNNNNNNNNNNNNNNNNNNNNNNNNNNNNNNNNNNNNNNNNNNNNNNNNNNNNNNNNNNNNNNNNNNNNNNNNNNNNNNNNNNNNNNNNNNNNNNNNNNNNNNNNNNNNNNNNNNNNNNNNNNNNNNNNNNNNNNNNNNNNNNNNNNNNNNNNNNNNNNNNNNNNNNNNNNNNNNNNNNNNNNNNNNNNNNNNNNNNNNNNNNNNNNNNNNNNNNNNNNNNNNNNNNNNNNNNNNNNNNNNNNNNNNNNNNNNNNNNNNNNNNNNNNNNNNNNNNNNNNNNNNNNNNNNNNNNNNNNNNNNNNNNNNNNNNNNNNNNNNNNNNNNNNNNNNNNNNNNNNNNNNNNNNNNNNNNNNNNNNNNNNNNNNNNNNNNNNNNNNNNNNNNNNNNNNNNNNNNNNNNNNNNNNNNNNNNNNNNNNNNNNNNNNNNNNNNNNNNNNNNNNNNNNNNNNNNNNNNNNNNNNNNNNNNNNNNNNNNNNNNNNNNNNNNNNNNNNNNNNNNNNNNNNNNNNNNNNNNNNNNNNNNNNNNNNNNNNNNNNNNNNNNNNNNNNNNNNNNNNNNNNNNNNNNNNNNNNNNNNNNNNNNNNNNNNNNNNNNNNNNNNNNNNNNNNNNNNNNNNNNNNNNNNNNNNNNNNNNNNNNNNNNNNNNNNNNNNNNNNNNNNNNNNNNNNNNNNNNNNNNNNNNNNNNNNNNNNNNNNNNNNNNNNNNNNNNNNNNNNNNNNNNNNNNNNNNNNNNNNNNNNNNNNNNNNNNNNNNNNNNNNNNNNNNNNNNNNNNNNNNNNNNNNNNNNNNNNNNNNNNNNNNNNNNNNNNNNNNNNNNNNNNNNNNNNNNNNNNNNNNNNNNNNNNNNNNNNNNNNNNNNNNNNNNNNNNNNNNNNNNNNNNNNNNNNNNNNNNNNNNNNNNNNNNNNNNNNNNNNNNNNNNNNNNNNNNNNNNNNNNNNNNNNNNNNNNNNNNNNNNNNNNNNNNNNNNNNNNNNNNNNNNNNNNNNNNNNNNNNNNNNNNNNNNNNNNNNNNNNNNNNNNNNNNNNNNNNNNNNNNNNNNNNNNNNNNNNNNNNNNNNNNNNNNNNNNNNNNNNNNNNNNNNNNNNNNNNNNNNNNNNNNNNNNNNNNNNNNNNNNNNNNNNNNNNNNNNNNNNNNNNNNNNNNNNNNNNNNNNNNNNNNNNNNNNNNNNNNNNNNNNNNNNNNNNNNNNNNNNNNNNNNNNNNNNNNNNNNNNNNNNNNNNNNNNNNNNNNNNNNNNNNNNNNNNNNNNNNNNNNNNNNNNNNNNNNNNNNNNNNNNNNNNNNNNNNNNNNNNNNNNNNNNNNNNNNNNNNNNNNNNNNNNNNNNNNNNNNNNNNNNNNNNNNNNNNNNNNNNNNNNNNNNNNNNNNNNNNNNNNNNNNNNNNNNNNNNNNNNNNNNNNNNNNNNNNNNNNNNNNNNNNNNNNNNNNNNNNNNNNNNNNNNNNNNNNNNNNNNNNNNNNNNNNNNNNNNNNNNNNNNNNNNNNNNNNNNNNNNNNNNNNNNNNNNNNNNNNNNNNNNNNNNNNNNNNNNNNNNNNNNNNNNNNNNNNNNNNNNNNNNNNNNNNNNNNNNNNNNNNNNNNNNNNNNNNNNNNNNNNNNNNNNNNNNNNNNNNNNNNNNNNNNNNNNNNNNNNNNNNNNNNNNNNNNNNNNNNNNNNNNNNNNNNNNNNNNNNNNNNNNNNNNNNNNNNNNNNNNNNNNNNNNNNNNNNNNNNNNNNNNNNNNNNNNNNNNNNNNNNNNNNNNNNNNNNNNNNNNNNNNNNNNNNNNNNNNNNNNNNNNNNNNNNNNNNNNNNNNNNNNNNNNNNNNNNNNNNNNNNNNNNNNNNNNNNNNNNNNNNNNNNNNNNNNNNNNNNNNNNNNNNNNNNNNNNNNNNNNNNNNNNNNNNNNNNNNNNNNNNNNNNNNNNNNNNNNNNNNNNNNNNNNNNNNNNNNNNNNNNNNNNNNNNNNNNNNNNNNNNNNNNNNNNNNNNNNNNNNNNNNNNNNNNNNNNNNNNNNNNNNNNNNNNNNNNNNNNNNNNNNNNNNNNNNNNNNNNNNNNNNNNNNNNNNNNNNNNNNNNNNNNNNNNNNNNNNNNNNNNNNNNNNNNNNNNNNNNNNNNNNNNNNNNNNNNNNNNNNNNNNNNNNNNNNNNNNNNNNNNNNNNNNNNNNNNNNNNNNNNNNNNNNNNNNNNNNNNNNNNNNNNNNNNNNNNNNNNNNNNNNNNNNNNNNNNNNNNNNNNNNNNNNNNNNNNNNNNNNNNNNNNNNNNNNNNNNNNNNNNNNNNNNNNNNNNNNNNNNNNNNNNNNNNNNNNNNNNNNNNNNNNNNNNNNNNNNNNNNNNNNNNNNNNNNNNNNNNNNNNNNNNNNNNNNNNNNNNNNNNNNNNNNNNNNNNNNNNNNNNNNNNNNNNNNNNNNNNNNNNNNNNNNNNNNNNNNNNNNNNNNNNNNNNNNNNNNNNNNNNNNNNNNNNNNNNNNNNNNNNNNNNNNNNNNNNNNNNNNNNNNNNNNNNNNNNNNNNNNNNNNNNNNNNNNNNNNNNNNNNNNNNNNNNNNNNNNNNNNNNNNNNNNNNNNNNNNNNNNNNNNNNNNNNNNNNNNNNNNNNNNNNNNNNNNNNNNNNNNNNNNNNNNNNNNNNNNNNNNNNNNNNNNNNNNNNNNNNNNNNNNNNNNNNNNNNNNNNNNNNNNNNNNNNNNNNNNNNNNNNNNNNNNNNNNNNNNNNNNNNNNNNNNNNNNNNNNNNNNNNNNNNNNNNNNNNNNNNNNNNNNNNNNNNNNNNNNNNNNNNNNNNNNNNNNNNNNNNNNNNNNNNNNNNNNNNNNNNNNNNNNNNNNNNNNNNNNNNNNNNNNNNNNNNNNNNNNNNNNNNNNNNNNNNNNNNNNNNNNNNNNNNNNNNNNNNNNNNNNNNNNNNNNNNNNNNNNNNNNNNNNNNNNNNNNNNNNNNNNNNNNNNNNNNNNNNNNNNNNNNNNNNNNNNNNNNNNNNNNNNNNNNNNNNNNNNNNNNNNNNNNNNNNNNNNNNNNNNNNNNNNNNNNNNNNNNNNNNNNNNNNNNNNNNNNNNNNNNNNNNNNNNNNNNNNNNNNNNNNNNNNNNNNNNNNNNNNNNNNNNNNNNNNNNNNNNNNNNNNNNNNNNNNNNNNNNNNNNNNNNNNNNNNNNNNNNNNNNNNNNNNNNNNNNNNNNNNNNNNNNNNNNNNNNNNNNNNNNNNNNNNNNNNNNNNNNNNNNNNNNNNNNNNNNNNNNNNNNNNNNNNNNNNNNNNNNNNNNNNNNNNNNNNNNNNNNNNNNNNNNNNNNNNNNNNNNNNNNNNNNNNNNNNNNNNNNNNNNNNNNNNNNNNNNNNNNNNNNNNNNNNNNNNNNNNNNNNNNNNNNNNNNNNNNNNNNNNNNNNNNNNNNNNNNNNNNNNNNNNNNNNNNNNNNNNNNNNNNNNNNNNNNNNNNNNNNNNNNNNNNNNNNNNNNNNNNNNNNNNNNNNNNNNNNNNNNNNNNNNNNNNNNNNNNNNNNNNNNNNNNNNNNNNNNNNNNNNNNNNNNNNNNNNNNNNNNNNNNNNNNNNNNNNNNNNNNNNNNNNNNNNNNNNNNNNNNNNNNNNNNNNNNNNNNNNNNNNNNNNNNNNNNNNNNNNNNNNNNNNNNNNNNNNNNNNNNNNNNNNNNNNNNNNNNNNNNNNNNNNNNNNNNNNNNNNNNNNNNNNNNNNNNNNNNNNNNNNNNNNNNNNNNNNNNNNNNNNNNNNNNNNNNNNNNNNNNNNNNNNNNNNNNNNNNNNNNNNNNNNNNNNNNNNNNNNNNNNNNNNNNNNNNNNNNNNNNNNNNNNNNNNNNNNNNNNNNNNNNNNNNNNNNNNNNNNNNNNNNNNNNNNNNNNNNNNNNNNNNNNNNNNNNNNNNNNNNNNNNNNNNNNNNNNNNNNNNNNNNNNNNNNNNNNNNNNNNNNNNNNNNNNNNNNNNNNNNNNNNNNNNNNNNNNNNNNNNNNNNNNNNNNNNNNNNNNNNNNNNNNNNNNNNNNNNNNNNNNNNNNNNNNNNNNNNNNNNNNNNNNNNNNNNNNNNNNNNNNNNNNNNNNNNNNNNNNNNNNNNNNNNNNNNNNNNNNNNNNNNNNNNNNNNNNNNNNNNNNNNNNNNNNNNNNNNNNNNNNNNNNNNNNNNNNNNNNNNNNNNNNNNNNNNNNNNNNNNNNNNNNNNNNNNNNNNNNNNNNNNNNNNNNNNNNNNNNNNNNNNNNNNNNNNNNNNNNNNNNNNNNNNNNNNNNNNNNNNNNNNNNNNNNNNNNNNNNNNNNNNNNNNNNNNNNNNNNNNNNNNNNNNNNNNNNNNNNNNNNNNNNNNNNNNNNNNNNNNNNNNNNNNNNNNNNNNNNNNNNNNNNNNNNNNNNNNNNNNNNNNNNNNNNNNNNNNNNNNNNNNNNNNNNNNNNNNNNNNNNNNNNNNNNNNNNNNNNNNNNNNNNNNNNNNNNNNNNNNNNNNNNNNNNNNNNNNNNNNNNNNNNNNNNNNNNNNNNNNNNNNNNNNNNNNNNNNNNNNNNNNNNNNNNNNNNNNNNNNNNNNNNNNNNNNNNNNNNNNNNNNNNNNNNNNNNNNNNNNNNNNNNNNNNNNNNNNNNNNNNNNNNNNNNNNNNAGUGGUGAUGUUUUUGGUUUCGAAUGGAUCUAAUCAUUCCUAAACUUAUUCUAAAAGGAUUUUCAAUAUGGUUCUAAAUGAGUGGUUGGUUUAAUAAAUAUGUUCUAAGGUCUUAAAAAAUUCUGAGGUGAUUGACUUAUGCAACUCAAUUUUUAAUCAAUUAUAAGUGUAGUCAAGAAUGAGUACGUGCUUGAAUUGUUCAAAAGACAAGUAUAAAUUAAUAGGAUUCAUAAAUAAUUAAAAAUCUGAGUGUCCAUAGGAAUCGAUUUACAUUUUCAUCAGUUGAUAUGAAUUACUUUGUCCAAGUCAAAUCACACAGAAGUAUACAUAAUAAAGUUAUUUAUUUAUUUAUUUUUUUCAAAAUUUUUAACGAGUUUUCCUGUUUUGACUCAAAAUUAAACCUAAAUUAAUCACACACAAAUUAUUCAUGUCCUCCAAAUUUAAUUUCUACAUUGUCCUCGUAAUGCUAUAAAGCCUAAAUUAUCGAAAUUAAAUAAAAGAUAGAAAAUUUGGACUUGCCUGAUAAGUUUUGCGAGAUGGAGUUAGCCUUGAAACUAGAAGAAUAUUUUCCUUUACUUUAUCUUCUCUCCUCCUUCAAAGGAAUUUCUCGUUCUUUGUGCCUAUUUUCGACGAAUAAGAUUGUAAGUUACUUUAACAAAAAAAUAAUAAGUAAUUAUAAUCAAGAUUCCAAUAAAAGAGCAACACAUCAACUACUUAAUCCAUCUAUCUCAAUUUAGUAUAACAAAAUUAGAAAAAUUCCAAAGAAAAAAAUCUUAUGUAAUACUAUUGAGUGAAACUUAAACUUUUCAUGAUUUUUAAAAACAUUGAACAUACUGAUGAUGAAAAAGUUGGUGAUUAUGUGAAUUUGGGUGUCAAAUAUAUGGAGGAGGGAGAGAAUUUUGAAAUUUUGAAGUUAAAACUUAUUAAAGUUAAAAAAAUAAAUAAAUAAAAAAUAGAUCUCUUAUACCAUUUCCAGCACUGCACCAAAUUUUGCAUCAAAUUUUACACCAAAUCUUACACCAAACUAAAAUUUAUCUCCAACUAUUACACUAAAAUUUGCACCAAAUGAACAGUAUUUAACCAUUUUCUUCCCCUUUUUAUUCUUAAUAAUUUAUUUAUUUGAAAUAUUAUUUACAUAAUAUUUUAUAAAUACAAAAAUUACUAAAUAAAUAAUUACAUUAAAUUACAAAAAAGAUUAAAUUCAUUAAUAAAUAUAAAAAAAAUAGUACAAUUAAUAAAAACACUACAACAAUGAUAAUAUUAAAUCAUGCCAUUAAAAAAUAGUGCAAUGCAUUUCGAAUUAAGAUAUUACGAUAUUACGAAGUCGAAAUAUUAUUGCAAUUUAAUUCUCUGAAUUCAUAUCGUUUUCUUUAAAUAAAAUUAGAUUAUCAUACGUAUGUCGUCAUUUAAUAUAUUUCAUUUUUAAUUUAAGAAACAAUCGUGUUUGUUAUAUUUUAAAUUUUUUCUUCUUUUAAUUAAUAUAUUGAUUAUUAUUUUUUAUAUUUAAAAUACAAAUAAUAAUAUUAAUAAUUUAUUGUAUUAAAAAAUAUAUAGCACAAGACACAAAUAUCCUUAAUCAAUUUGUUUGGAAAAGGAAAAGCAAGGGCAAAAAUGAUAUUAUAUACUUUGCACCAUUUGCACCAAAAUGGUGCAAAGCUUGGUGCCACAUUGGAGGAAAUUUGCACCAAAAUUUGGAGCAUUUUAGUGAAAUGGUGCAUACAUUGGAGAUAGCCUUAGUUCAUUUUCUAUGUUUGACCACGGUUGACCACGAUAAACAACAAACUUUUAGUGAUUGUAUUGCAUCGCAGUUGACCGCGGUCAACCAUAUUGUUUAUUUUAAUUUUUUGCAGUGGUAUUAGAAUGACGACUCCAAAAAUAAUAAAAAAAUUUAAAACAAAAUUUAUUUUAACUAAAUAAUAAUUAAACAUGCCUAAUACUAAAUGCAAUUGUGUUAUUUAUAAUCUUGUACAUGUCUAAUUCCUGAAUUUGUCUUGCAUCUUUUACAUGCUUCAUGAAAACUCCCUAAAUUUGCCUGUUGAAAUGUCGAGAUCUCAUGACUUUUAGUUACCUUUGACAUUGGAAAGUACUCUGUGAAACACUUAUGUACCAUAUCAUCAUCCUAAUGCUUUCUUCGCCCGGUGAAUCCAAUCAUUCUCUGGCUUUAUAACAAAGAGUAUGUAGGAAGAGUCUCAAUUAAUUGCUUCAUUGGAUACUCCAUGAAAAUUGUAGUUUUAGUAGAUGUCCAAGAAGCGUGAGAUAUAAUUAUGUAGAUUCCCAUAAUGUUGAAAUAAAACAAAAAAGAUUAAAAGAUAUCACCGAGUUUAAUUACAAUAAACAUGAUAAAAGUUACUCCUCGCUUUCAUUGAUUUUUGCCAUACGAUUCCAAAAAUAUUUUUCGUUUCCUUCCUUGUGUAUCGUAAAUCUCUCGAUAAUUAGUUGAUGUAAUAUGAUAUAUUUUCUUCAAUUUUGCUGUCUAGCCAUCUUUUCUCUUCCAUCACAUUUUUCUGCGUCUUCCUUUUUGUCAUCCUUCCUCUAUGUCUUCUGCUUUUUUCUUUUAUUUGCCUAUCGCCAGCUUCUGUUUACUUUAAAAAAGGAUUCUAAUUCCUUUGGAUUUGAUUCCCAACUAAUUCUAUGUUUCAAGGCCCAUUUGAUGUAUUAUUUCUCUCCAAGGCCUCACUUUUUUCGAAUAAUGUAAUUUAGUCCUUGAUAAAAAUUCAUUUGUGCAGCUCACAUCCUCUUUAUUUCAAAUCAAGCCCUUCAAUUUCUAAAGUGCUGAAUUUGAUCUCAAAGCUGUAGAUUUCAUUCAUUUUCGUCAUUCUUAACCAAUAUUUAGUCCAAUCCCAAAUUUUCUCCUGACAUAAUCCAAAAAUACGAAUAAUUAAGUGUUAAGUUCACUAUAAUACUAACGAAAGACACUUUUUGUGGCUUAAAUAAGUGUAAAUUUAAUACUUAUUCAUAUCCACCUUCACAUCUACUCCUUUAUUUUUAUUUUUAUUGUUUUUUUACUCAUUUGCACACAAUGAAUUUUGUCAUUUCCAGUGUGUCUUCAAUUUCCUAGACCUAAACAAAAUGCAUGGAUUCCAUAUUAGCAUUUAUAUCUUGUUGCCAUAAAUCUGCAUUGACAUAAUCUAUGGCCUCUUCAUAUGAAGUCUUAUUAUCUACUUGUAUUGUGGACAUCAUCUGUUUGGACUGUCCAACUAACAAGUACGUGCAAAGUCUUUUAAUGACCUUAUAACCUUAGCUAAGAGGUUGUAGCUCCUAGAUUGUGGCGUUAUAUGGAAUCACAAUGUUUUCAUCAAAGCGAGUAUCACCAUCAGGUUGACUCCAUUACUUCCUCAUUACUUUUGACAAUUUCUUCAUCUAUAGGAUCAUAUGAAAGAUCAUAGCUCCUACUCUGAUCAUGAUGUCUUAAUAUUCCUAAAACUGUAGGUUGGUUUUCAUCAAAGCUAGCAUCACCAUUAAGUUGACUCCAUUACAUCGUCAGUUUCAACAAUUUCUUCAUCUAUAGGAUCACACGAAAGAUCAUCCCUCCUACUUUUAUCAUGUUGUCUUAGUAUUCCUAAACUGUAGGUUUGUUUGUCACCGGGCUGUGUUUCUAGAAUUGAUAUCGUAGAAUUAUCCUCACUCAUUUCUUCCAAAACAACCUUAUUUUGGUUUGAAAGGACAUAGAUUGAACACAAAGUCAUAAAUAUUAGUCUAGAAUUUCAUGUUAAAACUAAAUAGUGACAUUACAAAUAUUAGAAAAAUCAAAGUUCACUUAUAAUCAUUACAUGCAAUAAUAUGAUACAAAUAUUUUAGAGCUAACCUAUUAGCCAAUGCCAAUUUGAGCCACAUUCGCAGCUGUAACACAUUAUUGAUUCUCCAUAUAAAGAUAAGAAUAUAGUGAAUGUAUUCAUUAAUUACAAUCACAAUAUAAAGCAAUUAAUAAAAAAACGAAUAAGAAGAUCAAAUACGAUAAUUUAUUCUACAGUUUUCUGUGAUCAUCCAAUACUUCUACAUUAUUCAAAUAUUGACGAAUUGUUAUAAGUUCCUUAUUACUCUACAACAUUUUAGGGCAAAUCAUCGCCUCAACCAUCUUUAAGCUCAACCAACUCCUAAAAGAAUAAAAAAAAAAAAAAUUCAACAACUAAUAGGGAAUAUAAAUUCAGUAAUUUUGGAUAUUUGAAUAGCUAACACAUAUUUGACAAUUUUCGAAGGUAAUCUCAUACUUAUUUGCAUUCAAUUUCCACCAAAGUAAUAGGUUGAAAGGCUCAUUAGUCAAAUCUUGACAAUAAUCAUUUAAGUAAUCUAUCAAAUUAUUCUAUCGAUUAAUAGUAAAAUUCAACAAGUAAGUUUAAAUAUAAAUAAUAAAUCAUAUGAUCUAACCAGAAAAUUGAGAUGUAAAUAAACAAAUAGUAUCGUCUAAAAAAGUUAAGGGCUUGGACAAAUCACAACAAAACAAAACAAUUAUCAAUAAAAUAUAAUAAACAAUUACAAAAAAAUAAGAAAAUUUGGAUAAACUUACAUGGAAAUUUAGGCAAAAUUUGAGAAAAAAUAUUAAUAGAAGGAAAAGAAAUGGUGUGAGUUUAUUAAAAUUUAAUUGUCUACUCAAUGCAAUGGACGGUUGAUGAUUAUGGUUUGAAAAAAGUUCAAUACUUCAACCAAUUUGAGGAGUUUUCUUUCACAAUUGUGAUGACUUAUGGGUACUUAUUAUUUUAUUCAUUGGAAUGGAUAGUUGUCUAAUUGGGUAUUGAAUUUAACUGGGUUGGAUAUAAUAUGGAUAUAUAUUUUGAAUUUGGAUGCUUUAAGUUUCAGUUGUGUUGAAUAAAAUUUAAAGUCACUUAUUUUUCAAUUAUUUUUACUUGUUGUAUUGAUUUGACAAUUUGAAAUGGUUUGCAAAAAUUGAAAUCUAAAUAAAACUAAUUUGAAACGAUUUGGUUCAAUCCAAAAUCAAAAUGUUGAGGGAUCUAUGUGAACCCAAUUCAGCGAUUUCAAAAACUAGUUUCAGUUGAUUUCACGGUUUGACAAUUUCGCUAUCCGACCCUAGUAAUAGCUGUUUUUAUUAAAAUAAUGGAUUUUUGCUUAAAGUUGAAAAGUGCUUGUUGACCAAUAAAAUUUCUUUAUAAGUUAUUUUAAAGAAGCUCAAAUUCUUCAGAAAGCUUUGUAUCUAGGGAUGGCAAUGGCUCAACUCGGCCCGUAUACGCAUGAGCUCGGCUCGCACUCAUGGCUCAUUUUCAACUAGAAGAGUUUGAGCUCGGCUCGUUGCUUCUGUGCGAGCUCAACACGGCCCACGAGAGUCGAGCUUUGGCUCACGAGCUCGUCCUUUUUUUUUUUAACGGAAAAAACAAAUGAAUACAAAUGUAUUUUUAAAAAAAAUAAUUUAAUAAGGACAAUUUAUUUAUUUAUAUCAUAUAGUAAUAUUUUCUAUAAAGUAUUAAAUAUUUAUAUAAUGAAAACAAUUUUUUUUUGAAAUAUAUAUAUAUAUAUAAAAUACAUUUUUUUCAUUUUCUUUUUGAAAUAGAUAAAAUAUAAACCCUCCUCCUUUAUUCGGGUUUGGGAUCGAUUACAUCAAUUUUAAGUAAGUGGAUUUAAAAAUUAUACACGAAAAACUUGUUGGUUACGUGUACAAUUUUUUAAAGAAAAUUAAAUAUAACAAUUAAAAAAUAAGAAAUUUUGAUUAAUAUAAUUAAAUCAAAUAUCACUUACCUGACGACAUACAGUUUCAGUAUAUUUAUCUUAUAGUCGAAAAUGAGCGUUCUGUCAAUUCUUCAAGCAUAUUAGAGCUUCCAAAACAUAUUCUUUCAGCCAGCUCCUGACAUCGGUCAAAACCCCUUUUAUCUGCACUAAAAACAGGCUCAGAAAUACCAGUGCUAAUCGGAGGUGUCAGUAGAUCUUUCGCAAUUGCAGAAACAAUUGACCAACGUCUUUCAUACUUUUGCCAGAAUUCAAUUACUUCUUCUGAACUUUUUUUUAAUUUUUUUGUUUGUUGGCAUAUUCUGAUUGAAGUAAUCAAUUAAUUUGGCAAACAUCGCAUUUUGAGUUGCGACCGAUGUUUGAUGAGAUGCAAAUGUAGACGACAUGGCACUAGAUGAACAAAUUGUAGUUGCAUCAUAUCUAUAUGUAUUAAUGCCUUGAAAUAAAUUCAUUAUUUCGACAUCAUCUUUUUCAAUUUCAGCCGAAGACGUAGGUGCAAAGAGUACCCGACUAACAUUCACACACAUUCAGUCUGUAUAUAAUUCAUACAUUUUACAUAAUGUUUGUUCUAAAUUCCUAUAGGUGAUAGGUGUAUCAAAUGUUAAUGCUUUAUUGAUUUGAUCAAUUAUGUAUUUAGUUUCCGAUAAAUUAUAUCGGGGGUCCAUUACGCAUGCUAAAAGAAAUAACAUAGGCAGGUCUUCCAAAUAUUUUUUAAACUUUAAUUCCAUCACAAUUAUAAUUUCACUAAAAUCAUGAUCAUUUUUAUAUUUUUGGAAUGUUCUUGUAAUUAUAUAAAGGCGUUCAAGUACCAUAUAGCUUGUGGGGAAAUAAACGCCCGAUAAAAUUUUUGUGGUUUCAUAAAAUGAUGUCAAAAAUCUUUUAACUUUCAAAGCUAGUAUCCAAUUGGAUCAUUCAACAUAACAUCGCCAUCGCUUCUAACGUGUCUGUUGUUAUAAAAGUUAGUUAUUAAAAUAUUCGAAACAUUCACAUGACUUUAAUAGCAAGUAAGUAGAGUUCAUCUAUGGCUUACAUCGCUAACAAAUGUUUUAACAGUUGUCACUCCUAUUUCGGCACAAUAAUCUUCAAAUGCUUGUUUUCUACUAGAAGAGAUCGUGAUAUAUACUAGUGCAUUCCUAAUACUUUAAAGUUCAUCCUUUAUAUAUUGAAAGUCACCUUACACAAUUACAUUCAAAAUAUAACACACACAACGAAUAUUAAAUAAAUACUCAACGAAAUCAGGUUGCAGUAUCCUACACAAUUUAUCGACAAUUACCUUAUUAACACUAGCAUUAUCGAAAGUAAAAGACCGAAUUUUAGUCUCACAAUUAUAUUCUCUAACAAUAAUGAUAAUAUCAUUAUAUAUAUUAUUAGUAUUGCGAGGAAACUUAAUAAUUCUAAAAGCAAUAAUUUUUUAUGCAUGUACCAAAGUGGGUCUAUAUAGUGUGUGGUUGCAGCUAUAUAGGCUUUUUUAUUAACCACUUCCCAUAUAUUUGAAGUUAAAGAUAUAACACCCCCAUAUUAUUGCAAAGCCAUAAUUAAUUGUUGUUUCGAAUUAUUGAAAUAUUGUAUUGUAUCGACGCGAAGAGCGUUUCGAAUUACCCCAAAGUACAUUGGUUGCAAAUAUUCUUUUACGAAUGAGAUGAAGUGUUGGUUGUCGACAAUAGCCAGAGACAACUCAGUGGCUGCAACAAAUUUCACCAUUCCAGUUUGAUCUUUCUCCUCCGAAUACACUCACGUGGAUAGGGGUAAAGUCGUAGAAUCGAUCCUUAGACUGCCAAAUUGCAAUUGUAUUUGAUCGGCUAGAAGAAGUCCAUGUCUGACCAUACAUGCUUUGUAGUAAUGGUUGAGAUGGGUGGUACCAAUUCCUUUUCACCAUGCCAAUAUUUGUUGGCAGUAUUUAUAUACUGCUUUAGAUUCUAUGAGAUUAUUGACGACUUUUUCCGUUGAAAUCAAUUUAAAGUAAUCCCAACAUUUUUCCUUUUUUCUUCCUUUCGUUUUUCCCUAGCAUCUGGAAUGUUUAAUUCGGGCUCUUUAUUCUCAUGUUCCGCUUCGGGAACAUCAAUAUCAUCCAAAUCAAUUAAAUUGUGGCUUCCAUGACCGUGAAUGUCAACGUCUUCAUGUAUGAUUACGUCAUUUAGACCGGCAAAUUCAUUCUGAAAUUGACUUUGUGGCGUCUUAGGUGAUUUGUCAUGUGGCCCACAUUCUGUAUUGAACAAGCUCUCAACAAAUGAGCGUUAAUCCAUUUGUUUGAUUAUUUGUGAUAAAAUCUAAAUAUAAAACUAGUAAAAAUAUAAAUGUAGUGAGAAACGAGAAUUGGACGAAUUUUCAAUAAAUAAAGUGAGAAAUGAGAAUUUGAUGAAUUGAAACUAAAUAAACUGUAAAAAAUGAUCAAUAUAAUAUAAUGAUAGAUAAUUGACUAAGUAAUCGAGGCUGUUUUGCACAAGAGAGUUGAAACUUGAUAUAAAGAGAGUUGAGAAUUGAGAUGAAAAAAUUGGGUGUUAAUAAGACUAUUUAAUAGAAGUGAGAAAAAAAAAAUCAGUGACCGAAACAGUUACUUUUUCAAAAAAAGUGACCAUUUCGAUCACUUACAAUUAAUGAGCCAGGAGCCGAACGGCUUACCAUUGUGCAGCCAAGCGGGCUUAGCUCGACCAACACACCGGCCCUCUCUGCUCGCGCUUGAGCUCGUAUUUUUACGAGUCUGAGCCAUCCACAAGCCCCCCGUUUUCGCGAGUCGACAAGCCGCUCGACCCAAUUGUCAUCCCUAUUUGUAUCCAAGAAAUUUGAAAUAUGUAUUUAAUAUAACUUUUCAAUUAAUGAAAUUAUCCUUAUUAAUAUAUUAAAAUACAAAUAUAUCCAAACUAUCUUAACAUCGAAAUAACAAUGGAAUAAUAUAAGAACUUUUAUAAUUUAAACUUUCCUUUUGAAAGGUUUACAAAUAUGUUUCUAUCUUAUUUUUAGUAUUAUUUAUCAUUUUAACUAUUAAAUGUCACAUACAAUCCCCAUUUCAAUUAGUUAAAAUAUAUAAUAAAAUAAAUAAUGUGAUCUACACAAAUAAAUAACUUGAUAUUCAUUUACAUAAUAAUACUUCGUUAUUUUAGUUAAAAUAAAUUUUAAUAGUUUCAAUGAAUGGAAAUAAAUAUUAUAUAUUAAUAAAUUAUUAAAAUUUAGCCACAUAAGUAUGUGGUCAGCACUUUUUAGUUACACUACCAAACAAUCUAUUUAGUACUCACAACAUUUUUCAGAUUGACUAUCAAACGAACAACUUUUUAUUAAAAGAUUUUCUUGAAAAGGCUCUACUAGUAAAAACUCUAUUGAUAAAGUUUUACACACAAUAGUCGUACUUAAUAGACCCUAAAAAGAUUAGAUGCAACGUCAUUCUCCAAUUUGACACAAUAACAAAGAUGUUGAUUUUUCAUUAAAUCUUAGUAGAUGGAAUGGCUGGGAUAUAAAAAGCAACAGUGGCUUAUUUAACACAUUUGAAAUUUAUUGACCAAAUAGUAACAGGUGGGAAAGUUUAGUGACCAUUUCGAUAAUUAACCCGACAUUACUCUAAAACAGAGUAUUAUUAUAUAAUUUUUGACCACUUAUAAUAAUGUUUUGUGUUUCUUGAUAGAUCCUUCUAUGACCAGUUUUAGUACUUUUCCAAACUAAAUAUUCUAUGACAUUUGUGGGACAUAGGAAAGAUAAUUGACAAUUGAUAUAUACAAAAUGACAAUUAGAGUCGUUAGGGUGAUUAGUGGUUAAAUAUGAACAUUGCGGGAAGUCUAAAAGCUAAAAUAUUUUUUUUAUAGAAGUCUUGCCAAAUGUUGAACGGCUUAAUUGCAAUUUGUUGGAGGAACUUUGUGAAUAGUGACGCCAAAAUAAGUAUAAUGAUGGUUUGUAAAUCCGUGCCGAAAGUUGGACAGAGUAACGGCAAAAAAAACACAAACAAGAAGAAGAAGAAAGUAGGGACAAAGCCGAGGCAAGAGUUGGACUCUUUGUCCUUAAGUCGAAUUUGCCCCGCAACGGUGCCUACGGAUUUCGGCAAUCGACUCCCAAGAUACAAUGGCUACACUUGUGUUUGUAGCACUCCAAAACACAAGUACAACGAACCAAAUUUAGGCUUAUGUACUCCAAGGAUGAAAUGAAGGAAAAUCAAAAUAAAUGAAAUGAUUUUGAUUUUGGAUAGAAGAGAGGAUGAGAGAUGUUUUGCAUAUCAAAUUGUGAGAAAUAGGACACCCAAAGGGUCCUAUUUAUAGACCAUGAAAGGGUGUGGACGAAAUGGUUGAUGCCAAACCAUGCACCCUUUCCAAACAAUGCACCUUUAUGAAAAGGUGUCUAUUCACCGGACAACCGUGCGGUUUACCAACCAUGCGGUCGCACGGUCCUCAAAAGGUCGAUCCCCGUUUGUGCGCCCGGAAGCGGCGAAGUGGCAAACAAAUUUGCCUAAACGGAUUGAGUCGAGCUUUUGAGUUUUUGGCCGAAGUCGAUACGAAGUCACUUUAAUCGAUUUUCAAUUCUCGAUUUAUUUAACCAAUAUCCAACACAAUUAAAUUACUUAAUUGUGAAAGGAGAUUUUGACUCUUCAGGAUCAUAUUCUCAAAAAAAUCUCCACGACUAGGGAAUUAUUUUCAUUUUAAAUAUAACGGAGAGAUGUCUAAUAAAUAAUAUGCCAAGGUUCGGGAAUUUUAUCGUGUCAGAGAUCUUAACUUUGUGAUUCUCACCUUAUUUUCAUAUAUAGUAAAAUUUUGUUGCAACACUAUUUUGUCUAAGAAUAUUUGAUUAAUUUUCUCACCACCUUUGUAUCUGAAAUUGAAAAAUUCAUAAAAUUGAAAAUUAUCAAACGAUAGAAGGAUUGUGUGCAAUAAAUAAAUAUUAUUGUUCCGGCAUAAUGCAUUAUUUUUCUUUCCGUAGCAGUAAUAUUAUGAAACUUGUACAAAAUAUUUUUCACAAAGUAAAUCGUUAGUUUUUGGUUCCUUUCAAGAAAAAUAGUAAAUUUUAAUCUAGAAUUAUUUAAUAAAAAAUUAGAAGUAAAUAACUUUGGGGACCAAUUUAGAAAUCUCUAAAAAAUUCCUCUCCAAUUUUAACAUUUUAAGAUUUAAACGGGCCAGUUACUAAAUACGUCCAUUUCUUUAUUAACAAACAAAUGUGGAACUGUGGAAGUCAAAUAUAAUAAAAAAUACAUAUCUAAUAAUUAACAUUCAAGGUUGAAUGUCAAAUGUUGAACGAAAUCUUAACAUUUCAUAAGAAUUUAGAGGAGAGAUAAAUUUAAGUCAAAUCUUGGUUGUUAAAAGGGAAAAUUUCAAAUAAUUAAAUCCAUCCUCUAUAUAUCUAAUAAUUUAAGAAUUUAAAUUAAAUUUUAAUAUAUAGUGUCGAAAAAUUAGACAAAAUGUCAUCAACUAAAGUCUCAUUGUUACUUUUAAAAUUUGUAUAUGUAUAAGAUCUUUAAUAAAAAAAUUAAUCCAAAAGUUGUGAAGAAUUUGGUCAAGCAAAAUGAAGAACCCAUUUUGCAAACUCAUAUUUGUAAAUGCAUGUUUUAUAAGCACCAGAGGCGGACCCACAUGGUGUCAUGUGGGAUCAAAUGACCUCACAGUUUUUUUCCCCCUGCUGAAAACGUAAUUUUAUGCUAAGUUGGUAAGUCAACCUAAUUAAUUUUCCUAGUCCAAUACCCAAAAAGCCUAAAUUCUAAAUCUAUAUCCAUAUCACAUUGUCCAUAUCCAUUAAUUAGUCCAUAAAUAUAUCAUAUAAUCCACCGAUUUCUUUCCAAAGUACAAACACCGAACAUGAACAGCAAACCACCGAUUUCUCCUUUUUGUUCAUGAUACAUUGUUCGAAAAAAAUUUCAUUUUUGACUCCACAGUUCGAACUGUUUGGGUCUGCCCCCGAUAAGCGCGUAUAAUGAAGAUUGAGAUGUAAACAAACUGGUGCAAGCCUCAUCCUAACUGUAAAAAAAUUGAAACUUCGACAAGGGAUCCCAACAAGUUGGUCCCACUUCUUUUUCCUAACUUUCCUUGGACGAUAACAAUUAAAAGUGAAACACUAACGAAAAGUUGGGGACCAACUUGAAAAAUGAGGCAAUAUGUUGGGGACCAACAGUGAAAUUUUUGCAGAUUUUGACAACUAUAUAUACGGGUCACAAGUGAGUCAUCUGAUAUUCCAAAAAUUUCUCAAAGCUAAUUGUCCCCUGCAUUCAUUGUCCCUAUAUUCCACGGAAGAAUGAAGGUACGCACACACACAUAGUUGACAUGCAAGAAAUGGAAAAGAAACCCUUGAACCUUCUUAUAUGUAUAUUUACUCUUUCAAUGUUUUUCAUGAUCAGCAAAAAGUGGUCAUUGAGAUCUCGUUAAAUGGCCAUAUCUCUCAAGGCAUCAUUGAGAUGUUGAUGUGCUGCGGAAGUCAAGAGUCGAACCAAGCUACGAAGAUUAGAACGAAGGCCAUGAAGAUUGCAGUUUGCAUCCCACGUAAGUUAAAUCUUUUUUAUGAGUAACAGAGACUGUGUUUGAGCUCUUUUUUUGGUGAAAAUGAGUUUUAUAAUAGUGAUUUUUUGGAGAAUGUUUUGUUAAAAAGUUUUAGAUUUAUGUAAGAAUUAUUUUAUUGAAAGAGUAGAAAUAUGUGGUUAAAAAUAAGUUUGAGAAAAAAAUAAAUUUUUAGAAAAUUGAGCUCAAAGACGGGCUGCAAAAGUAUCUUGCUUAGUACUUGAGACUUACACAUACAUCUAGGAAAUCAAACAAGUCCNNNNNNNNNNNNNNNNNNNNNNNNNNNNNNNNNNNNNNNNNNNNNNNNNNNNNNNNNNNNNNNUUCAAUAUUGUCUAAUCAACUUUAUCAGACAUGCAAUUAGAAAACUUCAACUUAGACAGUGUUAUUCACGUUAUUUUAUAGGGGUAGAGUCAGCAGCAAUGGAGGGGGAGGAAAUGAACAAGCUAACAGUGAUUGGCGAAGAUAUCGACACGGUGACUCUCGUCAAAUUGCUUAGGAAGAAUGUGUGCUUCGCGAAGAUCGUCAGUGUUGGCCCUACAGAGACUGCCAAUACUGCCGAGGACAAGAAUGAGGCCGCUGUGCAUCCCAAAUGCUAUAAUCAUGUGCCUCAUUAUCAAUUAUUGGAAAUCAGAGAACCCUACUAUACCCCCUCAUGUUUCAACUUUUGAGUGCUUAUUGGUUUUGAAUUUGUCCAAAAAAAAAAAAAAAUUAUAAUAAUAAAAUUAUGUUUUGCAAUGGAAAUUAAUAAAGUGACAAAUUUUGCUUGAAAUAAUCUUACAGAUAGAACAUAUUGUAUAAUUAUUGUUUGUUGUGGAAGCUCGCUUCAAGAUCUUCGAACAGUGAUUUUCUUGUUCAGUUUCGCAUUGGCUUUCUCUGACCCACAACCAAUCUAAACGUUUUCGACCCUCAACCAAUCUGUUUACCUUGAUUGCUUCUCAAUCUCAUCCAUAAAGAACAAGAUAACGGUGUUGAUUUGCAAGCCACAAAGAAACGAGAAAAAUAAUGAAUGAGGCACAAAGAAGAGACCAAAACGAAGGUGGAAGUCACUGGCUUUCACUCUCAAUUGCGCACAUUUUUCUCCAAUAGUAGGCAGCCAUGUUCUCUCUUUCAAAACAAAUCACACACUAAAAAAUAGCUAGCGCAAUACACCAGAUAUAUAGAUAUGGGUUAGGUUUUAGUCGGACCAAGAAAGGGGUUAAAUUGACUAAGAUUUAAGAGCCAUCCAAUAGAUUAUUAUAUGGGCAGUAAAUAACAUUAAUUUCUUAAGCUACUUUCAACUGUCCACGUUGUUUUCGUGUUGAGCCUUUAGACUUGGUUGUUAGCAAUCAAUUCAUCAUUGGCUGAGACCUGUGAAAAUAUAUUCCAACGUUUUACAUCAUCGCCCAAGAUUUAUUGGUUAUCAAAACCUAACAAAUUUUCACCUUGAUACCCAAUCAACCUGUAAGCAAUCAAAACCCAAAAUUAAUACUCACAUAAUCAAUGUAACCAAUAAAAUUGGAAUCAUAGACCUUACCUCGUGUUUCGGACCCAAAGUACAUACCAUACCUACUUCAUAUACUUACCAGGGCUAAGGUUAAAAAUUAUCCAAGUAGGAACAAGUAAUCACUGUAAUCAGUCAAGAGCAUAUAAACAUACAAUGAAAAUAUAAUAUAGGAUAACACAGAUCUUUUCAAACAUGUUCACACAGAGCAAUAGACUAACACCAAGUUAAUCAAUCUAAUGGCCAAAUGCUUAUGUAACAAAUGCAUAAAUUGACCCCAUGAAAAGAUCUUACCAUACUUAUCUUAUCCCAUUCUAUGUUGCUCACACAUCAAGAACAUAUAUCUCCUUCCAUCGCCCACCAUGAACACUAAAUUGAUUACUAAACUUAUGUCAAUUUGGUAAAUCAUAAUAGAUCCUAAGUCCACAGAAUAAUCCUCUAUCACCACUCCACUGCUCCCAAUCUAAGUGGAUAAAUAGUCUCCACCUAACAUAAGCGAUAGAAGUGUCUCUUUGACACUUUACCUGAUCAAAGUUUUCACAAAUAAAAGAUUCCAACAUUUAAUUACAUCUCCACUCGUGAUCCACAAAUCACACUCCUCAUCUUCUGUACAAACAACCAAUGCACGUCUUGGCAUCUAUAAUCUACCUUACCAAAAGACACUGCUAACGCACCCAACCUACUAUUCCUGCAAUCACAUUAUACCAAAUAAUCAAAUUGCUCUCAAAUUCAUGCAAAUAUAUAUAUCAAACACAUUGAGAUGCAAAAUAUAACCAUGCAACGGAUUUAAGCAAUCACACACAUGUAGAAGGAAUUACACAUAGAUGCACAUGUAGUAACUAGGUUUAUCUCAAUAAAUCUCGUUAGGGUCAUCACUCGAUCCAAAAGCAACAUUCUCCUCACCUUUCGUCUUACUCUUAUGCUUAUCCUUCUUACUGGGACAGUCCCUCACAAAGUAUAUAGACUUACCACAGCUGUAAACAGCUUACCAACAAGCUCGUCCCAACCCUUACCCUUCUAUCUCCAUCACCACCUGAGUCACUACUCAAAUCAGUAUUGUUUCAAGCUAUACCCAAACUUUUUUGCUUAAACUUCAUUCUACUCCUCAUUAUAUGUACCUUACCACUCCUCCUAUUGUUUCUUUAAGCCUUAAUCUCAAUUUCUUUAUUUAUAAGAGAAUCAAUGAUAAUCUUAGGUGUUAGGGUGUCCAUAUCAUACUUAAUCUCAUUCUUAACCUCCCUAAACAAGUUGGGCAUACAAUUCAACAAAAUAAUAGCACUAUAUGUUUUAGAUACGUUUUCAUCACAAUUAACAAUGUCUUAAACAAGUUUGUUUAAAAUAUCCAAUUUAUCGUCAAGAUCCUUUGAAUGAUCCAUUUUAAAACUGAAAAAAUCUUUCAAACAAGUACAACUUAUUAGAAGUAAACUUAAGCAGAUGUAAGUCCAACUUUUUUUAAACUUCUUUAGUAGAAUCAAAAUUUCCAACUUUUCUCAAAAUAGUAUAUGACGGAUGUAAAAUAGUUGAAGUGUAAGCAAAUUCGUCAUUUUUUUUUUCUUUUUGUGCUUUUGUCAAAUUAGCUUAAAAAAAUUACCAUCUUCAGCUUUUGAAACUUUUUGUUGAAUUAAAAUUCCCUCAACCUUUUAUUGCCAAAUUGAAAAAAUUCCCUUUCUAUUGAAAAUUUCAACUUCGAAAUGUGAAUUCAUUUUGAAAAUAUAGGACAACCAAAGUGCACAAAUAUGUCACACAAAGUGAUCUUAAAGCUGCAAUAUAUACCAUUCUCUAUUCUUAGGGUUUCAUUAGAUUCUAGAUCUCAGCAUUAAGGGAGUGACCAAAUGGGUCAAGUCCAGUGUUCUAAUAGAAUAAUCAAUAUAACACAAAUGUAUGUCAACAAAAAUUUAAUUUUUCACAUAAUGCAGUCUCACACAGUGAAAUUAAAACACAAAAGCAAUUAUAAAUUUGCAAUUAAAUCCGACAAUUUAAAUAUGGCGCAUAAAUCUUAAUUUUCUAGCACAAGGAAUGAUUAACACACACAGUAAUCCUAAUCCUAAUGCCACCCACAUGAUGAUUCGCUAAUACUGAAAUUUAAAUGAAAUAAGUCAAUAUACCAUAACAGACCAAUCUGUAGUCCAUAAAUAAUGAGAUGAAAAUUUUACUACUUUACAACCAACACUAUUCGCUAAUCUCCAAUAACCACGCCAACCAAUUGAGAAAAAAGAAUCCUAAGUGCACAAGGGGCAAAAUUGUCCAGAAUCUCAAUUUUUGCCUAAAAUAGAAAUCAAACACCACAAGGUCCAUCUCAUCAUGUGGAACAAUCUAUUGGAAGAUAACGUCAUUGGAAUCACCUCUACGCGUUCUUACAUGCAUUUAGUGGAGUUCCACGCCCUAUCUGACCACUUCAUGCGCCGAUCAUGGAGCUGUGCCUCCACCUAAACGUGAUUGCCAGCGGUUUUCAUUUCACCAACCAGUCAUUGGAUUGGCUCGAAACACAGAAAUAUGUUUUGUAGCCUUGAAGAAACUGGACAAAUCUGGUUUCUAUUUCGAUUCUACAAAUUUUCUAGUAUGUUGUUAGUCAAAAUUUUGAGCCACCUUGAAGCUCUAACCAAUUGUUGCAAAAGCUCGCUCCAAUAUCUUCAAAAUUGUUAUUUUUUAGCCCAGUCUCAUAUUAUCUUUCUCCAGUUCAAAUGGCACUAACUCACAAUCAAUCCAUUUACCACGGUUAGUUCUCAAUCUCACCCAUACAAGAUAAAUAAUGGUGUUGAUUUGCAAGCCAUGAAGACACGAGAAAAAAAUGAAUAAGGCACAAAGAUGAGACCAAAACGAAGGAAGAAGUCAUCGAUUUUUCACUCUUCAUUGCACAUGUUUUUCUUCAACAAUAAGCCGGCAUUUUUUUCUCUCUUUACUCUCAAAUCACACACUAAAAAAUGGCUAGGGCAAUACACCAUAUAUAGUGAUAUAGGUUACGCUUUAGUUGAACCAAGAAAGGGGAUAAAUGGGCCAAGAUCCAAGAGCUGUCCAAUAGGUAAAUAUAUGAGUCGUAAAUAGCAUUAAUUUCUUAAGCUACUUCCAAUGGUCCUUGUUGUUUUCGAGUUGAGCCACUAUACUUGGAUAUAGGUAAUCAAUUCACCAUUGGUCGAGGUAUGUGAAAAUACAUUCUGACGUUUUAUAUCAUUGUCCGAGAUUUAUUGAGUAGUCAAAAUCCAGCAUCGUUGAAAGAUAAUGAGAAAUAGGUAAAGGAGAGAACUCAACAAAUUGCAGAACCAAUAGGUUUUAAUACUUAAUUGUUGUACUCAAACGGUGUAGGAUGUUUUAUAGUGCUUAAAGAGAUUCACCAGCAAAUGAUUUGUAGAAUAAACAAGUAUUUAAAAAAAUUAAGUACGUGUGUUUUCUUCCAAGACUUGAUGAACAUUAAAAACAUUGAAUAUGUAUAAAAAUGGGAGAAAGAAACACUUAAGUGGAGUUUAAGAAUUGAUAUAUUAUGGUUAUAAUUGAAAACACUUAUUAUAGUUUUCCUAAAACAGUACACAGAUUAGUGCAUAACUUUUUUGAAAAGUUGUUAAUUUUCAUGAAAGCUACCAGGAUAUCAAAAUUGAAAACUAGACUAAUGACUAGUUCUUGUAACCAUGCAUACGCAUUGUUUAAGAAAUACAUGGCACAAAGAACAUGGGUUUAAAGUUGCCCACCCUCCAAUUUCUUCCCAUUUUGAUAUCAUAUUGAUUUUUCUUUUUCAAUGGUAAUUAAUUUUUCAAUUCUCCCUUCCAAUAUAAUUUUUGAACAAAAUAUAACAAUCCUCCAGUUGUUCAAAAUUAUAUGGAUCACAAAUAUAAAUUAUCAACAUUUACACAUAAGGUUUAGACAUCUUUCAAUUUGAAUCUUACUUUAGUGUAAUUCCCACAAAGUAUAAUCAAAAUUUCAGGUAGCAUAAUAGCUUUGAAACAAUUAUUACUUGUGAUGAAAUCGAUAAAAAUAUAUGCAUAAGUGUCAUGUGUUUCAUAGUUCCUCAAACUCGCUUAGAGCUAAUAUGAACUUAUGUUUAUCCUAUUCGUUGAGCUUUUAAGAGAGAAACUCUAAUUCUCUAUUGAGUUGCCUCAAAAUUUAUUUAGAUGAAGUUAUUUUGUUGCUUUGUUACUUUUAGAGUUACUUGUACUUUGUAUUGAAUUUCAUUAAGAGCUUAAAGCUCAACCCUCCUUUAAGUAUAACCAACAUUAUUACAUUUUAGGAUAGAGUUCUCGCGAAUAUAAUAAUGCUGAAAAUAUUCACUUAUUGAAUUACUUAUUUUUACCCUUUCAGCCCAUAGUUAUUAUUUUGAAAUGACAAAUAAGAUUACCUUCAUUGGUGGAUCUUUUAAUUUAGGAGUUUUAACCCCAUCCUACUCAAUGUAGAUAUUACUAAAUCUUUAUUAAGAGGUUUAGUAAAAUGAUCUACUAAAUUCUCAUUUAAAUUAAUGUAAUUUAGGGAAAGUAUUCCAUCUCUGAUCAAUUUUCUUAUGUAGUCAUGUUUUAGACUUGUAUAUCUAAACUUUCCAUUGUAUACCUCAUUGUAUGCUUUUAUUAAUGUGCCGUGACUAACACACAAAAUAAAUAUGGAAAAAUAUAUUCAUUAUUCCCAAAGAAAUCUCAUAUAUAUCUUUUCUUAAGCAACAUAACCCCUAUGUAGGUGUCGGUUAAUCCCACUAAUUUAGAUUCCACGGUUGAAUGUGUUAUACAUGUUUGUUUCUUAAACUUUCAAGAAAUUACACCAUUUCUAAGAAUAGAAACCCAACUCGAAGUAGAUUUAUUUUUAUCAGUGCUAGAUAUCCAACUAACAUCAAUAAAUCCUUUUAAUACAGUAAAAUAUUUAGAAUAUUGUAGAUCUAUAUUUUUGGUUUCCUUUAAAUAACAAAUAACUCUCCCGAUGACCUCCAAUGUUCCUUCUUUGGAUUACUAGUAAACCUACAAAGUUUACUAAUUGCGAAUGUUAUAUCCGAUCUUAUGUAUUAAGCUACAUAAUAAGGCUGUCUAUAGCCCUUGCAUACUCUAGUUGAACAAUUGCACUUCCAACAUUUUUUUUAUAAGUUUAGAGUUUGUAUCAAGAGGGGUACUAAACUCUUUUGUGUUCAAGUGAUUACACUUAUUAAUUACAAUCUCUAUAUAAUGUAAUUGACUUAAAAUUAGCCCUCACUAGUUUUUGUAACUUUAGUACCUAAUAUGGUGUGAACUUGUCCAAAAUCCUUUAUCUUCAAUGUGAAAAAUAGAAACUUGUUGUUUCUUUUAUUUCAUUUAUGUAAUUACUCAAACUCUACACAUCGUCAACAUAAAAGGCAAACAAACACAACAAAUUCAUCAUACACUUUGAAAUAUAAACACUUAACUACACUAUUAUGUAUGAAACCAAACUUUUCAUGCCAUUUCUUUGGUGCUUGUUUUAAACAAUAUAAUGAUUUUACUAACUUGCACAUUUUAUGUUCAUUACUAGAGCGACCAAAGCCUUUCGGUUGUUCUAUAUCAAUCUCCUCUUCCAUAUCCCUAGUUAGGUUUUUAUAUCCAUUUGAUUUGAUGAACAUUCAAGUUAUAUAUGGAAGCUAAUGUAAAUAAUAUUCUAAUUGAUGUAUUCUAGGUACCGAUGCAUAUUUAUCAAAAUAACCAAUUCUUUCUUUUUGUCAAUAAUCUUUAGCUACUAAUCUUACUUUAACGGUAUUAAGAGUACCAUCUACAUUGUAUUUCUCCUAAACACCCAUUUACAUCAAUAUGUUUAAAUUCAAGUGGCAAAUCGACAAGUUCCUACAUAUUGUUUGACAUAAGUGAAUCCAUUUUGUCUUUUGUGGCAUCUUUACAAAAUAUAAUAUCAUAAGAAGCCAUAUUUUCUUUACAAGUCUUAGAAUCGGUCUCUACUUGUGGAAUAAAAGGCACUGUCCUAAUAAAAUUUUUAUUAUUUUUCUCUACCAUGUAAAGUGAAAUGAGUUCAGAAUCUAUCUCAUUCUGUCCGAAGGUUUUUUUUAUUUCCGAGUUCUUUUGCUUCUUUUAAACUCAAUAGAUUUAUCAACAUCUUUAGAAGAUGUUUCCUCUUGUUUUCCACUUUACACUAGGAAUCUUUUCUUGAGUUUCCUUAAGUCAUUAUCCAAAGAUAAUAAAUUCUCAAAGAACUCAACAUCAUUUGAUUCGAUUAUUACAUUUGGUCUCCAAAUUUAACAAUACAUAGGAUUUGCUAUUACUAGCAUAUCAAACAAAGGCAAUUUUGAUGCCUCUUGGUCCCAAUUUGGUCUUUUCCAAGUCUAUGUUCUUAUAAUAAUCGAGACACUCUCACACUUUAGAAUAUUCAAUGUUUUGGUAUUCUUCCUUUCCACAAUUCGUAAGAAGAAAUUUUUUUGAAUUUUAAAGGAAUUCUAUUUAAGAAUCUAUACGCAUAUAACAAAACUUAACCCCACAAGUUAAAUAGCAACUUAACAUAUGUUAAUAUGGCAUUUAUCAUUUCAAAAAACUUCCUAUUUUUUUUCUUUCCCUCGAAAUGUUAUGCCCCUCACAUAGGCACUGAGGCAUCUUCACGUGCCGAAACGUGUAAGGAGGAGGUGCUCCUAAAAUACGAUAUCGUCUGAGGUGUCUUCAAGUGCCACGACAUUGCUUCCAAAAUGUGAGGGCCGAGCCGCAUUGACUGAGGCACUAUGUCUAAGGUGCUAUGUCGCGGAGAAAAGGAAAAGCACCUUUCCUUCGCAAAUUUCAGAGAUCUUCUGGCCAAGAUCUGCUCUGUAUCUUUAGAAAUGAUUGAUGUGAUGUCUCUGCCGUGUGUCAACUUAGAAUCAGUAGAAUUAAUUGCCCACCCUUCUAGGAAGCGAUUGGUGGAGGCCUACGAGCGACGCCUCGCACUGUUGGAUGAUUUCACAUGUCACGCAUCUAGCGGUGCUCUUUGCCUAUAAAUACCACACGUUUGACCAAGAAUAAAGUAACCAUUCCACAACAAAGCAAUUAUAUUUCUUCCUUCCCCUAUUUAGCUGGCACAUUCCAAUACCGUCACUACCACCGUCGAUUGACUUGAUCAACGGAGUAUAUGUGGCUGCCAUCGUCACCACGGGGAUCGGACAUAUAUGCCUGACCAUUUGUUGUUGUACACAGGGAGGAACACGUGGAAUAGCUCUCAAUUGGCCACAUUGGAGGUUCAAUUCAUGGGGUCAACAUGAACCAUUUUUGUCGAAUAUUUUGGGUACAGAACGUUGAUGUAUUAUAUCUCGUUGUUCAUAAAAUGAAUUAAAAAUUACUUGAAAAGUAUUUACCACCUCUAUCACUUCUUAAUUUAUUUAUUUUUAAUUUUCCGUUUAAGUGAUUUUCAACUUCAUUUUUUUAAAGUUCUAAACAUAUCAAAUGAUUCGUGUUUAUGUUUCAUCAAAUAAAUAUAAGUAUAUCUUGAAUAAUCAUCUAUGAAGGUGAUAAAAUACAUAUUUCUCCCAUGUAUAACGUGUCAUUUAAUUCACAUAUUUUCAAAUGAACAAUUUCUAAAUAUGUGAAGUCCUAUUCACACAAUGAUAAAGUUUCUUAGUCAUUUUCGAUUCCACAAAAUUUCUAUAUUUAUGUGUAUAUUUUAUAUUGUAAGAUUUAUAUUGUAAGAUAUCAUAUCAUAGUUUAACAUAAGAAAGAAAAAUUUGAUCACAAGAACUUAAUGUUAGGCCUAUUACUUUAGUACAAAUAUACCUAAACUGAAUUGAGAACGUUGGAGUGCGAGUGAAUGCUAAGUUCCUAUUCAUGUUGGAAACAUGUAAUACAUUUAUAAGGGUAAUUGUUUUUCCAAAAGUGAAGACAAUAUCAACAUUUCAUUUACCAACCACUUUGAAGUAGCCUUCAUUACCCAUUUGCAUCUCUUGCUCACCAUUCGAUUCGUGACAAGUCUUGAAAAAUGACUUAUCAUAUGAUACAUGAAUGUUGUUGCACACGUAUCAUACUUCCAAUCAGGAAUAUUUUAUUUGAUAGCAUUGAUUUCACUCACAGUAGACGCAAUGUUAUCUUCAACAAAUGAUUUUAUUUUGCUCUCAUUCUUGUUUUGUUUUCGAUGCCAACAAUUUUUCACAUAAAUUUCGGGUUUUCUUCCCAAAAAAAAAUCUCUCUUGGACUUUUUGUGAUCCUUAUUAAAAGAAUUCCUUUCGUGUAUGUUAACCUAUGGUUGAUUGUAACCUUAAGCUUUUGAUUUAUAUCAAACAAGUUAAUUUCGUUUACUCAUAAAUUGAAUUCAAGUGAUUAUAGUUUUUCAAAGCAUACAAUGAAAAAUUGAUCAAUGAUGAUUGAAAGAUCAAAAGCUAUUAUCAUAAUCGGACUUCUAAAGGAGGUCAAGAUUGAAGUCACACACUCAAGAGCUUAAGAGCCAAACUUUGAAGCAGAUCAAUGACUAGAUUUCUUAGAUAAAGUUCAAAGAUAUUGGUACUUUGAUAUUUAGCAACGAACAUUUAGGCUCCAAAUCCUUCUCUAUAUUAAAAAUAAUUUUAUGCAUUAAAAGUUAUUUGUGAUAUAACUUUUGAUCAAAUAUAAAAAUGACUUUUAAAAUGGUAUUUUAACGGGAAAAAUAUCUUUUAUCUUGAAACGAUAGUUAAAAAUAUUUUGCAAAAGUCAAACACUUUUCAAAACCUUCAAAUUGGAUCAAAUAGGGCCAAAACUUAAAAAUACCGAAAUUGUCAAACAGUUGACCAGCUAGAAGAAGCGAUCAAUCAAAAUUUUUCAACGGUCCAAAAUUUGACCGUUUUGACCUCUAUAUUUUACUAUACAAAACGCUAUAUUUAUCAUCCAAACAAGACACUAUCGACCGGACAUGUCAUCCGAACAUACAAUUUUGACGUUUUGAACUAUAUAAAUACCUCCAUUUCUUCAUUCAUUACUGCAAUCUUGGAGAGCAUUAAAAGUGAAAAAUUACUAAGUAUAUCUCUUGAGCUUACAUCUCAUUUAUUCUAUCAAACAAUUACUUAGAAAAUCUUUAAUUUAUUCAACUUUUUUAAAAUCAUCUUUUUAUCAAACUUUUUUUUAUCUAAUACUUGAGCUUCAUUUAUUGCUAUUCAACUGAAGUGUUGAAUUCAUCCUUUUUUUUUUUUACUUUCCAUUCACUCGGAUUUCUGGCUUUGGUUUUUUCAUAAAAGUGCAGCCGUAGUAUUCAGAAAAUAGAGAUCUUUUUUAGUGUUUUUCCAAGAAAUCUCUAGCCUACCCAACGCGUUUCGAACUAUUUAAAAUCAAAAUAUCUUAAUUUUCGAUUCCAUUGGACUCCUAUUUCUCUUUUAGUACUUAAUUUAUUUAUAUUAUUUAUUAAGAGAGAAGUUUCAAAUUGUAAAAUCAUUUCUUAUCAAAUUUGUGGAUCUUAUUGAAGUCCUAUAAAGCUCAAUAUUAGAUAAAGAACAGAGCUGCUUGUUUGUAAGCCAUCGAAAGUAUUGUAAGGAUUUGGAUUUUACCAUAAGUUAAUCAAAUAUAGUGAAUUGGUCUUGCUCGUAACUGAGAGCUUGGUAACGUAUGAUAUAGAUCAUCAUUUUGGAUCAAAUCUGUACAUUUAUAUAAUUUGCAUUCUCUCUUCUAUUUUAUUUAUUGCUUUUGUAUUUGUGCAUUUUGUUUGAUUGAUUUAUUCAUUCCCAACUUACUUGAAUUUGAAUCAAUUUUUCGAAAACAUUUUGAAAACCAAUUCACUCCUCUCUUGGGCUAUCAAUUUGAUUUGUUGGACAAUUCAUUCUUUUUCAUGUCAUUGGCUUUUAACAUGACUUCACAAGAGUUUUCAUUCUUAUCUCUUGCCCUCAAUUCUUCUUCAUUUUGGAGAUGUUUUUGAAUUUGGAGUAAAGAAAAUGAAACGAUGAGGGUUCAAUUUAUAUAUUCAAUGCAUCUAUCUUAAUAGUUACACCUUUCUACAAAAAUCCAUUUUGACCAUUAAAUCAUACAUUUUUUAUUGGAACAUGGCCUGAUGGUCUAUAUCGCACACUUUAUAAAGGUAAUGACUCUUCACUAUGCACCAAUAACAUAUGAAGAGUCAUACCUAAUCAUCACAACUAUUGGAGACUUAUUCCAAUUCGUAUAUUAAUCAUUAAAUAACCCGAUAAUUCCAACAAUCGCAAAAUGAACAAAAUAAGUGACUCACCACAAGCAAAAAUAAGAAAAAUUCUAUCUGCGAGAUAAUGAAUCAAUAUAGGUAACUUUUCCUUUGAACCUCCCUUAGUAAGAAAAUUCAUCAGACUUGCUUCGGUAAUAAGUGAAACAACAUUUCAAACUAUCAACCAUUAUCACAAGUUUAAACAAUAGAGCAAACACAUUAUUUCUUAUAUUAGACCUGAUUCUUUAUUAUAUUCAUGAAUUUGACCCUAAACUCUCUUGAGUUCUAAGUACUCUGGAGAAUUCGCCUAAGUAAAAUUUUUCAUAUUUUAUGUUCAUUGAGAUAGUUAAUGAUUCAUUUAGUGUAAAUUGAGUUCUUUGACUUCAAUUGGUCAACAUUCAAAGUAAUUACCAAGCAAGUUAAACUAACAAAUUAUCUAUAUUCCCUUUUGUGUUUGAGACUUAGUUUGCACUUUCCUUAUCCUCAACAAUAUUUGUAGACAUCACUUAUUUACGUUAUAGAAAUAGGGAGAAGUUAAACUCCUAAGUGCUUCUUGUCAAGUCAUUCAUAGUUAGUUUAACUAUUAAAUCCAGUGUUCUAAGACGUGACAAAAACUCCACACUUAAGACCUAUGUGCUAAUUUUUUGGUCAAGGGAAGCAUUGAACGCUUUAAGGCGUUAUUUUUUAAUUAAAUUUUUGAACAAUUUUUAAAAAGCUCGUUUGUCCUACCCUACAUAAAGAUUUCAACUUUUAGGCCAAUUGGAUUGAAAGACCCAAAAAUAAAUAAUUAUAAAAUUUUCAACUUUUAGGCCAAUAGAUUGAAAGAUCUAAAAAGUUGCUCACUUAUUAGUCCACUAAUUUAUAGAGGGCAUCUCCAACGAUUUUGUUACAAACUUUCGAUGUGGGAUAAAAAUUCCUUCAUUUUGGCUACAGUGCAUUAUAUCUUUGAUUUGGUUGUAAUGUAUUGUACCUUCAAUUUUGACAAAUUUAAAAUAAUAUUAAUGUAAGAAAAUGCUUUUUUAACGCCUAAGACUCGCCUAGGUGCGCAUCAUUCGAAGUUUGACCUUCACAUAUCGUCACGCAUGACUUUUUUGGAACACUGAUUAAAACUAGUUCGUAAGAUCUAUAGUAGUUAGGUUAGGUUUUUUAAGAUAUCUCUUUAAGUUUUAAACUCAUUUCCCUCGAUGUACAAUCUAUUCGCUCUCUAGAUAAUCCUUUUUAUAAAUUAAUUGCUAGGUUUUCUCUUGAUUUAUUGGCCUUUGUGUGAACUUCGAUCAAAUAUCCAAAUUCAAUCCGAUAGUCAAAUUAUAAAUAUAAAUAAACUAAUUCGUUCCACUCGUCGAGUAGAUCUUCUUGAUAUAUUUGAAUCUAAAAAUCAAUUUCGGAUGAAUAAGAAAUUGCGGUCUAAAUUUGGAAGAAAAUAGAAAAACUGUCCUGGAAAUUUGCCUAAUAUCAUCGCUCGCCUAACAUUUGAGCGAGUCUGGUGAAAAGUUUCUGUUGAAAAUAUGUCACUGAUUUUUUGAGUGACAGGCUAGACACAAGCUAAGAACAGCAAGGAUGCUUCCCUUCGUGAAGGUUGAUAAGUUCGGAAUGUGACACUUCACUCACAACCUCAUCUUCUAUAAAUAGGACUCUUUGGACGACCAUUAUGCAUCCCAUAUCAUUUUGCAUUGAGCAUUAUAUAAAAAAUACUUGCAAAAACUCUCCAAAAAUCUUUCUAAAAAUUAUUUUCUUGCAGAGUGAAGAAUUUCAUUUGAGUUUGUUGUUGCUUGUAGUUUAAAGUGCUUCUACCACAAGUCUAAUUCGUUGUAUCUUGGGAGACAAAUGCAAUUAUUUAUUAGCACCGUUGUGGGCAAUUUUGUCUUUAAAAAAAGUAUUAAUCAUUUGCCUCGGAUUUCUUUUCCUUACUUUCUUUUUAUUCUUCUUCUUUUUUUUCGUUUCUAAUCUUCAUAGAGUUUAAUUAUACUCCUGCGACUUAAACUUAAUCAUUUUUUUUUUUGUGUUGAUAAACAACCAUUUCCCUACACAUCUCAACAAAAAUUUUAAGACAAAUUUUUUGUGGUUGUUUGUUGAAAAAAAAAAUUAGAAAAAUUAAAAAAUUAAAAAACCCACUCUUCAUCUUUGGAAUAAACCCAUCACAUGCUUUUCCUUUCAUUCGUUCUAUGUGUUGAACUUCUAUUUAUGUAACAUAAAUGAAUACUCUUAAGACUACUUAGAGUCAAGCAACAAAUAAUAUGAACCAUGUGGUUCUGUCUCUGGCUAUCUCAAUAUCAAACUCUCAUAUCUCACAUGGGGAAAAUCGAAAAAGUUUAGAGGUGUGGAUUUCAAAAGAUGGCAACAAAACAUGUUGUUUGAUCUUACUACUUUGAAUUUAACAAAAUUCUUAAAAGAUAACUUUCCUAUUGUAGAAAAAAAGAAGAAAAUAAUCAUGAGUCAAUUAUUGAAUUGGAUACAUGGAAGCACUCAGGUUUCCUUCGAAAGGAUUACAUCCUAAAUGGAUUGGACAAUACAUUUUAUGAAGUGUAUAGUUCGAAGGACUCCGCCAAGGAUCUAUGGGAUUUAUUAGAGAAGAAGUACAAAGCUGAGGAUGCCGAAACAAAAAAGUUUAUUGUCGACAAGUUUUUGGAGUACAAAAUGGUAGACCCCCAAACUGUAAGAAGUCAAGUGCAGAACUUCAAGUUCCACUUCAUGACAUACACAAAGAAAAGAUAGAAUUGAGUGAAUCCUUCCAACUUGCAGCCAUCAUUGAGAAAUUCCUCCUUUAUGGAGAGAUUUUAAGAACUAUCUUAAGCACAAAUACAAGGAGAUGAACUUGGAGGAAUUGAUAGUUCAUUUGAGAAUUGAGGAAGCCAAUAGAAAAAUCGAAAGAAAGUCAAUUGUUCAACUUGGAGCAAACUUUGUUGAAAAUGGCCUGAAGGGCACCAAGAAGAGACAACUCCAAGAGUACAAAAAAAUAUAAAGGCAACUCUUACGAUUGUGGAAAAGUCGGACAUCGUUCAAAUGAGUGUCGAAAGUCGAAAAAGACUACACAAGCAUAUAUUGUUGAAAGAGACACCCUCUCUAAAGGAAUUCAAAGAUGAGUCUAUCUACUGUUAUUUCUAUAUGCAAUAUGGUUAGUAAUUCAAAGGAUUUGUGGGUCGAUAAUGGUGCUACCGAUUAUAUUUGUGCAGAUAAAGCCAUGUUCUCAAACUAUUAUGAAUCAAAAGGACAACAAUUGUUCAUGAGGAACUCUACGAGUUCGAGCGUUGAAGAACUUGGAAAGAUCACAUUGAAAAUGACAUCCAGGAAAGAACUAAUCCUCAAUAAUGUCCAUGUACUAGACAUUUGCAAGAACUGGUUUCGGAGUCUUUACUUAGCAAGAAUGACUUUAAAUUUGUAUAUGUAUCGGACAAAUUUGUACGUACCAAAAGCAAUAUGUAUAUUGGUAAAGGUUAUCUUUGUGAAGGAAUGUUCAUGAACAUCCCAACAAUUUUACGAAAAAGCAUUAUAAAUAAAAAUUCUAAUUAUGUUUAUAUGCUUGAAUUGUCUUGUUUAUGGCAUAGUCGAUUAGAACACAUCAAUUACAAAUCUAUGUUCAAACUUAUGAAUGAAAGUUUAGUUUCGAUGCUUAAGAUUGAUCUUAAUCAUAAGUGUGAAGUAUAUGUUGAAACAAAGUUGACCAAAACACCUUUUCACUCAAGUCAAAGAGUGAUUAAAGUAUUAUUUUCAUGAGGACCAAAUAUCCAAUUCGAUUUUUAAUUAACAUAUAACUAUCUAAAUGCAAUGCUAAGAAACUAGUACGAAGCAUUUAUGAACUCGAUUAACAACAAUCAAUAGGACUUCGAAUCUCUCUUUAUAUUAUGUUUUAACAACCAUCGAAGAUAUUGACAACAUGUUUAAACUUGAUGAUUAAUGUACUUAUUGCGUUUAGUAAUCUUUCUCGAUUAAUACUAAAUAUAUUCUCACAUGUGAACCUACAGUAUGUCUAUGAAAAUUGUGAACGCGUGACAAUGCAUUUAAUCACUAUAUAAUAAAAUCAUGCAAGAUAUAUGGUAUGGGUAUAUAUCUCUAUCACAUAUCGAACCCUACAAAGAUUAUUAUCAUGUGCAUAAUCCUUAUUCUUUCUAUCAAACAUAAUAAAGAUCAUUAAUCUGUUCAACUAAUGAUCAAUUAAUUGAAGCAUUAAACAUGUAACAUACUAUUCAAGCUAAAUAAGAAUUAAUAGUUAGAGUCUCGAAAUUAAAAUUAAAACAUUAUCCUAGUGACUAGGAAUUUAGUCAAGCAUCAUAAAGUUACAAAAACAAAUGCUUGCAUAUUUAGCCAUGUCUCUUAUUUUAAUUGUAGAAAAAAAAAGGAAAAUGUCUUGAACUCAUGAGUUUCUUCAACUCUUAAAUAAUAUCCGUGUACGAAGAAGCCAAAAUCUAAAUUAUAAUCUUCAAUUUUGGUAGAUGAUUGUGUGUUCUUGUAUCAAGCUUCUUGAUUUCUCUCUAACGAAUGGUCCUCCAAGGUAAGGUUUUAUUCCAUGUAGAAGUUGAGUCAAAUUAGGAAACGAAAUUUUUGUUGUCAGACACUACCAUGCAAUCGUACAGUGUCAAGUUUUCACUUGCUAGAAUUCAUGUACCUUGUGAUAGCAUGUAAGGACCCUUGCGGUCAUAAUGCCUUACUUUUCAUUCUUGGUUAAUUUUGGUUUCUGAAUUCCUUCUUCGGCUCAACUUGAUUCAUCUUCUAUUUUCUCCAUAAGUUCAACUUUCAGUUCUUCUCACUUUAACAAAUGUUAUCCACUAUUACCCAUUCUUGGUCUGUCUCAAGUUUUGGAGAUUUACAAUUUAGUCCCCAAACUUUUACAAUUGUUCUUCUUUUGUACUCUUCAACUGACUUUCACUUCUUUUUUAAUCUACAAUCCAAUAUCAAAACUUUUACAUAACAAUCAAUAUUUAACUAAAAUUAAGUGGAAAUUCAAUUGAAGUGACUCCCAAACAUCCACUUUUAAAAGCUUGGAUAAGUGUUCAAAAUACUCUUAUCAAUAACAAAAAUUAUUGGUUUGAGAAUUUUAAAAUUUCGGGAGUUUUAUAGAUUGUCUUUCCUGAUUCUAACUUAGUAUAUACUUAAACUCAUUAAUUUAAUUCUAACAAUUAAUUAUAUAUAAAAUGUUGAGGAACAUAUAUUGAACAACACCAGUACUUAAAAAAUAAAUGAAAAUCUUAUAUAUCAUAGAGUUUAGUAAUCUCCGACGUUUGAUUUCAUUUGCAGACAUCCCAUAAAUACAUGACUCGGUCCAACACCCUAACUUAAAGUAUAGGUAUGGAAUUUUCGACCACUAACAUAAUUUUUUGGGUGUCUUGUUGAUCAGUUAUACAGCUUUUCCACAUUAUGAAAUUUGUGGGACAGUGUUUUUAGGUUGAUUGAUGGUAGUUACAUAUAAACAAUAGGGCCAAGGGGAACCUUAAAAGGCACUAGGGCCUAGGGGAAUCUUAAAAGGCAAAAGCUUUUAUAUAAAAGUCUCGUCGAGGGUAGUUGAAUGGCUUAUUAUAAUUAAAAAACUAGAUUAUGAUUGGAGAAUUUGAACCUUAAAUGCAAGUUCUCGAUUAUUUCUGACUUUUGAAUUAUUUUCAUAUUUUUUUUUGCGAGUCAAGUGCCCGAGUUUCGUCCGACUAAUUUUGAGGAGUAGUUCCUCCCGGUUCGGUUCACCGCCCGAGUAAUUUUGAAUGCGGUUACAAUUAAUGCACACUUAGACCGGACAUUCGGGAUGCAGUUUUCACGUGCAGACAGGACUCUUGGAGGGAUGACUAAGCACAUCAUAACUUUGCCUUUACAAGACAUCUGCCUUCCAACAUAACUAUUGCCUUCCAGCUGCCGCAUGGAUUCGAACUUCCGAUACUCCGUAGAGAACUCUUCUUUUUUACCACUAAACCAUGCUCGGGGGGCUAAUUACUUUCAUUUUAGAUAUGGAAUAGACAGGUGUAAUUAACUAUCAUGGGUCCAUUGAGAGCUGGGAUAUUUUUUGAGUACGAGAGAGACAGAGUCAACCUGUAUUAUGUUUCAAUAUCUUAUUGACUCAUCCAAUUGCUUUUCAAAUAUAGAAUUUCUUCUUUAAAGGCAUUUCUGUCACAAAAUCUCCACUAUGACAAGUAUAACUUGGCCUUUAAGUGUGAAAGCAUGAUAUUAUUAUAAAAUUUUACAAAAUGAGAGCAAGAGUGCAAGACUAAAACUAUCCAAGAUCAAAGAUGAUAUAUGUGAUGGAUUUUUCAUCACAAUUUUGUCUAAAAUUUUAAAACUUAUAAACUAGAAAAUUAUAAUAUAAUAUAGUAAUUGAGGUGCAAUAAUUGUGGGAUGUCGUUAAUGAAAUUGAAUAAGAUUACGGAGAUCGUCGAAGAUUACGCCUUGACGUCUAUUUUAUCAUUAUAAUUGUAUUAUAUAUAGAUAGAUUAUUUUUACCAUAUUUAUAUUAUAGGAUAAUAUUAAUUAAUAUUGUAAUAGAUUGCUACCAUAUUUAAUGGUGAUUUUGCUCCAAUAUAAUGAGAGAACCUCUCACAUUUAGAGGUAUCGAGUCUUACUGAGUAUAUUUGACAUGGUAUUAGAGCGUGUUUAAUUUUAUUUAGGUUAAACUUACAAACUUCUGUUCUCCGGCAAGCGGCAUUGUGCCGCUCCUCCAGUCAAAUUUUCUUGUUUUUGUUUUACAUUUUUAGACCUUCCAUGUCAUGUGAGAGGUAUGGAGUCUUAUUGAGUAUAUUUGACAUGAUAGCAGAGCGUGUUUAAUUUUAUUUAGGUUAAACUUACAAACUUCUGUUCUCCGGCGAGCGGCAUUGUGCCACUCCUCCAGUCAAAUUUUCUUGUUUUUGUUUUACUUUUUUAGACCUUCCAUGUUGAUGUAUUAUUGAGCAUCACCAAGCAUGCAAAUAUAUAGCUUGGACUGAGGGAUAUGAAACCCUUGUCCUUAGGAUCAUACUUUUUUUUUAUCAACCCAAUAUAGAGCUCAAUUGUCUAGUCAAGUUUUAGUUGGAGUUAUUUUGGAGAAGAUUUUGUGUUCUUUUGACUGACCAAUUCGAGUAAUACCCAAUUUCAGGUGACGUGAUUAAUGGCGAUGUUGGGUUCGGCUAUCGAAGGUUCAAGUUACAGAUUUAGGAGUUUGGCAUUAUCGACGCCAGAUUGUGGUCGAAAUGGCACUGCUUUUGGAAAUAGCUUGGAACACCAAAACAGAGUGGUGAGACACAAUGGCACGGUCGCUUUCACUGCAAAUCACGGGAUGCUUCACAGCAGUACGUUCACACACGAAUUUUACAGCUCGAGCAACAACAUAAGCAUAAUCUUCAACACUGUAACCAACAAAAAUUUCAGAGUUCCGGGAUUUUGAGCCGUCAUAAUCAAUUCCAAGACCACUGCCAUUGUCAAUGACUUUCAUACAAGUACCGAGGUAGAUUAAUUCACAGUAGAUUGGGGAUGCUUCACGUACUCCUUCAGAUGUUGUUGAACUCGUCGUGGAUCUGCACUCGCUGAGAAUGGAACGGUGGAGAUGGAGGCUAGCAUCAUGGAUGGUUCUGGCAAGAGAUGUGGCGUCGUUUUUUGUAUCACCACCGUGAAGAACCCUAUUUCCCUUGCCCAUCUCAUCAUGGAAAAAUCUCCCUAUUCUUAUCUUGCAUUCUCUAGAGCCGAAGAAUAUGCUAAACAACAGGAUUGUGGUGUAGAAGAGAGGUUUCGAUGGAGAACAGAGGCAUUGAUGCAGAUCUGUUUAAGGACUUGGGCUAAUUCUAGUGGGCUUCUAUUAUCUUGGGUUAGCUUUGCAAUUAAAUCUUUUGGGCUGUAUGUUAUUUAAGGGUGUUUAUUUGAAGUGGGCUUAUUUUUUUAUUUUUUUGUUGUGUGGGCUGAUUUUGGAGUGGGUUGAAUUUAGGUGGGAAUUUGGUUGGCUUGGAUCUGAUUCUAUUGGGACUUCACGUGGAUUGUGUCUAUUGAUUUUAAGCUUAGUGGGUUUACAUAUAAAUUAUAGAUUGUUGGGCGUCAUAGUUUUAUAGGGCCUACUAUCAUUUGGGGUUAUUGGGUUGUAAACUGUGGAAGCAUGGGAACAUAAGGAGCUGAUGUCUGCUAGUUUUGAAUUGUGUGGAAAAUUCUCUAAUAUGUAUCUCAUGGUUUUUGCAAAGGCGCUGCUAAACAACAAGGAUUUUCAUUUUUUGGUUGAAGAGACAGAGACAUGGGAGUGCAGACUAUUGAGUUCUUUAGUUGCUCGGAUAAUGAGCUAAAGCUUUGGAUUCUCGGUGGAGGAUUAUCUUUGAAGUUUUUAGUAUUGGCUAUUUUGUGGAAUUUCUUUGAACUACAGUACCUUGGCUAGCAAUAUAUUGCUGAAAUUUUGGCCAGUGUAUUGGCGUUAGAACUUUUGUUGGAACACAAAUUUUGUGUUCAAUCUAGUUUUCCCAACAAAUAGAGCUCAUUGUGUAUCGGCACACUUCAUGAAUUUCUUUUGGAAAUUUUUCUUAGGGUAUGAGCUUUCUGAAGUGGUUUUGGAGUAGUUUUUAAUUGUUUCUACACAAUUUGUUAUUCUUGGUUUCUAGUCGUUACUAAUUUUCGUAGAUGGUUGCUCUGAUUUGGGUUUCUUCUUUGUGAGCACAAGUAUUGUCGUUGUCGUCAGUUCAUGAUUGCAAAAUGAUACUUUUACCAACAUCAAUUUGAGGGUGAUGUCAAUAAGAUUGAAUAAGAUUAUAGAGAUUGUCGAAGAUUACGACUUGAAGUCUAUUUUAUCAUUAUAAUUAUAUUAUAUAUAGAUAGAUUAUUUUUACCAUAUUUAAAUUAUAAGUUACUAUUAUUUAAUAUUGUGAUAGAUUGCUAAAAUAUUUAGUGGUGACUUUGAUCCUUUAUAAUGAGAGAAUCUCACUUUGAGAGGCAUCGAGUCUUAUUGUCUGACAUCUCCUAUGUUCAUACAUUUAUCUUUUGCUAUUCAAUAAAUUAUGCCACCUUGCGUGGAUUUAAUUUUUAAGAAAAAUAAAAGCUAAGCCCUACUGAUACGAUUUCGGCACAAUAUUGGUGAUUCUUCUAUGAAAACAAUAUUUUGAAACUUUUUGAAUAUAUUUAUUUUAUGUCUUGUAAAGUAACUAUGAGUUUUUGUCUCUUUCAAGAAAAUAGUGGUGGUGUUUCAAAGAAGGAAAUAAUUUUAUCUUUUUAUUUACUUAAAAAAUGAUAAUAAUUUUUUUAGACCAAUAUAGAGAUUUCUAAGUAUUGUAAUUCCUUAACAUUUUUUUAAGAUUACUAAGGUUGAAUGUGAAUUUCAAAUGUUGAUGAAAUCUUGAAAUAUAGAAUUUACGAUUGAUUUGGUCGAAGUUGGGGUUGUUUUAUAUAUAUAUAUAUAUAUAUAUAUAUAUAUAUAUAUAUAUAUAACUAAAAUUUUCAAUUUAAGUCUCUCUAUUGCUUAUUUAUAAAAUUUGUUCGUGUAUAAGAUCUUCAAUGAACUAUAAAUUUACUUGCACAUUGGUGGUGGAUAAUCUACUUUUGUGGUUGUUGGAUAAGUAAAGCUACUAUUUUUUACCACAAAAGGAUAAGUUUGCAAUUUCUUAAUUGUUAAGUUAAGCACAUGCAUGCAUGCAUAGAAUGGAGGUUGGCAAAUUCAAGUUUUUUUCUCCUGCAAGUGGUAGUCGAAAUGCUUGAAAAAUUCCAGCCACUUGACAGGCCGAAUGUGUAGAGAAUUCCAACAAAUGAAGGUGUUAGAACUUUGACUCUUUGAAGCAAUUAAAGGUGGUAAAACUUCCAGCAAUAUCCAGCCCAUUUACAGCCAAGUUUAGCCAUUAUUCUUGACAAUUGAAGGUGGUGGAAAUCCUACAAAUGACAAGCAAAGUUGUAGAUAAUUUUCUUGAAUUUUUCAAGCAAUUAUGGCGGCCAAAAAUCUCUAUAAAUAUGGGCAAGAGUUUGAGAGAAAAGUAUGCCGUAUGUAGAAGAAAAAUUGAGAGAAAUUAAAAGUAGAGAGUAGAGAGAAAAUUGUGGGUGGAAAGAUAAAAUUAUAGAGAGAAAAUUCAUUAUUUUUCUCCUAAGUAUUUCCUACUUGUAUUUUCCUAUUACAAAAGAGACUAAUUGUUGUUAUCUCCUUGUAUUUAGAGAGUGUGUUAUAAUUCUCCGACUAUAGUGAAAUCCUCCUAUACUUGCUCGUGGACGUAACCUAAAUGGGGUAAACCACGUAAAUACUUGUAUCCAUUUUUAGCUUCGUUUUCUUAAUUCCAUUUUUUGUCAGCCAAACUCGACCCACGUUUUUCCUAAUAGUGGUAUCAGAGCUAGGUUCUAUGCAGGGUCUUUGUUCACUACUUACUAUUUUUAAUUAUAGUAUUCGUGAGCAAAAUGGCGACAAAGUAUGAGAUUGAAAAGUUCAAUGGGAACAAUUUCUCAUUAGAAAAAAUGAGAACAAAAGCAGUUUUGCGAAAAGAUAACUGCUUGUCAAGUGUGUGUUGCUAAUCUGCAUCUAGCACCAGCUGAUGGAGUAUUGUCAAGUGUGGUGGAGAAAAAGAUAGCGAAAGAAAUAUGGGAUACGCUGACAAAGUUGUACGAGACCAAAUCAUUACACAACAAAAUCUUCUUGAAGAGAAAGCUUUACACCUUUCGGAUGAUGGAGUCAACUACGGUGACCAACCACAUCAACACCUUCAACACUCUAUUUUCACAAAUUACAUCAAUGGAGCAUAAUAUGGAGGCAGGUGAGCGUGCUGAGAUCUUACUUCAAAGUCUACCAGAUUCGUAUGAUGAACUCAUCAUCAACUUAACCAACACCCUUAAAACUCUAGUCUUUGAUGAUGUUGCAGCUGCUAUUCUUGAAGAAGAAAGUCGACGCAAGAAUAAGGAGGGCAAAUUGACAAUUUCACAUCAGACGGAAGCUUUAACGAUAAUGAAAGGGAGAUCAACGGAACGUGGCUCCAGUGGGAGUCAAAUCAGAAUAGAUCAAAAUCCAGGAGUAAGAAAAAUGUCCAGUGUCAUUAUUGUGGCAAGAAUGGGCACUUAAAAAGAGAUUGUUGGAGUCUCAAGAAGAAUGAAGAAGCCAAAAGAAAAGGUCCUGAGAUGUCAAAAGCUCAGGGUUGUGUAGCAAGCACCUCAGAUGACAGGGAAAUUUUAUACAGUGAGGCAACAACAAUUGUUGAAGGCAAGUAAUUUUUUAAUGUCUGGCUUAUGGACUCAGGAGCUAUAUGGCACAUGACAACAAGGAGGGAAAGGUUCUAUCAAUAUGAACCUAUCCUAGGAAGAUCCAUGCUUAUGGAAAAUGAUCAUGCCUUGGAAAUCCCUGGUAUUGGUACAGUCAAAUUGAAAAUAUAUGAUGGUAUAGUUCACAUUAUCCAGGAAGUACGACACGUAAAAGGCCCGAAGAAAAAUCUAUUAUCUCUAGGACAACUGGACAGCAUUGGAUGCAAACCCAUAUACAAGAUGAUAUCACGAAAAUUAUCAAAAGUGCACUUGUGGUGAUAAAAGUGAAAAAGAUAGCUGCAAAUUUGUACAUGCUUAAAGGAGAGACACUACAAGAAGGAGAAGCAUAUGUCACAUCUACAUGUUCAGUAGAAUAAUUAACGAUGAUGUAAGCUUGGCCACGUGUCAGAACGUGGUUUGAAAAUUCUCUCAGAACAAAAGCUUCUUCCAGUGCUAAAAAAUGUUUCAUUACCCUUUUGUGAGCAAUGUGUUACUAGUGAGCAGCACAAAUUGAAAUUCAGCAGUUCCACUGCUAGAAGUAAAUUUAUCUUGGAGCUGGUCCAUUCUGAUAUUUGGCAAGCACCAGUUAUAUCCCUAGGAGGUACAAGAUACUUUGUAUCUUUUAUUGAUGAUUACUCCAAGAGAUGUUGAGUGUAUCCAAUAAGAGCAAGGCAGACGUGUUCACAAUCUUCAAAAUGUUCAAAACGCGUGCGGAGGUUGAAUCUGAAAAGAAGAUCAAGUGUCUGAGGACUAACAAUAGAGGAGAAUAUACUAGUGAUGAAUUUGAUAACUUUUGUCAACAAGAAGGUAUCAAGAGAUAGUUCAUGAUGGCAUACACUCCCCAGCACAAUGGAAUGGCAGAGCGGAUGAACAGAACAUUGUUAAAAAGAAUAAGGGCAAUGUUGAAAACUGCGGGGCUAGCCAAGUCGUUCUGGGUAGAAGCAAUCAAAAUUGCUUGUUAUGUGAUCAAUUAGUCGCCAUCAACCGCAAUUGAUCUGAAAAUGCCUAUAGAAAUGUAGACUGUAAACCACCUGAUUAUUCUCGUUUACAUAUAUUUGGAAGUCCUGUGUACGCUAUGUACAGCAGCAAGAAACGUCAAAACUGGAUCUAGAAUCCAGAAAAUGUAUUUUCUUAGGAUAUACUGAUGGAGUCAAGGGGUACUGCCUGUGAGAUCCCACUAUCCACAAGGUGAUAAUCAGCAGAGAUGUGAUAUUUUACAGAAGGCAAGGUACAUGAAAAAGAAAAUGAUAGCACUUCAAAAGAAAAAUAAAAAACUACUACAGUCGAAGUUGGAGAAGAACGAGAAGUUAUAGAUUCUUUUGAAACAAAACUAGAGCACGAAGAAUAAGAACAGGCUGAAUCUAGUGCUCUGAUACUCGACGAUCAACACAGGAAAAAAGAGAGCCGGCUUGGCACUCAGAUUACAUUAUAGAGGGCAAUGUUGCGUACUACUUACUGACAGAAGAUGGAGAGCCAUUAACUUUCCAUGAGGCUAUAAAUGGCCAAGAAAUUUCUCUGUGGACAGCAGCAAUGCAAGAAGAAAUUGAAGAUUUUCAUAAGAACCAGGCAUGGGAUCUUGUUCCACUACCACAAGAAAGGAGGGCCAUUGGGAAUAAAUGGGUUUACAAGAUCAAGCGAGAUGGUAAUGAACAAGUGGAGCAGUAUCGUGUGAGACUGGUGGUGAAGGGAUAUGCUCAGAAAUAAGGCAUUAACUUUAAUGAAAUAUUUUCUCCUGUGGUUUGACUCACAACAGUUCGAGCAGUCUUCGUAAUGUGUGCUACAUUUGACUACACCUGGAGCAAUUAGAUGUGAAAACUACAUUUCUUCAUGGAAAACUUGAAGAAGAGAUUUAUAUGCUCCAAUCAGAAGGUUUUGAAGAAAAAUGAAAAGAGAACUUGGUUUGUAGGUUGAACAAAUCUCAAUAUAGUCUGAAACAGGCACCGAGAUGUUGGUAUAAGAGAUUUGAUUCCUUCAUCAUGAGCCUUGGAUACAACAGACUCAAUUCAGAUUCAUGUGCAUACUACAUGAUAUUUGGAGAUAAUGAUUUCAUUACUCUGCUAUGUUGACGACAUGUUGGUAGCAGACCUUAACAAAGAUCGUAUUGAAGACUUGAAGGCACGGUUGGUUAGGGAGUUUGAAAUGAAGGACUUGGGACCGGCAAACAAGAUUCUAGGGACGCAAAUUUACCGAGAUAGAAAUAAUAGAAAGAUUUGGCUUAGUCAGAAGAAUUACUUCAAAAAAUCUUGCAUCGCUUCAAUAUGCAAGAUUGUAAGCCAAUUUCUACCCUUCUUACUACUACUUUCAAGUUAUCCUCAAGUAUGAGUCCUAGCAAUGAAGCAGAGAUGAUGGAUAUCUCUCGAGUAUCGUAUGCAUCAGCAGUUGUUAGCUUGAUGUUUGCUAUGAUCUGUACAAGACCAGACAUUGCACAAGCAGUGGGAGUGGUCGGUUGAUACAUGACAAAUCUUGGUAAAGAGCAUUGAAGUACUGUAAAGAAGAUCUUGAGAUAUGUCAAAGGUACCUCAAAUGCUACAUUAUGUUAUAGAUGAUCAAAUUUUAUUGUCAGAGGCUAUGUUGAUUCAGAUUAUGCAAGUGAUCUUGAUAAAAGCAAGUCCACCACAAGAUAUAUAUUUACUCUUGCUGGAGCAUUUGUAAGCUGGGAUUCGAAACUGCAGUUUGUAGUGGCUACUUCUACAAUGGAGGCAGAAUACGUAGCUGCUACACAAGCUAGCAAAGAGGCAAUCUGGUUGCAAAUGUUAAUGGAAGAGCUCGAACAUAAACAAGAGAAGAUUGAUCUAUUUUGUGAUAGUCAGAAUGCUUUGCACUUGGUAAAGAAUCCAGCAUUUCAUCAGAAAACAAAAUCUAUUCGAGUUCAAUAUCACUUUGUUCUAGAAAAGGAUGAGGAAGGGAGUGUAUAUAUACAGAAGAUCCAUACAAUAGACAACCUAGCUGAUAUGUUAACAAAGCUGAUCAAUAUUGACAAGGUUAUAUGGUGUCGAUCCUCCAUCGGCCUAGCAGAAAUGUAGCAUGGAAAUGACAAGUAUGGGAAGAAUUGAAGUGGUCAACAAAAGUGACUUUAGGAGGGAGAUGAUAUGUUAAAAAAGCUGAUCAAUAUUGACAAGUUUAUAUGGUGUCGAUCCUCCAUCGGCCUAGCAAAAAUGUAAGUAGCAUGGAAAUGACAAGUAUGGGAAGGAUUGAAGUGGUCAACAAAAGUGACUUUAGGAGAGAGAAAUGUUGGAUAAGUAAAGCCACUAUUUUUUACCACAAAAGGUUAAGUUUACAAUUUCUUAAUUGUUAAGCUAAGUAUAUGCAUGCAUGCAUGCAAAGGAACUUGGCAAAUUCAAGUUUUCUUUCUCCAACAAAUGGCAACCGAAAUGCUUGAAAAAUUCCAACCACUUGACAGGCCAAAUGUGUAGAGAAUUCCAGCAAAUGAAGGUGGUAGAACUUUAACUCUUUGAAGCAAUUAAAGGUGGUAAAACUUCCAGCAAUAUCGAGCCCAUUUACAGCCAAGUUUAGCAAUUAUUCUUGACAAUUGAAGGCGGUGGAAAUCCUACAAAUGACGAGCCAAGUUGCAAAUAAUUUUCUUGAAUUUUCAAGCAAUUAUGGUGACCAAAAAUUUCUAUAAAUAUGGGCAAGAGUUAUAGAGAAAAGUAUGCCGUAUGGAAAAGAAAAUUUGAGAGGAAUUAAAAGUAGAGUAGAGAGAAAAUUGUUAGUGGAAAGAUAAAAUUAUAGAGAAAAAAUUGUGAGUUUUUCUCUUAAGUAUUUUCUACUUGUUUUCUCUUAUUACAAGAGAGAUUAAUUGUUGUUAUUGUGUUGUAAUUCUCCUACUAUAAUGAAAUCUUCAUAUACUUGCAUGUAGACAUAGUCUAAAUUAGAUGUACCACGUAAAUACUUGUGUUCAUUUUAGCUGCAUUUUCUCAAUUCCAUUAUUUGUUAGCCAAACUCAACCCAUGUUUUUCCUAAUAGUGGGUAAAAAGGUUUCCAUUGUAUUGACUUUUAUAAUGGCUUAAUAGCACAAAACAUCACUACGUUUGAUUUGCAGUGUGCAAAAUGUCCCCACAUUUCAAUUUUUUACAUUUUCACCCCAAUUUUCACGUUUCAUUGUGAAAAAUGUCAUUUUUACCAAUUUUUAAUGUAAAAUGACCAAUAUACCCUCCUAUUUAAAUAAAACAAAAAUAAAAGAAAAUUAAAGAUCAAAUUGCAACUAUAGGCCCAAAUUUUUCAAAAGGCUCAAUAGCACAAAAUAUCCUUACUUUUUUCCCACACCCCAUCCCACCCCAUGCCAACCCAACCCAACCCAACCCAAUUCACUCAUUAUUUUGAAGAUUCAAGGAACUGUCGGCCUCCAUCUCAUCAACUUCCACCUAACCGCCACCUAAAAUACUAGAGCUCAUACUACAAAUAGCUGUCAUCAACACCCAAACACUUUCUUAUAAACAAAUUGAACAAACAACAAAUUUAUAAGGUCAAAAUCAACAAAAAAUGUAACUAUCGCAUGAGCAACAUGUUGCCUUUUUCCGUCAAUUUCGACACAGGUAAUGCUUCUCACCAUCGCAGACCACCCAUUUCAACUUCACCACAUCAUGCCACACUGCUACAAUAAUAGGUUUCCAUCAAUUUCAUCUAUUAUUCCCCAGAAUAUGUGGCCAUUUAUUGCCCAAUAAGAAAUUGAAAGAUGUUGCUAUAGAUUUUGAUUUUGUGCACCUGUUCAAGUUUUAAGUCUAUGAAGAGAGGUGCUCCAAUGAAUAUAGUUGAUUUAUAAGUUGGGAAUGCAAUGGGUCUUGUCGGAACAGAAAAAGAAAAGAAGAGAAAAAAGAAUUUUUUUUUCCAAAAUUUUUUAUUUGGACUCAUUUAUACUUUUUAAAAAGUUUAGGAGUAAGAUUGCAAUUUGUUCUUUAUUUUUCGUUUCUUCUCUUUUUGGUUUUAUUUAAAUAAGAGGGUAUAUUGGUCAUUUACAUUAAAAAUUGGUGAAAAUGAUGUUCCGCAACGAAACGUUAAAAUAAGUGUGAAAUGCAAAAAUUUGAAACAUAUGGACGUUUUGCACACUACAAGCCAAACAUAAGGAAGCUUUGUGCUAUAAAACCUUUAAUAAUUUCUUUAUGACUUUGGUAGAGGGUCUAGAGGUGUAAUUGGUCUAGCCUUCAGUCUGUUCACAUUUAAAAUCAAACGACAAAAUCAGACAUCAUAGGCCUACAAAUAUAGAUAAAUCACACCUUUGGUCUUGAACCAUUUUUCGAAUCUUGAACAAAAUUUACAAGCACCAAAAUAUCCAUUUAUGCUGCACCAAAAUCAAGUCAAGGAAGAAUCUAUUUUGCAAAUCUAUAAACAUAAUUUUUCACUACACAUGCCAACGAGUUGGUCAAGUUUUUUUCUUCUUGAUCUUGCUAUUAAAUUAAAAAUUUGUCGGAGUCAUCUAGUGGGAUUAAGCUCUUGUUUGACAACCUUUAAAGCAAACGCUUUUUUUCUUAAACUAAAUUUUUAAAAUAAAAUAUUCGGUACAUAAAUCUAAAUUUUUUCCUACUUUUGUUUAUAUAUUCCUCAAAAAAUCACUAUUCAAAACCUUGCUUUCUCCAAAAUACUCAUUUUAAUGAUUGUUAAACAGAGGCUAAUAUUGCGACACCAGAGGCUAAUAUUGCGACACUAAUGAAAGGUUGAGGAAAUAUUUGCUCCUAUUCAUAGGCUGGUGACUAACAUGCAACUAACACAAUAGAUUGGGGCUGCUAACUUACAACUUUCACAAUAGGUUGGAAAGGAAGGUAGAAAUUUUUGAAUUUUUCCACAAGUAUAUAUAGGACGCAAGUCACUCAUAUUUUAUUAGAAUUAAUUGUAGGCAUUGUAUGUAAUUGCACUGUAGCUUAGUUUUAUUUCAAUUCAUUAGUUGGCCAGCUGUGUUUUUUUCCUUUCAUUUUUGGCGCCAAGCUCCAUUGCUAUUUAUGUAUCUCUGAACAUUCAUUCAAUUGAUUGAAUGAUCAAUAGAGUUUCAAUUCAUUUUCUCUCUAUAAAUCGAAGAUGGUAUCAGAGCAAAAUCAUUUCCACGCUCUUCUCUCCUCAUCACAGAUUUAAUCUGUUGCUGGAUCUCCUCUUCAUAUUUCUUUUUUUACUUUCACAAAUUCAAUUAAUCUGUUGUUCGAUCUAAUCUCCACAUAGAGUUAUUACAGUCCGGAAAUUGGUUUGAUUCAAGGUCAUCAAUGAACAAAUCAAGUCCUUACUUCUUACUUCAUUCAAUGAGUAAUUUCCAGAUCUCCAGAUCUGCACCGAAUGAAGAUAAAAUGCAUAAUUCACAACAACCUGGGAUUGGAAAUUUAAUUUAGAGCUUGAAUCCUGCUCAAUAUCAACAAUUGAUGUCGACAUUGUCCACUCAUCUGGCAUCAAACUCACACACAGCAGCUUCUGAUUAUCAGGACAACAAAAUUACAUUAUAUAAUGCAGGUAUAUGCCAUUUCAUAUCUGUUAAUCCAGUCUUGUAUUCCAAAGAAAUUUGGAUAGUGGAUUCGGGAGCCACUAAGCAUGUGUGUUCUAUUGCUGCUUCAUUCAUGAACAUGAGGAUUAUUGAUGGUUCAAAUGUGACUUUAACCAAUCGCACACAAAUUCCAGUUAGAUUGUGUGGGAAUAUCAGGCUGAGUCCAAAUAUUGUGCUGCAUGAUGUGUUAUUUGUACCACAAGUUUCAUUAAGUUUCUCUCAUGAUAACUUCAUUAUUCAAGAUGCCAAAACCAAGAUGAUGAUUGGUAGGGGUGGUCAAAUGCAAAAUUUGUAUGUUCUAGAUACCAGAAUUCCGAAUUCCGUUUCUAAUGCAUUUGUUAAUACUGUGUCUAUCCAUGUAUGGCACAACAGACUUGGGCAUCUUUCAUUCAAAAGGCUAGACUGGUUGAAGGAACAAUUAUUGUGUGAUGUUAAAAAAUUUAAGAGGCAUAUGCCUUGUUAUGUUUGUCUACUUGCUAAACAGCGGAAAUUGCCUUUUGAAUUGAAUAAUAGACCGUUAAAUGAUCCCUUUGAUCUCAUACAUUGUGAUGUAUGGGGACCUUACCAUGUUACUUCACACUCGGGAUACAAUUAUUUCUUGAUAUUGGUGGAUGAUUGUUCAAGGUUUACAUAGGUCUAUUUGUUAAAUCACAAAUCAGAUGCCAAGAUUGUUAUUCCCAGAUUUUUCAACAUGAUUGAUACCCAAUUCAAUGCCAAAAUAAAGACAUUCAGAUUUGACAAUGCUUGUAAAUUAACCUUUAUAGAUUAUUUUACUAAAAAGGAAGUAAUGCAUCAGUUUAGUUAUGUGGAAAAACCACAACAAAACUCCGUCGUUGAGCGCAAACAUCAGCAUUUGUUAAAUGUGGCUAGGUCUCUGUACUUCUAAUCACGAAUCCCCAUCAGUUUCUAGUUUAAAUGUGUUUUGAUAGCCACAUUCUUGAUAAAUAGAACUCCAUCUUCUGUGUUGAAGCACAAAAUGCCAUAUGAAGUUCUAUAUGGAAGACCUACAGAUUAUUCCUCACUUAGAGUUUUUGGAUGUCCAGCUUUUGCAUCUACUCUAACUACACAAAGAAACAAAUUCUAGCCACGAGCUAGGCUAUGUGUGUUCUUGGGAUAUCCAUCUGAAGUUAAAGGUUACAAACUCUAUGAUGUUGAGUCAAAACAUUUCUUUGUAUCACGUGAUGUUGCGUUUCACGAAAAAAUCUUUCCUUUUCAUACAGUUAUGGCAAAUGAUCAACUGAUAGAUCCGUUCCCUGACUUAGUCUUACCAAAUCAUUUUUUACAUCUUCAUCAAGAUUCACAUGCAUCCUCAACUCAGUAUAACUUACCUCAUAUUUCUUCCUCUGAAAGUCAUAAUUUGCAUCAAGAGUUAUUCCCUACAUCACCAUCCCUUGAUACAAUGUCUGCACCUGACAGUCCUGAUAAAAAUGGCACUCCACAUACUGACAUUAGUCACACAUGUCAACCUACUACUAUCACUAAUUUGAGACGUUCACAAAGAGCUGCUAGACCCCUACAAUGCCUUAGAGAUUUUCAUUACAACUCUUUUCUCAACAAGAUAACUCCCAUCUUCAUUCACUCCAUCAUGUUAGCCAAUUUAUUUUCUAUAAUCAUUUAUCCCAAAACCACCGGCAAUUUGUAUUGAACGUGUCCUCUCAAUUUGAGCCUCAAUUUUUUCACCAGGCGGUUAAAUAUCCACAAUGGCGUGAAGCCAUGAAAGCUGAAUUGGAGGCUAUGGAAGCCAAUCACACUUGGUCAGUAGUUCCUUUACCAGUUGGUAAACAUAUUGUUGGAUGAGGGUGGAUCUUCAAGGUAAAACAUAAUUUUGAUGGGUCUAUUGAAAGGCACAAAGCACGUCUUAUAGCUAAAGGUCAUACACAACAAGAGGGCCUUAAGUACUUUGACACUUUUUCCCCACUAGCAAAGAUUGUCACUGUUAAAGUAUUGUUAGCUCUUACAGCCUCUCAACGGUGGCACUUGUUCCAAAUGGAUGUAAAUAACGCCUUCUUGAAUAGUGAUAAGUUCGAUGAAGUUUACAUGGAUCUCCCGCCUGGUUAUGAGGUUCCCAAUGCUGUCAAACAAGUGAAGAAAUUGGUUUGCAAGUUGCAAAAGUCAAUUUAUGGCCUCAAGCAAACGUUAAGGUAGUAGAAUUCUAAAUUCACCCAAGCAAUGGUCCAUUGUGGUUUCAAUCAAUCAAAGGCCGAUUAUUCCCUAUUCACUAAAGGUUCUGGGAAUGAAUUUGUGGCAUUGCUUGUGUAUAUAGAUGACAUUGUCAUCACUGGACCAAACAUUCAAGUUAUUGAUUCUUUAAAGAAGUUCUUAAACUCUCAGUUCAAACUUUAGGAUUUAGGGAAGUUGAAGUACUUCUUGGGCAUAGAAGUGGCUCGUUCUAACUCUAAGAUUGUCAUAUCACAAAGACAUUACGCCCUACAGUUGCUUGCGGAUUCAGGUUACCUGGACUGCAAAUUAACAAAUACUCCUAUGGAUCCAAAGGUUACCUUAAAUAUUCAUGAUGGAGACCUUCUGCCAGAUGCAUCUUCUUAUCACAGGUUGAUUGGAAAAUUGAUUUACCUGACAAUAUCACGACCAGAUAUUACUUUUGCUAUCUACAAGCUGAGCCAAUUUUUGUCAUAGCCUCCACUACCUCAUCUCAAGGUAGCUCACCAUCUUCUUCGGUAUUUAAAGGGUAGUCAAGGUCAGGGACUAUUCUUUCUGUUCAAGAAAUAUUUUCUUUCGAUUUAAAUCACCGCAAGUGUAUGGUUCGUUAACAAGUAAUAAAAUGGAUCAAUUGAGUCCAAAUAUUGUCCCAUAGAGAUUGACUAGUUUAAUUUUACUUAACUUGGCCUUAACUGAAACCGAUUUGUCAAACGUGAAUUGUAGUGCCUUAAAUUAACCUUACUUGGACUAAAUAUGCAAAUAUGUAUGAUUUGAAUGAAUUAAAAUGCAAAGUGAAUGUGUUAAUUGCAAGUUGGUGUACUAAAUCAAUGAAUAUAAAAGCGCACUAGGACCACGAAUCCCCAAGCAAUGCUCAAUUUAACCUUAAUUUCACACUUUGACAACAUGAUGACAUUGUAAGAAUCAAUACUCCUAAAUCUAUCCAACACUCUCUCUCGAGAUGAAUUGAAUCUAUUCUCAUACACCACCAACCUAUAUCUCUAUGACGGAUACAAAUAUAUGAGAAUGCAUGUAAUUUUAUGAGUACUUAGAGAUUCACCAAAGCAUAGGGGUCUAGUCCUAUCCUCUAUCGGACUCUAUGAUGAUUUAUACCUUGUCGAAUUUAUUCCUCUUCUUUCGAAUAGAUGAAACAAACCACCAAAACUCACACAAUUACGGGCCCAUAAUCAUGAAAGCAAUUAAAUGAAUAUAAAUCAUUCAAAACAAUUAAUACGUGCUUUAAUGUCAAAAUACAGAACAAAGAAUUAAAUAUCAAAUUACAAAGUUCAUCGAUCUCCUAGUAUAGAUUUUUCUAGCCUAACAUGAUGGGAAGAAGAACAUAAUAACAAGAAUCUAGAAAAGACAUCACUCUAUCGCCCUUUAAUUUGAAAUCUUGAAUCUUGGAAUGAAUCCUCUCAUUCUUGCCUUUUUCUUGCUCUUCAAAUCCUCCCAAAAUAAUGUAUAAUGCAUGUUGUCUGUUUUUGGACAUCCCUAGAACUUUAAAAGACUCUCAAGAUUUAUUUCCAUAAGAGUUUUAAUCAAAAAAAUCAGAAAAUUUUUGUCCGCUAUUGGCCUGGGCUAUCACUCAGGCCAACAUUUUCUUCUCAGUAAUAAGAAAAACAUAUGGGGUGAUCGCCCAGUUUUUAUAGCUGAGUUGUCAUCCAUGCAAAAUUUCUUCCAUAUGUUGUAUUUUAGCCCCCGAAGUCAAUUUUUGAUUUUUUCAAGCCCUUUCUCUUGUAAUUUCAACUCUUUGACUUUCAUUUGCUUCCAAUUGAACUCGCAACAUCUUUAAUCUUCAUUUUGUGAUCCUAACAACUAUUGAAAUAUUUGAAUUUAGUCCUCAUACUUUUGAUUUUCUUCCUUUUUGGCUCUUUUUCUUUUCUUUUCUCUUGAAGUCCACCACAUUUAUCAAUAUAGUCCUACAAAACAUAAUUAUAUAGAAUUAAGUCAUAAUUCAAACUCUUUGACCAUAAUUAAGUCAUGUUUGUGAACUAAGUGUGUAAAAACACACUUAUCAAACCCUCAAACUUGAACUAUUGUUUGUCUUCAAACAAGAUAGUGACUCAAUACUAAACAAACAUGUCUUAAUAACCUGUCGUGUCUCGAGAUUGGACUAAGUAUUUGACUUAAAUAAAUUUUGAUUAGUGUAAGAAUGAAAUCAACAGUUACCUGUUGAUUGCAUACCCGACGUGCAUGUAUGAAAUCAUGCUAACAUAAUUAGUUCAUGAUGGAGUUAGUCCUGACCCAAAGUGGUCAAAUAUGUCCUUACUUCGCUCGAGAGGUACACAAAACCCCAAACUAUUUCUUUUCACUCAGUUAACCCGGGGUUGUGUUUUGAAGUUAGGAUUUUAGGCAACUGCAGUCCUUACCCUCUCUUAAUUUGGAUAGAUCUCACUAUCACAAGUUCACAUGUCAACAAAUGAAGGCUCUCCUAGAUUUGUUUGCUUCAACACCUAAGAUUAAACUAAGUUAUUAGGCUCGCAUCAAAGGUAUAUUUUCUUCAACCAAAUGUCCAAGGACCUCUUGAUGUUAUCGUGUCUUUUCUCACUUAUUUUCUGAUAAUUUUUUUUUGUCAUCUUCUCAUUUGCUUUCUGUAUAACUCCUAUAGCGAGCUUUAAAUCGAUGACUCCCAAACCAAUUGGCUUUAGGAUAUCAAGUUUUAAACCCUUGCCGGCUUAUUCACUCGAUUUAUAAAGGCUCGAUCAGAUGACUUUUUAUUCACCUCUUCUCCUAUUGCUUUCUAUAUGACUCAUGUAACAAGCUUUAAGCUGAUAACUCCUAAACCAGUUGGUUUUGGGGCACCAGAUUUUGAAAUAUGCUUAUAAGCUUACUUACUCGAAUCAUAAAGGCAUGGACAAAAGUGUCCUAUUUUCACAAGUUAGAUUUAUGCCCUUUAUUAUUUUUCUAGACAUUUGGCUUCCAAGACCAACCCCCAAUUUAAAAUUUUCAUCUAAUUUUUAUUUCACUGGUCUAGGCAAUCCACACAAUAAAAUUCAUGCACGGAGCCCCCACUUAUCUCGAUGUUUUCCUAUGAUUGCUCAACCAUCUCCAAACCGUCUUAAGGUGGUUUAUUAUUUGAUUUAGUAGAGGGUUAUAACUCUUCUCCUACUUUAUGUUCAAAACCCCAAUCACUAGCCUGACAUGUGAGCAUGAGUGGCGUGCAUAAAUAAUGUUAAGUAUUACAUCAAUAAGUAUUGGCUAAUUUAUUCAGCACCAUAUCCACAGUUUAUAAUUUAUACCAGUCCAAUAUUCACAUCAUAGCCGACAAGACAAUCAAGCCCACACAAGCAUGCAAAAAAUGAAAAUACAGCAAACUAAAUAAAAUACAAAGAAUUAUCUUUUUAACACUCAUCAAGCACAUAAUAUGCACUCAUGAAAUAUAGAUAUUGAUGACCAUAGGCAAAAUGAUGAAAAGAUGUUCUUGUCCAAGAUUAUGUCACCCACCCUCAAACUUAGAUAAUACAUUGUCCUCAAUGUGAAGAUGAAAUAAAAGUGUAAGCAGACAUAAUUGAAGGAAAAUAAUAAACUAAAAGCACAAGAUGGGAUACGAGUACUCCCCUGAUCUAUAUGGAGAUGGUGAAUGAAAACUAGGACCCGCUGUGUUUUUCCUUUCCAUGUGACAUUCUUUUUGGUGGCAUCCUGUAAAAGUGCAAAGUAUGCGUAUUAGUUCACAUGUUGUAAACAGAUGCAAUUAAGGCAAGAAAUAACCUACGUAGUGCACAAAUUUUCCAAAAUUGCUUCAAGGUGCAUGUGUACAUUGUUGGUGUACAUAAUGCAUAAUUUAUGUCUCAACAUAGGGUUUAUAUCACAAAAAUGUGAAUCACCAAUGAAACUUCACUCAAAACAUGUACUUUGUUCAGUUUGACACAUGACUGACUAAAAUAGGACUUCAACCUCAUGACUCGUGCUCAGUGCAUUGGGACUUGUGUAGACCAUGCCUAGACUCCAUGUGAUAGGGAUGUAUGAUUGAUGAUCGAAAACUACUAAUAAUGCUAAAAAUGAAAAGUUCCUAAACUAUAGCAAAACGAAGUAAAUGAAAUGAUAGAAACGUUAUGUUGCCUCCCAACCAGCGCUAUUUUAUAGUCAAUAGCUCGACUUUUGGCAUAGGUGUGUUAUAGCACUUUAAAUAUGGCUUGGAAAGUCCUACGUAGUUUGUUCAAUAUGGUCUUGUUCCGCAUUGCAGUUAUCCUCCACACUUCAAAACUGUCCUUUUCCAAGUGGUGUGACUCUCCCUCAUCAUCCAUUUGAGACUCCACGGUGCAUAUCUCGAUCUCCUUUGAGUCAGUGAGAGUGGAUUGAGGGUACAUCAUAUCAACCUAUUGAAUGUCUAGCGGUUUCUUCAACUGGUAAUUGUAGAGGAUUUCUAUGUCAAUCACAUCAAUCUGGAAACAGGUGUUUGGCUUCGUGGGAUAUUUCAUUGAUUUGAAAACAUUAAAAGAGGUCUGCUCCUCUCCCAGUCUCAGAGUUAAUUGUCCUUGUUGCACAUCUAUGAGAGCUCUUACAAUUGCCAAAAAUUGUCACCCCAAUAUGAUAGGCACGUCCUUGUCUUCUUCCAUGUCCAGAAUUAAGAAAUCUGCUGGGAAUAUAAGUUUAUCCACUUUGAUUAAUACAUCUUCAAUAAUCCAUCGUGGAUGUAUAAGUGAUUGAUCAGCCAGCUGUAGAGUUACUGUAGUUGCUUUAAGUUCUCCCAAUCCUAGUUUCCUGAAAAUAGAGAGUGGCAUCAAGUUAAUACUCGCACUAAGAUCACACAAUGCUUUAUUAAAAUAUAAAUCACCAAUUGUGCAAGGGACAGUAAAACUCCAUGGAUCUUUCAAUUUUGGUGGGAGCUUUUUCUGGAUCCUGGCACUGCUCUCUUCAGUUAACAUCACUGUUUCAUGUUCCUUUAGCUUGCGUUUAUUUGUUAAGAUGUCCUUCAGGAACUUGGCAUAGCUGGGCAUUUGGAGUAGUAUAUCGGUGAAUGGGAUGUUGAUGUGGAGCUUUUUAAAGGUUUCAAGGAACUUCUUAUAUUGUUGCUCCAUCUUAUGCUUCCUUAACCUCUAGAGAAAUGGAAUGGGUAACUCAUAGGGGUUAACUGAAAUGGUGGCCUUACCCCGUGAUGUCUUUGAACUCUCCUUUGGUGUGGAUUCAUGUGUCUGCUCGUUUUACUGUACAAUCUCAGAGUGUUGUUUCAUUGUUUACACUCGACCUCUUAACGUGUCUUUCAGGUAGUUGCAUCCCAUUUCGAGUUGUGAUCGCUUGAACAUGCUCUCUGGGAUUCAACUCAGUAUUGCUUGGUAAAGUAUUUGGUGCCCUUUUUGUCAUAGCAAGUAUCAUCUGCUCCAUCUACGUCUCCAAGUUCUUAAUUGCAGUACCCUGAUUUUGGAGAGUAGUUUCAGUUUUCCUUAUGAACUGGUUAUUUGCUUCCAUAUAUUUCUCAGUCUUUUCCAUGAACUUUGCAAAUAUUUCAUCCAAUUGAAGUGUCUUCUCCUAUUGAAAUUGCCUCUGGGAUCUAUUCUGAUUCUGGGUACCCCAUGAGAUAUUUGUAUGUUCUUUCCAACUGAGAUCGUAAGUGUCUGAAUUUUGAUAGUUCUGUUGAUGUUGACCCCAUUGUGAGUACUUUAUUUGUUCCAUUUCUUGUGACAGAAUUGGGCAUUCUGUUGUACUAUGAUUCGCUCCACAUUCUUCACAAUUUGGUUUUCACACAUACGUUGCAUUCGCUGACUGUGAUAUGUUUUCUACCUUAUGAAAUAGUAAGUCAAUCUUUGCUGAUAAGGCAGAAUAUGCAUCUACCUCAUAAACACGCAGAGGCUCUUUUUGAAUCACUUGCUCAGAGGACCACAUGGCUGAAAUGGUAGCCAUUCUCUCAAACAAUUCCAAUGCUCCGUUGAUUGUUCGUGUGGAAAUUAAGCCGUCUGAUGAUGAGUCCACCAUGCUUUUGAAGUACGGGAGUAACCCUAUAUAGAAUAAUCGAAUUUGGGUCUUUUUGUUGAACCCAUGUUGAGGGCACCUCUAGAGCAUAUUCUUGAAUCUGUUCCAGGCUUCAUCAAAUGAUUCGGAUUCUCCCUAGCUAAAAAUGGAUAUUUCGUGUCUCAUUUUAGCUAUUUUGGCUGGUGAGAAGUACUUCGUGCAGAAUUUUUGAGCCAGGUCGUUCCAAGUAGUGAUGCUUACAAUAGGAAAUGAAUCCAACCAGUCAAGUGCCUUAUCCCGUAGUGUAUGUGGAAACAACCUUAGCCUAAUAGCAUUAUCCGAAAUUCCUUGAUACCUGAAGUGUUGUCACAUAUCCAAGAAUCGAGAUAUGUGUGUAUGUGGAUUUUCUUUGGCUUUGCCAUAAAAUUGGUGUCCAUUCUGGAACAGUUGUAUCACAUUAGUCUUCAAUUGAAUAUAAGGCUGCCCAAACGAUGGAUACACUAUGCUAGACUAGCUUUGAAUUUCUUGAGGAAUCAAGAAAUCUCCCAAAAUCUCAUUUCCUUCAUUAGUUGGGAUAACAUCGUUGUUAGGUUCAUUAGCCAUUUGCAACUGUGCUUCUCUAGUAUCUCUUUUUAGUCGAUGAAAAGUUCGCUCAAUUUCAAGAUCAGUUGGAAUAAUUCUCCUCCAAUCGAUCUUAGGAUGCAAUUCGACAAGAAAACCAGUAGUAGCACUCAGAUUCAAACAAUCUGAAAAACUAUAAUAAAAAUAAAAAUAAAAAUAAAAUAACCUAAACGAAAAUUAAUAAAAAUAGAAAUUUCAAGUUCGAGUUAGUGUCUAGAAAAAUAAAAUCAAACUAAUGCUCAAUCCCUAGUAACGACGCUAAAAACUUGUUCACGAAAUAUUUUCUUUCGAUUUAAAUCAUCACAAGUAUACAGUUCGUUAAUAAGUAAUAAAGUAGAUCAAUUGAGUCCGACUAUCGGCCCACAGAGAUUGAUUAGUUUAAUUUUACCUAACUUGGCCUUAAUCGAAACUGAUUUGUCAAACGUGAAUUGUAGUGACUUAAAUUAACCUUACUUGGACUAAAUAUGUAAAUAUGUAUGAUUUGAAUGAACUAAAAUGCAAAGUGAAUGUGUUGAUUGCAAGUUGGUGUACUCAAUCAAUGAAUAUAAAAGCGCAUUAGGAUCACGAAUCCCCAAGCAAUGCUCAAUUUAACCUUAAUUUCAUACUUUGACAACACGAUGGCAUUUUGAAGAAUCAAUACUCCUAAAUCUAUCCAAUACUCUCUCUCGAGAUGAAUUGAACAUAUUCUCAUUCAUCACUAGCCUAUAUCUCUAUGAUGGAUGCAAAUAUAUGAGAAUGCAUGUAGUUUUGUGAGUACUUAGAGAUUCACGCAAAGCAUAGGGGUGUAUUUCUAUCCACUAUCGGACCCUACGAUAAUUUAUACCUUGUCGAAUUUAUUCCUCUUCUUUCAAAUAGAUGAAACAAAUCAUCAAAACUCACACAAUUACGGGCCCAUAAUCAUGGAAGCAAUUAAAUGCAUAUAAAUCAUUCAAAACAAUCAAUACGUAUUUUAGUGUCAAAAUACGAAACAAAGAAUUAAAUAUCACAUUACAAGGUUCACCGAUCUCCUAGUAUAAAUUUUUCUAGCCGAACAUGAUGGGAAGAAGAACUUAACAACAAGAAUCAAGAAAAGACAUCACACAAUCGUCCUUUGAUUUGAAAUCUUGAAUCUUGGAAUGAAUCCUCUCGUUCUUACCUUCUUCUUGCUCUUCAAAUCCUCCCAAAAGUAAUGUAUAAUAGGUGAUAUCUAUUUUUGGAUGUCCCUAGGGCUUUAAAAGACUCCCAAGAUUUGUUUCCAAAAGAGUUUCAAUCAGAAAAGGAAACAAGAAAAUUUUCGCCGCGAUUGGCCUGGGCUGUCGCUUAGGCCAACAUUUUCUUCUCGGUAAUAAGAAAAACAUAUGGAGUGAUUGCCCCAUUUUUAUAACUGGGCUAUCGCCCGGGCAAAAUUUCUUCCAUAAAUUGCAUUUUAGCCCUCGAAGUCGAUUUUUUAUUAUUUCAAGCCAUUUUUCUUGUAAUUUCAAUUCUUUGACUUUCAUUUGCAUCAAAUUGAAUCCACAACAUCUUUUAUCUUCAUUUUGUGAUCCGAAUCAACUAUUGAAAUGUUGCAAUUUAGUCCUCAUACUUUAAAUUUUCUUCCUUUUUGGCUCCUUUUCGUUUCUUUUCUCUUGAAUUCCACCACAUUCAUCAAUAUAGUCAUACAAAACAUAAUUACAUAGAACUAAGUCAUAAUUAAAAUUUUUUGAUCAUAAUUAAGUCAUGUUUGUGAACUAAAUAAGUGUGUAAAAACACACUUAUCUCUUUUCCUUCAUCAUUUGACCCACAUUCACUUCUCAAGCUUUGGGCCUUUUCAGAUGCAGACUAGGGAGCUUGUCUUGAUGCAAGAAAAUUAGCUACUAGUUUUUUGCAUUUUCCUUGGAGACCCUUUAAUAUAUUGGAAAGCUAAGCGACAGUCCACUGUUUCUUGAUCUUCAACUGAAUCAGAAUAUAGGGCUCUAGCUACCACCAUUAGUGAAGUCAUCUGGAUUAGCCAAUUGCUCAAGGAUUUUCAGACGCUAUCUCCCCAGGUGCCUUAUUUUGUGAUAACCAAACUGCCAUUCAAAUAGCCACAAAUCCAGUUUUUCAUGAACGAACGAAACACAUCGAAAUCGAUUACCACUUCAUUCAGGAUAAAGUUGCAGCUACAAUUAUUAAGCUCCUUCCAAUCUGAUCUCAACAUCAACUAGCUGACGCAUUUACUAAGCCACUUUCUGCAUCUGUCCUUCUCCCUUUAACGUCCAAGAUGUCUGUAAAGAAUAUUUAUCAUACAUCUUGAGGGGGAGUAUUAGAAUUAAUUGUAGCUAUUGUAUGUAAUUGCACUCAGCUUAGUUUCUUUUCACUUCGUUAGUUGGCCAGCUGUGUUUUCUUUCUUUCAUUUUUGGCACCAAGCUCCAAUGUUAUUUAUGUAUCUCUGUACAUUCAUUUUCAAUUGAUUGAACGAUCAAUAGAGUUUCAAUUAAUUUUCUCUCUAUAAAUCUAAUAUAUUUUCUACAUUGAAUCAUAAAUUUCACUAAAGAAAUUGUCUUCUAUAUCCACCAUCUACAGUCAAGCCAAGGAUGACGGUAUGUACACACACACACAUAGUUGACAUGCAAGAAAUGGAAAUCUAAAAAAGCCCAAGGACCUUCUUAUAUGUAUAUUUGCUCUCUCAAUAUUGUUCCUUAUCAGAAAAAGGUAGUCAUUGAGAUCCCUCCAAAUGGCCAAAACUCUAUUGGUCAAGGAGGCAUCAUUUAGAAUAAAGGCCAAGAAGAUCACGAUGAGCAUCUCGGGUAAGUUAAAUCUUUAUAUGACUAAUAUAAACCGUUUCUUUGGUAUUGUGUACUGUACAUCAGUAUGUCUAGGAUACGAAACAAGAUUUUAGUUCUUUAUUUUCCUUUCUUCAAUACUUUCUAGAAUAAUGCUAUCUAUUUAUGACUACUAGUGAAUGUGAUGCAUUUUCACUCACAAAUUGGAUUGUAUGGCAAACAAUUUCACUGAUAUUAGGAUCUAUUAAGACUUAAAGUUGCAUAUUAAAAGGUCAAACUUGGUAAGAGAGGUAACCCAAGUCUUUAUAUGUUGGUCUAUAUGUCAUCAAUUUUUGAUGUGUAAUUUAUUCCUUAACAUAUAUCCGCACGAAGGUGGUUUGUUUGAGCAAACCAAUCUGAAAAUUCAUGUACUCUUUUAUGGGUCUUUAUCAAAUCAAAUUGCUCCUUGGGGUUUAAUAACCUUUGAUAUCAUAUUAGAAUUUAGGGUUCUAUCUUAAAAUGUCGACUUUGGUUAGAAGAGUGGCUCAAGUUUUUAAAUGUUGGCCUAUAUUUCUACAAUUAUUCGAUGUGGAUAAGGAUCUUGAAGCUGCAAAAAACAUUUUAUAUUUAUCAUUCUUCUCAUCUUCGAUGGACAUUGGAUUUACCAUUAAAAUCUUCCCUACUCUCAUGAACGUUAUUUGUAGAAGUUGAGUCGGUGGCAAUGGAGGGAAGCGGGAACAUUCUAACAGUGAUUGGUAAAGAAAUCGACUCGGUGAGUCUUGUCCAAUGCCUAUGGAAGAAGGUGUGUUUUGCUAAGGUAGUGAGCGUACCAAACUGAGAGGUGUUAGGUAAUUUGUUGUCAAACGACCCCCCGGGCUAUAAUGUAACCCCAUAUUUAUUUAUUAUAAAUUGGCUUUGGCUAUAUGAUUGAUUUAUAUGUCGACACUUUUAUCGAAACAACCCAACCCACAUCUCUGUGGACCGUUAGAAGCAACCUAUUUUUAAUAGUGUUGCUCAUGGUUCGUCCCACUUCCUUGGAGGGCUAUGGUUUUAAUUUGGAGCCCAUUACUUUGAUUUGAGCCUUGUUUGGUCCACUAAAUAAACCUAACCUAACUUACUAUUUUGGUCACUCAUUUGGCUUAUAUUCUCGGCUUCUCUUCACCUCCACUAUGAAGAAAUCUCUAUCUCUCUCUGUGACUUUGAUUCUCGGUUUUUUCUCUUCAUAUAACCUUUAUGGUUUCUUGUGGCAACCUAUUGUUCUUCAUCUUGGCCAACUCUUUGUGAGUAUAUUGUAACAACCAGAGGUGGGAACAAAGGCGGUGGUUUUGGGUGUUGUCUCAACCGGCGGUGUUGUCGAUAUAUGGUGGAAACUGAGCCCAGUUUACCUUGGUAAUUGCUGGAAUUUGACCCUACAACUGGUAUUAGAACAGCCGGUCAUCUCGUCCGGCCAAAAAUCCACCAAAAUGGCGGCGGGUCUCACGAUUUCUCAAAGGGACCGAAUCUGCAAUUGUCAAUUCUGACCAAACGUGACCUCUAUUGGACGAACGGAGGCCGGACCCAUAACCAGCAGGUGGAGGCACCUCCGGUGGUGAGGCGCGUGGGACAGCGACCGGCGGCGGGCGAGGGCGCGUGGAGGACUUCAUGCGUAGUUUUUUUGUGCCAUUUCACUCAUUUUGAUUUCUAGAACGUAUUAAUGUGUUUAGUUUAGUGUUUCAGGUUAUGCAGAAAAGAUUGGAUGAUUUUACCCCUACCUUCAAUCUGCAUUUGUUGCUUAUCAGAAUUGCUAUAUUUGCUUAAUCUUUAAGGCGAAUAGUGGUGGCCCUAAAGCAGCAAAUUCGCAUCUCUCCAUGUUACGGACUCAGACAGGUUUGCUCUGGUAAAUUGAUUGAAACCUUUAUAUUUCUGCAUUAGCAGAUCAUCAUGUGAGGUGAUCAUUAGGUUUGGGAGUUGCCAAUGCUUGGCAGCCAUUGUUUGUGCAAGAAUUAGGGUUACGUGAUCUUAAUUAUUUUGAUUGAGUAUUUAUUUUUGGGUUAAAAUUAGUUUGUAAUUCUUAGUGAUCGAAUUACUGUGAAACUAGUUAUCUACUAAACGUAUCAUUUUGCAUUGUUACUUCUGCUGCUUACUUAUUUCGUUGGAAAUAUCGUGACCUUACCCGUUCGAACAUUCCUUUGAUCUAAGACCACGAGACUUACAAAACUCUGGGAAUCUAGAAUGGUGUAUACUGUCUGUGACCCUAUGACUAGUUUGUGUAGUUUGAUUGUGGUUUGUACAUUCUUUGACUGUUGUGUAAAGAUGAUGACUCACAACUUUGAUUUGGGAGUUUUUAAUGGAAAGGGUGACUUUGCUAUUUGGCAACAAAAAAUGAAGGACAUUUUAGUCCAACAAAAAGUUUCAAAGCCAUUGAAGGCAAUUUUUCAACUGAUUUUUCAUAAGAACAAAGAGAAGAAGCCGAUGAGCUUGCUUAUACCUCAAUCAUUUUACACUUGUCUGACGUCAUUUUAAGAAAUGUGGGUAAACUAAAAACCAUUAAAGAACUUUGGAAAAAAUUAGAAAACUUAUAUUGCUCAAGUCUGCAUCGAAUAAACUUUACUUGCUCGAACGUUUUUUUAGUUAUAAAAUGGAUCCUUCAAAAGAUCUUGAUGACAAUUUAGAUGUAUUUAACAAAUUGGUGCAAGAUAUAGUUAAUUGUGAUGAUACUAUGUUCAAAACUUAUAAGGCUAUAAUUUUGCUCAAUGCAAUUCCUGAUUCCUAUAAGGAAGUUAAGAACGCCAUUAAGUAUGGUAGAGACACGUUGACACCUAAAAUUGUCAUAGAUUCCCUUAGAAGUAAAGAAAUGGAAAUUAGGGCUGAAAAAUACGAUAAGAGGAACGGUAAGGUACAUAUGAUGCGGGGUAGAACUCAAUUUAGGCAAAAUAGUCAUGAUGGAUAUCAAACUAGUGGCGACUCAAGUGGUAAUGGAUGGAAAAAGAAGAGCAACUGUAGGUCUAGAUCAAAAUCUAGGACUAAGGUGAGAAAAUGCUAUGGUUGUGGAAACACAAGGCAUUUUAUAAAGGAUUUCCAUAAGGAGAAGGGUAAGCUAAAAGUUAAGGAGAGAGAUGAGGUCAAUGUGUUAGCAUCUACUUCCAACAUAAAUGGUGGUGAGGUCUAUAUGAUUACAAGUCCCGUUGCAUAUACUGCUGAAUUAAAUCUAACUACUAAUUCCCACAUGCAUGAGUGGAUACUUGACUCUGGUGCAUCUUUUCAUGUGACGUCUAAAAAGAAUUGGUUUUAUAAGUUGCAUAAAUCUAAUGUUGGGUAUGUUAUGUUGUGUGAUAACUUCGCCUAUACUAUUGCUGGAAUUGGUGACAUAAAUGUAAAAUUUGACACAGGUUUUGUGUAUACGUUAAAGAAUGUUAGAUAUAUUCCUGAGUUGUCUAGGAAUCUGAUUUCAGUAGAGAGACUUGAAAAGGAUGACUUUACUUGUAAAAUUGAAAAUUGUAUGCUAAAAAUGAUCAAGGGUACUUUAAUUUCCAUUAAGGAAAUUAAGAAAAAUGAUAUAUAUAUAUUACUACUGGGGAAGUGAUUAGAGGUGUGAACCCCUCUAUCUCCUCUGCCAAGAUUGAUCACACACACACAUGGUAUAAUAGACUUGCUCACGUAGGGGUCAAGAGACUUAAGCUACUUAACGAAAAAGGUGCUUUUGGUAAUGACUAUGUGUCAAAUUUUUCAUUUUGUGAUCAUUGUGUGCUUGGUAAGCAUCAUAAAACUUCUUUCUCCACGAGUGUUAAUAGAGCUAAAAGCAUGCUCGAAUAAGUGCACUCUGAUCUGUAGGGUCCUGCUAGUAAUCCCACAUCGGGUGGAAAUAGGUAUUUCUUGUCUAUUAUCGAUGACUACACUAGGAAAGUGUGGGUCUAUCCUUUGAAUGAUAAAUCUGAGACCUUUAAUAGUUUUAACAGUUGGAAGAGAUAAGUGGAAAACCAAACUGGCAAGAGAAUCAAAAUUUUAAGGACAGAUAACGGCCUAGAAUUCUACAAUAAGGAAUUUGAUAGUAUGUCUAAAGAAAGAGACAUAACUAGACAUAAGACCGUUCCUUACACUCCUCAGCAAAAUGGGGUAGCAGAAAGGAUGAAUAGGACUAUACUUGAUAAAGUAUGUUGCAUGAUGAUAAGUUCUGGUGUUCCCAAGUCAUUUUGGGGUGAGGCUGUUAUUACUGCUUGUUAUUUGAUUAACCUGACUCCUUCUACUGCAUUGAAUGGUGACAUUUCGUAUGAGAGAUGGUCGGGUAAACUGAGUGAUUACUCGAUGCUUAGAACUUUUAGCUGUACAACUUUUUCCAUCAAAGUGAGGGUAAGCUGGAACCUAGAGCUAGGAAGUGUGUCUUUCUAGGAUACCCCAAGGGUGUUAAAGGUUAUAGGUUAUGUGAUAGAAGCCAAAAAGGAAUUAAGAUUAUCAUAAGUAGGGAUGUCACGUUUAACGAGAAUGAGAUGCCGUGUUUUAAAGGGAAAACUGAACUUGAGAGUAAAAUUGAACCAGGUGAAGAGAGAGGCCUGUUUAAGAUGGAGUUAGGAAAGCUCAGUACACCUAUCCCUACUGCUCCUAAUGAGAUGGAGAUUCAAGGUCAGGAACCUGAGGUGGAGAAUAGUAACGAAGUAAUGAUAGAAGAGCACUAUGAGGAAGAAAAUCAUUUAGCUAACUACAACUUAGUUAGGGAUAGAGAGAGGAGACAAACGAGAAAACCUAGAAGGUUCGGAUUUGAAUCUGAAUUAGCUUUCGCCCAGGCUAGUUAUGAAGAACUAGCUGAUAAAGAGCCAAAGACUUUUGAAGAGACAAUAGGCAGUGAUCAAUCAAUGAAUGGCUUAAGGAAAUGAAAGAAGAGAUGAGUUCUCUAGAAAAGAAUCAUACUUGGGAGCUAGUACCUAGGCCUAAGAACAAAUUGAUUGUUGAUUGCAAAUGGGUUUUUAAGGUUAAGGAAGGUACUAGUAACUCGGAACCCCUAAGGUUUAAAGCAAGGUUAGUAGCUAAAGGCUACAUAUAGAAGGAGGGCGUUGAUUAUAAUGAAAUUUUCUCACCAGUUGUUAAGUAUACCACUAUUAGGGUCAUGCUCGCAUUAGUUGCACACUUUGACUGGGAACUUGAACAACUUGAUGUAAAAACUGCUUUUUUACAUGGUGAGCUUGAUGAACAAAUCUUCAUGAAUCAACCAAAAUGUUUUAAGGAUAAGUCAAAACAUGAUUAUGUGUGUCUUCUGAGAAGAUCCUAGAAUGGGUUAAAGCAAUCUCUUUGACAGUGGUACAAGAGGUUUGAUUCCUUUGUACUCACUAUAGGGUUCCAAAAAAGUAAAUUUGAUCACUGUUUGUAUUUUCAACACAAUGAGACUGAUGAUAAUUAUCUAUUUUUGUGCUCUAUGUGGACGACGUGCUUUUGAUUGGAUCAUUUUCUAAGUGGAUAAAUUACAUAAAAGCAAAACUAAGUGGUGAAUUUGAUAUGAAAGACCUAGGUAAGGCUAAGAGAAUCUUAGGUAUGAAAAUCGAAAGAGAUAGGUCAAAUUCCUUUUUGUUUUUGCAUCAAUCUCCAUACAUAUCAAAGUAUUGAAGAAAUUUAAUAUGAGUGAUUGCAAACCUGUCACGUUGCCUCUUGCUAAUCAUUUUGUUUUAUCGAAGGAACAAUCCCCUUGCAAUGAGCGUGAAGUAGAGUACAUGAAUAGAGUGCCUUACUCUAAUGUGAUUGGUUCCAUAAUGUAUUUGAUGGUUUGCACUAGACCGGAUUUAGGUUUUGCUGUUAGUACUCUAAGCAGAUACAUGGCUAAUUCGGGACCUGAACAUUGGGAAGCGCUAAAGUGGCUAUUAAAGUACUUGAAGGGUACAAAUGAUGUUGGUUUAAAGUUUAGUGCUAAUAAAGAAGGUAUAAAAUUAAAGGGUUUUAUAGAUGCAGAUUACACGGGAGAUAGGGAUGGUAGGAAAUCCACUUCGUCUUACGUGUUUACCUUAUCUAAUUCAUGUGUUAGUUGGAAAUCACGGUUACAAUAUAUUGUUGCACUAUCCACUACAAAAUCAGAAUAUAUUACUACCACUGAAGCUAUUAAAGAAGCUUAUGACUUAGAGGCCUUCUUCAUGAACUAUGUGUUUUGAAUGAUUAUGUGGUAGUGUAUUCUGAUAGUCAGUCAUCUAUACAUUUAUGCAAGAACCCCAUUUUUUACAAGCGCACUAAACACAUUGAUGUUAGACUCCACUUCAUUAGAGAUAUAGUAUCUCAAAAGAUGGUAAGACUUGAAAAGGUCCACACCCACUAUAACCCUUCUGAUAUGGGGACGAAGGUACUGUCGCUGGCAAAGUUUAGAAGUUGCAAGGAACUUUUAAACAUUGGUACAGGUAAAUGAUUUCCAAUUUUAAUGGUUUUUAUUAGAGGUGUCACUAAUGGGAGACAUUUUCUUUUGCAGGUCCUUUGACACCAAGGUGGAGGUUGUUAGGCAAUUUGUUGUCAAACGACCCCCCGGGCUAUGAUGUAACCCUGGAUUUAUUUACUAUCAAUCGGUCUUGAUCAUAUGAUUGAUUUAUAUGUCGACACUAUUAUCGAGACAACCCAACCCACAUCCCUAUGGACCGUUAAAAACAACCUAUUUUUAAUAGUGUUACUCAUGGUUUGUCCCACUUCCUUAGAGGGCUAUGAUUUUAAUUUGGAGCCCAUUACUUUGAUUUGAGCCUUGUUUGGUCCACUAAAUAAACCUAACCUAACUUACCAUUUUUGGUUACUCAUUUGGCUUAUAUUCCCGGACUCUCUUCGCCUCCACUAUGAAGAAAUCUCUAUCUUUCUCUGUGACUUUGAUUCUCGAUUUUUUCUCUUCAAAUAGCCUUUGUGGUUUCUUGUGGGCAACCUAUUGUUCUUCAUCUUGGCCAACUCUUUGUGAGUAUAUUGUAGCAACCAGAGGUAGGAACAAAGGCAGUGGUUUUAGGUGUUGUCUCAACCGGCGGUGGUGUCGAUAUAUGGUGGAAAUUGAGCCUGGUUUACCUUGGAUUGCUGGAAUUUGACCCUACAAGAGGGUUGAAACUAAGCAACUGAAACUUGAGAACACGAAUCCGGCUACCUGUGUCUGUGCCUCACCGAUGCUGUAAUCACUCGCCUCACUGGAAAAUAUUGGAAAUCAGGGAACCCACAUCCUCCUGCUUCAACUUUUGAAUGCUUCUUAUGUUAAGUUGUCAAACAAGAAAAAAUGAAUUUUUGUUGUGAAGAAAAUUAAGCAACAUUAAUUCACAAUAGAUUUUGUUGCAAAUUCUGUUUGAGAUAAUGUUACAAGUGGAACAUUGUAGAAUAAUUUCAAGAGAUCAGAAGUAUAAGUUGAGAGAAAACUUUGUUUUCAUUUCUUGGAUCGGAUAGAUAGCAUCACUCUUAUUGAAUGGAGGUUUGCAAGAGUAUAUAUUGUAAUUUUAGCUUCCAUGAAGAGCAGUAGAAAGCUCAUUUUCUAGUUGUCAGAUGUCUCCGGUGAUUGAGUGUCAUUGGACUGAAUUGAUAGAUUCAUGUUUAAACUGGACUCAUUGAGUCUUAUUUGAUUUGUGUUUAUGCAUCGAAAAGACAAAAAAUAUUUUUUUAUCUUUUUAUACAGAAUUUUUAUACACAAAUUGAUUCCAUAAUCGUAUCUCAAGAAAAUGCGAGUUGCAAGUGUCAUUAUAAUAAAAGGGCAAAAUGGUCAUUUAAUCAUGAUUAAUUAUUCGAUGUUCGAUGGGGUAAUAAAUAUUGAUGAUAAGUCAAAAGAAUAUAAAUUAACUCCCUGCAUAUAGGGCUAGUUUCGGAUUGGCUUGAUUGGACGUAACUAUUGUAGUUUCAAUUAUAUUAGUCCGAUCAGGCCCUUUUGAUAGCUUUAGUAAAAGUUUUGAGCUUAAUUACAUUAAUAAUUCAAGUUCUUAGACCAUGUGUAAAAAGUCCAAAAUAGAACUUGCAGUUUAGUGAAAUUGGGGAACAGGUUGUGAUACAUGUACAGGUACGGGUUGACCUGUACUGAACACUCACAUACACUGGGUGGGUGAGUUUUUUUCUUCUUCUCUCUUUUUUUUUCUUUUUCAAUGCAAGUGGGGCCCAUUGUGUUGGUAGGGGUUCUGUUCCUGUACACCCAACACUUUCCUUGGGGACCAAGGUCCAAGCCUUAUUAGUAGGCCUAAGUGGAUGCCCUUGGCAUAAUUGAAUGCCCUAGUCGUCCAAUACACAUAAAGAGAUCAUUUUUCUAUUGUUUGAUUCCUCAACUUGAUUCUUGAUUGGCUUUCAAGUUCCACUCAUUAAUUGCAGUUCAUACUUUUGAAGAAUACUAAAGAAGAUAUGAGGUUGAAAGCUUGAAGAUUGAAUAUCAAUAUUAAAGAACAGAAUUGGAGCAUCUUCUAAGGAAUUCAGAACUAGUCACACACUCACACUUCAAGGGUGAUUCCAAAGUCCUUUAUAUGAUUAAUUCAACAUGUUAUAACCGAGUUUAAUUAUUUAGUUAAUAUUCUUGGGUUAAAACUUCUUAAGAAAAGAAAUUAUUAUCCAACAUUGCUGGACAGAGACUAAAUUGGUUCUUUCAUUUAGAAGGGGCUAAUCUCAUUUUUCACACGCAUUGUGCUCGUUUUCCUUUCUUUAGACAUUUUUUAUGUGUUCUAAAGAAUUCUGAGUGAUUUCUUCAAUCACUGUACUGAAUUUGUUCUUGAUUUUCAUUCUAAUAUGAAAGCCAUAUCUACUUUGGUAGAUUCUCAACGGACAAAUAAUGUAGCGCACAUGAACAUUUGGAUCCAUUAGUGAACAAAAAUUCUUGUGUUUAAAUUUCUUUAAUUUUUUACACAUUUAUUUCAAUCUUUUAUGGUUAAAACAUAUAUUUAGGACUAACAAGUGGCAUCAGAGUCAGAACUUAAUUUUGAUAUGGUUUCUGGCUUUAAAAUGGAAACCUAGUUUGUUCUUUUUGAAAAUUCUUUGUACUAUACUAGCUCUUGAUCUAGAAUUUUUUGUGGAAACCAACUUAUUUCCAAAUCUUUGUGACUUGAUGUAUCUUCGAUUCAACAUUCGAUGGCUCGUUUGCAUUCCCUGUUGGGGUGUGAUGACUUUACACAGUUUCUGGCGAUUCUCGGUGACUCCUUAUUCUUCUCAACUCAUUCAAUCUGUUACUGAUUCUUGGUGUUUCAGUUGGCAUUCUGGGAUAAAUUUUAGUAGAGCAGAGUUUAAAUAUAGAAAUUAAUUUGUUUUGUAUUGAAGACACAAACUGAACAUUAGACAAUUUAGAAGUUCUAAUGACAUAGGAAAGGAUGUUAUAACUAUUAGGUAGAGAAGAAAGUGGUGGAUUGUGCUAGCUAGCCAUGAAUAUGAUGUAUAUAAAGAGCUUUGUGGUAAACAUUGGCAAAGAUUGUACCAGAGGUUGGUUUGGCUUUGAAGUGUUGGAGAUUAGCCUCAAAGCUUAUUUGUUUCUUAUGGAGCUUCUCAAAGGUAAUGGGAUAUCGCGUGCACCAACAACAGAUGAGAUGUCCUUAUUGUUAGAAUUUUGAGGUGACCCAAAUUCUUUUGUCAAAAUAAUUGUAGAAUUCUAUUUGAAGUGCACAUAAAAAGGAAUUAUAGUUGGAAUGCUUUGAGAAAUCCUAUUUAAGUUUAAUUGUCAAAUUCUAUUUAAAGUUCUAUUUUGAAGCCCAUUGAGAGUUGAAACUUGAGUUGGACUUGAAGAGUUCAAAUAAUGAAACUUUUAGGCAUUUUAUUUUAUCUAUAACUCUACUUCUAGAUAAUGAUUUUUUUCUAUAAAUACGAGGCUCCUCUGUCAGUGUUGGAAGAAGCAAUUUUGCUAAGUUGUAUUUGUUUUCUCCAUAUUGUUCAGUAAUAAAUAUCGUUACUCUGCAUUUUACCCUUUUGGUUUUUCUUUACUUUAAAUCUUGUUUUCGUAGUGUAAUUUUGUUUACUUCAAUAUUAUCAUUAAAUCUCAUUCUUUACAAUCCGGUUUGGGAUCAACAAACGGUAUCGGAGCUUUCGUGCCCAACACUUAUGGUCACUGCGUAGGCCAUCAAGAAUUUUUAGAGUCAGGUCUUCAUAGUGAAUGGGAAAGUCCUUAAUAGAAAGUUCAACAAUCAUGCUUUUCUAAGAUUGUAGAAACUCGAUAAUGGUUAAAGAUCCUAUAGUAAGGUUGGGAAGUCGACUUUUUCAUUGCAUAAUGCAUCCUCCUGAGGGUUCGUCAUUUAUUUCAAAAAUAUUGUUCCCCACAUUAUGAGAUCUUUGGUAAGAAGUGAUGUAUGGAAUAAUAGUGGAAGAACGGAUCCAACAAUUGCAUUUAAUAGUAGUUGUUUUUGUCCAAUACCAUAAGCAAAUGAUUGAUUUAGUAAAGUAUUGGCAUUUUCUAUAAUAUGUAGCUCAUAGAGUGAAACACAUGUAUGCUAGAAAGCAGGCCGAUGCCAACAUGGAGCAAGGGGAGCACACCUAACGGAAUGGUACAAGGAUAUUUUUGGAUUUUUACAAUAUCUUGUACGAGCUAGGUUAGUAUAUAUGUUGUGACUCAAUUAUUUCCACAUUGUGAAAAUUAUAGUUGCCUCACUCUCGUAGAUAUAGGCUACUGUCAAACCAUGUAAAUCUCUCUCUCUCUUUCUCUUGAAUUUGUACUAUUCAUCAUAUCAUUAUUGUCGCACAUAACACAACACCAUUGAUAUAAGCUGGUUGUAAACCCAUGAGAUCAUACGUUAUGAGAAGGGUAUUAAAUUGUAAUUUCUAUAAGGACUAAUAUCCUACGUGCAAGAUACUCUAGCGUCCAAAGCUUCAGCCUUCUUCCUCCUGCUCAAGUGAGCUUUUCUUUUGUUUAAAUGAUCAAUGACUACACUUCUACAAUGUCAUCUAGUCAUCUUGUCCUACUCUCUCGCCUUCUCAUUGAUCCUGAUCAUGACCUAACUGCUUCCACCUCCACCUCACACGCUCAGUUCUCGCCCUAUGAAAACCCUUGACGAAGAUCAUAUUUCAAAACCAAUUCCAAAACUAAAUCUCAGCCCUUGAUCUUGAUUCCAUUAUUCUCACUCUUAGCCACAAGCCUUAAACGUCCACUUUGGUUCUAAUCCAUGUGUGAGGAUUUUGAUGGCCUAUUACGUGAUGCAUUUAAAAGCUAGCCUCUCCGCUUCAAUUCCAAAUUAUUUUCAUUUUUAAAUGGGCUUUUUGUGUUGAACGGAAACCUAAUGUUUACAUUUAUCGUGCCCGACGAAUGGUUUUCAUCAACGCUCACAGUAGACUAAAAUGAGAAUUUUAGCCUAGUUGUCAAUCCUACCACCAUCCGUCUCAUCCUUAAUCUUGCAUUGGUACGGUAUUGGUCUCUACGUUGUUCGAUGCCAGUAAAGCGUUUCCUCGGGAUUCACUAAUGAAAACUAUUUACGCGUCUCAUAUUCAAGAAUUUGACAAUAUAGAAACUUCCAUUAUGAUUGUCCAUUUCAUGAAGGUAUCUGUAAUCUCAAACAAGCUUGUCGAGCGUAGUACAAUGAAUUACGAAACUUCUUGCUUGCCCGUGGGUUUACCAAUUCCAAAUCUAACUAUAUUCAAUUGCAACUCCAACCAGUGUCGAAUCUUAGUUUUGGUUUAUGCUAAUGACAAGGGCUGGCCCCGAAAAUUUAGAGGCCCUAGCCGUCUAAUUAUUAUGGGCCCCUCAACACAAAAUUUACUUUUACAAAAGUAUAACAAUAUGUAAAUAUUUAAAUAAUUAAAAAAGUCGGACCUUAUAUCAGCUUCAAUAUCUUCCAUUACAGCCAUCUUUAUAAUUUAUAUGCCAACUUUUAUUUUCUGCCAUCCACCCAAAACACCUUUUUAAAAAUUCUAGGUUGUCAAGUUUUUGCCCUGAGCAAAAAGAAAGAACAAACAAACAAAAAAUUGGGAAAUAUAUAUUUUACACAAAAAUAAGUAUAUGUUUGCAAACUCUCUAUGUGUGAAAGCGAGCUGAAUUACUCUUUUUUUUCCCUCCAAUUUACCCAAAUGAGAUGCGAAUCAUUUCAGCGGAGAAGUCUUGAAAUUCUUGCAAUUUUAAUUCAGAUGUUUCCAAGGUGUGAUUGGGGAGGGGAGGCUCUCCAGGGUUAGAGUAAAAAAAGGGAGUCAGAAUGGGAGAGAGAGGUGGGCGGCUAAAAGUUUCACAAAACAUGGAUAGGUUACACAAGCAUAAGAAGAAGACGAAAAGGCCGAACUUGUUGUUGUGUAAUCGGAGUUCUCCAGAAUUUUUGCAACUUUGCUGGUACACUGGUAGUUUUUAGGGAUUUUCGAAUUGGGAUUGUUCUCUACUUCUCUUAAAAUUUAUCGCGUACACGUUCUUGAUAAAAAGGAUGGAGAUUUUUUUGGUGAAAAUGAUUGGAAUGGAAUGGAGAAGAAUCAUUGUCACGAGAGACUCUAGUUUUAAUAUCUUUGUUACUCAUUUGGCACUAUUUUCUCUAGAGAUGUCAAAAAUUCUAAUCGAACACAAUCCCCAUAGGGACAUAUCCCAAAUAGGACAAGAGUUUCUGGCUUUAAUCGAGUUUGCAUCCGUUUAUAUUUUAACAAUAUUAAUAAAAAUUUGCCCAAUUUCUAUUAUAAUUUUUUUUUUAAAAAUGAAUAAAUAAAUUUACGUAUCAUGCAAUCCAAUCUAACAUCACAUUCCAUUCGAGAGAAAAUGAAAAAAUAGAAAAUUGAUUUAAAAAAAAAAAAAGCAAAAUAAAAUAUAAUGGCCCUGUAAAGUGGAUCCCGCUCUAUUGUCAUCCCUAGAUUUGGAUACUUGUUUCUUGGGGAUAUAAGUUAUUUUUCUCUCCUUUUUCUCUCACGACAUUUGUUUGUGUCUCAGUAAUCUUCUACGCAACAUAAUUUGCAUGAGUACAAGUCAGUGUCUAUUUCUAUGUACAUGACAACUACCUUCAGCUUGAUAGAUGUCACAACUCUUCUUGAAAACUACCUUCAGCUUCUAAAUAUAGGCAAAGUUCUUGGCAACUUGCAAUAUUCUUUACUCACUCGCCAGGGCAUUGUUAUUUAGUUAACCAUCUGUAUCAAUAUAUCACUAAUCCAUUUCUAACCCCUGGAUGGCUGUUAAACUUAUGUUUCUUGACUUUUUUGGCACUUUGGGCUCUUUCUUCGUCGCCAUUCUCCUAUCGUGUCGUAUGCCUUCUCUAAAUCUGAUUGAGAAGAAAAUGGUAAUGAUCCCACAUCCAUCCUUGCCAAUCUAGUGAUUCUUGAACGGAACCUAAUUGUUUCUCUUUUUUUUUUUUUUUUUAUUGAAAUCGACUAUCAUAUGGCUUAAAUAUUUAGUAAUUGAAUUCAGCGAACCAAUUUCCACCAAUCGAGUAAUCUAAUUUCAUACUAUUAGCACCACAUGCUUAAUGACCUAACACUAUUUCUCACCUGUAAUGGAAUACAUUAAGAUUCAUGUGCACUUUGUUCAUGACAAGAUUUAGACCAGUGAACUCUGGAUUUCUUGUGUUGUCUUGUCCAAUCAAUUUGUUAAUGUUCAAACUAAACAUUAAUCAUAUGCGUUCGCAUCUACUCCUAUCUGAUAUAUGUGUCACUAAUAAGACCGCUUUCUUGUGCGGGGCAUAUUAUAGAUAUUAAAGUAAUUAGAGAUAGCAUAGUACGAUAAUUAGAGCUUCAUCUUGUGAAAUAAUAUUAAAGUAGUUAUAGAUAGUGUUACACAAUAGUUAGAACUUGUCAUUACUGAACGUGCAUCAUAUAUUUCUGUUACAGAAUGUAUACAUAUAUAUAGCACAUACAAGGAGAUAUUUUAGACUAUGCACUAAUUUAGGCUAUGAUUGAGAUUGACCCUCAUUAUAUGUGGAGUCAGAUGACAAACUAUACUUCCCUAUAAUUAUUGAAUAAUGUUAUUUAAUAUUAGUAGAAUUAGAGUGCUAGUCUAAGUUGACAUACUUGAUAAGUUCAAUUAAAUUAAUCGUGUGGUAUUGCAUUUAAAUGAAUUUAUUGCUUAGUGUCACGAAAUUAGGGUGGCAACAGUUCGGUUCAGGGUCGGUUCGGCCAAAACCAUCACCGAAUCACCAAAUUUUUUUGUCAUACCAUAACCACGUAAGUUGGUUCGGAUCGGCUCAGUUAGGACGAUUAAUAACUACAAAAAUAAAUUAUUUUUUAUAAGUUCAGCUAUCAAAUUGGGAAAAAAAAUUAUGAUAAAAAAAGUCAAUGAAAACAAAAACACAAUACCAAGUCAAUUUAACAAACAAUAUCCCAAUUUCCAAAGGCAAAACACAAUACCAAGUCAAUUUAACAAACAAUAUCCCAAUUUCCAAAGGCAAAAUCCGAAUUUAACAAACAAUAUCCAUAAAUGUUUAAUAUUUGUGUAGUAGAGCGUAGGGUUAUCGGGUUCAGUUAGUUGGACUUAACGGGUUUGUAAUGGGCCAAAAAUUUGAACUGAACAGAAUCAUAGAAAGACUAAUGGAAAGCCUAAUUGCCCAAUUAGUUUUUUUUUAACGGGUAAUCGGUUCGGAGUUGGACGACGGUGUAAAUAUCAUACUCGUCCCGCUCCAAAUCGGGGCAUUAAAAUCAAAUACCAUAUCCACUCCAUUGCGCCAUUGGUUUGGUUAAUCGCGAUUUUCGAUUUUGAUAGUUCGAAUUGCCAUCCUUACAUGAAAUUGCAUCUAAACUAAAGUUUAACACUAAUGGUGCUAAAGUGCAUUACUCAUAGUUAUUAUAUGAGUAAUGCCAUUUACCACUAUUAGUUAAGCACCGUUUAGGUGGCAUGCAAUAAUCAUUAAUUGAAAGAUCGCCUUAAAAGUAGAAAAAUGAGUCACAUUUAAAAUGUUCUAUCACUUGCAUGCCAUCUAAGUUGGUGCUAUGUAACAUUAUUCUUAUUACUUUUCUUGAUUGACAACUUGCACCAAUAGUCAUCUUGCAACUUAUUGAUAUACUAAAAUCAAUGUGAGAUAGAGUUUAUGUAUUUGAGUUGGAGUCGAUCAAGUUUUUAUAGAACCUAAAUAAUCUUCAAAUGAAUCAUAGUUACUCAAGUUGUUUCUUACCGCUCUAAGCAUCAAUCCAAACACAUUCUUAUGUCAAUCAAUAUGUCAAUUUUUACAUGAAUCAAUUCAUCCUUUGUUGUUAGAGUUACUUUAGUUAGCUACUUUAGCAGAGAUAUCAAGUUAUACAAAAGCUCAUUAGAAACAUCAAAGUUAGAUAUAAACUGUAAGGCUUAAUUAUAGUUUUGUGUACUGUUACAGAAACAUUCAAAGUUUUUCGAGUAAUAUAGAUCAUUUCACUAAUCCUUUUUAUUUUUAUUUUUUUUAUAUACCAUUGUAUGAUUAAAUAAAAUUAGUAUAAAACAUCAAUACUUCAUCUACAAUGUACAUAGUUUAGCAACAAUGUUAAUAGCAUUGAGUUUAUAUUUCAUCAUAAUUCUCUAGACCAAUUAGAAAUAUUAGGAAGUCUCUAGUAUUUGAUCUUGUCUUCCCAUUUCUUUUAAUCGAUACAUAUAAUUAAUCAAGCAACCAAAAUAAAAUUUUUAACACCAUAAUACCAAUAUAAAAGUUACAAAUCUAGAAUAAAUCACUAUUACUCAUAGGAGUUACUUUGUAGAGCCCAUAUAGAAAACCUUGAAGGCAUGUCGAUUAAUACAUGUACUAUGCUGUUUCAAUUAUAAGUUAAUGUAACUCAUUUUCUUUCUUACACCAUAUAAAUACUUUAUCAACUAGGCCAACACUCAUCAUAAUUUAGCAAAUAAGACUUAGAAAAUGCACCGUUUUUUAUCCAUAACUCUUCGACUUUAAUCUAUCAUGAUAUCGUCAUGCCAUUACAGAAGCAAAGAGAAUCUGGCAUAUAUAAUUAUUAAUAGGGUAAGGAUGCUUUAGCAGAUUUCGUCUAAUCUGCAAUUUAGGAAAAAUUGCAUCAUACAACCAUUUGUUAAGGGGAUGCCCAUGGCAUAAGUGAAUGCCCUAGUCGUCCAAUACACAUAAAGAGAUCGCUUUUUAUUGUUUGAUUCCUCAACUUGAUUCUUGAUUUGGCUUUCAGGUUUCCACUCAUUAAUUGCUGUUCAUACUUCUGGAGAAUACCAAAGAAGAUAGGGGUUGAAAGCUUGAAGAUUGAAUAUCAAUAUUUGAAGAAAAGAAUUGGAGCAGCUUCUAAAGAAUUCAGAUCUAAUCACACUUCAAGUGUGACUCCACAAUCCUUUAUAUGAUUAAUUCAACAUGUUAUAAUACGAAUUUAACUAUAUAUUAUUGGGUCAAAACUUAUUAAGAACAAAAUUUAUUGCCUAUGUUUUUACUUAUUGUCUAACAUUAUUCUUAUCUUUACUUUGGCUUUGUGAACAUACAUUUUCAGUUCAGUGGUUAUGAGUUAACUUUGUAUCUAAUAACGCUAAAAGAUAAGGUUCUUUAAUACAUUAACAUUGUUCAUGUACCAUAAAAAGCCUCCUUGUGCAUAAAGAAAUAUACAACUCUAUUAUGGGUCUUUCCUAUAUUUUAUGUACUUUAUAUAAUAAGUACUUAGAGUGGGAGAAGAAGAUUGAGUUGAUAUUCGAUUGUCACAAUUACUCGGGAGAGAAAAAGGUGAAAAUUGCGGUUCUUGAGUUUUUCGACUAUGCAAUAACUUGGUGGGAUCAAGUAGUGACGACGAGGUGGAGGAUUGGGGCACAACCUAUAAAUACUUGGGAGGAGUUGAAGAUGUUAAUGCGAAAAUAGUUUGUACCUAAUCACUAUUACCGGAAGCUUCAUCAACGGUUACAAAAUCUAUAUCAAGACACUAGGAACGUAGAGGAUUACCAUAAGAAGAUGGAGAUGCUUAUGAUUAGGGCGAACGUGGAAGAGGAUAGGGAAGCCACUAUGGCUUGAUUUUUGAGGGGGGGAAUAAAGACAUUGCCAAUGUAGUGGAAUUGCAACAUUAGGUGGAGAUUGAAGCAUGCUACAUGUGGCCAUGAAGGUGGAAAAGCAAUUGAAGUGAAAGGGAACAGCAAGGUAUUAAGGUGGAUCUUCGAUUUCUAAUCCUUCUUGGAAGCCGAGGUAGGAAAAUAAUAAAGGAGAUGGAGCUAAUACAAGAGCAAGACCGGAGCCACUGAGAGGAAAGGAGGAAGGAGCUAGCAAGACUACACCAAAGGUAGAAUCCCAGCCGUCAAGGAAUCGAGACAUCAAGUGUUUUCGUUGCUUAGGAGUUGGACACAUUGCUUCACAAUGUCCAAAUAAAAGAACCAUGAUUUUGCAAGACAGCGGGGAAGUGGAGACCGAGAGUGAAGGUGAUUAUGAAGACAUGCCGGAGUUGGAGGACACUGAGGAGGAAAACACCACUGAGUAUGCAGUUGGGGAGUUGUUGGUCACGAGGCGAGCACUUAGUGCUCAAAUCAAGGUAGUUGACUUGGAGCAGCAGUGAGAAAAUAUAUUCCACACACGGUGUCACAUCAACCGGAAGGUAUGCAGUGUAAUAAUUGAUGGUGGAAGUUGUACAAAUGUAGCUAGCACUAAUGUAGUGGGAAAAUUGGGAUUAACACUAUUAAAAUAUCCUAGAUCCUAUAGGGUGCAAUGGUUAAAUGAAUGUGGGUAGGUUGAUGUGACAAAAAAGGUGUUGAUUAAUUUUUCCAUUGGGAAGUAUUAUGAUGAGAUAUUAUGUGAUGUUGUACCUAAGCACGCGGGACAUAUUUUGUUGGGGCAACAUUGGCAAUAUGAUAGGAAAACAAUGCAUGAUGAGUAUAAAAAUAAAUAUAGUUUUGUGAAAGAGGGAAAGUCUAUCACUCUACACCAUUAACACUGGUACAAGUGUAUGACGACCAAAUCAAAUUGAAAAAUGAGAAAGAAAAGAGAGUGAGAGAGUUAGAGAAAAAGAGAGAAAAUAGUAAGAUGGCCGGUGAGGAAGAAAAAAGAGUGGGGCCACAUGAGAGAAAGAAAGAGAGUUUUCCGAGAGGAGAGAAAAGCCGAAAGUGAAUUUCUUUGCAAAAGGGAGUGAAGUGAAAAAGGCGAUAGUGGAGAGACAACCAAUGAUUCUUUUGGUAUAUAAGGAAUCACUCCUCAAUUUUGAGGAGUCUAACACAUCCUUCCCUAAUUUGGCUACUUCUUUAUUGCAGGAACUUGUCGAUGUGUUUCCGGAAGAUGUGCCUAGUGGAUUGCCACCCAUUAGGGGGAUGGAACAUCAAAUUAAUUUCAUACCUGGAGCUGUCAUUCCAAACCGACCAGCUUAUCGAAGUAAUCCGGAGGAGACAAAGAAGCUUCAAAGGCAAGUGGAGGAGUUGAUGAGCAAGUGUUAUGUAAAGGAGAGCAUGAGUCCAUGUGCCGUACCCAUAUUGUUGGUGCCAAAGAAAGAUGGAACUUGGAGGAUGUGCGUGGAUUGCCGAGCUAUCAACAACAUUAUGGUAAAGUAUGGUCACCCAAUUCCUAGGUUAGAUGACAUGUUAGAUGAAUUAUAUGGUGCUUGCAUCUUUUCUAAAAUUGACCUUAAGAGCGGGUAUCAUGAAAUUCGUAUACGGGAGGGUGUUGAAUGGAAAAAAACAUUUAAAACGAAAUAUGGGUUGUAUGAAUGGCUAGUUAUACCCUUUGGACUCAUAAAUGCACCAAGCAUGUUUAUGCGAUUAAUGAAUCAUGUUUUGCGUGCUUUCAUUGAAAAAUUUGUUGUAGUUUACUUUGAUGACAUUCUAAUCUAUAGCAAGGACCUAGUAGAGCAUUUAGAACAUCUUAAAUUUGUGCUUAGGAUUUUAAGAAAUGAACGACUUUAUGCGAAUUUCAAGAAGUACACAUUUUGCAUGGAUAGAAUCAUAUUUCUAGGAUUUGUGGUGAGUGCUAAUGGGGUUGAAGUUGAUGAAGAAAAUGUAAAAGCUAUUAAGGAUUGGCCAACACCUAAAAACAUAACCGAGGUUAGGAGUUUUCAUGGGUUAGCUAGUUUUUAUAGGCGAUUUGUUAGGGAUUUUAGCACACUUGCCACACCACUUACAAAAAUUGUCAAAAAGAGUGUUGGGUUUCAAUGGGGUGUAGAAUAAGAACAUGCAUUUAACACCAUCAAAGAAUUUUUAUGUAAAGCACCUGUUUUAGCACUUCCUAAUUUUGACAAAACUUUCGAGAUUGUGUGUGAUGCAUCAGGAAUAGGUAUUAGAGCAGUUUUGAUACAGGAAAAGAGGUCGAUAGCAUACUUUAGUGAGAAACUAAGUGGGGCAGCUCUUAACUAUCCUACUUAUGGCAGGAGCUUUAUUCUCUAGUUCGAGCCUUGGAGACAUGGCAACACUACCUAUGGCCAAAGGAGUUUGUUAUUCACACCGACCAUGAAUCAUUGAAACAUUUGCGGGGUCAAGGUAAGUUGAACAAACGACAUGCACGUUGGAUGGAAUUCAUAGAGACUUUUCCAUAUGUCAUUCGAUACAAACAAGGUAAGAAAAACAUAGUAGCCGAUGCAUUGUCGCGAAAGUAUGUGCUUCUCACUUCUUUAAGUGCAAAAUUACUUGGUUUUGAGUAUGUUAAGGACAUGUGUAAAAACGAUAUUGAUUUUUCUAACAUCUAUAAUUCAUGUAUUGAGAGGGCUAUUGACAAGUUCUUUAAGUAUGAGGGGUAUUUGUUUUGAGAAAACAAAUUAUGUGUUCCUAAUUGCUCAAUGCGUGAAUUGUUGGUUAGGGAGGCACAUAGUGGGGGUUUAAUGGGUCACUUUAGGGGUAGCAAAGAGUUUAGACAUGUUAAAUGAACACUUUUAUUCGCCUAAAAUGAAGAUUGACGUAAAAUGAAUUUGUAGUCGUUGCAUAACUUUUAAAAAGGCUAAAUCAAAGGUUUUACCCCAUGGACUUUAUACACCUUUACCGGUACCUAGCGAACCUUGGGUUGACAUUUCAAUUGAUUUUGUGUUAGUUUUGCCUAGGACUAAAAAGAGGCGUGAUUCAAUUUUUGUUUUUGGUGGAUAGGUCUAGUAAAAUGGCACACUUUAUACCAUGUCACAAAAUUGAUGAUGUCACUAACAUUGCGGGACAUGUUUUUCAAAGAAGUAGUGUGUUUGCAUGGUGUUCCCAAAAGUAUUGUGUCCGAUAGGGAUAUUAAGUUUCUUAGUCACUUUUGGCGGGUCUUGUGGAAUAAGUUAGGCACGACAACUCGUCACCUACAAAUCGAUGGUCAAACUGAAGUAGUGAAUAGAACAAUAACACAACUAUUGCGCACUGUGGUUAAUAAAAAUCUAAAGAAUUGGGAAGAAUGUUUGCCUUUCAUUGAGUUUGCAUAUAAUAGAGCCACGCAUUCUACUACAUCGUUUUCACCAUUUGAAAUUGUUUAUGGUUUUAAUCCUUAAACACCUAUGGAUUUAGUACCUUUGCGUGUGAAUGAACGAGGUAGUUUGAAUGGGAAAAAGAAAGCCUAAUUGGUAAAGACACUCCGUGAAAAGGUAAGGGAGCAAAUAGAGAGGAAGAACAAUCAACGAACAACACAAGCAAACAAAGGCCGAAAAUAUGUCACUUUCGAACCGGGAGAUUGGGUUUGGGUGCAUUUCAGGAAAGAGCGAUUCCCAGAGCAAAGAAAGUCAAAGUUAUUGCCACGAGGAGAUGGAUCGUUCCAAGUAAUUGAGAAGAUCAACGACAACGCUUAUAAGAUAGAUCUUCCAGGUGAGUAUAGUAUUUCUGCAACUUUCAAUGUCUCUGACUUAUCUCUUUUCAAUGCAGGUACAGAUUUGAGGUCGAAUCCUUUCGAAGAGGGAGGGGAUGAUGCGAUCCAGGAAGCACAAGUAUCAAAGUCAAGUCCAGAGUCGAGCCCGAGGAAAGAUCCGUUGAUAGUCGAGAGGCCGAUGACAUGAUCGAGGGCCAAGCGCAUGAAAGAGGCGAUGGGAUUGCUUGUCAAAGUAACGGUUGAUGAAACAAUGUUCGGGAUACAAAAUGGAGCAAGUUUCAUGUUGGGGACGAAGGCCGAAGAGUAUUGGAUCAACGUGUUUAAAGUUGAAGAAAAUGGAGCUGGAGCAUUAAAUCAUGCGGCCGCAUAGGUCUAAAGUCCUGCAGUCGCAUACACUCAGUAGAAGUUCCAAAGUCGCGGACCAAUUACACUAUGCGACCGCAUGCUCUAAAGCUAUGCGGCUGCAUAGGCCAAGUCCGAGGCGAAUUUUUUCAAAUUUCGCAUUUUUUCCUUAUUUUAAUAGAAUUUCAUUAUUAGUAGAUUUUUAGCUAUUGUGGACGAAUUUUGCAUUAUUCUUAGAUAUUUUUCCUAGUUUACUUAGGUUCUCUAUAAUAGUAUAAAUACUUUAUUCAUUAUUGUAAAACAUUACAACUCUCAUAUUAUUGAAUAUUAUUCGUGAGGCAUUAAUUGCUUUCUCUAGUUUUUCGUUGAACAGCUUGUGAACUUAUCAAGAUUAAUCUUGUGGCGUUCAAAUUAAUCGGGUAAGAUUCAUUUAAAUUUCGUAAUCAAGAGGUCCACGUAUUGUCGGCGAUUCGAAUUGCUUGGUUCCAGUUUAUUGGGUUUAAUAAAAAAUCUUGUCUUUGGCUUUCUUGGGUUUGAUUCUCAAUUUGUUGUGAGUUUGGUAGUGAUCGUGCUAUGCGGGUUCGCAUCAGAUUUCUUCAAACAUUUUACUGAAUUUGUUCUUGAUUUUCAUUCUAAAAUUAAAGUCAUAUCUACUUUGAUAGAUGCUCAACGGAAGAAUAAUGUUGGAGCACGUGAACAUUCAGAUCCAUUAGUGGAUGAAAAUUCUUAUGUUAGAAUUUCUUUAAUUUUUUACACAUUUAUUUCAAUAUUUUAGGGUUAAAACAUAUAUUUGGGACUAACAAGUGGCAUCAGAGUUGGAACCUUAAUUUUUAUAUGGUUUCUGGCUUUAAAAUGGAAAUCUACUUUGUUCUUUUUGAAAAAUCUUUGUACUAUACCAGUUCUCGAUCUACAAUAUUUUUAUUUUUAUUUUUAUUUUUUGGAAACCAAUUUAUUUCCAAGUCUCUGUGACAAAUAUGUAUCUUCGAUUCAACAUUUGGUUAAAUUUUUUGAUGAACUCGUUUUGGUUUCUAGCGAUUCUUGAUGGCUCGUUCGUAUUCCUUGUUGGGGUGUGAUGACUUUACGCAGUUUCUGGCAAUUCUCGGUGACUCCUUAUUAUUUGUUGAGUUGAGGUGACUCAUUCAAUCUACUACUGAUUCUUGGUGUUUCAGUUGGCAUUCUGGGAUAAAUUUUAUUAGAGCAGAGUUUAAAUAUAGAAAUUAAUUUGUUUUGUGAUGAAGACACAAAUUGAACAUUAGACAAUUUAAAAGUUCAAUGACACAGGAAAGGAUGUUAGGACUACUAGGUAGAGAAGAGGGUAGUGGAUUGUGCUAGCCAUGAAUAUGAUGUAUAUUAAGAGCUUUGUGGGGGAACAUUGGCAGAGAUGGUACCAGAGGUUGGUUUGGCUUCGAAGUGUCGGAGCUUAUUUGUUUCAUAUGGAGCUUAUCGAAGGUAAUGGGAUAUCGCGAGCACUAACAACAGAUGAGAUGUCCUUAUGGGCACUACGUAGGCCUUCGAGAAUUUUUAGAGUCAGAUCUUCAUGGUGGAUGGGAUAGUCCUUGAUAGCAAGUUCGACAAUCAUGCUUUUCUAAGAUUGUAGAAACUCGAUAAUAGUUAUAGAUCCUAUAGUAAGGUUGGGAAGUCGACUUCUUCAUUGUAUAACGCAUCCUCCUGAGGGUUCGUCAUAUAUUGCAAAAAUAUUGUUCCACACAUUAUGAGAUCUUUGAAAAGAAGCGAUGCAUGGAAUAAUAGUGGAAGAACGGAUCCGAGAAUUGCACUUAAUAGUAGUUGGUUUUGUCCGAUACCUUAAGCAAAUGAUCGAUUUAGUAAAUCAUUGGCAUUUUUUAUAAUAUGUAGCUCAUAGAGUAAAGCACAUGUAUGCUAGAAAGCAGGUUGAUGCCGACGUGGAGCAAGGGGAGCACACCUAACAGAAUGGUACUAGUAUAUUUUUGGAUUUUUACAAUAUCUUGUGCGAGCUACGUUAGUAUAUACAUUGUAACUCUAUUAUUUUCACAUUGUGAAAAUUAUAGCUGCUUCACUCUCGUAGAUGUAAGCUACUGUCAAACCACAUAAAUCUCUCUCUCUCUCUCUCUUGAAUUUGUACUAUUCAUCAUUAUCAUUAUUGUCGUACAUAACACAGCACUAUUGAUAUAAGCUCGUCGUAAACCCAUGAGAUCAUACCUUAUGAGUAGGGUAUUAAAUUGUGAUUUCUAUAAGGACUAAUUUCCUACGUGCAAGAUACUCCAACAUCCAGAGCUUCGGCCUUCUUCCUCCUGCUCGAGUGAGCCCUUCUUUCGUUUAAAUGAUCAAUGGCGACACUUCUACAAUGUCAUCUAGUCAUCUUGUCCUACUCUCUCACCUUCUCAUUGAUCCCGAUCAUGACCUAACUGCCUCUACCUCUACCUCACACGCUUAGUUCUCGCCCUAUGAAAACCCAUGACGAAGAUCAUAUUCCAAAACCAAUUCCAAAACUAAAUCUCAGCCCUUGAUCUUGAUUCCAUUAUUCUACACUCUUUAGCCACAAGCCUUAAACAUCCACUUUGGUUCUAAUCCAUGUGUGAGGAUUUUGAUGGCCUAUUAGGUGAUGCAUUUAGAAGAUAGCCUCUCCGUUCCAAUUCCAAAUUAUUUUCAUUUGUAAAUGGGCUUUUUGUGUUAAACGGAAACCUAAUGUUUACAUUCAUCGUGCCCGACCAAUGGUUUUCAUCAACGCUCACGGUAGACUAAAAUGAGAAUUUUAGCCUAGUUGUCAAUCCCACCACCAUCCAUCUCAUCCUUAAUCUUACAUUGGUAAGGCAUUCGUCUCUACGUUGUUCGAUGUUAGUAAUGCAUUUCCUCGGGAUGCACUAAUGAAAACUAUUUACAUGUCUCAUCAUCAGGAAUUUGUCAAUAUAGAAACUUCCAUUAUGAUUGUCCAAUUGCCAGUGGGUUUACCAAUUCCAAAUCUAACAUGUAAGUCUAUAUUCAAUUGCAACUCCAACCAGUGUCGAAUCUUAGUUCUGGUUUAUGCUAACUACAUCAUUGUCACGAGAAACUCAAGUUUUAAUAUCUUUGUUACUCAUUUGGCACCAUUUUUUUCUAGAGAUAUCAAAAAUCCUAACUGAACCAGUCCCCAUAGGGACAUAUCCCAAAGAGAACGAGAAUUUCUGGCUUUAAUCGAGUUUGCAUCCAUUUAUAUUUUAACAAUAUUAAUAAAAAAUUGCCCACUUUUUAUUAUAAAAAUUUUAAAAAAUGAAUAAAUAAAUUUACCUAUAUUAAAAAAAAUGAAUAAAUAAAAAUUGAUUAAAAUAAAAUAGAACGGCACUGUAAAGUGGAUCCCGCUUUAUUGUCAUCCCCAGAUUUGGAUACUUUAUACUUGUUUCUUGGGGAUUAAGUUAUUUUUCUCUACAAGGCCUUUUUCUCUCACAACAUUAGUUUGUAUUUCAAUAAUCUUCUACACAACAUAAUUUGCAUAAGUACGAGUCAGUGUCUAUUUCUAUGUACAUGACAACUACCUUUAGCUUGAUUUGAUGUCACUACUCUUCAUGAUGCUUCUAAAUAUAGGCAAGUUCUUGGCAACUUGCAAUAUUCUUUACUCACUCGCCAAGACAUUGUUAUUCAGUUAACCAUCUGUACCAAUAUAUCACCGAUCCAUUUCUUACCCUUGGAUGGCUGUUAAGCUUAUGUUUCUCGACUUUUUUGGCACUCUGCACUUUGGGCUCUUUCUUCGUCGCCAUUUUCUUGGCUUGUUGCAUGCCUUCUCUAAAUCUGAUUGAGAAGAAAAUGGUAAUGAUCCCACAUCCAUCCAUGCCGAUCUAGUGAUUCUUGAAUGGAACCUAAUUGUUGGUUUUUUUUUCUUUUUUUUUUUUUAAAUCGAGUAUCAUAUGGCUUAAAUAUUUAGUACUUGAAUUCAGCGAAUCAAUUUCCACCAAUCGAGUAAUCUAAUUUCAUACUAUUAGCACCACAUACUUGAUGACCUAACACUAUUUCUCAGCUUGAAUGAAAUAAAUGAAGGCUAUUUUGAUUGGUUCAAAUUCCAUGGAAAAUGGAAUUCUAAUUUCACUUUCUUCCAAUUUUGUUUGUUUGAUAGGUUUUGAAUUCCAUGGAAUUUGGUUUCUUGAUUUUCUUGGAACUUGAAAUUUUCUUGAUUUUCCUUAAAAACCAAUUCUCACCAACAUGGUGGGAACUAGCUUUCUAGUUCCUUGUUACGUAUUUUUUUUUAUUAUAUCUAUAUCUUUUAAGGUAAUGGAAAUAAAUUCUAAGAAAUAUUGUACAAAAAUAUUUCAUUUUAAUUGGCAAUUUCCAUGUAAAACAAAGUCAAACGAACACCAAAAGAUAGAUGAUUUUCUUGAUCUUUUUAUUUUUUUGUUGGCAAUGGAAACAAACUUCAUUCCCAAAACUAGUAAAAUAUAUCAUUUUAAUUGAAAAUUUUCAUGUAAAAUAAAGCCAAAUGAACACCAAAAACACUUUUAUUUUAAUAUUUUCCACGAGGAAAAUUAUACCAAUCAAAUACAAUAAUUUACAAUUCUCAUGAAAAUAAUUUAUAGGCAAUUCAAUUAUCUAGAAUUCGUUUUCAAUUUAAUUCAAUUCCAUCUUUGCAAUCUUGUGAAAUAAUAUUAGAGUAGUUAUAGAUAGUGUUACACAAUAGUUAGAACUUGUCAUUACCGAACGUGUAUCAUAUAUUUCUGUUACAGAAUGUAUACAUAUAUGGAAAAUUCUAUUUGUAUAUAAUUAUUGUACAUAAUAGUGUCCAUAAUGUGAUGUGGCAAUCAUCCGCAUGUUGAUAUGUAAGUGUGAGAUUUGAAUUAAAGGUUGAAUCCAGUGCCAUAUGUAAUUAUGGACACUAUUAUGUAGACAAUUAUGUACAUGUAGCACUUCCCUACAUAUAUAUAGCACAUACAAGGAGAUAUUCUAGUCUAUGCACUAAUUUUAUUCUAUGAUUGAGAUUGACCCACAAUAUAUGUGGAGUUAGAUGACGAACUAUAGUUCCUUAUAAUUAUUAAAUAAUGCUGUUUAGCAUUUGUGGAAUUAGAGUACCAAAUCAAAGUUGACAUACUUGAUAGGUUCAAUUAAAUUAAUCAUUUGACAUUGCAUUUAAGUGAAUUUAUCGUUUAAUGUCAUGAAAUUGCAUCUAAUAUGAUGCUUAACACUUAUGGUGCUAAAGUGUAUUACACAUAAUUAUUACAUGAGUAAUGCAAUUCAGCACUAUUAAGCACCAUUUAGGUGGCAUGCAAAGACCAUCUUAAAAGGAUGGAAAUGAGCCACAUUUAAUUUCUUCUAUCACAUGCAUGCCAUCUAAGUUAGUGCUAUGUAACAUUAUUCUUAUUACAUUUUAUUUUUGACUGACAACUUGUACCCAUGGUCAUCUCUUAACUUAUUGAUAUACUAAAAUCAAUGUGAGCUAGAGUUUAUGAAUUUGAGUUGGAGUCUAUCAAGUUUUUAUAGAACCUGAAUAAUCUUCAAAUGAAUCAUAAUAACUCAGGUUGUUUCUUACCGCUCUAAGCGUUGAUCUAAGCACAAUCUUAUGUCAAUCGAUUAAUCAAUUUUUUACAUGUAUCAAUUCAUCCUUUGUAGUUAGAGAUACCUUAGUUAGCUAUGAUGCCCGGUCAUUGCAUAAACUAAAACAAAGCAUUAAAAGCCUAACAUAUUAAGAAGGAAAUGAAUUUUAUAAAAAAAUGAAAAAAAAAAAUCCAACUAUUCGAUUUUCCCACUAUAAUAUUACUUAGUCCUUGUGGGGGUGGUCCAUCGUUUUUGUGGUGAAAAUAAGGUCCAACAUUUUAACUUUCCGUCGAAGUUAAAUUUUAGACCAACUCAAUAGAAAUUUAGGAGUGAUUGUUGGAAUUGCCAGAAUUUCAGAAAAUUAAAGAAUAAUUUCACUAAUUAAAGUUUGAAAUGUUUUGGAGUGAAUAUAGUUAGUUCAGGAGAGAAUUUGUUCCUAUUCUAGACCAAAAGAUCAAGCCACUUGCCCGCUCAACGUCAUUUUAGUCAGAGUACUGACCUAAAGUUUGUGCCAUCGUGUCCAAGAUGUUGUACUCCUGAUUGGUUGUUGAGAUCGGCCAUACAGGUCAUCAUGGCUCCUAGGUUGCAGCUGUGGCUUAGGCAAUGAUUACUUGAUUUUAGUGAUCAUUGCUAGCUUAUGAUUAAUUGAAAAUAAGGUGCUAACGUCGCAGAUGCCACAUGUCUUUCUAGGAGAGGUGGAUCGAUAGGUGAAGACCGAUUGUCAAUAAUUGUGAAUCACAAUGUUUCUUCAAAUUACGAUAGCCAUUUCUCGAAAUGUGCUCAUACUUCGAGAAUCUAACAUAUCAGCAGUAUAGAAAUCGUAUUUUAACCUAUUUUUUACUUUACGUGCAAAAUAUUUUAUUGUGUGGAUGUAUGAUCAAAAAUGUGUAUGAAAAAUAAAGAGAUUUAACACAAAGAGAGUCGAAUAGGGGCUAAGAUCUCAAUCUCGCUUGCACGCAAUAUAUGUAUAAGCUAAAAUAUAGUCAUAAAAAACGUUAUUAUACCUAUAUGUACUUGUUCUAAGUUAUUUGUAUGAAUGUUAGAAUUGAAAUAAGAAAAAUGUCCGUCUCAUUACAAUAAUUUGUUCUAUUAAAUACUCUUACCGUUUCAUAAAGAUAAACUUUUUUUUCAUUCUCGCACAUGCUAAGAAAAUAUAAUUUUCGCUUAUUUUUUUCCGGAACAACCAAUGUUUGAAAAAUGGAACUUGUCCAAUCAGUUCAACUGGGAAUCAGGAUCGAAAUCGGUCCAAUUAGGCUUAUAAAACCCCCAAUUAAAAACCCGUCCCAAAGUCAAGUAAAUCGUUUAAUUUUUAGAAAAAUCGUGGCCCUUUGUCUAUUUAACCGAUUCAAUCUAUGUAAAUAUAUAUUUUUUGAAAUUUUUAAAUGUAUGUGUGCAUACAAGUUUCGUAAAAUGUAUAUUUUUAAGUCUAAAAAAUCACGGUUAGAUCUCGGAUCAACUUUUUGACCUCGGUUAGAUCUCGGUUCCACUUAAAAAUCCUUUUCUUGUCCGAGUCGAUGAUCGGGUCAUUUUUUAAAAACAAUGGAUACAACCCCAUGUUAAUAAUCAUUUAAAUAGGAAUAGUUCAUAUUCAUUAAUAACAAAUUAUAUAAAAUCAUGGUAUAUAAAAAAAAAUUAAAAAUCAACUAUACUCUGAACAAAGAAAAUAACCUAUAAUUUGGAACAUACGAAAAAGGAAAGCUAAGAUACUUUUCAAGAAAUAGAGAGAUCAAACUUGCCCUUAUUUAAAGCAAAUUCUCAAUAAAUUUUACUUUUUAAUCACACAUUCUCUACAAAAUUAUUAUUACAAAACAAUAUUUUUUACAAAUAUGGAAUCAAACAGAUCCUAACAUCAACAGUUCUAUAUGUACAGGCUCAGUAAUAUAAAUACUUUUGCAAACAACACGGGGCGACAUUUGAUUGGAAGUUGCCAAAAAAAAAAAGAUCAUAUAGUGUAGCACCUAUAAAAGAUGUGCAUUAUUCUCUCGAUUGUGUUACAUGUACAUAAUUGAUUUACAUAAUGAUUUCCAUAGACAUAACGUAAUGAGAUAUGAUUAUGUCAGAAUUUAAUUAUUUUUUAAUUACAUAUUCUCUUAAUAAAAUAAUUUUAUAAGUAAAUAUAAAAUAUUUUCUUACCUUUUAAUCACAUUUUUCAAAAAAAUCACUAUCACAAAAUAUCUUUUUUUUUUUUUUUCAAAAAAUGGGGCUCAAAUAUAGUUCACCAUCAUCUUUUAUGUUAGUUGCAUAUUAACAUAACUUACAUUCAUAUUUUGUAACAUGAUUAAAUUGUAAAAGCUUUUCCAAAGGGCAAGCUAAAAUUCAGAGAAAAAAAAUGCGCACACAAAAAGGGAAAAAAAAAUACCAAUAAAGCGUAUCUUCGGUACUCCAAGAUCUCAAUUUUGAUCGAGACUUGAACAAUUCAGAAAAUUUCAAUACAUUCUUUAAUUUUGUAGAACACUAUUCAGUAUUUGGUGUUGUUAAAAAUUAUAUUUUUAAUAGAUUUUGAUAAAAAAUUAAUGAAAUAUAUAAUUGAAUUUAUCAUUAAUUGUUGAAUUUAAUUUAAAUUUUUUUUUAUCAACUUUUAAAGGUGAAUACUGAAAAGAAAUUAUAAAUAACAGUGCACAAAAUUUUGUCCUUUAAAUGGCCCCCUUAACAUAUAUUUUCACCAUUUGCAUGAUCAGUCAGUCAGAAGUUCAAUUAUUCUUCACUUGUUCGAGUCUCUGAGUUCUGACCACUUCACAAUGAGAAAACGAUACAAAAGACAGAACCCAUUACCUCAAUUAUUAUUUCACUUGUUAUUUGCAAAUCGGCAACGGAAGAAAGGCCAGAGACUGAACUAAUAUCAAUACCUGCCACCCCACGUGCGUCGACGCCGGAGAUACAGACGCCGUCCUGUCAAAGGUCGCCGAGGAAGGAAUCCAGCACAGCCAAGUCAUGGACUCCAACUUCGUUCAUUUCGCCGAGGUUUUUGAGCCCCAUUGGGACACCCAUGAAGAGGUUUUUGACUAAUAUGAAGGGGUAUUUGGAGGAGGUGGGGCAUUUGACGAAGCUGAAUCCUCAAGAUGCUUGGCUUCCCAUUACAGAAUCACGAAAUGGGAAUGCCAAUUAUGCAGCUUUUCAUAAUCUGAAUGCUGGUGUGGGAUUCCAGGGAGAACGUUGGUGGGAAAUGCAGCUUUUAUUUUAUUUUUUUUUUUUUUUUAAAUAUCAAAUUGGUAUGAACGUUGGUGGAAAUAUCAGCUAGACGUGAAGAAGAGAAUAACUUACACCAUUCGGACACAGGGAGAAACACGUGUCAAAAAAAAAAAAAAAAUAAAUUUUAUGUGACAUACCCAUACUUCUUAUAUUCAUAUGUCGAGUAAAGUAUACAUCUUUCCAUCUUAUAGUCCCUUUCAAACACAUUGCAUGAAGGAAAUUGAGUAAAUUUACUAUGAUACGUAAUUUCAAAGAAUUUUUAGCUUUCAAUAAUCCCUACUUUACUUGGUCCUCAUCCAAAUACAAAAGGUGUCAAACUUGGGUUUUUCCAAGUUCCCCUCAUCAUUAUCUUACGGCCAACUUUUCAUCACCAUUGGAAUAUUAUUUUCAUGUGUUAGGAGAACACAAAUUUAAAUAAACGCACUCCGUAACUGAAUUAGCCUUGCAUUGUACAUAAUGACAGAAUUAUGAUAUAUUUAACAUCGCGCACCCAGACACACACAUGAACUGCCGGUAAGUAUUAUAAAGCAUGCAAUAGUACGAUCAUUUAGCUUAGACAAAAGAAAAUUGUAUUAUAAUUAAGGAGGGUAUCAUGACGAAAUUAAGUUCGAUUUGAUACAAUUUCUUUAAAACUUAAUUUUAACCAUAUUCUCUCAAUAAAAUAAUUUUGUAUAUAAACUCAUAAAUUUUAAUCUACUUUUUAAUUAUACAUUCUUCAAAAAUAUUAUUUUUGAAAAAGUUAUUCUCAAAAAAUCUAAACUUGAAGAAUGUUUAAUUUAAAAUAAAGAAGUAAUUGUACUUGAUCCCCAACCUAUUCUUUGUGAAGCAAGUUGGUACUCAUUCUUUGAGAACGAGACUUUGUCCUCGUCCUUCCAUUCAAUUGCACAUAAUAAUAAAAUUUAUAUAUAUAUAUAUAUAUAUAUGUUAAACUAGCCUAUCAAGAAUAAUUUGGCUCCUUCCAAUCCGGAGGGAGAAAAUAAUAAUUAUGUGUUUCUCGUAAAAGGAGUGCUACUUGGACAGGGAAUUGUCCAAGAAGAAAAAUUCUUCUCAUAUACGAAGUUACUGGAAAUGGACCACUGGGAAAAUGACAAGUGUCAUCCAGCUGGCUCAGAUUGCGAAAACCAUCGUUUAUAUUCAAAAUGGCAUAAUAAUAAUUGAAAAUGGGUCCAUGAUUAUGAGCAUACCACGUAUGUGUUAGUUGCCAUACUGUUUAUAUACAGAAAUUUUAAUUUAAAUCAAAGUUAACAAUUCAUUUCAAUCACAUAUUUCAUGAAAUUCACAAUUUUUCAAUCACAUAUUUCAUCAGUUUCUAUCAAAAUCAACUAAAAGUAGAUUUUAAUUUCGAUACGUGGGGCCCAUAACACUAUCCAAUCUGGAGACAUGGAAAUCUUAUGAUAUCGGACGUGCUGAGCUGUAUAGCACCGCCGGAUUCUUGUGGGGCAUUCCUUACUUAUUCCACGCACCAAUACAUUUUUGACCAAUAACAAAUUGGAAAACCACACGGACAACCACCUAAGCUUAAAAAUAUGAAAUUUCACUUUUUUAUUUUUAAGUAAAUAAAUUUAAUAUUUUCAAAAGUAAAUUUUUUACUUUGUAAUUCAUACAAGUAAACUUUUUUUUUUUAAUUACUUUGUUAUUCACACAAGUAAAUUAUUAUUUUCAUUUCAUAAAUAUUUCAGAACUUAUUUAUUAUAACAUAAGUUUUUUAAGGGUAAAUUAGGGCUGAGCUUCCCAUCCUUUUAUGUGGUGAGAUUACGUAUCUUCAACCUUUAAAAUUGAGAUUUUGGGUUUUCAACUUAUUUGAAUUUGUGAAUUUUUUAGCCUAACUUGAUGAAAAUUGUUUUUUAGAUGAUUUGAAUUGAAUUGAAUAUAAAUAUUAAGUUGUUUGAUGAUUUUUUCCUCCAUUCGUGAGUCAUAUAAAUUUCACAUGUAAUUUUAAACAUUACGUUGAUGGUUUCGAUCAAUUGAAGAUCCAAAUAAAUAAAUUUAAAUGGAUUGAGGAUUCAUAGCCUCAGUUUUGAGGGUUGGAGGAUUUAUAACCUCAUUCAGUAAAUGGUUGGCAAUUCUAAUCCUAACUUAACCCUUUCUAAGCCUAGCCAAAGUAAUGUCUACUAGAUUCAUAAGCCACAUGUUCGAGUGUCAAAAAUAAUUAAGAAGUUUAUUUGUGUACAUCAUGGUUGCCUCGCUGUGCGAUGACCUACGGUCGACUGAUUUGGUGUAACACAUCAAGUUAUUAUAAAAAAGAUGUACUUUUUUGUAAGUUAUGAGCAAUUUAUAUUUACUUGAUUGAUGAGCAAGUCUCGAAAUACUAUUAUGUCAACAUUAUCAAAAGAGAAAAGAAAAAUAAAAGAUUAAAUUUGUUGGGUUAAUUGGUCGAACCGAAUUUAUUUACUGUAGCCAAUGCUUCAGGAAGAUAAACGAUGGAUUUGAAUUUAUAUUGUAACAAUAAUCAAGAUAGACAAAUAAUAUUUUUAUUCUCAAUUUAUAGUUAGUGCAUACAAAAAUGUGAUAAUCAUAUCAUUGAUUUAAUUGUAAGUGCAAGUUAAUAUGUUCAAAUAUUGAAUAUUGGUAUAAAAACAAGAGAAACCUGUUAGAUUGAAACAUCAUCAAAUUUUUAUUCCGUCCAUUUUCUCAUUACCAAAUGACCCACGUGCACAAAAUUGAGUCAAAGUUUUAACAUAGUGGAAGGUACUGGUUUUUUCUUGACAAUGAAUCAAGAAUUCAGUGACAUUUCUCUGAUUACAUGCCCUCAUUAUGAGCAAGACAAAGAUUGAGUAAUAAAUCGAUUAACAAGAAAACUCUCGAAAAGUUCAAUUGCUUAUAUUAGAUCAACGACUAAAUUUUCAGUGGGACAGGCAUACUAUCCACGUUGUGCACCUCAGCAUUGGAUGGUGUGCCCGCCCAAUGCUGAGACACUACCUUGAUGGGUGGCCCACACACUUGGGGGUGUGUGGUGGGCCACCCGCCGAGGUGACGCACAGGACCGCCCCGUUGAAGUUUCACUCUAGAUGAAACACUAGUACAAUCAAGAAACUUUGUAAAUCUUCUUGGCAAUAAAGAAUCAUGUAAACAUAUAUAUGUGUGUAAACUUAUGUGAUGUGGAUCCUGUUAUGCAAGAAAAUUAUGUAUUUGUUUUUCAGGGAAAAUGGAAAUUAAUUUUUUUUUUGGAAUGUUAUACCUUAUAUAGAAACUGUUUUCAUCUAGUCUAAAUUAUACGUAAAAUGCUAUGAUAAAUUAAAAAUGAUAGGAACACUAUGUCAGUAGAAGCAAUGAUUUUGAAAACAAAAAGGAGAUAUGAGAUAGACAAAUGAAUAAUUCGCAUGAUUCAAUUUCUUAAUCGAGUUAUUCACGUCUUUCUCAACAUACCAAUUUUCUUUAUUGAACAUAUUACUAAAUUUUGUAAGGUAACAAAUGUAGAUGAAAUAAAUGAAUGGUCAAGUUAGCGAUGUAAAUCCAAUACGGGUUGGGCAGGUGUGGGCAAAUUCAUGAGCUAUUUUUUUCAAUUCUUUUCAUAAAAAGAAAUGUGUUCGGGGUCUUGUGGAAAAAUGAGAACUGUGUAAGGAUAAAGUCACUCUUAGAGAAAUUGAACACUUCCCACAUAACGCCUACAACGUAGUAACAUGAAGGGUCUUCAUUAAAGGUUUUACAAACUUAAAACUAUUAGGAAUAGAUGUCAAUAGCUUAUGAAAUUACAAUAAGCUUCCCUAAGAAAAAGGUAAUCUCUAUAAUAAGUGAUAAAUUUUAAAUUAUACAGAAAUUUUGUCUUUUAACUUUUUCUGUAUCCACCUUUCUGAUUCUAUAUAAACGAGCAGACCUCCAUUUCUCAGCGACUCAAUUAUCAACACAGUAUACAAAGGCAGAGAGAGAGAGAGAGAGAGAGAGAGAGAGAGAGAGANNNNNNNNNNNNNNNNNNNNNNNUGUUGCGUGUUGUCACACCUGUCCUACCCACCUGGGCCAGUGGCCCACUCAUCCUGAUCCACGUGGCAUUCCUGCCGAGGUGGCCCAUAUUGCCGAGAUGGGUUAUAUCCGAACUGCUUCUAACCGAGGCCCAUGGCCCGAGGUGUGGAAGCCUUUGGUUGUAGCUGAGGUCCUCAAAUGGACGAAACCCCGAAGUUGAUGCGCGAGCCUCAACCACAAGGAAACAUCCUCCAUGGUCAUUUCUCCCAAGAGAUCGCCUGCACGGAUCUUAUUCGAAUGAUUGAUGGAAUGUCUGUCAUAAGCAUAAAGGUCAAGUCUUGUCACUAGCAUGGAGGCCCUGCACAAGCAAUAAAUGCGCCUUAAGCUAGCAAGUCAAAUCCCAUGCCUAAGAAUAGACGUUUAAACCAAGGAGAUGAGGCCACGUGCCAUUUCAUCCAAGGGCUCCCAUUCCAUAUGUAUCACUAUAAAUACCCCCAUUGUAUAAUGUAAAAGGCUAAUGCAAGAAUCAAUACAAAAAACUACAUUUUACUCAACUCUCUCCAUUUACUUGCACACAUUUUAUACACUUUUACACAUAUAUUCAAGAGCACCGGUUGGUAAUUAUUGUACAAUCGGAUUACGAACAACCCGCCGGAUCCCGAACGUUACCGUCCCGCGUCGUUGGGCUACUCCCACGCCCCUUUGAACCGCUCGUUUAGACCGUCCACGUGUCUUAGCGUGUUGGACAUUCGCCCACGCAAGCGCGGGUGGGACCGGCAUCUGUUGGCGCACUUUUUGGGGUCAACAGAUUGGCGCCGUCUGUGGGAAUCCAUACCAUAACCACGAGCAACCUUGUGGUAAAAGCUUGCUGGAAAAACAUUUGGGCAACCCCCCUUGAAAAAGGAUUUGUUCUUGAAAGAGAACAGGAAGAACCCCUACCACUGGGAGGAAACUAAGAUUGGCAUAAAAGAAAAAUGAGUUCUAACGAAGAUACUCCCCCAAGGAGGGUAAGAGAAAAUACGAAUGUGCCUCCCCAGCCUGCUGUCCCAGCAGCUCGGCAGAGGCUCCACCACCACCAGAGGAGAGGUGGGAUGCGUGCGACGGCACGACUGUCAAGAGAAAUGGCUACUAUGACAGCCAACAUGAGGGAUAUAGCCAACCAAAACAUGCAAGGCCAAGGAGGUUUCCCCAUUCCUCCAUAUGCCCCCCAUGGGCACUAUCAGCAAGAGGACGAGGUCCAAAGUCAUAGGGCUGCCUCGCCAGACUAUGACCGAGGUGAAAGUCCAUUCGAGAGGGAAGUGGAAGUUGACAUUUCCUCCAAUUAUGCAUCUGGCCGACCCUCUGAGGUCCAAAUGAGCCAUGAUAACUUUCCACCUCCGUAUGAGCAAGACCCAAGACAAAGGAGAGCAGGAAGUGUUUUUGACAGAAUCAGCCCUGCCGAACCAAGGCCCAGUCAACAGCGAGCUCAGCAGCCUCGGACGAGGCCACAGCCCCCACCUCCGAUGCCCCAACAGCCGGAGAAAAGGCAUGAAAAUGCCCCCCACGCUGUCCCGCCUAGAAGUAGGCCGCCAAGGAGGGAGGAAGAGGCUAGGAACCGACCAGGACCUUCUCACCAACAACCUAGGUACGAGGCCGAAGAUUACGAUUCUGAUGAGCAGCAGAGGUCCUGUGACUUGGACGAUGACGAUGAGAACCUGCCAUUCUCAAGGGAACUAAGAGAUGCCUAGGUCCCGAGCCAUUAUGUUAUGCCGAAAAUACCAAAGUAUGACGGGAGAGGUGACCCAGAAAAGCACCUCAAUGCUUACAAAACUCACAUGAGCCUGAGGAGCGCCACCCCAGCUGUAAAGUGCAGAGCAUUCCAUUUAACCCUCAGUGGAGCGGCUGAAAUCUGGUAUAGUAGACUACCAUCUGGGAGCAUCCGAAGCUGGCCCGAGUUCAAAACUACUUUCUUGAAGAGGUUCGCAAUGAGCAAGGAAGGAGAGGCCCCCAUCCAGCGUCUUCAAGACAUGAGACAGGCGCAUGGCGACUCCUUGAAAAGCUUCCUAUCCCGCUUCACCGACGAGAUGACCUACUGUGUGCAAGUCACCGACAGGGAAGCACUAUCUGCAUUAAGAGGAGGAUUGAACAUGAACACCAUAUUCUGAAGGGAUGUGCAGAAUAAGGACCCAACCACCUAUGACGCCCUACUAGAAAUGAUGAGAAGAGAGAUAAUCAAUGAAGAAUUGAUUGAGCAUAGAAACAGGGCAAGCAGGGGCCUCCCACCUCCACAGAGACAGCGAGGUAGGGGCCCGACCUCCCACCUCAUGGACUACCAGAUGAACCGAUCUGGAAAUGAGAACUCCGGCCAAGCCCUGGCCACCACAACUCUGAACGCGGUACCAACCUUGGCGUAUGAGGAUGUCAACCCAACCGCUGACCCAUAUCAGCUACAGGCGCAUCAGGGACCCCGUAGAGGGAGAGGCCGAGGUCGAGGUCUAGGUUUUGCACCUAGAAAUAGGUCUAAUCCGAACCUCCCUGGAUACUGUUUGCACCAUAGGUCCUACGGACAUGACACCGCGGAUUGCAGAGACUAUGCACACCGCUCGCGGCAGGAACCCGCCAGGGAAAGACAUAACUCGCCCCAAGCCAACAGGCCCCCGCCCAGGCAAGACAACCGACAUGGGCGUGAGGCGGCCGCUCCUCGCCAAAGGGAUGUUUCCCCAAGGCGAAGAGAGCAAGACACGGAGAGGCCCAGGGAAGGGCGUAGACACCGAAGGAACAGGCAAGCUCAAGAUGAGGCCCCUAUCCACGAGAUAGAUACCAUAUUUGGAGGCCCUUACGUUGGCGGUGAAACGCGAAACGCCAAAAGAAACUAUGCUAGGGAGGCUAAGCACCCCCUCUGACAAGUUACAUUGUAGAUAAUAGCUCCCGAAGAAAUCAAGCACCACCCAUUGUCUUCACCCAGGAAGACGCCGAAGGAGUUCAUUACCCCCACUGCAAUGCGCUGGUAGUGAGGGCGGUCAUAGCCCGAAAUGGGCUCAAACGAAUGCUGGUCGACAACGGCAGCUCCGUCAACAUCUUAUUCGGGUCCGCCUUUGAUAAAAUGAUAUUGGACCAUCAGUUGACACCCACCACCACUCCAUUGUACGGAUUUACCGGAGAUAGCAUUACUCCGAGAGGAAAGAUAACACUGGCGGUGGAGAUGGGAGAAUCUCCUCAAACUACGAUGAACUUUAUGGAGUUCCUCGUAGUCGACAGCCGGUCGGCUUACCACGGAGUCUUGGGCAGACCGGUCCUAAAGGAAUUGGGAGCAGUCACCUCCAUCCACCACCUAUGCAUGAAAUUCCCAACAGAAAAUGGGGUGGCAAUGGUGAGAGGCGACCAGAGAGGUUCGCGAGAGUGCUAUCAGAGCUCCAUUAAGAAGGUGGAGCCCCGAGACAUCCAUGUGAUCGUGGCUGAUGUGGUUAUGACGGAUGUCCCAGGUGACGCUCCCAUUGACCAGGAAGAUGUUGAUAUGAUUGACGCACUCCUCGUUCAGGAGGCGCUGAUCGAUGAGAUCGACCCCCGCAUAAUGGAACAUGAGCCCCAAGCAUCCCCUGUAGAGGAACUUGAGAGCUUCUCAGCCGGCCCUCAAGAUCCGUCCAAGGUGCUGAAAGUAGGCAGGGGGUUAUCCGACAUUUUGAGAGAAAAGAUUAAGGAUUUUCUAGGUAAGAACCUGGACGUCUUCGCCUGGAGACAUGAGGACAUGGUUGGCAUAGACCCCAAGGUCAGCUGUCACCACUUGAAAAUCAACCCUAAUUUUACCCCGCAUAGACAAAAAAGGAGAGCCCUCAACCCAGAGAGGUAUGAGGCCCUGAAGGAAGAGGUUCAGAAGCUAAUCCAAAAUGGCUUCAUCAGGGAGGCCACCUACCCGAAGUGGGUGUCCAACCCGGUCUUGGUUAAGAAACCCAAUGGCAAAUGGCGAGUGUGCAUCGACUUCAUCAACCUUAAUAGAGCUUGCCCGAAAGACAGCUUUCCGCUUCUAAGGAUUGACCAAUUGGUGGACUCCACGGCUGGGCAUGAGUUAUUGAGCUUCAUGGAUGCAUACUCCGGAUACAACCAGAUCCCCAUGCACCCGGCUGAUGAGGAGCACUCCUCUUUCAUCACGGAUCGAGGCCUCUAUUGCUAUAGAAUGAUGCCUUUCGGGUUGAAGAACGCCGGAGCAACUUACCAAAGACUCGUGAACAAAAUGUUCACCGACCUCAUCGGCAAGACAAUGGAGGCCUACGUGGAUGAUAUGCUAGUGAAAAGCUUAGAGGCAGAAAGCCACGUAUCGCACCUCAACAACACCUUCCAAAUCCUGAGAAGGUAUAGGAUGAGGCUCAACCCCUUGAAAUGUGCCUUCGGGGUGGCUUCCGGCAAGUUCUUCGGGUACAUGGUCAACCAGCGAGGAAUUGAAGCAAAUCCCGAGAAGAUUGAGGCUCUGUGCCAGAUGAGGUCCCCCCAAAAGCCAAAGGAGGUGCAAAGCUUAACUGGGCGAGUGGCAGCACUUAGUCGCUUCGUCUCCAAAGCAACUGACAAGUGCCUCCCAUUUUUCAAAGUGCUCAAGGCUGGGAAGAAAUUCCAAUGGACUGAGGAAUGCGAAGAAGCCUUCCAAGGAUUAAAAAGGCACUUGGGGCAGGCCCCCCUCCUCUCCAAGCCGAAGCCCGGCGAUAUCUUGCAACUAUAUCUCGCGGUCUCUAAUGACGCCAUCAGUUCGGUUUUGAUUCGGGAAGAAGGGUCCACCCAACUUCCCAUCUACUACACGAGUAAAGCGCUCCUAUCGCCGGAGACCCGAUACCCCGAUAUGGAGAAGCUUGCUUUGGCCUUAAUCACGGCCUCUAGGAAAUUGAGACCUUACUUCCAAGCUCAUACCAUCCAUGUACUUACAAAUUUUCCCCUGAGGCAAGUACUCCAGAAGCCCGAUGCCUCGGGAAGAUUGUUGAAAUGGGCAGUGGAACUAAGNNNNNNNNNNNNNNNNNNNNNNNNNNNNNNNNNNNNNNNNNNNNNNNNNNNNNNNNNNNNNNNNNNNNNNNNNNNNNNNNNNNNNNNNNNNNNNNNNNNNNNNNNNNNNNNNNNNNNNNNNNNNNNNNNNNNNNNNNNNNNNNNNNNNNNNNNNNNNNNNNNNNNNNNNNNNNNNNNNNNNNNNNNNNNNNNNNNNNNNNNNNNNNNNNNNNNNNNNNNNNNNNNNNNNNNNNNNNNNNNNNNNNNNNNNNNNNNNNNNNNNNNNNNNNNNNNNNNNNNNNNNNNNNNNNNNGCCUCAUCCCAUCCUUUGAAAAGUUCGAGUUAAUCCAGAUUCCCCGCAUCGAAAAUGCUCAUGUGGACGCACUCUCGAAGCUGGCUAGUAGCAAGGACUCAGAACUACUCACUGUAGUACCUAUCGAGCACCUCCUACGGCCUUCAACCGGGGCCCCUAAUGUCAUGUGGGUCGGUGGAAUUCCCACCUGGAUGCAACCAAUUAUAGCAUACCUGAAAGACCAGGUGCUACCCACCGACAAAAAUGAGGCUUACAAGCUAAGAAGGAGGUCAGCCCAUUUCCUCUUCAUCGACGACAUUCUCUACAAGAGAAGUUUCUCCUCUCUACUCUUACGAUGUGUCGGAGGGGAGGAGGCUACAUACAUACUAAGAGAAGUCCACGAGGGAGUGUGCGGCAACCACUCUGGAGGCCUAUCUCUAUCACAAAAAAUACUGAGACAAGGAUACUACUGGCCUACCCUGAAACGGGAUGCCCUCGAAUUUGUGCGAAAAUGUGAUAAGUGCNNNNNNNNNNNNNNNNNNNNNNNNNNNNNNNNNNNNNNNNNNNNNNNNNNNNNNNNNNNNNNNNNNNNNNNNNNNNNNNNNNNNNNNNNNNNNNNNNNNNNNNNNNNNNNNNNNNNNNNNNNNNNNNNNNNNNNNNNNNNNNNNNNNNNNNNNNNNNNNNNNNNNNNNNNNNNNNNNNNNNNNNNNNNNNNNNNNNNNNNNNNNNNNNNNNNNNNNNNNNNNNNNNNNNNNNNNNNNNNNNNNNNNNNNNNNNNNNNNNNNNNNNNNNNNNNNNNNNNNNNNNNNNNNNNNNNNNNNNNNNNNNNNNNNNNNNNNNNNNNNNNNNNNNNNNNNNNNNNNNNNNNNNNNNNNNNNNNNNNNNNNNNNNNNNNNNNNNNNNNNNNNNNNNNNNNNNNNNNNNNNNNNNNNNNNNNNNNNNNNNUUGAAGCCGUAAACAAGACAAUCAAGCACGUCCUGAAAAGAAGGCUUGAUGUGUCCAAAGGAGCUUAGGUUGAUGAGCUGCCCCAAGUACUUUGGGCAAUCCGAACCACCACCAGGACCCCAACCGGGGAGAUCCCUUUCCUCAUGGCUUUUGGGACUGAGGCGAUGAGCCCCGUGGAGGUCGGACUCCCAUCUCCACGACGUCUGCACUUUAGUGAAGUGACCAACGACGAGCUCCGGAGGCUAGACCUCGAUUUCAUUGAGGAGAGGAGGGAUGACUCCCAGCUGAGGUUAGGCACCUACCAAAGGAAGAUGACAAGGUACUUCAACUCCAAAGUGAAGAAGAGGUCUUUCCGAAUCAACGAUCUUGUGCUCAGGAGGGUCUUUCCAUCUUCAAAAGAACCCGGUUCCGGCUCCCUGGGACCGAACUGGGAAGGUCCAUACAAGAUCAGAGAAGAAAUCCGACCUGGAACCUAUUGGAUUGAAGACAUGGACGGCAAGGCACAACCCCGUCCAUGGAACAUUGAACACCUCAGAAUCUUUUAUCAGUGAAUUGUAUCAUGCUGGAUGACUUUCCCAGCCUUUGUAAUAUUUCUAUGGCUCAAUAAAAUGCGUUGAUUAAAUCGCCAUACUACUUCAAUAACCUCGGAGGAGAGGCUCGGGACCCACCACUGGGCCACAUCGCUUGGACUCCGAGGCUCUAGCACAUGCCUCCCUUUUGGCCUUGCUGAACGCCAAGGGGAGAAGCCUCAACAUGGCUGCACCAUCCACCAUGUCUGGGAUGCGUCGUAACCUCGAAGGAGAGGCUCGGGACCCACCACUGGGCCACCUCGCUUGGACUCCGAGGCUCUAGCACAUGCCUCCCUUUUGGCCUUGCUGAACGCCAAGGGGAGAAGCCUCAACAUGGCUGCACCAUCCACCAUGUAUGGGAUGCGUCGUAACCUCGGAGGAGAGGCUCGAGACCCACCACCGAGGCACCUCGCUUGCACUUCGAGGCUCUAGCACAUGCCUCCCUUUUUGGCCUUGCCGAACGCCAAGGGGAGAAGCCACAACCUUAAACCCGAGGCCCCAACAGUUCAUCUUAAGUUAUGUUCAUUUUCUUAAGUCCGAGGCUCCAACAGUUCAUCUUCUUAAGUUAUGUUCAUUUUCUUAAGUCCGAGGCUCCAACAGUUCAUCUUAAGUUAUGUUCAUUUUCUUAAGUCCGAGGCUCCAACAGUUCAUCUCCUUAAGUUAUGUUCAUUUGCUUAAGUCCGAGGCCCAUACAGUUGACUGAAGUCAAAGUUAUUUAGUUCGUGCGCUUAUCAACUUCCAGUUCGUUUGUUUAAACGAGGCACAAAAACUUGGAUAAAGAACAAUCAUGAAUGAAGAAAAACAUUAUAUUAAUAUUUAAAAAGGAUCACAACGGAGGGCCUCUGGCCAUUACACAAAGUACUGAAAAGGAAAACCUAAUCUAAACCUGGCUGGAUGAAGGAGGUGCCUCAGCACUUGGGGGUUCGGCAACCUGAGCAUCAGUAGUUGCUUCCCCUGCCUCAGCAUUUGGGGCUUCGGCAUCAGCUGCCUCGUCACCCUGCACCUCCUCAGCUGGGGUCUGAGGAACCUCAUCCACAAAUUCGGACCUAAGUUGUGCCAGGUCCAAGUUUGGAUAAAGCUCCUCUGCCCUCUCCAGCACUUCGGCAUAGGCGAAGUUCCUCCAAUACGCGCUGAAACUUUUAUACUCCUCUGUAGUAUGGAAAUUGGCGAUGUAUGCCCUCACCGCCUCUUCCGCUGCAUCCCGAGCCUCUUCUCUGGCAAUCGAGGCGUCGUUCAUGUACCACUUCGCCUGGCCUUCGAGAAACUGAUUGGCAUCAUGAGCGCCGGCCAAGGCGAGAUUCGCCUGCUCCAGAGCCUCGGCAGUCACCUUUUGGUGCUCAUUGGAGACCUCCACCUUCUUCGUCAGGGAGGCCACCUCGCACUGAGACUCAUAUACUUCCCUCUUUAGGGCCUCAAUUUGGGUCAGGGCAGACUCGAGCUUCGCCGCUUCUUCAACCCUCUGUGCUUUGGCUUCUUCGGCCUCGGCCUUAGCAGCUUUGACCUCCUCAACGAGCGAAGCAGCUUUCCCCUCCGAGGCGUGAGUCCUUGUUUGGAAUUCACUUAAUGCCUCCCUGCAUUCUAGUGCGAGGCCAAAGGUCCGGGCGCUUUGGCUCACCAGUGCCCUCGUGAGGUCGGUGGCAUCACAAGACGAGGCAUGAAGCUGCCACCUCUCCGUCCAGAACUUGUAAAAGCUCUCAGUGGCACCUCUGAUCUCCUCAGGGAGAGCCUCCACCAAGGCUGGGGCCAGCUCAUCCUCCCUCCCAGCUAGGAAGUUUGGAGACUUUCCCUUCUCCCGAACUGGUUUCUCCUUCGCCGCCUCCUCUUCGGCUGCUUCAGCAGCUAGCCUGGCAGCCUCUUCCCUGGCCUCUUCAGCCUCCACCUCUCUUACCAUCUCCAUUUUGAUGGCUUUAGAGGCUGCAGCGAGAAGCUUCGGCUCUCCAGUUUGUUCUGCCCUAUGGGACACUGAAGUCCCAAACUUGCCAGCUGAGCUGGAGAUGUGCACCAGCUUCCUCUUCUUAGUCUCCUCAGAGACUUUCUCCUUGCCCCGAGGCUCCUUGGACUUCUCUGGCCUCUGAGUAGAUGCCUCUUCCGAGGCCCUGGGAGUGCAGUCCUUGGACAGGCGCUCAACCCUGCCACGGACCUCCUUUGCCCCACUAGACCCGGGUUUCAGAGGCCUUGCCUUCGCAGUAAAAGUGGCCUUCAAGAUGGAGGCCAUAUUCGGAGCCGGGUAUUCCCUCUUCUUGAAUUUGUCUGCAACACGUCAGAUUAGCAUCAGCACAAUAAACAUUGAAAUUAAACAUCAAGUGUUGGAGCCCCAUACCUCUGGACGCCAUAAGCCCGAAGUCCAAGAAGUAUCUGCUUCCAUCAAUCAGGUGAUCGAAGUGCCGAAGCUUUAGAGGCCUCUUGUAAAUGUCCUCUAUCACCUCGAAUUCCUCCCUGCUGAGCUCGAACCUCGUACUACUAUCUACAAAGACGAACCUUCAACAGUUAGACGAGUAAAUACUCUGAUUUCAAAACACAAGCAGAGGUUGGGAGACUCACGAGCUUCGUAGUACUGGGUCGGCACUGUGCAUGACAGGGCUUUGUCACCCUCUACUGCCUGCCAUUUACCUCGUACCCAGAACCAGGACUCCUUCCACCCCUUGAUAGAGGAAGGAAGUCCCACCACAAAGGGUGCGUGAGCCCCUCAAGGCGUGAGGUAGUACCACCCCCUUAACUCCUUCCCAAUUACCCGGGGCUGGUACAGGGUCAUAAAGACAUGAAGGGGCAUGUCCUCCCCAAGUGAAACUUCCUUCCACAGGAAGUAAGAGCCGACCAGCUGGCUCCACCCAUUCGGCAGAACCUGGGUCGGCGACAGCAUAAAUUUCCUAAGCACCGCCCUAAAGAAGGGGUGCAAAGGAAGACGCAUACCUGCUUUGAACAGGUAUUCACUCACGGCCACGCAGCCGGGCCUCGGAUAGCAGGCCCGCUCGUUCGGUUCAGGGACUAACAUCUCUAUGUUAUGAGGCACACUGUACCUCUCCCUAAGCUCCCCCAACCUCUUCCCCGUCAUGUUUGAGGGCACUCUAGAAGCCCCCCACUCCUGGGUAUAAUCCACGUCCUCCUCGGCCAUGGCAUACCUAUCCACCUCGGACGUCCCCCCAUGACCUACCCCGUGGUCUAAAGACGCUACAGUGACAAGUUCCCUACCCGAAGUGGACUCCAUUGUUUGAGGACAAAGAAUAACAACGGUUUUUUUUAUGCAAACAAUACCUAAAAGAGUUCAACACAAACGGAGACCGGUCGGAAUCUAAUCGCAGACAACCUCAACGCCGGAAAAUGGGAGAUUUGAGAGAGUUUGAGAAUGCAAAGUGCUUAAAAUUUCUGGAAAGUAGAAUUUUCUCGCCUUUUAUAAAGAUCCAAGGCGAACCCCACCCGUCAGAUCAAAUCUCAGUCAAUCCGAGCCCUCCGUUUCAGAUCCAAUCCGAGGCGUUGAAUUCAAAUAGUCUUUGAAAUCCUACGCCUCCUAUCUAUGCGUACCUCACACGCACCUCUCCAGCGCGUCUGCUUCUGGAAACGCCAGCUGCCCUCAUAAUUGCAUUUUUAAUUCGUUGGCGCUAGCACAUUGGAAGCCGUAACGGUUCAGCUACCUUUUCUCGAAAACAAGCACAAAACAUCAAAUCAUUGGCACAGAGACCAAAGCAUAAUCAUUACAUUGGACCUCGGCUUCUUCACGUGCCAGUCAGCAUUUCAGCCUCGCAGGCUUGGUUUCACACCACCUCGGCUCCUCAUAUGUCAUUCAGCAUUUAAGCCUCGCAGGUUCGGUUUCCCAACCACCUCGGCUUCUUCACGUGCCAUUCAGCAUUUAAGCCUCGCAGGCUCGAUUUCACACCACCUCGGCUCCUCAUAUGCCAUUCAGCAUUUAAGCCUCGCAGGUUCGGUUUCCCAACCACCUCGACUUCUUCACGGCCAUUCAGCAUUUAAGCCUCGCAGGUUCGGUUUCCCAACCACCUCGGCUUCUUCAUAUGCCAUUCAGCAUUUAAGCCUCCCAGGUUCGGUUUCCCAACCACCUCGGCUCCUCAUAUGCCAUUCAGCAUUUAAGCCUCGCAGGUUCGGUUUCCCAACCACCUCGGCUUCUUCACGUGCCAUUCAGCAUUUAAGCCUCGCAGGUUCGAUUUCCCAACUACCUCGACUUCUUCAGACGCAAUCAGCAUUCAAAUCAUGCAGGUUUCGGUCCCCCAACCACCUCGGCUUCUUCAGCAUAAACCUACACCAAAACUUCUCUAACUCCAAUCAUGAUAUAAAUUUUGUAAGGUAACAAAUGUAGAUGAAAUAAAUGAAUGGUCAAGUUAGCGAUGUAAAUCUAAUACGGGUUGGGCAGGUGUGGGCAAAUUCAUGAGCUAUUUUUUUCAAUUCUUUUCAUAAAAAGAAAUGUGUUCGGGGUCUUGUGGAAAAAUGAGAACUGUGUAAGGAUAAAGUCACUCUUAGAGAAAUUGAACACUUCCCACAUAACGCCUACAACGUAGUAACAUGAAGGGUCUUCAAUAAAGGUUUUACAAACUUAAAACUACUAGGAAUAGAUGUCAAUAGCUUAUGAAAUUACAAUAAGCUUCCCUAAGAAAAAGGUAAUCUCUAUAAUAAGUGAUAAAUUUUAAAUUAUACAGAAAUUUUGUCUUUUAACUUUUUCUGUAUCCACCUUUCUGAUUCUAUAUAAACGAGCAGACCUCCAUUUCUCAGCGACUCAAUUAUCAACACAGUAUACAAAGGCAGAGAGAGAGAGAGAGAGAGAGAGAGAGAGAGAGAGAGAAUGUUGCGUGUUGUCACACCUGUCCUACCCACCUGGGCCAGUGGCCCACUCAUCCUGAUCCACGUGACAUUCCUGCCGAGGUGGCCCAUAUUGCCGAGGUGGGUUAUAUCCGAACUGCUUCUAACCGAGGCCCAUGGCCCGAGGCGUGGAAGCCUUUGGUUGUAGCUGAGGUCCUCAAAUGGACGAANNNNNNNNNNNNNNNNNNNNNNNNNNNNNNNNNNNNNNNNNNNNNNNNNNNNNNNNNNNNNNNNNNNNNNNNNNNNNNNNNNNNNNNNNNNNNNNNNNNNNNNNNNNNNNNNNNNNNNNNNNNNNNNNNNNNNNNNNNNNNNNNNNNNNNNNNNNNNNNNNNNNNNNNNNNNNNNNNNNNNNNNNNNNNNNNNNNNNNNNNNNNNNNNNNNNNNNNNNNNNNNNNNNNNNUUUUAACUUUUUCUGUAUCCACCUUUCUGAUUCUAUAUAAACGAGCAGACCUCCAUUUCUCAGGGACUCAAUUAUCAACACAGGAUACCAAGGCACAGAGAGAGAGAGAGAGGGGGAUGGAGAAGAUUAUUGCAUUCUUUGUGCCUAUUUUUACCUUUCCAUUUACUGUAUUUUUAUAUGUAAUUUCACUGAGAAUGAAAAGAAAACAUUCAGAGAGGAAAACUAAGCUCCCUCCAGGCUCCAUGGGGUGGCCUUAUAUUGGAGAAACUCUUCAGCUCUACUCCCAAGAUCCAAAUGUCUUUUUUUCUGACAAAGUAAAAAGGUUUCUUGCUUUCAUUCUCAAUUACUUACCGUCCAAUUCUGUCUAAUACUAAAUACCUGAGAUUCCCUGAUAGAAUUUUUCUAACAAUAAUUCUAAACGGGGCAGGCACCCUACCAAUAGGGGGACACGUGUCCCCCCGGACAAACAGGGCCCUGUUUGCCAAGCAAAUCUCUUUUUCUAAACUGUAUGUUCUUAUGCAGAUAUGGAGAAAUCUUCAAGACUCAUGUACUUGGUUGCCCUUGUAUAAUGUUGGAAAGCCCAGAAGCAGCCCGAAUCGUGCUAGUCACCCAGGCACAUUUGUUCAAGCCAACGUAUCCAAAGAGCAAGGAAAAUUUCAUCGGCCAGUCUGCGCUGUUUUUUCACCAGGGAGAGUACCAUAUGCGGCUUAGGAAGCUCGUCCUUGGAGCAUUAUACCCAGAAGCAAUCCAAAACCUAGUAGCAGAUAUUGAAGCCAUAGCAGUGUCUGCAAUGGAUUCGUGGGACGGUGGCCGUGUCAUCAACAUUUUCCAUGAGAUGAAAAAGGUUCGUCUCUUUGAAUUCAUGCUAACACCCAUUUAUAAAAAUUGUGCACCUGUCACCUCUUUAAUGAAAAAAUAUCGUUGGCAUGCACACAGGGACGUGUUGAAAACUUCAAUUUAAAUGAACAAAUCUGUCUCUUUUAAGAUUCUAGAUGAGAAAUCUAAUUUGUCAUCUACCAUUGAUUACCUGCAGUUCUCAUUUGAAGUAGGUAUACUCUCCAUUUUUGGUCAUUUGGAGCCCUAUUAUAAAGAAGAACUGAAGAAGAACUAUAGCAUACUCGAUAGAGGGUACAAUUCUUUUCCAACAAAGUUACCUGGAACUCCAUACCAAAAGGCAAUGAAGGUAAAGUAACGAUAAUUGUACUCUGUUACAUAGUACUAUAAACGAGAUUUUAACUUCCUUUUUUAUUUUUAUUUUUAUUUUUUUUUUCUUUUUUGUUUAGACUGUCUAGUCUACCUUAAUACACGUGUUGAAAAUGGACUCUCAUUUUGAUUAGUCAUAUUUACCAUUUUAAUGUAUGAAGGCAAGGAAGAGGCUGGGUGAAAUAUUAAAUAACAUUAUGAGAGAAAGAAAGGAAAAGAGGAUUACGAAGGACCUGUUGAGUUGUCUGCUAGUUUCGAAAGAUGAGAACGGUGUAACUCUAAACGAGGAUCAGAUUGCUGACAACAUCAUCGGAGUACUUUUUGCAGCACAAGACACGACUGCGAGUGCCAUGACAUGGAUUCUCAAGUACCUUCACGAUUACCCAAAAAUUCUCGAGGCUGUCAAGGUAAAAUCUAGAAGGCAUUUUCUAGUUGCUCUGGAAUAAUACAAGGUUCUCUAAGAAAAACGUAGCUCUAUUUUCUGUUUGUGGGGUCAAAUCAAUAUAUUGUAAGAUUCUCGUGUCUCUAGAUCAUUCUCAUUUCUUGACCUUAUUCUUAAAUUUGCUUUGUAAUCGUCGUAGAUAAUAUGUUUCUGAUUUGCAUGCAGGCUGAACAGAAGGCAAUAUACCAAUCAAAUGGAAAUGGAAAUAGUCAUUUAACAUGGAAUCAAACAAGAAAUAUGCCAUUUACUUACAAGGUAUUUGACUACCAUAAAUAAUAUAUUUGGUAUAUUUCGUUUCAAUUAGGUCGGUUAACACCAUUUUUAUUUUUUUUACAAAAUCAUUUACAAGUAGUAUCAAUUCACUUUCAUUCUCUAACGUCUAACUUGCUUCCAUCAUCCACACGCAAUAUUUUGACCUGUAUUUUUGUUUUCAGGUGAUUUUAGAGAGUUUGAGAAUGGCAAGCAUUAUAUCAUUCACAUUUCGAGAGGCAGUGACAGGUGUGGAAUAUAAAGGUCGGCUUUCUUGUAAGGGAUAUGCACCCUUUUCGGGGGCAUCCUAAUUCUUGUAAUAUUAUCAAAUAAUCCACUGAAUUUUGCUAUUUGUAUGCCGACAUUCACACUCCCCUUACAUGAGGGAGGGGCCCACACCCAAUAAAAAAAGUGUGGACCCCUUGUGUGAGGAACGUGUACACUGUCGUGCCGUUGUACGUGUAGGCGUGUACUUAUCUGAAAUAAAUGUUUUUUGGUCACUGACAGGGUACCUAAUUCCAAAGGGAUGGAAGGUCAUGCCUUUAUUUAGGAAUAUUCACCACAAUCCUGAUUUCUUUGUUGAUCCUCAGAAGUUUGAUCCUUCCAGAUUUGAGGUACGAGUUAAUAUUAUACUUUUAAUGGUUGACGUUAAGUGCAUAUUUAGCCCCUAUCUUACAGUCAUGAUCAUAAAAUUUAUAUUUUUUUCUACGUGCUGAUUUCAACCACACAUUCAUACAAUAAAAUAUUCUGCACGUAAACUCAAAAUUUUCUCGUACUUUUUAACCACAUAUUUUCUAAAAAUUCACUAUUCAAAACUUUAGUUUUGCCUUAGUGCUUGUUUGAUACUUUUCAACUUAUCAAACUUAAACUUUUAGCUACAAAUUGGAUCCACAACUUUUUAUCAAUUUUUUUUGUCAAAAGUUUUGUUAAACAAUCCCAUGGUACUUAGAACUAAAUCUAAGAAUCUUUUGUUAGGGCAUAUGAAAAUAGAUUAAGUAUUAAUGCCAAGCAAUUAAACUUCAUUUUCACCAUAUAUUGACCUAAAUAAAAAAUUGAGUUCGACUAAAAAUUUAAUGACCACCAUGAUUUUAAUCCGAUGAAAGUAUGGUACGAAAAAUCUUUUUUUCCUCAAAAUAUAAAGAUUAAAGAGACUUAUUAAGGAGAAAAAAAUUGUAGGAUGAAGUAACGAAUAUUAAUUUAUGGUUUCUUGUAGGAUGUGGUGAAACCCAAUACGUUUAUGCCAUUUGGCAGUGGAGUACAUGCCUGCCUCGGUAACGAACUUGCUAAGCUAGAAAUGCUCGUUAUGAUCCACCAUCUAAGUUCUCAGUUCAGGUACUUUAUCAAACUACAACAAGUAUUUUUGGAAAUGCGUUUUUUAGAUAAAUUAAAUCAUAAAUAACCAAUUCUAUUUUAUACUGCUCGGUUCCUCGUAUGUUCAGUUGAAUUCACCAAACAUGUCAUACAUGUAUUUUAUGCACCAUAUAUCACAAGAUUCGAUUAAAAUAAUGUAACUUUUUUUUUUCCUCUCAAUUUUGUGUUAUACUAUACAGUUUAUCUUACUAACUAUGUGACGACGUUGGUGAGUGGUAUGUGAAAUUAGGUAUUAUUUGACAAUUGUGUUUGUAGGUAUGAAGUGGUGGGAUCCCAAAGUGGGAUUGAACACACGCCAUUCCCCAUCCCUUUCCAAGGACUCCCUGCCAGAUUUUGGAAACAAGAACCAACCAAUUAAGUAGGACAUACCAAGACAAUUGUUCCUUAACCAAUUUUCACUUUUCCUUUCUGUUCCCAUAAUCCAAUUUAAUAUGGAGAUGGCUUUUUUUCCUCAAAGUGAAUUAAUAUAAGUUCAUAAUCAAUGAACUAAUAAUCAAUGAAGAAUUUAGAAUUUAUUCAGAUAUCUCAUUGGUUAAAUAUAGCAAAAUUUGUACUAUUUUUAUUGCAAGGUUGGUAUUGAAAUUGAAAUAUUAAUGAAACAAAAAGACAAUAGAUUUGAUUCAAUCGAAUUAUCUUGUUUCUUGGCUUUGUUGACUUGAAAAAUCGUUUUAUUUUCUUGAUUGUUAUUGAAAAUCAAUUAUUACUUUUUCUCAAGAAAAUUUGCUUGAUAGAGGUCAUAUGUCGCGAGAAAAUGGAAAAUAGUCACUUUUUAUUUUCAUUAAAAUCAUGAGUAGAAAUUAAGGCUUCGAGCAGUCUUGAGCCACACAUUGUGAAAUUAAUUAAAUAAAAAAAAAAAGGAGAGUUUUUAUUAAUUCCAUUCUUUCAUUUCAAUUCCGACAUCUCUGCCCUUAUGUUUUUGUUUAUGAUGUUUGUGAUGCCACUGUUAGUUUACUUAAUGAAAUGUUGAACUAUUGCAAUGUUUAAAAUUUGUUUAUCAUUUUUUUUAUAAACUAGUCGAGUAAAAUUCAAUCAUUUGGUCAAAAUGAUCGAUUUAAGUUCCUAGUUGGUUCUAUAUUGGAGGAAUCGAGUUUGGGAACUUCUAAUUUAUGUAGAAUUAAAUUAUCACGCAAUUUGCAUCCGCUUUUCACAAAUUUUCCCUCGAGUAAUGCAAUUCAACAUUACUGAUAUCAAGCACUAAUUGAAGAGGCAACUUCAUGACAUUAAAUAAUUGAUUCAAAUAAAUGUAAUGUCAUAUGAUUCAUAUAAUUAAAUCUAUUAAAUGUGACCAUCUAAAUCGGCAUUUCAGUACAGUUGGUGCUUGACAACAUUAUUCGAUGUGAAAUGUGAUGUUGGGUGAUAUUUGUUGAUGCCACGUUUUGAAAUGUUUCAUAAAGUUCUAGUUGUGAUGAGAGGCCAUAUUAGAACCAGAUGGUAAGAAUAUGAUUGGUCAAGUGAAGAUGGGUUUGGUCCAUAAGAGCAAUCUCUAAAAGAAUACUAUUGCUUUUGUCGACUACAUUUGACGUUACAUUUCACAAUACGUAGUGAAUUAUUUCAUUUCCUAACAUAUUUUAGUGGAAUUGUAUUUCUUUUUUAUGAAUGAGAGCUCUCUUAAUGAAUAAUGAUAUAUGACGGGUAUUUUAAAAUCAGUCUAAAUAACAAUGUAUGAUAUUAAAAAAAAGGGCUCAAUAUAGGACCAUAUUAAAUUUAAUAUUGAACUUAUCAUGCAUGGCUACAUAAAUUAAUUUGAAAACAUCAACUAGAAUAUAUAGAAUUACCUUUCUUAAAAUUUUAUUUAACUAUGUAAGUCGUCAUUACUAUAAUUUAUUUUCAAUUUGUGCUAUGUUGACAUGUUUAACUGUAUCAAAUUCUCGAAAAAUUGGAUUAAAUGGUCUCAAACCUUUGCUCUUCUUGCAUUUCUUGGUCCCAGAACUUUAAACCUUGACAAUCAUGUCACAAACCUAUGUAUUUUGGCAUAGUUAUUCCUUUUAGAUGGAUUCGGUUUAAAAUGGUGGUUAAUUUUGUGCGUAGAUUGUAAUUUUCUUAUUUUAUUUUUGUCUGAAGAGGCAAAUCUGUCAUAUCAAUAUCAACUUAAGUAAAAAAUAAAAAUAAAUUUAAAAAGAAAAUAGUUUUAAAGAAAAAAUUAUAAUCAUAUUCUUCUUCCACCCACGCUAUAUUUCAUACAUACAAAGACAUGGGAACGGGAAUUGUGACGAGCAGAGUAAUGAUUCGCUUGUACAAGCCACUCGUGAAAAAUGUCAUUUCGAUAAUAAUAAAAAUGUUGACGUGCCACGAGCGGCUCAACUUCUCCCACUUCCCAUCCCUACAUAGACAUUUAGAGAGAGAAAUACAUGUACAAACGUUUACAUUUAGAGCAGUAGAAGGAUAUUUGCAUAUAACAUCCACAUUUUCUGGUGGAUAAACAAACAGAGCUGGUUAGCUAACAUAAUGGUUGUCAAAUCGUAUCUCAUUCAGAUUAAUGCUAAAAAAUUUACAGGCUAUAAUGUUUUAUGUAAUUUGAUCCCGAAACCAAGUAAAUCUUCAAAAUUUUUACCAUAAAAUAGUAAGGCAAACCAAAAACUAGGAACCGGAAUUGAGAACCGGCAAGAUCUGGUUCUUGGUUCUUGAAUUGGAACCGUUGGUACCCAAAUUGAGCCCUUUUAAUAAUACUUUGUUCUCACAAUUUAUAGGCUGAAAAAAAUAAAUAAAUAAUAGGGAAAAUUUCACAUAGAAGAUAUUAAGUAUAGGGCAUUUCAAAAAUAAGAAAAUAAGUAUCAUAUUUCAAAAAUCAGAAAUUAGCCUAAAAAUAAAUACAAAUAUUAAUAUAAUUUAAUAUGGAAAACAAUCCCGAGCAAAGAGCCGUAAUAUCAGGAUUCUCCUAAAAAAAAUUAAUUCAUCUUUCAAUCUGAUUUCAAUAGCCAGAAGAUCUGAAAAUACAUCCAAUUACGACCGGCUCUUGCGGAAUUGAUGGUGAAACCGAAUUCUGGUCACAAAUUGCAGUCGCGGGUCGUAUGAGAUCGGCUCAAACAGUCACUGAAAACAUUAUUCAGGCAUGUAAUUAAAUUGAUCAGGUGUGUAAUUGCGAUUUAUUCAUUAUAAUUUGUCGUUUUUUCACGCUAGACAAGCUUCGAUUGAUCAGAAAUAUGAUUCAUUGUAAUUGCGAAUAACGGACAUUGCCGUUCGAAACUGUUGUGACCGUUAUGGAAAACAUGUGACCCUGGAUGCAAGAUAUAACCUCAUGCAUUCAGUAUGUAUGGGUGUUUGUGUCUCGAAAUGUGUGAAAUGUUUUAAUCUGUGUAUUAUGAUACUGAUGCUCUUGUUCGAAUCUAAUCAUAUGCGACAGACCUAUACUUAGUUACUGUGACCGAUUAUUGCAUGUAAUUGUAACACAUUGAAUACAUGUGACCUGCAUGUAUUCAAUGUGUGACCAUGACAUUCAAGAUACCACAUGCGUUCGCUUUGACCUGUGAUCAUUUAACAGUAUUGUGACCGACAUGCAAUUAACUGUGACCAGUAUACAAAGACUUAAAUGUCACAUAUGACCUAUGCAAUGAUCUGUGACCUCUCGUAAAAAAAAUCUGGGAAAUAAAACUAUGUGACCUGCAUGUUUUCAAUACGUGACAAUGAUACUUGAGAUUCGAUAUAUGUUUAUUGUGACAUUUGACCAUUAAUUUAAUUUUGACCCAUUUGCAAUUAGAUUUAACAUAUAUUUGGAUGUUAGGCUGAUCAUGUAUUUGCAAAUUUUGCAGAAAAUGGGGUUAAUUCACGUGUGUCUGUUGAAUGGAUCACAAGUGUCACUGGUUUUAAUUGAUCGUAGUUGCGGGUAUUUGAGGCUUGUCGACACAGUUAUGAAAGAGUUUAGCUUUGACCCUGCAAAAGUUGUUGUGACAAUGAAGUAUGUCUUGAACAGUGAUCUGUCUCCAGUAGCAAUCAAAAGUGAUGAGAACGUCUUGUCUUACAUGGUUUUAAAGGAUAUGAGUCGUGACCCUGCGAAAUAUCCAAUUCACAUCGAGGUGACAACUGCGGAUAUCGAAAAAUAGCCUAUUGUGCUAUCAGUUGAUGUUAAUCGAACGAGCAUGGGUUUUCAUUAACAGAUAUGUCAUCAGACAUAUGUCGAGCAAUAAUGGAUCCAUCUAGUGACAAUCUUGAGCAUGAGGUCACAGUUGUGGCGGUGGCAGAUGCUAGGGAGGUAGAGGAAGGAAGAGUCUUCCGUAACAAGGAGAUAAUGAAAUUGAGCUUGUCGUUUUAUGCAAUCCAGAACAUGUUUGAGUACGUGGUUGUUCGGUUCGAUAAGAAAGACUAUCUUGUAAAAUGUACACGUGAUGAGUGUAAUUGGAUAUGUAGAGCAUCGAAGCUAGCCAAAACAGAUAUGUUUAAAAUCAGACACAUUGCAGAAGGUCACAUAUGUGCUUCAAACAUCGUACUCAGUACUCAUAGGCAAGUAGCAAAGACGGUUGUGUCAACUUGCAUUAAGUAUAAGUACACAUCAUCGCGCACAAUAUACACACCGAAUGAUAUACGCAACGACAUGCUGCAUACAUACGGAGUAUCUUUGAAUUAUGUCCAAGCUUGGCGAUCUCGAGAAGAAACUCUGAAAGUGCUUAGGGGUGAUCCAACCGAUUCAUUCAAUAAGAUACCAGCCUUUUUUUUUGUGAUACAACAAACAAAUCCUGGAUCAGUGACAUGUCUAGAAAUUGAUGGUCACAAUAGGUUUAAAUAUUACUUCAUGGCACUAGGUGCAUCUAUACGGGGAUGGAAACAUUGUAGGCCAGUUGUUGUGGUUGAUAGCACCUAUCUAAAUGGACACUAUGGUGACACCUUAUUCACGGCAUGUACACAAUAUGCAAAUAACAGCAUUUAUGUACUUGCUUUCGGGAUUGGGGAUAACGAGAAUGACAGCUCCUGGACAUGGUUUUUUAGACAGUUGAGAAAAGCAUAUGGGGAUAGAGACAGUUUGUGCUUCGUGUCGGAUCGUCACAACAGCAUCAAAAAGGCGAUUGAAAACGUGUAUCUGGGAGCAUGUCACAGGAUAUGUUCUUACCAUCUACUACAAAAUCUAAAAUCACGGUACGGGAGAUCAGGACAAAACAUAACACAAGCAUUCAAUGCAGCUGUUCGCACCUACACACUAUUGGAAUAUGAAUAUUACAUGCAACAACUUGGGUCGAUUAAUCAGAAGAUAAGGGGUUAUCUGGUACUAUACUAUAUGUUGUCCUAUGAUGAUAUUCACAUAAAUACGUUUAACAUGGUACUGUACGCUAUAUGAUACACAUUUCCAUGGUUUUGUUUUGUAGGACAAAGUUGGACCUGAGAGAUGGUCACGUAUCCACAUGCCUUCAAACCGGUAUUCUACAAUGACAUCGAAUAUUGUGGAGUCGAUUAAUGCGGUCACAAAGUCUGCCAAGAACUACCCUAUUCUAGCUUUGUUGGAGUCAUUGAGACAAAUUCUACAAUCUUGGUUCUGUAGACACAAGGAGGAUGCCCAAGGCACUUUUACAACCUUGUCAAUCAAGUAUGAGAAGAAGAUGAGGGAAAUGAGUACAGAUAUAAGAAACUUGAGGGUAAGCUUGAUUACUGUAACCUAAUCUAUAAUCUGUGACUUACCGGAUCUGAUCUGUGACAUGUGCUGUGACUUCUGCUGUGAUCUGUACCGUUGUGUUUCAGUAAUAUUUGUACAAUAUUAUAUAGAACUACAUGACUUGCAAUUUCGUCUGUGUCCUACUUUUUAAUUACGUGACUUGUUAUGCCUAUAACUUGAGUCUAUAUCUGUAGGUUUCACCCAUUAAUCAGGCAAUGUUCUCAGUUAGCGGUGAAAGUUCCUCCUUCGUUGUUGAUAUAGAAAAUCGGACAUGCAUAUGUAGGAUGCUUCAAGUUGAUCAACUACCUUGUCCACAUGCUUUGGCUGUGUUUGCGAGUAUGAAGAUGGAUCCAUAUGAAUACUGCUCCUACUACUACACAAGUGAAGCGUUCAGAAAUACAUACCAAGAAACCAUUUUUUCGGUAGGAAAUCCAGCUGAAUGGACAGUGCCAAAUGAUGUCCAUGACAUAGUUGUAAUUGCACCUAAUCAAAAGCGAAGUUGUGGAAGGCCUACUGAGAAGAGAUUCAGAGCAGCGUACGAGGAAAACAUAACCGUCAAAUGUGGUCGGUGUGGUGAAAGUGGUCACAAUCGUAGAACAUGCAGCAGCUUAGUUCCGUUGAGUCAAAGCAACAAGAAUAAAGAGAGGAGGAUGAUGAAGGACUGGAAAUGCACAUUGAUAAAAUUUUUAUAAUUCCAUUGUUUUUUUUAUUCAUUAAUUUUUUGUAAACGUAGGAUGCAAAACAUUGGAUGACACAAAUUAAUGAUCUGUGAUCAUUCUACAAUAACAUGUGACUAGUAUGCGUUAACUAUGAUCAUUAUUAAUGACAUGUGAUCAGAAUGCAGUGACUUGUGACCAAUAUAAAUGAUCUGUGACCAGAAUUCAGUGACCAGUGACCCCUGUGCAAUCAACUGUGAAUAUAUGAAAUCAUCUGUGACUAGAUGUCAUUGAGCUGUGACCAAUAUGCAGAAAUCUGUGACCAUUUAUUGUGACCAACAAAAGAUGACCAGUGACAUAUUGCAAAAACUCUGCAAAAUGGAAGUGGUUCAGCUGUGACAAAUGUAUGAAAUGAUCUGUAACAAAUCUUCAAUGACCUGUGACCAGAUUGGAUUGACUUUUAAUAAUUCUUUAUGACCUGUGACCAAUAUACUGUGACCUGUGACCAGGGUGCAGUGACCUGUGACAAUGGGAAUUGACCUGUGACCAAAUUACACAAACCAGUGACCUGUGAUAAUCCUAGAAACUAGUGACCUGUGAUAAUCCUAAAAAUUGCAGGUAACCUGUGACCUGUGACAAUGGGAAUUGACCUGUGACCAAAUUACACAAACCAGUGACCUUGGAACUGCAGAUAAUCCUAGAAACUGGUGACCUGUGAUAAUCCUAAAAAUUGCAGGUAACCUGUGACCUGUGACCUGUGACCAGGUUGCAGUGACCUGUGACAAUGGGAAUUGACCUGUGACCAAAUUACACAAACCAGUGACCUUGGAACUGCAGAUAAUCCUAGAAACUGGUGACAUGUGAUAAUCCGAAUAACUGCAGGUAACCAUUAAAUUUUGAGACUUUGCCCUCGAUACGGUGUCAAUAUAGCAAAAUAUGAUAUAUAGUGAAACUUGUAGUAAAGUCCCCAAACAUUAAUGAACUUUUUGAUAUAAACAGACAAAAGUAAUAACUGCGUUGUCAUUACAAACGAAUUUCCAAAACAUUGAGACAAUGUUUCCUGCUAUUACAACAUGUUACUUCUAAAUUGCACUAUCACUCUAAAACAAUGCUUUCCCCACCAGUAGGCUGCACCGGCUUUCUAGUCUUCCCGAUUUCACGAUGUUUGAACAACAGUGAAGCUACAUCCAACCGAGCUCUCCCCGCAUCAAACUUCAUUGGCAUGGAUCCUAUAUCGUCAUGUAGCAUGUACUCCGCGUACUUGACCACGUAAAUGCCACAAUCAUGUCUAAGAACACAAAAAACAAAAUAUUAGCUAUGAAAUCAAGCAAGUUAUAAUAUGUUUAACUGUUAGUGGAGGGAAAAAAACUUGCCCAUUUUUCUGUUGGGGAAGAGAGAAAUCAAAAUCCACAUUCAACUCCAUGGAAUCUUUUUUCCAUAUUCCAACAGAUUUCAUAAGAUGCGGAAGCAUGCUGACAAAGGGAUCAAUUCCAGUACGAACUUUGAUAUCAUUGUAUGUCUUCCUAGACGAAUUCAAUAAACGCAACGUAUGUGCCUUUAUGUCCAACACUCCAAGCAUCCAAUGUGCUUUGUUGGUAGGCAGAAGUGGGAUAAACACAAGGUCAACUUCAGCCCAUGGAGUGCUCAAUGGAAUUCGCGCACCGGUAAUAUCGUUAAUCAGUUUAUCAUCCGUGACAAGAACAUUUGCAUCAUCCUUGAAAUUAGGAUACAUGUGCUUUAGGUUGGCCUGGAACAACGAGUCCGUUGUGGUAGCUACAAACUUGAAAUCUCUUGCACUUCUUGCCAGUUGACGUAUAUAAUAGAAGCACACGUCCAUAUGCUAUAGAGAUGAAAGUACAAUAAACAAUUUAGAAACCAUGUAUACACCAGAAAACACGAUGCAAUAAGCUGUUAAUUUGAUGUGUGACUCGGCUAGAAUGUGAUCACUACAAUCUGUAGUUAGUGACCACUCCAUAACUGAACCGGACGUAAUAAAGACAUGUGUGCUAUACUGAUGCAACUGCAGAUAUGUGUUCUCCUGUGCAGCGCGGAUUGUGACCUACUGUUCGUGUGAUUUGUGACCCAGGCAUCAGCUGUGACCUACUGUUCGCGUGAUCUGUGACCUACUGCUCGUGUGAUCUGUGACCCAUGCUCUGUGUGACUAGUAUACAAAAAACUGUGACUAAUGUGACAUGUACUGUAACAUACCCUUUAGAACUGUUACUUUUGUGUAGUGACUUACCGAACUAGUCAACGACACCUCCCUAGAUACAAAUUCGUACCACCGUGUCUUGUUUCCCGCCAAGUACUGACCGAUUGAAAAAGGUGGACGGAUGACAUCAUCUUUAUCAUUGAACUUCUUCCUGCAAAUGAGAAGAACGGAUCAUUAUUUGGAACAUUGUGAAAAUAGGACAACAAUUUCGUACUUGUUAUGCGGUUUGUAUCCUCUUUGAAACCAAUUUUGAAAGUCAGCAACAUCUGCAUCUUGUACAUUCUGAUUGUAGUGUUCAAAGACCACUACAUUUCCUGAAAAUUUCAUUUGUUUCAUUUUGUCGGCAACAUAAGGGGACUGAAGGGCUUUAGCUGGCUUUGGAGCCCUCUUCACCGGCAAUCCAGAACUUGGUGCAGCCUCAGGUGAGUGCUGCGUAAUAAAAUGUGUUCUUUAAUAUGUGACAUGCAUUAAUCACCAAAAAUACAUCGAUGUUUGGAUACCUCUUGCUGAAAACAUUCCGUGUCCUUCAAAACAUCGGCUAUGACCGAUUCAACUUGCCUGUCAACGUCCUUUGAUGCUUUUGCAACAAUCUGGCUUGGUUGUGUGAAUCCAAGACCAAGAUCAAAAGAUGGAGGUUCAAUAGAACAUGGGAAUUCAACUGCACACACAAAAUCAACCUUUGCCUUGCCUUUCGAAUCAACACUUCGUUCGACUUUUGCAGCCUGAAAAUUAGAACAAAAAUGCAUUUGAUGAGAAGUGUAUAUCAAACGGUUUAUGGUAAACAGACAAGUAAGAGGCAGUCACAGUUGGGGUACUUACUUCGCAUGUUGGUCCAGAUCCUACAACAAUUUCUGGUCCUGCGUUCUCUCUGAAUUUUUUCAUAAUUUCUUCCAUUGAACUAGUAUCAAUUUAGUCACAGAAUCAGACAUACACUGCAUGUGUGCUUUGAUGUCCAACAUGUCAGUACGAAUUUCACCUUGCAUACGAACUAGCAGAUUCAGUUUCCUUUGCUGAUCAGACUUUAAAGAAGACACCUGUAACUGCAUUGACUUGAGCUGUUUGCUUAGCAACCGAUUCUCAGAAUUAAGAUCAGAUAUCUGCCCUUUGAAAUAAUUAUUCAAUUCAUCGACAACCUGCAUCACAUGAAUACCUAUAAUCAGUAAAAUUAUGAUGAUGAAAUAUGACAUUGAUCUGUGAUCAGCAGUGACAUGUGUAUUGGUAUGUGACCCAAUCACCGAAACCUGUGACCUGAAUUUUUAUGUGACCAAAUGGACUUGUUACAUGAUAGAUGAAAUUGGAAGAGCUUACAUUUUUUGAUGGCAUAUCCUCUGAAUCAGUGGUGCCAUCUGACUUAAACUCCCCAGUUGGAGAAUCUUCAUGGAUUGAUGUCCCCUUCCAACUGGGUGGUGCGUCAACAAAGUCAUUAUCAUCAAUGGGGAGAUCAGAGUGUCCCAAUCGUCCAUCGGUUAUCAAAAGCAUGGGAGUAGAUUGUUUCAUUCCUGGAUUACUUGGUUUUGAACUAGUCCCAGCACGAUGAUCUGAUCGGUGUAUGCUACCACCCUUUCUCUUUUCCCCAUGUGACCGAUUGGGUAGGAUAGGUUUCUCAUACUGCACCUGACUCAUGUAUGGCAUUGCCAUUUCAGCUGGUGGGGGGUCCAGGUCACAUAUUACCAACUGCCAUUCAUAUCACAACAAAAAGUGCAAUGUCAACAACCAAAAAUUAUGUAUGAACAAACAGAUAUAGCUUUGCACAUCACACAUAUUCAAUUUGUUUGCAUUAAUUGUGAUAUAACAAGGGCAAAUGGCGCCGAGAAAAUGUCAGUGACCUAGUAUGAAAUGAUCUGUGACAUAAUGAGUAAAUCUGUGACUUCGAGAAUGCAAUUUGUGAUUUGACGAAAAUAUAUUUGUGACCUAAGAAAUAUGAUCUGGAACAUGAGAAAAAUGUGCCAGUUUAAUAUUUUGAAACCAGAACUGCUGCAUCGGUGGUCACUUACGUCGGGAUUGGAGAAGCAUUCAGGUCCCUCAAACUUCGCAGCCGAAGGGUGAUCAUCAGCCGUCCAGUUCAUUAUCCUGGGGUACACUCUCGAAAUCCCUCUCGCAGUGUAUCCAUCGAGACUGGGUAUUGUCUCGUAAAUCCACACUUGAAAGGCUACAAGCAACCCUCUGAGUCUGUAAUGUGUUGAUCUCUUACUCAACCCCUCCCUCAAUGAAUUUACUAGUUUGUCAAACAGCGACUUACCCCAUGGAAACACAUUCAUCGCACUAAAAUCUUCAACUAGUAUAAAUAAGAAGUGCUCCACAGCCUUCUUGUAGUCUCUCGGAUGUAGAUAAGAUGUUAUGAAAUACAAUGCACCUAGCAUGGCAACAUCCUCAUCCGGAAUGUCAGUAGAACCAAAAAAUGCGUCCUUGAUAUUUUCAUGAGUAACAUUUUUCAACCUUGAAAAAUACAAAUUUUUUAAUCGUGAUGGAGUAUUUUCCAUCCUACUUGUGUCAUCAUCGCCGACAUAUCUCAAACCAGUCACCAAACAAAAUUCUGAAAUUGAGAACCGCACGAAUCUCCCAGCUAUGUUGAACCACAACUCACUCUUGUUAGGUUGUUGCACUUGUCUCAGAAGAAAAUAGUGUAUCAGCUGCGAUUGGAUAACAAUUUCCUCGCAUUGCAGGAAGUGAGCAAAACACGUAUUCUGAAGGAUUCGGCGUUGGGCUUCAUUGAGAUUGUUUUUGAAGUUCGACACCACACCUUUGACGGGGGUAAUUGUAAUUUUACCCGGAAACCAACUCUUCUCGGGUAUAAUGUAUCUCCACGCCUGCAACAACGAUCACAAUAAAACUCAUUAUUUUGGUCACAGGUGAAAAUCCAGGUAGUCUCAAACAUCAACAUAUAGGUCACAGAUCCCCUUCAGCAAAAAAGAAAUCAACAACACCUAUACAGAAUGACACAAUAGCGUUCCAUAAUUCACAAAUGAACAACCACUUUUGAAAAAAACAUUAAAAACCCUUACUACAAUCAGGCAUUUCGAUUACAAAUUCAACACAACAUACAUCACAAAUUCAAAAAUACUUCAUCAAUACACAUUACCCAUCGAUUAAAAUGAAGCUAGGUAUACUCGAAAUAAGUGAACAAUUGAAAAAUAUCAAAAAAUCACCUUCUUCGACGACUGUUUUCCGACCGAACUUCUGGAUUUUUGUCUUUUAGAGGAUGAUUCCUUCUGCACUUCAUCCAACUUCCUUUUAACUCUUCUUCCUGACUCGUCGAUUCCAGUUUUCUCCCCACGUUUCCCACUGCUUGAACGAGUCAUCGUUGAAGUUUUAGAAUACUUCGGGUAAACUGUGAACACAGCUUUGGGAAGGAAUGUAAAAAUUAUGUGACCGACAGUGAAAGAAGUUGAUCGGGGAAUCGCCGGAGAACGACAGUGAUGAACGACCGAAUGGAUGAACACGGUUAGGAUGAACACGGUUUAAUCGAAAAAUGGGAUACGUGAGGGACGUGGUUAUGGAAAUGACGGUUUUAUGGAAAUGACGUGUUUAAAGAAAAUACAGUUUCAAAAGUUUUGAAUUACGUGAUUUUAGGUAGAGAUAGCUAUUAAAUAAUUUUAAAUUAAUUAGAAAAUGAAAAAAAAAAUCUGAUUACAGAAAUGUGAAACUUCCACUCUUAUUUAGGAAAUAUGAAUUUAUAAAAUAUGGAUUUGUGUAAUUACCACUAAAUAAUACAAUAUAAAUUUACUUGUAUAGUAAAUAGGCUUCCCAAUUCAGCCCAUGAAAAAACCCGAUCCAAAGCCUUUGGGCCAUUUGUCAAAUAAGUAUAUCCAGCCCAAAAGCAAUCUAGGCCUAGACUUGAGACCAAAAUGGAGAAGAUAAAAUAUGUGGAAAAUUUCAUAAAUAAAAGAACAAGUUUCAAAUUUUAAUUUUUAUUAAAAUUUAUUUUUGAUUUAAUUAAUUAAUUUAUUAAUUAAAAAUAUUUAGGUCACAAAUCUAUAUAAUUUGAUCACAAAUUAACAAUUUAAUUAGUCACUUAUUAGUUUUUUGUUACAAAUCAAAAAUUUUAUGUCACAAAUUAUUUUACGGUUACAAUUCAAAAAUUUUAUAGAUCACAACUUGUUUAUCAGUCACAAAUCAAAAAAUGUAAAAGUCACGAUUUAUUUAUUGAUCACAAAUCACAAAUAUUAGAAUUCACAAGUUAUUAUACAGUUACAAAUUAUCAAUAAUAAAUUAACAAUUUUUUUUGUCACAAUUUAUAUUUUUUAUUGAUUACAGUUUAACCAAUUUAAUGGUCACGAUCAAUCAAAUAAUUCAUGACCACCAACACUUGCGAACACCAUAUCACCACUUCUUCCAGCACCACCACCACCUCCACCUCCACCUCAAACAAAUCAACCCAUUGCAGAAAACACAACCACAUUGUCGAUGCCAAAUCCACCACCAAGAAAAAAAAUUAUUUACAUUAACUGCCACCAUUACUACCACAGAUCAAACCCAAAUUUCCUAGAUCUCCUGUCAUCCACCACCACCUGCACCAUCUAGAUUGUGACAACCAUUGCCAAUGCCAAGCUGUGACUACCAAAAACUACAGCUACUUCACCACCACUGUGACAGCACUGCAAAAUAAAUCCAAAAUCAAAGCCGUAAUGGAAGCGACAACCACUGACACGACCAUCACCAAAGCCUACAUCACAACCGCCAUACCCGCAGUAUCACAGUUGCACCACCACCACCGCCACACCCAAAGGAUCACAGUUUCCAUUUACCUCCCUCUUUAUGGUGGUGUAAAACGUAGAGGAAAUUUUAUAUUGCUGUAAAUUAAGAUGCCUACUUUUACCGUUAUUGCCUAGGAGAAUUUGUUGGAACCUCGAGUUCGAGACUCUUGCAAAAGCCCUCGAAGCCUAACCAGAGAGUGUCGAACGAUGAUGGCGAAGCAACUAAAGAGAUAGAGGAUUCGAGCACGAAUCCGAGAGUUGGAGGCUCCAGGCACAUAUAUAUCGCCGGCUCUCUACGUGACGCCGGAACUGGCUACGAUACCAUGAAUUCUUCCUCGCCUUCGCCGUAUGUCGUCAACCAAAAGAGAUGCGGCGUUGGCAAGAAUAGUAGGCAGACAGUUGAGAAAUGUGAAUCUAAACCCUAGAAAAAAGAGGGAAAUGAUUUGAAUUUGGAGGGGAUGGUGGGCGAUUUUGUAAAUGAAGGUGAAAUAUAGAAAGAGAAUGAAAGGGAUGAAGAUGGCUGGCGAGGUGAAAUAUAGAGUGAGAAAAUGAAAGGGCUGAAUGAAAAUAAAUUUUGGGUUUGGUAGGAUGAAUAUGUAAAUUUGAUUUUGUACUAUAAUUAUUAAUAUUUAAAAUAUAAUAAUUAAUUAAUAAAAUAUCUUAUUUUUGAAAUAGUAAACUUUACCUAUGAUUUAUGAAAUGAGAUCUCUAAAUCUAUUAGAGUGUGUUUGAUUACAUUUAUUUUUCAUGGAAAAUAUCAAUUUUCUACCCAAAUUCCUACUUGGAGUAUUUGAUUGCUAUUUUUUUCCGUGAAAAACAUUUUCCAACUAAAAUUAAGCCUUAUACGGCCCCAAAAUGAAGCAGUUGAAAAAUACUUCCUCCAAGUUGAAAAUUUGAAAUUUACAUCAUUCCAUAUAAAUUUCUUUGGGGUCGAAAGGGUAAAAUCAUUUGACAAGACCUUCUCUAUUUUUGGCGAUUAAGAUUCAAUUUUCAGCUUCACUUCGUAGUUCUGCAAUUUUGGGUGAAUUAUGUUCAAUAAUUGUUUUUUCCCCAUUUAUAAAUUGAAGUGUCAAUUUUUAGCUUCACUUCAUAACUCUGCAAUUUUGGGUGAAUUAUUUUCAAUAAAUUGUUUUGCCAUUAUAUAAUCAGAUUUAUGGUGUUGUAUUAAAGUGUCAAAUUCAAGUUUAACAUAUAUAAAUAUACACACACACACACACUUAGCUAGCAAAUCACCUGAAGAUAUGUUAAGUAGCAUGUCGGUUUCAUUGAAGUGUCAAACUUACUAUUUUUUUUUUUUUUUUUUUUUUUUUUUUGUUUUUUGUAUCAAAAUUUAGGUUGUUUCACACUAUACUUUUCAAUGCAAGUACCCAACUUAUAUUAUAUCAAAUGAUCAUAUGUACUUUAAUUUUCAUGCUCAAUAAUAAAUGAAUGUAAUAAAUAAAUAAAGUCACAAUUUAUUUAUUAUAAAUUAUUAUUUUAUCAUAAUAAAAUAUACUAUAUGGACACACAAUCCAACAACUAACUCCGUCACACCACCUUGAUCGACCUGCCAAUAUUCUAUAAACCUCAAGAAAUUCUCCAUGUGAGUGCUCCAAUGAUUAUAAUGACCAUCAAAGCGUGCAGUUGCAAGUUGAACAAAACUUUCAGAAGCAAUUUGGAAACGACUGCUGCAAAGAAAGAAAAAUCUAAUGCCACAACACACUUUCUUCCUCACUUUUCCAUAACUAGGCUCUGAUACCACUAUUAUAAAUUGAAAACUAAAAACUAAAUGUGAAUGGAGGGGUAAAAAAAAAAAUAAAAAUAAAAAAAUAAAAAACUUCCAUACUAUAGGCUUAUUCGAUUAACCAAAUGGCCCUUUAAAUAGACAAUACGUCAUAAAAAAAUAAGCUGAAAAAGCGCAACUGACGCUCUAGGAUGUGAUAUAAAACUAGCAAAAAUGAUUAUAACUAGGACAACAUAACACAAUAUGACAAACCACGUGAACGACAACUUUGACAAUCCAUAACAAAUACGAAUAAUAAUCCACUGAAGCCCCUUUGUUGGAAAAUUGAAAUGUCAUAUAAUUAAGACCAAUUAACAUAUGCAUUAUUGUUAUAUUGAUUAAUAAUAUUGUACUUUGUACUUUGAAACCGUUCCGUCCAUACCCACCACAAAUAAAGGACCUUAAUCAUUUGAUACCAUCAAUGUUCCAACUUUAAAAGCCUUAAUUUUUUGCGUUAUAUUUGAUCUUCGAACCUAAAAUUCGACAAGAUUAAAGAAGAAAGAGACUUAAGAUUGCUUGUCAAUUGUUUUAUUUAUGCAGGGCAACCCAUGUGAAUUAAUAAAUUAAAGAAUAAACUCAAACAAUCUUCUAAUUUUAUCUUUGUUUGUAAGAUUUAACAGAAAAUUAAAUUUGAGAACCGUCGACUCAAACGAAUUUCAAAAGCAAAAAUGUGGAGAGGCUCAAAUUUAUUCAAUAAUCCAAGAUUGAGUCGACCCUAGUGGACCUCAUUUUUAUAGUUCAAAAUUUAGUCUUCAUGAGGGCUAGGGACCUUGCUUGGGUGAAGCUCAGUUUUUGUUAGAAAAAUAUAGUUCUUUGUCUAAAUCCAACUAUGUUUAUCAAGCACUUAGCAGUUGAUCUAAAACCGAAUAAGAAUUUGUUUUAAACUUAAAAUGUUCUCUAGAUUAGUAGAAGGCAUAUCCAACUCAAGUGUGCACACGAAAAACAAGAAGAAUAGGUUUUUUAGAAUAGUUAUGCUUGUGAGCAUUGAAAGUAACACUCCAUCACAUGCUCUACAUGGUUUUCCAUUAAUUUUGUAGACGGGUCUCGAGAUGGUCCCAAGUUUCUUUGAGGUUCACGUGUGGUCUUACUUGGAAUGUUUCGUUAUUCAUCUAUUGUUCUUUUUUAAGGAUGGGGACGGAGUUGUACUGUUCUUUGGUAGUUUUCAGUAGUAAAUCAUGUAUAAUUUUAAAUUACUUAUAUAAUCAAAAAUAAUUUUUUAAGUUGUUCUAUGUGCUAACAAAAGUUAUUGUCUUGGAGGGAAAUUUUCAACAUUGAUACUACUGAAUCUAGAGACUCGAAAAAUAAAAUGAAAAGCUAUUAUAAAUGUACUCCAUGGGAAACUAUAUGUUCUGAGUUCCUUCCAUUUUAUAUUUCCUAUCCUGGAAUUGUGCAUGUAUGCGUAGUGUGCUACUAAAUUUGACUUAAGGUCGCAUUUCUAGAAAUGCGACUUUGCAAAUGGAGGCCUUUUCUGAGAUCUUGGCACCUGGCGUAAUCCUAACUGUUUGAUGACGUUUUAGGAUGGUUUUAGGGUUUGUCUAUAUGUACAUCGGGGUUGACGUGCACCGACCCCCCCCCCCACAAGAGGAGGGAGGCCACAUAUAUUUAUUCGUCAUGGGCCCCCCUCUUGUGAGGGGGUCUGUGCACCGGGGUAUCAAACCUGGUGUACAAAUAGAAAAACUCGUGGUUUUAUUGCCAUUAUCUCUGCCGUUUCACUUGAAAUACUUCAUUCUAGCUUUUCAAAUUUCUGUGACGAGAGAGUUUACGCUAGUUUGGUUAGGGUUUCAUCUUGAAUCAUCUUCUCUCUUGAAAAUCUCAUUCGCAAUUGAGAUCAAUGUUUUACUUCCUUUGAUUCUUGUAUUUUCCGAGUGGUUCUUAUACUUUGUUGAUCAAAGUAUUGUUUAGAGGCUUCUUUCGUGAUUCCUUGAGUAGACUUGCAGUUUUAUCUUUGAAAAGAUAACUAUUGUGACUUUAUCUUGUAUUGGUUCAACGUUUAUAAACUUUGUUGUCUUUUGCGGCUAAAUAGUGCAAUCGAGCAUUAUCCAUUUUAUAUGGAUAAUCAACAGGGAAUUACGUAUUAGAAGUAAUCAUCGAACCCUCGGAGUUUCAGCCGAAACAAUUCUUUGUGUUGGUUUUCAUUUCUUGCAAGUUUAUUUUCUAUAUUAUUUUUGAGUUCGACAAAUCACUCAUACCUUGCGUUUUUUGGGCAUUUGAGUAGUAUCAAAGCUUGGAUCUUGAAUUGCGAAACCAAUUCUUCAAGGAAACUAAAGAUCUUAGAGGGACCUCAAAUUUUUGUGCACUGUUUUGAAGGAAUUUGAGUUUUUCUUAUAAAACUCACUUGAUGAGAUUUUUUAAUAUUAUGCAACAUACAAUUUUAAAAAAUUAGAGUUUCUAGAUUUUUUCCUUGAUUUACGAUACCAUUACAAAAUAUCCGCCGGAUACUAAUAUGUGUCCAAAGUCUCUUAUAAGGUUUUGGAAAUUUAAGAUAAAUCGAGUACACGUGUAUAACGGGAGGAAUAAAAAUUUGUGAUCUCUAUUUGCGAUUCUUGUGAUAUUUUUUGUUGCAUGUCCACUAUUAAGUACAUAUUCUUUGAUUAAGUAAAAACUCUUGUGUAUAACUCGAAAUAUUAUACCAUUACGUGCACUGCUGUGAUUUAAACUGAUCUUGUUGAAGUGUUGGUUCUUUACCGUGUGUCUUUCACAGUCUCUAGUCAGACUUGCUUGUCAGUCUCUUACGAAACAAUAUGAUGGGAAGGGGAUUUUAAUAUGUGGAGUCAGAAAAGGAAAGGUACCUUGAUGCAAAUGAGAUAUGCUAAGGCCUUAGAUAAUACUUGGCCUGCUGAUAUGGUCCCUACUAAAAGAGCUGAAAAAGAAGACAUUGCUUAGAGUACUAUGUUUUGUUCCUUUCUAAAAUGUGAUUAGAACCAUUGGUGAAACUAAAACAGUUAUUGAACUUUGAAUCAAUUGCAGGCUCAGUAUAUUACCAAAACUUUUCCAAAUGUGUGUUAUUUGUUGAAACAGUUCUUUUCUUCUAAAAUGGAUCCUUCUAUUGACUUGGAAUAAAACUUGAAUAGAUUUAUAAAACUUACCAAGAUUUAGCCUACUGUGAUGAAAAACUUUCAAAAGAUCAAUUGGUUAUGGUCUUGUUAAACUCCAUUAGUGACAGUCAUAGAAACCUCAAUAAUACCCUUAAAUAUGGUACAGAUGAGAUCACUAUUGAUAUUAUAAUCGGUGCCCUUAGAAAUAGAAUUCUUGAAAUAAAUUCUGAAUUUAAAGAUGGUCAAAAAGGAGAAAAUUCAUUGGUUAAGGAUAGGAGCAUUGGAAAAUCUAAUCAUCACUCUAUAGGCAAUAAUGAGUAUAAAAAGAAAUAGAGUGAUGAGAAUAAACUCUAAAAAUGUUUGACAUGUAUGAUUUCAAACUUGUAACUUUGCCAUUAAUCAAUCAUUUUAAGCUUUCCUCCAACUGCCGCCCAAGGAAGAGCAUGAUUACUUAUGCAAAUGUUAUUGGAUCUAUCAUGUACUCGAUGAUAUACACUAGACCUGAUCUUGUUCAUAGCAUUAGUGUACCUAGCAAAUUUAUGAGUAACCCUGGGCAAGAACAUUGGGAUGGAUUGAAAUAGCUUUUGAAAUAUCAUAAAAGAACUUUUGAUUUAGGAUUUAUGUUUAAAAUGAAGUGGUAACUUCCAAAGGUUGUACUGAUUUUUACUUUACUGGAGAUAGGGAUAAUAGGAGAUUAACUUCAUCCUAUUGAUUGCGUGGACGCUUCAAGAGAUCUUAAAUUCAAGCUCAGAAAAACAACCAAACGAAUACCUCCCAACCUCGGCUCAACCCACACCCUUCCUUCACUUUGAUUGCUUCAAGAUUUCUUACCGUCAAAGGAUGAUGGUGGUGGUGACUAUAAUAUAGAGGAAAGAAUGAAGCAACAAUGGUUGAGUUUCUCAAAACUCACACCAAAAAUUGGUUGUCUCCUUCACUCUUUUCUCCAUUUUUUCACAUACGCGCAAACGCCAAUAUAUAUAUACGUUAAUGCUAGUUUGGUCAAGACUCACUUAAAUAGGCCACCUUAAUAACAAGGUAAAUGGGCUCACACACAUUAUCUCGAACUCAAACUUGGGUCCUUCAUAAGUGUAGGCUAUUUUCGGUCAAGCCUAGUGUAUGUUGAUGUUCAUUUAAUGGUUUAUUGAGCCCGAAUUAAAGAUUUCUCAAAGUUUCGUAUAAUAAAUGGUAUUAGAGCUUAUGUUAUUGAGAAAUUUGUGAAUUUUUCAGCCAAAAUCGAUUGUAAGGCUAAAAAUGAAGCUGGAAAAUGGAAGAAAAUAGGAAAUAAUCUGGAUACAUUGGAAAUCAUCUCUUUCAGUUUUUUUUCUUUUUUUUUUUUUGGUAAUUCUCGGCUAGACAACUCACGGUUUGGAGAAACCAACGCCACAUGAAGACUAUGCAAGUGGAGGAGCACAUGGGAGACUUGCCCGUGAAGCUCUGGCAUGACGGCAGUGAAGCCACCUGGAAAGAAAGAAGUCUGACGUGAUAGAAGUCUGGCAGGGUUUGGUAACAACACUUGAAGACAAAAAUAUUGCUGACAGCGAAGUGGAUCCUGCGAUGGUGCUUAUUUUCUAUUUGGGAGCAAAAUAGUUAAAUCUAGACUAUUUUACCCUUGGACGUUGUGGUGUCGGAUUUUUUUUUUUUUGUUUGUCGAAGUUUUUGGAGGCUUUAAAGCGAAUAGUGGUGGCCUAAAGUGAUGAAUUGUGCAUAUUUCAAUUACGUCUAUCAUAGGGAUAACCAUUUACUUUUCACAUUAGAAGUCAUUGUGUGGGGUGACAUUAGGUUUGGGGUUAUUGGGUGGGGGUAACCAUUGCUUGUUGCUAAACCUAAGAAUUAUUUUUUUUAAUUAUUUCUAAAUUUUUCUACAUUGCUAGAAUUGCAUGUGACCUUAGGGAAGUUUGUUUGACUAUUGCGUGUGAAUUGUGUCUUUACUUUGCUUGUGGUUAAUAUUUGGUGUUGAUGGCAAAUGUAGGUCUGAGACAAGUACGAAAAGUAAGGUGAUUUUUAACAUCAAUAUUUCAGACAUGUUGAAAGAGAUUGUCGUAUGAAGGAUAAUAGAAGGAAAAAUAAAGAGAGAGGUGAGGUAAAUGUUGCCACUCAGUUUGGUUAUAACUCGAGUGACGUUUAUUGAGAGUAAACUUGGAUACUGUAUGUUCAUUUGUGUAUAAUCAUUUCUUCAUGUAUGGUCGCUUAAUUUUAUUACAAUGUUAUAUAUUACAUUUUCAAUCUGUUUGAUGUGUUUAAUCGCAUGAAUUAAGAGUAAUCUUAAUGUGUAUGUAUACAUAGUGUGUUGAGAUCUAUGACAUAUUCUUUUUGCUCUGUGGGUGGUACAAGAAAGUGUGGUAGUGAAAAGAAAAAGGGGUAGCUAUUUUCUCCUUUACAUUUGUGGGCCUAUGUCGUUUGUGAGAUUAUAUGAGGUAGCCAUGUGUGGGUUAUCAUCUUUCUCUUUGUGAGCCUUUUAGUAAUUGUAGCGAAGAACCAACUGUUUCUUAUAUUUUCCUUGUGAGUGCCACAUACAUCCUUCUUUUUGUGGACUUCUUGAGCUUUGAUGAGGAAGAAAUCUUUUCAUGCGUUGGUCAAUUUAAACUGAGCCCUAACCUUUGUGGUCACCAAAGGUGUCAAUUUUGUCAUAGUGGCGUUGAUAGUAAGCGUGCUGUGUUUCAUUUGGUAAUGUGAAGUAUAGAUGCCUGAGGGUGCAUUGGUGAUAUACAUGGAUAUGUGGAUAGUGAAAUUUGGAUCAUGAGUAGAGAUGUGAUUAAAUGUCCAGACUCCUCUAUCUAUGAAAGACCUUGUACAGUUAAAGUGUGAGAGAGACAUUUUUAUCGCUUCUGUUAGGUAGAGACACAUUGUCCACUUAGAUUGAGACAAGUGAGGUACUGACAGAAAUAUUAUCUCGUGGACUUAAAAUCUAUUGUGGUUUACCAAUUAGACAUGAAUUUAGUGAUCAAUCUAGUGAGCAUGGUGGACGGUGAGAGAGAUAUAUGUUCUCAAAGUACAAGCAAUACGGAAUGAGAUAGGAUAAGUGUGAUGAGAUCUUUUUACGGGUUUAUUUAAGCACUUGUUGUAUAUGUGUUAGUCGUUUGAUUGAUUAACGUGAUAUUAGUUUACUGUUUUGUGUGAACAUAUUUGAAUGGACCUAUAUGUUAUCCUAUUUUAUAUCUUCAUCGUAUGUUUAUAUGUUUUUAAUUUAUUACUGUGAUUAUUUGUUCCUAUUUAGGUAAUUUUGACAUUAGCCCUGAUUAGUGCAUUGAAUAGGUAUGGUAUGUCUUUGGGGUCGAAAACACGAGUUAAGGUCUGUGGUUUUGAUUAUGGUGUCCUUAGAUCCUUGUGUGGAAGCUUCGAGAAAUCUUUAGUACGGGCUCAGAAAAACCAUCAAAUGAACACCACCUCUGGCUUGCUUGACCCACAACUUUACACUUGGUUGUCUUCUUUCCAACACCCACAAAGCAUAGAACUUCGGUGAUUAAUGUGUGCCAACAAAGGAGGAAGAGAAUAAAUAAAGGAAUGGUUGAACUCAAAUUAUACCUAAGUUGGUUACCGCACAUUUUCUCUGCACAAUUGCACAUUAACUCACGGCUGCCAAAAAUGAAGAGAUAAUGGAUGUAUACAGUAUUAGGUUAGAUUCCAAACUUGGCCAAAUACUUUAAAUGGGCCAAGACAAAUAACAACUAGGAAAAAUUCAUAAAUAAGAUGUUAACAAUCACCUAUUUCAAAAUUAAGAACAAAGGUUUCAAAUUUCAAAAAUCAGAUAUUUAUUACAAUUUAUUUACGAUUUAAUUAAUUAAUUAUAUAUUUUAUUAAUUAAACAUAUUAAAGUCAUAGAUGUAUGCAAUUUGGUCACAAAUUCACAAAUUUAAUUGUUUACAUAUUAUUUUUCGAUCACAGAUCAAAAUUUUUAUAUGUCAAAAAUUAUUUUACAAUCACAAUUCAAAAAUUUUAUAGGCCAUAAUUCAUACAUCGAUCACAAAUAAUGAACAUUAUAAGUCACAACUUAUUGGUCACUUACAAAUUAUCAUAGUAUCAGCCACAAAUUAACAAUUUUUUAGGUCACACAUAUUUCUUGGUCAUAGUUCAUCUCUUUCAUUGAUCACAUAUUAUUUAUUGGUCACUGAUUAACCAAUUUAAUUGUCACAAUCAACUGAAUAAUUUGUGACUACCAUUAAUGCGUCUAACCAUCACGUCACCACUGCCUCCGAUAGCACCAUCUCGCGGCCUGAAACUCCAUCACCUACAACAAAUCUAACAUAUUGCAAAAAAAACCAACAAUUCGUCGAGCCAAAUCCAUCGCUACCUCACGACCACAAACACCGACAAACCACCAUUUUCAACUACAAAACUACCACCCGUCAACACAUCCAUGCCACAUUUACCAACACCAUCACCUCCACCAACAAAAGUCACCCCACCACCGAUCUGACACUAUCGCACCCAAAUAAUUGGUCACAACCCGGCUCCAAAACCACUGCCUGGCUACCACAGUACCCGCAAAACCACCACACCAGCACCGUGCAUAUAGCACACAACCACUGCCACCGUUAUAGCCAUCUCCUCUAUCUCAAUCUACACCAAAUCACUACCACAUCCCUGCCAAAAAAUCCUCAAACUCGCAGCCACCACCAAAUAUAAUACCACCUACACUACUAUAGGCAAAAGCAUCGCAAAACUCACGUAAUAAGAUAAAAUAAGUAGCCCAAAAACCUCCAUCGUCGAUUGCCACACUGCAGCAGCAGCAAGUGGUGCUAUAAUCUCAACAUAGAACUGACGCAAAUGAUGUCCGAAGCGUGAGGGUUGAAGCCCAUCGCUCACACAGCACCAGUAGCGUCGUGUGAGUACAGCACCGACAACGUGAGGAUAAAGAGAGAGAAAGGGGAAAAGUGAGAUAUAGAGAGAAAAAUGAUGUGAAAAUUGAUUAGGUUUUAGUAUGAAAAUUGUAUAUUUAAUAUUUAAAUAUGAAAUAUCUAAUUUGUGAAAUGUGAAACGUCCAACUUGAUUUUUGAACAUCGAUCUUUAAAGGUGGAGUGGGGUGUAAUUUCCUCUAACCCUCUAACAACCAACCAUUAGUUGGGUUUACACACAUAUCACUCUCCAAACCUAAACAACAAAUGGGAUAACUCACAAAUGUGCCAUCCUAAAUGAAUUGGUAGUUUUUGAGUCAAGCCAAGCACUAUGGUGUCGAUGAAUUAUCCAACAUAUAUUUUAAAUCAUAGCCGGAAAUUUAUUUGGUAUAAAAAAUUCAACACUAUUUUUAUGCACUCUGCAGUACUAUUGUAAUUUGGAAAUCACAACUUCAAAAGGUUGUGUCUCUAUCUUCAACAAAGGCAGAAUAUAUUGUUUCCACCGAUGCCAUUAAAGAAGGUAUUUGGUUAAGUGAUUUGUUAGGUGAACUUGAUUUUGUUGAUGAAAAUACAAUACUAUUUUUACAUAACCAAAGUGUCAUACAUUUGAGUAUAAAAUCCCAUGUUUCAUGAUAGAACUAAGCACAUGUAUAUUAAAUAUAAUUUCAUAAAAAACUUUAUUUCAAAAGGGAUACUUAAUGGUAAAUUGUUACUCAAUUUAAUCAUUUAGAUAUGGGUACCAAAGUAAUACCUUUAUGUAAGUUUCAAAAUUGCUUGAAGUUAUUAUUCGUUGAUACUAUGUGUUAAAUGUGCAAGUACACUGACCAAUGAAAUAUAAAAAUGUUGGUAAUGCUCUUGGUUGCACUAUUAACUCCAAAUUCUAGAUAGCAAGGUAUAAGCUUGCUGGAAUUGUACAUGUGUUUGCAGUGUGCUCCCGAAUUUGACAUAAAGUCGCAAUUUUGGAAAUGCAACUUUGCAAGUGGAGGCCCUUUAUGAGAUCUUAAUGUUAAGUGAAUAAAUCCCACAUCGGUUAAAUACCGAAAUAUUGACCAACUUAAAUAGAUCUUGGGUCACUCCUCUUAAUAAGGUUGACCUUAUUAAGAUGGACUUCAAAUCUUAACAUGGUAUCAGAGCCCAAUAAGCUCCAACGAGCUAUUCAAUCCGAUUAAGUCUCAAAAAUGAGCACAUGAAUUUCAAAAUUAGUCUGCUAAAAAAGAAUCACCAUCUUGUGGUGCAUGUUAAGGGAAUAAAUCCCACAUCGAUUAAAUAUUGAAAUAUUGAUCAACUUAAAUAGAUCUUGGGCCACUUCUCUUAACAAGGUUGACCUUAUUAAGAUGGACCUCAAAUAUUAACAUGGUAUCAGAGUUCAGUAAGCUCCAACGAGCUAUUCAAUCCGAUUAAGUCUCAAAAUGAGCACACGGAUUCCAAGAUUGGUCUGCUCAAAAAGAGCUAACAUCUUGUGGGGGCAUGUUAAGGGAAUAAAUCCCACAUUGUUAAAAUUUCGAAAUAUUGACCAACUUAAAUAGAUCCUGGGACACUCAUCUUAAUAAGGUUGACCUUAUUAAGAUGGAUCUUAAAUCUGAACACUUAACGCCUGAUGCAAUCUUGGUCAUUUGAUGAUGAUUCUCGAUGGUUCAAUUUCCUUUACUAUGUGUCGUUUCACUUGGGAGACUUCAUUAUGGCUUUGGAGAUUUUUUUGAAGAUAGAGUUUACUCUCUUUUGGUUAGGGUUUCAUCUUGUAUCGUCUUCUGUCUUGAAAAUUUCAAUCGAGACUGAGAUUAGUGUUUUACUUUCUCUAAUUAUUGUAUUUUCUGAGUGGAAUUUUGAAAAAUCAAUAGGGUGCUUAUGUUGUGCCAUUCAAAGUGUUGGUUUGAGGGGUUAUUUUGUGAUUUCUUGAGUGGAUCUAUUGUUUCAUCUUUGAGAAGAUUAGUAUUGUGACUUUAUCUUGUAUUAGUUGAAUUAUUGUAAUCUUCGUUACCCUUUUCGGUAAAUAGUGCAAUCGAGUAUUAUCCAUUUCAUAUGGAUGUUCAACAAAGAUUAGGUGUUAGAAGUGGUCACCGAACUUUUGGGGCUUCACCUGAAACAAUUCUUCAUGUUGAUUUUCAUUUCAUGCAAUUUUACUUUCUGUACUUAGUUUUUGAGUUUGACAAAUCACUUAUAGUUUGUGUUUUUUGGGCAUUUCAUCCUCUAACAUGCAUUAGCUGUAUACUUUGGAUUCACUUAUCAUAUCCAAAAAAGGAAAGAAACUUGCAUGUAUACGUUUGGUACGCUUGGCUAUGAAGUAAGAAAGAAAUAACAAUCAAAGUGUAUAGACACGGAAGAGGAUGCGGUCAUCCAUCCUUCUUAUUGUCAGAGUCUAUCUCAUUUCUAGAAUGGAUUGACGAACUAAAGUAUUGCCCAAAUGAAAUUCUAUUAUAAUUGCCAAUUAUCCCGUCCAGCCCACAUAGGAUGAUUGAGGACAAAAAUGCAAAAUAUGAUGAACUUAUUGUCUUGUCCAAAUGGUCAUUGAACUUUGCAUUGGGUUUCUAAGAAGUCGUUGAACUUUAAAAAUCACUUAAAUAAUCAUUGAACUUUACAAAAGAUUUCUACAAGGUCACUGAAUUUUAAAAAUCAUUCAAAUAGUUACUGAACUUUGCAAAAGGUUUCUCAGGGGUCACUAAAUUCAGUGAUCAUUUAGGUGAUUUUUAAAAUUCAGUGACCCCGUAAAAACCUUUUGCAAAGUUCAGUAACCAUUUAGGUGAUUUUUAAAGUUCAACGAUCCCUUAAAAACGUUUUGCAAAGCUCAGUGACCAUUUGGGCAAUUCACUCGAACUUGGCAGCUUUGAGAUGAAUCAUCAAUAUAUUUAUUUGUUCAUACUCUCUACAUUGUACAAUGGAAUUUUAAAUCAAUAUAAAUAUGUUGGUCGAGUCAAAUAAACAAUAUAUCAAGCAUGCCCAUAAAAGUAAAAGUGAAAUUACUAAAAAUAUGAAUCUCCAAACUUAUUCAAGGGAUUUUAUUUUCUCGUCCAUGGCAAUGGAUUUCUUGCAAUGAGCAAUCGCUGUCUGAAUUGCACUCUGCAACUCUUCCAUAUUACUAUCACGUGCUGUAGUAGGAGUAAGAGUUCCAUUUGCUACUAAUAGACCAAUGUUUGUUUGAGAUGUUCUCAUUGAACUUGGUGCAGAAAACUCCCCUCUUCUUCCUCUCAACUCUGGCUUCCCUCUAUUGCGUAAAUUUCCCGAACAUGAAUAGGAUUGCUUGUGUAAUUUAUCCCCUCUUCUGCAGAUCAGAAAGGGCCGAGCCAUUCUCACGUAUCUUUUCAAAACCUGACUUACAUGGAAUUUUAACUUCUUUUUCUUCCUUUCUUUAUAUUUCUUUUCUCCUUUUCGCCAUUUCAAUAAGCUAAACAAGGAAAAAGGCUUGAAAUUUGCUCUUCCUUUGGCAUCAAAGUUGUGAUCAAUAUUGCUGUCAGUACUGUUGAUUGUCUGAAUGGAUUCUAAUUCUUUAAUGGAUAGGGUAAAACUGUCCAAAGAGUUGUUCGAAGAACGAGGGGAUACUGGAAGGUGGGAGAGUAGAUGGAGAGGAAGCAAAUGGCCAUGGAAAAAUAUAUCAUCUGCUGGAGAUAAAUCUAUGGCGAAUGAAGAAGUGUUCUUAUUAUUUUCUGGGGAUUUUGCAGUUGUUGAAGGAUGAAGAGAAAUGGUGAAGGAGAAUUCAUGAGAAGGAGAUGAACUGAAGGUGGUAAGGGUGCUGCAAUUGGUUGCAGCUGAUUAUUCUCUCUCUGCAGAUUUUCUUCAUGCUUCUCUCUCAUCUUAUGAUGAUGUUUGUCUAUGCUUCAAUGCUAAAAGAUAUGUCGGAUCUGAAGUUUUUCUUGACUUGCUUUGAUAUGAUAUUCUCUGGUUAGAAAUGUGAGGAAAUAUUUUUGAGGGGAUAAGGAUGUUAGGAAGCA